Molecule: long non-coding RNA, 214085 nt
Filed under: Cucumis sativus (cucumber)
Lineage: Eukaryota; Viridiplantae; Streptophyta; Magnoliopsida; Cucurbitales; Cucurbitaceae
Description: long non-coding RNA (CSAT_LNC000946)
Source: RNAcentral
UCAAUUUACCCAAUCAAGAUCAGGUGGUGGAUUUUUCUAUAAAGUAAUAUUUAUGUAUUUUGGGCACGUUUUAGAAAAUAUUAUGUUGUACUGUUAUGAAUUGGAGAGUUUCACUCUCUCAAAUGGUGGCUUGAUGUACUUUAUAGAACCUUGAUCCAUUAUUGUAAUCUAGUAACUACUCUCUUGGAGUUAUUACAAAAUCCUACUAGAUAGCACACACCCUGAAAAGUCGUGGUGAUCAUACCACUAGUAACUUUUGGACCCAUUAGCAUGAAGCUGAACGUCUAAAAGCUCCAUUUAUUAAAAAAAAAAAUUAUUAUGUGCAUGUUUUUUAUUUGUUAUAUGAUGGCUAGAAUUAUUGAUGUUGUCUAUCUAUUUACUUCUUAUGAAUAAUUAGCACAUUAACAGAAGGCAGAAGCCAGUAGUGCUAUAAUCUGUUUAAAUUUGACAAAGUAAGUAUCUGUGACUCUGAGGCACUAUACCCGCAUAGUGGCCUAGCGAAUAGGUGUCAUUAUGCCACUCAGGUGCCGCAUGAGCGUUGAAGAUAUCUCAUUCGAGCUCAACUGGGGAAGAAUCAAGCUAUUGAGUAUCUUUUUGGCACUUGAGUAGGUGCUCGAGUGCUGAAGUACCGAAGAAGCUAGUUUAAUUAGAGAAAGAAAGGGUUAUCUACGUUUAUUAGUUUACUAUGAUCACGAGUUUGGUAAUAACUCAUCAAGUUUUUAUCAAUGUUGCCAUAGGCUAGUAAAUUUCAGUGAUACUGAUCUUGGGAUCUUACUAUCUUAAAUGUCAUUACAUGACGAGAUCUCUUGUACAUGACCAAUAUUUAUUUUCUCAUUGCAGUGUUGUGACGAGAUAUCACAAUGAUCCUCAUGCAAUGCAGUACAUAUCCAAGCAUUUUUAUUAUGAGGAAGUGUUUGACGAUUCAACCUCGGACCGGCCAAAAAUAAGGUGGCGUUAUCGAAAUUUCUUUAGUGAUGAUGUUGCUCAUUCUCAGAGGACGCAUGGCAAUGACAACAACGUGCAUGAAAACUCCCACCGUGAUUCCAGUGCCUACCAGGGCGAUUCCUAUGGCGACCCUGAUGACAAUGGAAAUGCUCAUGAGUUCAAGCCAGUCCUCGUAAGUUUUAUAAUUCAGUUUCUGCCCCCAUCUGAUAAUACUUCUUCAAAUUUUUUUAUGAUUGUUUACUUAUAGUUUCUGCUUCAAAAAAGAAAUGGUGUUAUACUGGUGAUCAAAACAGAAGCAAAUCUUUGUAUAUCCCGAGUAGGGCACCUACUUGUGCAUUCUUCGAUUUUCGUUGUGCGAAGUUUUUUCAUUAUAACGUAAAUGGGCACCAAUUUAGGUAGUCAUCUUAGGGUAAUAAUAGUUCCGUGGAUCAUAAACACUGGAAUCUAGAUUCAAAUUUUGGAAGUGUGUUCAUUCCGCACUUGCAAACUUCAACUCAGCAUACUCAAAAUCAUAUGAUCUCAAGCAUUGUAAUUAUCAAGUUCCUGAAAUGGAGCAAGUAUAUUGUCACAUGUUCUCUCCGCAAGUUUUGCUUUGCGCCACAGUAAACUGAAUUUAGUUGAUUCAAAUAGAGAUUAUUUACUGGGAGUUUGGAACGUAUGUGUUAUGUUGCUUCCUGGUCAAACGAGCUUUAUUGAAUACCCGAGUCACAAGACUUCUAAAACAAAAUACUUUUCUUCAGUAAGUAGUGAUAAGAUAUUAAAUUUACCAAAAGCUUUCGGAUAUGAUUUAACAUGAUAUCGUAGUUGGAGGUCCAGAAAUUCCUGUGUUUAAACCCUUUUUCUCGGCUGUUGGAUUCGGGGGAUUGUCAAAAGUAUCAAUAUUUAUCUAUCUUUUAGCCUGAUUUGUACUUUCGUUACAUGCAGACUAAGCCUGGCACCGAUGCUGCGACCGCAGACCCUCUAGAUUGUAUUUUUGGUACAUUGGCCAGAAAAGAAGAAAUUCAAAACUCAACUCCCUCUAUUCCAUCUCCGAAGCCUCACUCUCGUAGCAGAAGAUACAAUCGUCGGCAUCGAAAAGAUAACCAUACAAAAUCAACAAACUUUGAACAUGUGUAAUUUCAGGUUCUAUCCAUUCUAAGAAUAUUUCAUUUUCUGUUUUUAAAAGAAACGAAACUUUCCAUUCGUAGAAAUAAAGAGAGACAUCUUUGUACCUAACCAUGUAUUGAAGAAGAAAUGUUAAGACAUUUAUGCAGUUCGAGUGCAGUAUUGACAUUAGCCUAUCAUAGGAAUGAAAAAUGGUGUAUAAUCGUUUCCAUCUCGGUGUUUUAUGGUACCUAACCAUUACUGAACUAAUGGAUAGGAUAUCCAAAGAAGCGAUAGCCAUCCAUAGUGUGAAGACAAUGCUCAUGAGGCAAUUGUCUGCCGUUUGUUGAAAUGGGAGAGCCACAUUUCAUUGAAGGUUGGAAACUCCAUUCUCUUUUCCAGUUUCUAAAAUUUCUAACAUUUCUCAGGAAAAUUCGUGGGGGAAAAGUCUUUCAUUCUUUCAGACCGUGUGGCGUGUUGAAGACCUUACACAAGAAAGACGACUAUGAACACGCGUCAAGAAUGGUAAAUGCCUUUGUCAUAUCUUUAUUACUAUAAUAACUAACUAGAAGCUUCAUACUUUGUCUUGUUUACAUUAAUAUGAAAUUCUUCCCCCUUUUUUAGUGGUUCUGGUUGAAAGAUAGAAACAAAUACAUAUAUUCUAUUCUGUGGUGGGAGUGGGGGUUUAGAUGAGAUGCUUUUAGUAAGGUAGUACCCAUAAUUUUUAAUCUUUAUACUGCCUGGUGAAAACAAAUAGUGGGUUCUUAGACUGAGCCGUCGAAAGUAAAAGGAAAUGAUUUAGAAUUGAAAGCUUUUAUCAAUUUGGAAUCUUUAAGUUUGAUUGCGGCCCUACCGCACGCAUAGUGCCGCAAUAGAUAUUAGACAGCUUUAUUUAUCAUUAUUAAAAAGAGGAAAAAGAAAACUAAGGUAAAGCUUCAAUAUAGGUUGAGGUUUGAUAUGUAGAGUAGAUGUAAUUAUUGCAGAUAUUAUAGUUUAUUUUUAUUCUAAUGCCACUUUUAUAGAACAGGGUGCUAAUGUUACUUCUGUUUAACUCAAUUAUUAUACCCAUGGAUGAUGGCUUGGUAUCUAAAAUUUGAUUUGAAGUUUUUGUUAUUCUCACCUGAUCAAUUUUUACUCAAUGAAUCCAAUUGAUAGAACGUUUGAUUUUUUUUUUUUUUUUAAUGUAUUUGAAACACUAAGAUGAGUGUGUUGCAUUUCUUUUAAUUAUUACCCACUCAUAAUUUUUAUUGAAAAUUUAUAGGAAAUAUUUUUUAGUUCAAUGAGUUGUAAAACAUGUAUAGUACAAAAUAGGAUUUUCAAGAAAAAAUUAUGUUGAAGCUAAAUAUUUGUUAGAAAUGUAUGUUUUGGUAAAGCUUUCUCUCAUUAAUUUGUGCAAAACUCGUGUGUAUAGGAAUUUACAAGCUUGUGCAGCUUUUAACAUAGUGUGUGUUUGUUAUGAUGAAAUUAAAUGUAUAGAGUGAAUAUUAAUACAAUUUGACAUUAAUAUGACUUGUCUAAGAGUAUAAAUUAAUUUUUCCCAAGAAAAUUUUAUAAUGACAUUUUGAACGCAUUUUCAAAUAUCAUUGAUUUUGAUUGCUAUGGUCUAUUUGUGUCAGUUAGCAUUAUUUGUAAAUAUUUUAAUAGUUUUUAGUGUAGCGCAAGAUUAGGUUGUCAUAUCGUAAAACUUCUUUUAUCAUUUUUGUUUAUGUUAACUUACUCUCUUCGUUAGCAAAAGUUUAAAGAUCGUUUUUCUGUAUGAUAUUUAACCUCUUGUUUAAAAAAGACAAACUAAAGAUUUAAUUUUAAAAAUAAGUCAUUUGAAAGAAGAAAAAAUAAUUAAAGCAGUUGAUAACUCUUUUAAAUUGUUGUUUCAAAACUGUAUUUUAAAAUUUUAAAUAAUUUAUAUCAAUAAAGUGAUCUUAAGACAUGAUAUUUUGUAAAUGUGACGUUGAUGUUACUAGCUAACAACGUUUAUCGCUAAUUAAUGAUAUCAAUCGUUUCAAAGAAAAAUAAUAAUAUCAAUGAUAAACAGAAUGGUAGGUAGGUAUGGUAAUUAAGUUUCUAUUUGUUUUAAUAUUAUCACAAAAGAAAUAUGUUAGAAAAUAUUUUGGUCCCUAAGUUUAUAUAGGACGUAAGAACAACAGUUAAAUUUCAUAACUUAAUAUAGUCCUUAUGCUUUAAAGAGUCCUUAUGCUUUAAAGAGCAUAAAUUCAUCCUUAAGCUUUAAUAAACUAACACGUCUCUACUCCAUAUAUUUUAGUUCAUGUUGGAAAAGUAUUAUUGAGAUUUGGUGGCAUUCAUAAACAUGCAAAUUGAUUAAAUGAUAACUAUCAACUUUUGUACCAUCAAUUAAGUUUAAAAUCGUUACUUAAUAAAAAAAAUUUGUAAAGACUAAAUUGUUGUCAACUUCAAAAUCUAGGUACGAGAAUGGUGCUCGUUAAACUUACACGAUUAAAUUGUUUCAACCUCGGAAAUAAAGAAUUUAUAUCCUGCCAUCUAAAGUCUAGAUAUUAAUGAGUAAUUUUAAGAAAUUUCAAUUAUAAGAAAACAAUUUUAACUCUUUCAAGAAAGGAGAAAUGUUUAUGUGUUAAUUUAAAUAGUUUGGUGGGUAUUGCACUUUUGUUUCCACUUAGGCAAUAAUAUUUUCAUCACUGUUCUCAUACAAUUGAGACGAAUUUUAUAUAAGUUUGAUUCUUGUGCAUCUCUAUAUAUCAUUAAGUAAAAUUUCAAUCAGGUAAAGUUUGGUAUCGUACUUGGAAGAAAACAAAAUAGCUAUUAUACUAUGUCAUCUAACAAUUUAAUAGAAGUGAACAUGAUAAUAGUUCAAACGUUCAAAAUUGAAUGUUCCCUUCUCUUAUACAUGAGGACUUUAAUGUUCAUAGUUUAUAAACAUUCUUAAUCAAUUUAUAGAUAUAAAUAGAUAAAAGGUUCUAUAAACUCAUAACCAAAACUUUCAUAAUAGAUUGUUAACGAUUUUAAAAUUCAAAGACUACAAUGGAUACCUAAUAAUUGAAUUAAUUCAACUUUUAAUUCGGACUAAAUCAUUUCCUCCACAUAAAAAUCUUUAAUCUUUAAAUGUAUAAAAGUUUAAAGAGAAUUGUGUUGAAACCUAAAAUUUAUAUAUAAACAAAAAAAUACUUUCGCAAUUUCAUUGAUUUUAUUUCUUUUCUUUUUGAAAAAAUAACACGAUCAAUAUGAACAUAGCUUCCCUCCGAAUUGACAGGGGUUUGAUCUCAGUUUCAUGAAAAUAAUAAUUUUAAAAAUAGUACGACCGACUUUGUAAUUUCAUAAAAAAUAAAGGUUGAAUAUAGAAAUAAAAUAAUAAUUGUUAAUAUUAUAUUUAUUGUUAAAAAAAAAGGGGAAAAACUACUUUCCCUUCCAUCCUUCUUAUUUAUCCACUAAGCGAUUCUUCCUCUUUUGGUGUUUGCUCUCACGGCUCUUUCUUCAUCCUCUUCCUCCAAUCAAUAAUGCCUUUCUCCGAUUCAAUUUCUUAAUUCUCUCAAAUCCCUCAUUCAAUUAAUUUCCCUUUUCAGUUUCCAUUUUCGAACAUUAGGGUUCUCUUCCGAUUCCUGUGUUUCUGUUUUGUUUGUUUGUUUGUUUGUUUGCACAAACCAAUUUCCUUUGAUUCCUUUAUGAUUUCCCAUUCUCGUCCUCUGAACUCCAACCCCAUCAAGAUUUCGAUUCCUUUUGAAAUUCGUCCCUCGUUUUUCACUAGAGCAUCUUCGAUUUCCCUAUCGAUUUGGGUUCUAACCCUUGUUUUUAUUGUUGUUGGUGGUGUUUCUCCCGCCCCUUCAAAACCUAUUGCAAGUUUGAAGAACGAGUUCGAAAUCAACUCCACCACCGCCAUGAAGGUCCACCCACUGCCGAGGAAGCGCAAUAUCGCCGUUCGGAAUAACACCACUUUGAGAAACUCUCUUGAAGAUCAAUCCCUUUUGAACAAUCACAAGAAACUCAGGCGGUUACCACAUAUCUUCAGUCGGGUCCUUGAACUUCCGUUUCGAUCUGAUGCGGAUGUUUUGGUAGAGGAAAAUCCAGAUUGUUUCCGAUUCAUUGCUGAAACUGAUGGUAACAUUAGCGAUGGAGUUAGAGCUCAUGCUGUGGAAAUCCAUCCUGGGGUUAUUAAGAUCGUUGUUCGUGAAAAUGAAUCGUUGGAAAUGUCAAUAGAUGAACUUGAAUUGGAUAUGUGGAGGUUUCGACUACCGGAGACGACACGUCCGGAGCUUGCGAGUGCGGCCUUUGUUGAUGGAGAGCUUAUUGUCACUGUUCCAAAAGGGAAUGAUGAAGGGAAUUCUGAUGAUGGUGGAGGAGAUAUCUUCAGAGAUGAAAUGGAAGGUCGGCUUGUUCUUGUACAGUAAAUUGAAUACUUUCUCUCUUUUUUCUUUUUGGUUUUUGUACUAACUGUUGGAAAUUUCGUUGUUCAUCAUUAUAUAAUGUUGUUCCAGAUUUCCUGUUAGUUUCCCAUUGUUGAAUUCGUUGAUCCAUUAGUUUAAAAGAAAUUUAGAAAGAAAAACCAAAUUGCUUCUUAUCUGAAUCAUAUCCAUCUCAAACAUAAAACUUGAUAACAUAAUACUCAAUUCUGAAACAUUGAUCCUUUUUCUAAUGGUAAUCUGCUUUAGGAAAUUUAUGGUAUUUUGUGUAUGCAAUUUGAAGUUUGAACUCUCUUUUCUUCCCAAAUCAUUACAACUUAGGGUGUUCUCUGGUUGGUCACAGUCGUUUUCGACCAAACCAACUAGUCAGUUCAAUAAAUCUUCAAAAUGUUAUCUUCUCCGUAGUCGAUCGCAGUUUUCGAUCUAUCAUGCUGCAUCUGUUAUCUGCUAUGUUCUUAAACCGUCACUACUCCCCAAUUAUGUUCUUAAAAUAGAAUCUAUAUUUCAAAUAUGGAAUUUUUCCUUUUAGGCUAAGGUUGAUAUCAGAAUCCUUAUCUGUAAGCUUGAAUGAAAAACUUUGAUAGUUUUCCAUACCUUUCCCUUUUGCUUUCGUUUCUUAAUUGCUAAUAUACAGUUUUGAGAUUUUGGUUGUGAAUGUAUUUCUUGAAUGGUUUAGCCAUUUUGUAGAAAUCGUUUUCUUUUCUUUUGGGUGUACCUCAAACACUUGUCCUUCUCUGUGGUUUGGAAAGUAUUCCUUCUCUCUUUGUCUAUCCAUGGGUCCUAUGUGUGGCCAUAUGUGCUUCCUUACUUUAUGUAUUUAAAACAUAUAAUUUGGCACUUUUCAUGCUACCCAAAACACAAAAUAAAACCUUAUUUUAUGCCUUAUUUUCCUCACAUCUGCCACGAUUUAGUUGCCAAAUUCUUAUUCCUAAAUCCUAACUGCUUUGCCUAUUCUCAUUCCUUAGAUCUCUCCCUUUUUUCCUUUUCAUUGUUGACUUGUUCGAGCAAUGCCCUACCUUCUCAUUAUCUUUGAUAAUCCUUUUUAAUCUUUCCCAUGGGUCACGUUUGGUGUUGAUUUAUUCUAGCUGCUCAUGAUUCUUUUUUUUUUUUUUUUUUUUUUUUUGUUCAACAUGGGUGGAGAAAUUCGGAACAUCUACCGUAUUGAUCAAAUGGUGCAUGUCUAAACUUAGUGAACUGUGAUUAGGUUGGUAGUAAGAAAACUCUUUCGUCCUUAAAAAUAUAUAACAAUUAAAUAUCGGGGUCCUAGUAUAUUCUGCAGUAAUUCAAUGAUAUGAAAUACCUUUAUUGAAUUUUUGAUUGCUUAUGCACUCUUCUGUUCAACUCAUGAGAGGUAUCAAUCCAAGUAGUUUGUAUAUUGAUGAUUAAAUUAUAAAAUUCCAAACUAAUUGCUUGAUUGUUAAUCCCAUUUAUAUAUGCCUACAAAUUACAUUAUCCGGUAAUCCUAUUGUUGAAUUUCCACAACAUGAAUUUUCAAUUGAAAUACAAAUCUAUGAAAUGAUUACAUUACUAUGACACUUCUGCACAGUUUUGACUCCCUCACAAAAUAGAUUGGUGUGAAAUUGGAGAAAUUUGUCUUACUUUGACAUAAUAUAUAGAUUAUAUAUAUUAUAUAUGAAGAAAAAAAUUACAGUGACAUAAUAUAUAGAUUAUAUAUAUAUUAUAUGUGAAGAAAAAAAUUACAGUGAAGUUGAAUUCCAUGUAGCUGACCAUGUGAAUCAGGCAUUCAUCUAAAGUUCCAUCAUUUUAUUGGCUUUUCGACUUGGAAUGAUUGCAUCGCAGUGGCCUACAGCUACAAUCAUCCUCUCAUAUUAUAAUGACUAAUUAUUAUGAUGUAAAAUGUUGGUUUAACGUAAAGGUAAAUUCCUUUUUCUACCCCUCAAAAUAAAUAUAUAAAAAUUGGUGAUAAGAAAAUGAAAAAAAAAAAAAAUCACAUUUAUGAUUUUUAGAACUGUAUAGUCUGAUUGGGUUUUCGGAUUUAAGAUGAACUUUACAAGUUCAUAUUUAUGCCAUGAAAUCAUAUCAACACAUAAUCUCAAAUAUUUGGAUUAUACAAAUCUAAUUUGUGACAAACAGAAACACACCAUUGAAUAUCUUGGCAAAGCCCACUUAUCUGAUGACGAUCAUUUUCCGUUAUGAAUAAAAAUGGGAAGAGAUUUAAGCAAAAUAAGGGAUUUCACAUGCAAGGAAGAGGGAGAGAAAUAAAUGCCAAGAACAAAUCCAUUUUCGAUUAAACGGCUAAAAAGAUGAACUUGACAAGCUAAUAACAUCCAAAACUCGCAUUAUCACUAUGGUCUCAAAGAGAAAGUACAAAAUACAUUCGUAAGGAUAGAAAAGCCAAGAUGACAAAGAAAGGAGCCGACCUUUUUUGUCGUGAACACAAUCACACGUCAACAGUAGGUGCAACAAUCAUCUUCAUCAUCAUCAUCCUGAUGAAGAAAAUGGCGGUUUCACUGCAUUCCACGAAGCUUCCUUUCUAUGUAAUAAGUGGGAUUAUGUCUUCUUCUUCUUUUCCCGUUUCAAAUAUGUUCUGAUUUUAGCAAAAUGUAAUCAAGAGAAGUUACCUCUCUUCUGCAUGUAGUUAUAAGAAAUCUGAACCAGACUGGAUCCCCUACACUAAGCUCCACAGAAGUCAUGGAAAGCAACCAAUGGGAACGUAGAAGUUUAGCUGAGAAAAGUUCCAAUGUUCACAAGAAUUCAAAACAUAAAUAAUCAUUUCCUGAGAGAGUUGAAGAGGCAAAGAUUUAAGUAUAUAUCUUCAAACAAUGCUCGUUUCUAACUCUCACUUGCUAAUACAUUCAAUAUAUAAGUAACAAAGACAACAAAUAGGAGUAAGCUCACAGUUUGGUCAGUAGAGUAUAAAAUCCAUGGUGUUGAUAAUUUGAUAUGAAGGCCUACCGUGAAAACUCGUUGCUGAGGGUUAGUUUCCAAUUGACCAAAAUAUCUCUACUCUACAUUCCUUCUGGCAACUCCACAACGGUAUAGGUUCAGUCUUUGCUUUCUGAAUCCAGAUAUCCUCAAAAACCGAGUAAAACCUCGAUAUCAUAGACUCAGCCUCGUGUGAAGCCAUAUGAUACACAGUAAAAAAUACAAAAACUCACAUAAGAGCUAAAUGAACCAAGCAAGUUCAGUGAAAUUUUGUGAGACAUCGUAUUUUUUCACUUCCGUAUCUCUAUUUCAACAUCCAAAUCGAAGUCCUCCUUGAGGAUAUCUUUCGGAGUCAUUCCAAAUCCAUCAGCAAUCUUUUCCAUUCUCUUCAGUCUCUUUACUUCUCGUUUUAUUUGGUCCACUCUGUUUGAUACGGCAUUUUGUCCCGUUGAUGGUGCUUGAUGUCUGAGUUCAGUUUGCUCCUUUUCAAGUUGCUGAAAGAGGUUAUGUAGAUAAUUUUUAUGUAAUAGAAGCUUUUCUUCUGCUAAAUUAUACUCGAACUCCUGUGAUCUUUUCAGUCCAUGCAAAACCUGAUCAAUUUCGUCUUCAAGUUUUAAGGACUCGAUCCAAUGAUCAAAAGGGGUGGACAUAGUCCAUUCUGAGCUUAUAAGGGAGUCUGAAGUUUCAUGAGAACUUUCUGUAGAAUCAGCAGUAUCAGGUGCAUCUGUGCAUAAAAUACAAAAUCAUUUCUUUCACAAAAUACAAAAUCAUCUCUUUUUCUUGUUUUGAGAGUAUACUUAUCAUUCUUUUAACGAGCAAGAGUAUGAAAAAUCGAUGGUCUAAAUGGCUGUUGAACAUACUAAAUAUUUGGCUGGUUAUACAACUAACCACUUAGAGACAUUGUUCCUAAGACAGAUUUGUUCGAGUAUGUAGAAUCAGACCCUAUAUUCAAAUGAUGAAAUCUUUCUCCAUAGUUAUCAAUGAUGGGACUUGACGAAAAAAUAAUUACCAGUGCAAUUAGCUGAGACCCUAAUGGAUGGUAUUACAAUUUCUCAUGCUUAUACGGUUGUGAGAACUUAUCCAUGCUAUUGGAUUUGAAGAAAAAUUACCAGUGCAAUUUGCUGAGCUAUCUUCCUCCAUCUUCCAAAUCUUUUCCAAGCAAGUCCCAGUUUUAAUCUGAAGCAAGCAUUCAAAGUCAAAUAGUAUGGAAAAGUCCCAGAGCAGCAUAGGAUAUUGCAAUAUUUAGUAUUUGUAGAAAAUACCAGUUUUACCUUCUCAAUGCUCAGUUCAAUGUGUCUUAACAACUCCUUUGCUCUCAUUUUGUGCGAACCACGCAAAAUACAUAAACCAAGGUUUAAGAUCUCCUCAACAUCAUCUUGGCAGUCAGCUGAUUGGCAUGACUGCAAAAAUCUUUCUACAUGUGAUACCAAAUCCGUUCUGGCAUCACAACGUCGACAAUAAUACUCAGCAUCCAGUCCAAUGCUUCCUCCAACUGUCCCAGCUGUAUACGAUUUAAGACCACAUUUUAUAUGAGAAAGAUGUCCACAAAUAUAUCCAUCACCCACCACUGCUUUACAUUUUAUGUAGCUAUAACUUUCCACGGUCGUGUCUAUAAUCUUGCAGCAAAGUAUACAGCAGCAAUCACGGCAAAAGCGAGAUUCACUGCAGCAAAUACCACAAGACAUGGAUUUGGAUGAAGAUGGAUUUUCAGAAACAGAUAAACUAUAACAGUUCUUAUUUCCAGCCUUGCAACCCACUUUAUCAUUCUGGGACGCAGAUGCGGAGCAUUCCUCUAUCUUUUUUGAGGGUAGAGAGCAUGGAAUGUGUUUUACCCGAGUACCUAAAUAAGAUCAACUGUAAAUUAAGGAUCUCUAAAAAUAGUAGAAUGAUUACUAUGAAAGCAAUAAAAAAGGUUACCCAAUCAAUAAAAAUACGAUGUGACCUAACAUGCACAUACACACAUGCUGACUUUAUAUUAAAUGAUAAAGAAAUUAUUAUAUACAGCGAUGCUUUUGACAACAUGACAGUAGAACUUCAGUGAGUCCCCUUUGAGGUCCAGCCACUUGGUUUCAUCUAAACUUCCAAAAUUUCAGAGUUCUAACCUGUAAACCUUGUUAGCCAUUGGCCCAACAAAAAUGAAAAGGCCAACGAAUAAGGCCUAAGUUCUGAUAAGCAACGAAGGGAAAGACAAUAAAAUCAGAGACAUGGGAACUAAACUGGAACGAAAAUACUAGGUGCUGAUCCUAUCCAAAGUAUUUAUCUUGUAUGUGGGAGUGUAUCAUGUAUAGACUACCUGUAACAAUAAACUUAAAUAUAAUGCAACAUAAAUUCAAUAUUACAUAAUCAUCAGAUACUUGUCAUUUAAGACAACCAAUUACAACAAUAGAAAUAUUUCACCUAAAAUAGGCAUUUCACUUCAACCAACAGAAGUCAUUUCAGAUACAAGAGGCUAGACGAGAAUGCUAUAACUGAGAUAAAUAAUAAAGUUAGUGAAGCUACAAGAGCUAAGGGCCUGUUUGGUACAGAAUCUUCAAACCAAAAUUUGAAAAUUAUGGAUUCAAUGAAAAUAUUUUCUGAUGUGUUUGGUGACAGAUUCAAAAAUUGGAUUAAGAUUUUAAAAAAUGUUUAAAUGUGUUUCAUACUAUAUAUUCAUAAAUCCUAAAUCUAGUCUUACUUAUCCACUAAGAUUAGUUGACAAUAAACUAUUAUUAAUUUAUUUAUGAAUAUAAUUUAGGGUUAAAAAUUGGUUAAAUUGCAAUUUUAGUCCCUAUUGUUGAGAGAAGGUUAAAGUUUAGCCUAGAUUCCGAUAAAACUCCAUAUAUAGUCCUUAUCAUUUGACAACCUUCAUAGAUAAUCCCUACAAACGAGACUAUUUUAUGUGAUUUUAGUAAAUUAAAAGGACUAAAUUCUAGUUAUAAACCAUAGAGACUAAAUUCUAUCCUUUUAAAACUACAUGGACCAAAUUUGUAAUGUAACCUAAAAAUUUAUAUAAUUAUUAUUUUGCAUUAUUAUAUAAUUUAUAAUACAUUACAUAGUACAUAUUAUAUUGAAAAAAUGAAUUGAGUUUAUAACCUUACAUAUUGUAUUUCUAAAUAUUUUUAUGUAUUUAAUAUCUUGUCAAAAUGUAAAAUUCAAAUUCUAGAUACAAUGAAAACAUAAAAAAGUUGUUUUCAGAAUUUACACUCUUUGGAUCACAAAAUCCGAAAACAGUUUUCAGAAACAGAAUUUGGAUUGUCCGUCAAGUGUAUAUCUGUUGAACUCAGUGAAUCUGAAAAUAUAAAACAUAAUCUGAAUUCACUGCCAAACAGACUCUCUGGUAUGAGAUGAGAAGAGACUGAUCGAAUAUAUUAAGCUAACCUUGGGCUGAAGAUGACUUUUUUGCUGGUAUCUUCCAACUGAAUGAAGCAAAAAAAGCCUCAACGUCUGCAUUAGGGAACUCAGACUGGAUAUAUCUUUCAACUGAAAGCUUGCUUGCAAAACUUUGCCCUUUACGAGCUGAGUUUUCGGACGCGCUAAUACCACGAGGAGAAUAAAGGUACCUAUCCAGAAAAUGGCCAGUUAUAGCAACUCUCUUCCCCACCCUCCAACUCCAGUUAUCACCAGGAUUGGGCCAAUUUUCAGGAGCAUAUGGCAAGCCCUCCCCAGAUUCAUCUUGAGAAACUGGUCUAAGAAUCAGCUCAUUUUUAUUCACCCCGGAUGAACAGCCAUUUGUAUCCUCAAGAACUUCUGUCUUCGCGGGAUUCCCCGACAUCUAAAAUGGUAGACAAACCAACGAACCUAUAAGCAUAGGCAAUACAUUUUCUCCCCCAAUGAACAUAAACAUAGGCAAUGCUAUUAACAUUCAUUAUUAGAAACUACCAACUGAUGAGGCAAAACCAAUCAGAUAGCUCCCAACUCUCAUGAUCAGGUUCCACGACAAACAGAAGGUAUUGGGAGGGGUGGAGAGAACAAAAAAAAAAACAAAGAAAGUUGUAGGAAUGUGAUACCUGAGAAUUGGAAGACGGUGUUCGACAGGUAGGAAUGAAAUUUAUAAAAAAAAAAAACUUACAAGAUCUGUUUAUAUUUUUACAAAACGAUUUAACUCAUAUAGUUAUCAUAAAUUUAAUAGAUUAGUUCACACUUCACAAUUAUUAAUUUUUUUAUAAAAAAAAUGAAUUCUUGAAACUAAAAUAAAUAGAUAAACUAAACGUAUCUAACUUGAAAUUAAUUAUUUAUAAUCCCAUUUAUUGGUUCCGAGUUAGAAUACCCAAGCAAUGCUCAUUAGUAACUAGCAGGUGCUACCGAUUUCCAAUAAUGACCAAGAAACAUAAGAAAUGAGAAAUCCUAAAUAGUCUUUCCACCCCUAGUUCUCCAAAAAAGGGAUUUGCUAAGUAACAAAUAUCGACCAUAUCAAAAACCUCACCUCGAAGAAUUCAACAAGGCAUCCAGAGAACUUUAGGGUUUGGUCUGUCCAGUAGUGUGGUGUGAUAAUCUGCAAAAAAGCGGAGUUAGGAAAUGAACAACAGAAAUGGGUGAAGCGGGAAGUGAAUCAUGAUUGAAAUGUAAGAGAAUCGUAAGGAAACAGUACUUACAUUGUAGAGAAAUAUUAAAUAAAUGAGAAAAUAGAGAGAUUAAGGAGAUUAAAUUUUUCGCGGGAAUGAGAAAAAUGAAGAAGAAGGAAGAAGAAGGAAGAAGAAUAAGAAGAACAAACGAACGAACACCGAAGCAUUGUAAAUUGAGUAAAAAGGUUCCACGCCGCACAACCGAAAGCCUUUGAUGGACCGCCGAGGGACUGGACCGAAAGGCCCAAUACCGAUAGGUCCAACCGAUCAACGGUUCUUUUUGUUUCUUAUCUUUUAAAAUAUUUCUCUUCGUUAAAAUACUAUUGUAUAAUGGUUUGAAUUUUAAUUUUUAUAUUAUCAAUUACUAAUUUUAGUUAUUGUAAUUCUAAUUUCAAAGUAAAUCUUAAAUUUAUUUCUUCAAGUUGUUUUUUUUUUCUGAAAUUGAUUAAAUAAUAAUAAUUAAGGCUUUUGAGUUUUUAAAUUAUACCUUACGAAAAACUUGAACCUACCUUAUUAAGUAAACAAGUAAUUAAUAAUUAAUUAUGUUAACUAUAAUUAUUGAAAUUGAAUAAAGGAGCUUAUGUUAAAUAUAUCAUUUCAACAAAUUAACAACAUUUGUAGCUUGAUUUGUAUGUUUGAAUGUACAUAUUCGAAUCUCAUCUUGAAUACAAAUCGGACCACUACUAGAGUUGAUCUACUAUUCUUCCGAUUUAGAUUCGAAUUGUGGACUCAAUGAAUAAAAUAUUUAUGAGUUGAUAAUUGAAGUAGUGUCAAAGAUUUGAUGAAUUAUUUGGUGAUUGAUAUUUUUAAAGAAAAAUCACACGAGUCAAAAGUUUUUACACAUUUUAAAAUGCACCCUUUAAAUAGACUAAACACAUGUAACUAAUGCAUGUCAACUCACCAAAGUUCAAUACCUCACGUUCCAUUAACUCUUGGUGGGUUUGGUGUCAUCAUCAUGAGCUUCCAUUUAGUAGUGGAAUAAUUAUGCAACAAUGCAUUGUCUCUUGGUGGGCUAAAUGUCAUCAUCAUGAGUCUCCAUAUCGCCGACUAAGAGUUAAUGAUAUUAUCCAACGACAUGUUAGAUUUUUCCACUAACUUUAGUUAGAGGAUAAAAAUUACUAUUUCACCAUUCAAGUUAAAAUCAAAAUAUUAACCAAAAGUCGAAAUUUUGACUUUUUUACCAUUUUUUCCUCAUUGACCAGUUUCACCAUUUCGAGUAUGAAUCUGCAUUUAUUUUUCCAAAAUUUCACUAAUAAUUUCUUAACAACAAUUUUAUUGAAUAGUAUAUGAUUUGAAGCUACUGUAUAUAAGUUUUAUAACAUCAAUCCUAACAUAUAUCAAGUUAAUAGGUAAUCAAUUUAAAGUUUAUUUAAACGAUAAAAAAUAUAAAUUAUCAAAUCAAGUUUAAUUUAAUAAUAAUUCACAUCACCUUCUACUUAUUAAAUGAAAAAUAAAACUAAUUACUUAAUCUUAUGUAGUAUAUUAAACUUUUUUUAAAAAAUAACAUAACGUGAAAUUCACAUUUACAAAUACACCGAUAUUCAUACUUAACAUUGGAGGUCGAUGUAACCGGUAAUAAACUAGGUAAAUUAAUUCUUACAAACCAAAAAAUCCAAAAAGCAAUACAUCAAAGUUUGAGGGUAUGAUUUAACAAAGAUUCUACAAUUUUUUUUUCUAACGACUUCCCACCAAAUUUUCUUCGUAUAUCAUCAUCAAUUGUUCUGCUACCUGCUUGAAUUUUCAUAAAGAAAAAAUAAAAUCAAAAUUUUAUGUUGAAGUCAUUGUAAUCUCGAUGUUGUGUAAUGAAUUUUUACCUGUUCGAUGCUGCCAUCUUCAAUCUCGGUGUUGAAGGAGAGCAAUAGAGUUUCAUGGAGCAGAUUUUCUAGAUCUUCCACGUAUAAAGGAGCUGCAUUAAUGGAAGCAAAAACGCACGCAUCAAAAAAUUAUUGAAGAAGGUUAUUUUAAUGGCGGAUGUUGAUUUACAGAAGAGGGAUAAUAACGUUUGGAAUGAGAGAACCAAGAGAAGACAUCAGAGACGAGAUUCAGUGAUUUUUGGUGAGAGUCGCGACCUCCCCAUUGAUUUUCAAUGGCCAUUUGAAGGCCGUCCCACCGUGAAAACACUGAUGAAAUAGCCAUUUGGAGGUUGGAGACAGAUCCCGCCUUGUAAUUGGUUGAGGUUAAUCCAUCAAUUGGCUCCAUGGAUGAACCUCAGAAUUUCGUCUUCGUUUUUGCUCUCCCUCUUCCUAAACCUCGAAAUCUUCUUUUUCCUUUGUCUCUCCUAACUGAGUUAUCAGAGAAUGAGAGAGAGAGGGCGGUUGGAUUCAGUAAUUAAUGGCAGAAUUGGGCGGAGAGAAAAUCGGAGAUGUGUUUUGAGAGAGAGGCGGAGAGACAUUCGGGCUUUUUUUUUUAAUAUAUAUAUAUAUUCAAAUGAUAGAGCUCGAUUCCAUGGCUUCUCGAAUUCCCGCCAAAUUCAACUGAAUCGAAGUAACUUCAUAGAAGAAGAUUCUUUGUUUCUUCUUCAUUCUGAUCUAACAGAUAAUGAUCUUUGCGAUUUUCAACCAUGCCGUUUCUCUCGCAAAACUCGCUCGCUUCAGUGGUCGAAUUGGCCGUAUCGGUUCGCUCUUCUCUUCUUGGCCGAGCCGCCCACGCCCAAAUUCUCAAAACCCUAAAAACCCCCUUUCCAGCCUUCCUCUACAACCACCUGGUGAACAUGUACGCUAAACUUGACCAUCUUAACUCGGCCAAACUCAUCCUUGAACUCGCCCCUUGCCGCUCCGUUGUUACUUGGACUGCCCUCAUUGCCGGUUCAGUCCAAAACGGCUGUUUUGUUUCCGCUCUGCUUCACUUCUCCGACAUGCUAAGUGACUGUGUUCGACCCAAUGACUUCACUUUCCCUUGCGUUCUCAAAGCCUCCACUGGCCUUCGCAUGGAUACGACAGGCAAACAACUACAUGCGCUUGCGGUUAAGGAGGGAUUAAUAAACGAUGUCUUCGUCGGGUGCAGUGUCUUCGACAUGUACAGCAAAUUGGGGUUUCUUAAUGACGCAUACAAGGUUUUUGAUGAAAUGCCUCAUAGAAACCUCGAGACGUGGAAUGCGUAUAUAUCUAAUUCUGUGCUCCAUGGGCGACCUGAAGACUCUGUUAUUGCAUUUAUUGAGCUACUUCGAGUUGGUGGGAAGCCAGAUUCCAUAACAUUUUGUGCUUUUUUGAAUGCGUGUUCAGACAAACUAGGCCUGGGGCCUGGGUGUCAGCUUCAUGGGUUCAUUAUUCGAAGUGGGUAUGGGCAGAACGUCUCUGUUUCAAAUGGGUUGAUUGAUUUUUAUGGGAAAUGUGGGGAGGUUGAAUGUUCUGAGAUGGUUUUUGAUAGAAUGGGAGAGCGGAACAGCGUAUCUUGGUCCUCUUUGAUAGCUGCUUACGUUCAAAACAACGAGGAAGAGAAGGCUUCCUGCUUAUUCUUGCGAGCAAGGAAAGAGGAUAUCGAACCAACUGAUUUUAUGGUAUCAAGUGUGCUUUGUGCCUGUGCUGGUCUUUCAGAAAUCGAGUUUGGAAGGUCAGUUCAAGCACUAGCCGUCAAGGCUUGUGUAGAGCAGAACAUCUUUGUUGCAAGUGCACUGGUUGACAUGUAUGGAAAAUGUGGAAGUAUUGAUAACGCUGAGCAGGCCUUCAACGCGAUGCCAGAGAGAAACUUGGUGUCUUGGAAUGCAUUGUUGGGCGGAUAUGCGCACCAAGGUCAUGCAAACAAGGCUGUGGCAUUGCUCGAGGAGAUGACAUCGGCGGCAGGCAUUGUGCCAAGCUAUGUUAGUUUGAUCUGUGCAUUAUCAGCUUGCAGUAGAGCAGGAGAUUUGAAGACGGGGAUGAAGAUUUUUGAGUCCAUGAAAGAAAGGUACGGUGUGGAACCAGGGCCAGAGCAUUAUGCUUGCUUGGUAGAUUUGCUUGGACGUGCUGGAAUGGUGGAAUGUGCUUAUGAUUUUAUAAAGAGGAUGCCAUUUCCUCCUACAAUCUCAAUCUGGGGUGCUCUGUUGGGGGCUUGCCGAAUGCAUGGGAAGCCAGAGUUGGGGAAGUUGGCCGCUGAGAAGCUGUUUGAACUUGAUCCAAAAGACUCUGGAAAUCACGUUGUGCUGUCUAAUAUGUUUGCUGCAACCGGAAGGUAACCCAAUUUCAAAUUUCACUACACUCUUAUAUUCAUCUACAUUCUAAAGUUAGCUCAUUACUCGUAAUAUCUUUUAUCAAUAUCAAUUAGAAAAGAAUGACUUUAUAACAAUUUAAAUUGAUAGAUCAUUGUUUACUUUAACAUUUUAUUCGUAUUCUACUGCUAUUCGUUCAGUGAGUUAGAAUUCAACUUAAAAUCCGGUAGGUUACUACUGUAUUAUUAGAUUUCCUACAUUGAAGUUUAAAGACAAACUUCUUUAAUACUAAAUAAAAUCACCACUAAAUCUUGAACUACUGAAUUGUGAUAUACUUAAUCUUUAACAUUCUUCAAGACUUUGAUUUCUCAAAUUCUACGGUAAAUUGAUUGGGAGGUGAAUUCAGAUGGGAAGAAGUGACUGUCGUACGAAAUGAGAUGAAAGAGGUAGGGAUCAAAAAAGGAGCUGGGUUCAGUUGGAUAACAGUAGACAGUAGAAUUCAUAUGUUUCAAGCGAAAGACAAGAGCCAUGAGAAGGACCCUGAAAUUCAGGACAUCCUGGGAAAGCUGAGAAAGGAGAUGCAGGAUGCUGCUGGUUGCAUUGCAGACCCCAAUUAUGCCCUUUUCGAAGUGUCGAAUUAACCAGAUAUGGCUGCCACCACAAGAGCAAUGCUCUUGCCGUCAAUUCUGCAGGUAUUAAACUCAUCUCUAGUGAGCAAUCAAGAAUUAACGUUAUUAUUUGUUUUUUUCGAGAUUAUUUGAACAGUUACUACUUCCCCCCUCCGUAUAUUCUCAAAUUAUCUCAUUGUAAACUGUAAUUGUUAAAAUUCUAAACUUCCAAUCCUCUCUACCUGAUUAUUUUCCAAGUUUCUUAAUUUUUUUCCCUCUUUUGUCGUUUCUUAUGCAGUUGAAUAAUUAACUAUUAGGUAGCCGAAUUAUCCAAACUAGAUUGACAAACAAAGUUUAAAGUAAUAUCAUCUCGUAAAUUCGUUGCAGGGAAUAAACACAUCCAACCCAAAAGCUUAUAAGUUUGACAAAAUUUCCAAAUCAUUCUCUUAGAUAUGAUAAUACUUUCCUCCAGUACCUAUAAAUUUUCAGAAACUGCCAUCUGUAAUCAAACUCAGCCAAGUGUCAAGCAAUGGGAACUCCAUUCUCCUCAGUGGAUUUCUCAAGCUUUCCCCACUAACCAUCUGUACAUUAAAUCGUCAAAUCACCCUCCUUCUUCUCUACAUUCAACACUUGUCCCAACACAACUAAAUCCUACACCCACCUCUUCCACUCACCAAUCUCUUCAAAUAACGAAUAGCAAAAUUUUGCCCCAUCGCAGAAAGAAACCUCAUUUGGUUUUUGAUCUUGUGUUAAAUCAUGAGUCAAGAACAACCACGCAGGGACGAACAACUGCAGCAGUCUCGCCGGAACGACGAUGAGCAGCUUGAAACCAUCAAAUACGGUGACAUUUUCAACGUCUCGGGCGACCUAGCCGCGAACCCCAUCGCACCUGAGGAUGCUCGAAUGAUGGCCAGUGCUGAAACGAGGGUGUUGGGGCAAAUGCAUGAAACUGGUCCGGCCGAUGUCAUGCGAGCCGCCGCCGCUCGCAAUGUUCGAGUUGGACUUCUUAGUAGCCGUGAUAUUAGCGAUGUUGCUAAAAGUCAAGGCAUUAACAUCAGCGAGACCGAUGUUCCGGGAGCCCGCGUCGUCACUGAAUGCGUUGCCGGGCAGGUCCCCCCAUCUUGAUCUCUCCCAUCGUUUCAUCUGUUUUUUUCCUCUCUGUAUUAUUCCUUGAAAUUUUUCUGGUCGUAUUUUUUAUCAUUUAAAUUUGAUUUUUCUAGUGGGUAACAUUUUUUCCCUAUAGAUUUUCACUGGUACGAAAUAACUUGAAAAAAUGCAUUUUUCUUUUUAGGAUGAAAAGGGGUCUAAUUCUUAGUGUCAGAAAUUUCUGUAUUUUGUUUUCUUCUAAAUUUACUUUAAUUGAGUAUUUUAUUGCGUGAGCUUGUUAACGAAUUUUAACUUUCAUUUAGGUGUGAGGACUAAAUUGAAAGCCAAAGGGAUUAAUCGUUAGAAACACGGAAUUUAAUCAAUUUUUUUAAUAGCUACAUACUCCUAAAAUUGGUCAGAAAAUGUAGUUUCAUCUUAACUUGAAGAAGGAACAUGCUUAGGAUUAGGAUGUCCGCCCCAUUCUUUUGCCGUCGGCUUUCUUCUUUUUUCUUUAAGUCUUUAUUAAAUAUUUGAGUUUAUUCUUUUGUACAUCAACAAAAAGAUGGGUGAUGUCUAUGAGGCGUCAUAUAUUCAAUGUUUCAUUUAUUUAACUCUCCAGGUUGUUGGACAGUAUUUGGACACGACAAUGACGAGUGGGGUAGAGAUGCCGGAGCAGGAUGUAAUCACGAUCGGACAAGCCUUGGAAGCGGCAUGUCAAAUGAUAGGAAACAAGCCGGUGGAGCAGAGUGAUGCUGCAGCAAUUCAAGCCGCAGAGGUCUGUGCAACCGGCAACAACGCCAUAAACCCAGGUGGGCUUGGCGCCACUGCCCAAGCGGCAGCAAUUUUCAAUGCUAGAAUGGAUCGAGAUGAGGACAAGAUCAAGCUCAACUAUGUCCUUACGGUAUUAGAACUACAUAUCUAAACUGUGCCCUAUGACAUUCUAUUCUAUACUUAAUGAAAUUCACAAGGGAGAAGAGACUUCACAUUUCUUUUUCUUCUUAAUUAAAUAAGUCGUUGCUGAUUGGUUUUGGGAUUUGAGUCAUCUUUAUCUGAUAAGAACUAUUUUAUUAGUUUUUUACUACAAGAAUAUAGCUUUUUUUACCACAAGAAUAGUGGAGAAUUGAACUCCUUGAAGCCAUGCUAAUACCACUUCGCUUGAUUUGGCUGAAUUACAUUUAGCAGCUAGAAUUGCCAGCUGCUAACAAACUCUCACUUUUUCUUGACUGACUACUAUACAAAACUUUUAGUCUAACGUAUUUCAGUUUCUCUAGUUGAGCAGUAGCAGAUAUCACUAGAUUUUUACCAAUGUAUAGCUUAGACAUUUUCUUUACAAAAGCAAAUCCAAUUACACUUCUACAGUUACAACUUAUCACCCUUUUCAAUCUGAACAGGAGGCAACUGAAAAACUGGCGACAGACAAGGCAGUGAGCCGUCAGGAUGUGGAGGGGGUUGUGAGCGCAGAGCUGAGGAACAAUCCAAGCAUGACAACGCACCCAGGUGGGGUAGCAGCUUCGAUCACUGCCGCUGCACGACUGAACGAGGGCAAUGCAGAGGGGGUGGUGAGCGCAGAUCUGAGGAACAAUCCAAGCCUGACAACACACCCAGAUGGGUUGGCAGCCUCCAUCAUCGCCACCGCGGAUCUGAAUGAGGAUGGUUCAGGUAUAUGAAAAAGUAACAGCAGCUUUAACCGAGAGUUUUGGGUGAGUGUUUAGGUAUAUGAAAAAGUAAACAGCAACUUAAGUGAGAGUUGUGAGUAAGUGUUUUGGAAAUGAAGUGUGUUGGUGUGAUCAGGAUUUUAGUUUCUGAUGAAUACCGUUAUUUGUGCCUUUGAAAACAAAACUCUGCUCCAGAAGAAAGCGGUUAUUAUUUUUACUUUCUUUUUCUUUCGUUAGUUUUUUGAAAUUGAGAGGUAAAUAAGAAGAGGAGGGGGAAAACCAGCUGUUGAUUUCAGAAUGUGUUGACUGUUCACUGUGUAGUCAGGUUUUUUUGUUUUUAUUUCAAAAGGAUUGAGAAAGUGUUCAUGGAUAUGGAUUGGUCUCUCUCUGCAGGUUCUAUUUCAAAUUUGUUUAAUUGUUCUUGUUUUCUUUUCAUUUUUUAGAAUUGGUUAACUUUUUUUUACAAAGGGAAAAAGUUUAGUUUGAAAGUGUGAACUCCUUAUUAUUACAAUUUUUACCACCCAUCUUAUAGAAACAUUUUGAUUUUUUUUUUCGUUAGAUUUAAGAUACAUUUGAAUUUUUUUUCUUAGAUUUAAGAUAAGAACUUCUCAAGUAAUUCUUUACUUUCCAUUUUCUCCUUAGAUUUGACCCAUCUUUUAUUUUUCUUAAAAUAAAUAGAUUUAUCUGAAAAGGAGCUAUUUUUUUAAAUAAAAAUUUGAAUAUGAAAGAGGAAACAGAUGGUUGGCUUUCACCUCCGAGAAAGAAGAUCUUAAAUUUGGUAAUAGUUUCAAGUAUUUUCAAAUACAAUUGUUUCCUGUAAAUUUGGUAAUAUUUUCAAGUAUUUUCAAAAUACAAUUGUUUCCUUCUACAGAAGUGUUAGGUUAUUGGAUAAAUAUUUGUUUUUCUUAAAAUAAGAGAAUGUAUUAAAUAUGAGUCAAACAAAUAUUGAAGUCAUUAUUUUUUAUAAAGUGAUAAAAUAUUGGUGGAAGUAUCUCCAAAAAGAAGAAAAACACAAAUGUAUUUAAAAAAGUUAUGGAGAUGUCCAUUACCAUAUUACAUUAGUAACGGUUUUGUCUUCAUAUGUUUUUGAGGUUUUUACAUUUACUUCACCAACGGACACCAAUUUCUAUUUAUAAACUGAUUUUCAGAAGAAAGAAAAAAUUACGAUAACAAUAAAAGAUUCAAAUUACAAACCUACAGAAGGAAGAAGAAAAAACAUGAUGACUAAAAACCAAGUACCAUUUGCUGGAGAUCAAGUGUAUGUUACUUUUAAUCUAUGAAAGUCAUCUUUUAUGAUAACUUUUAAUCUCUCUUCUUGAUUACUUGUUCUUUAAUACUCGUUCGAUUCUUUGAUAAUUUUGAUUUCUUUUUAGCUUUCUAUAUAAACACUUAAAAUUUGUUGAUUUAUCUCAUAUGUUGUGUCGAGACUUUGAACUUUGGUCAACUAGGAAUACAUUGAUCUUGGUACUAAUAUUGAAUAUGUAACAAAUUUGGCAAAGAGUAAUACAAGUAACUAAUUCUUCUUUUGGAAUGUAGUUGGAUUCUUUCUCAACUCCACUAAUUAGGUUAUUUAUAAAAGCCUUGACCAUUUGAAACGUAAUAAUUCAAUUUUUUAUAAAAAGGAAAAAAGUUUGAAUAUAACAAAAAAUUUAAUUUGGUCAACGUUGUUUAUCUUUCAAUACUUCAGAAUUAAAAUAUAUACUUUCUUUCAAAUCUUACCCGUGAUUAAAUCAAGCUUAGCUUAGAUUGUUCUCGAGAGGCAAGUAGUCUUGAAUUCUCUGUACUUAAAUUGAUAUGCAUACAAAUUUUGGCAACCUAUACAAAAAAAGAUUACUAAAGAAUUUGGACAAUAUAUUUAAUAUGAUAAUAGUCUUCUAACAAAAUAAAAGAGAUAUGAAUUUAGAUUUGUAGUAUUAACGCAAACUCUAUCGUCAUUUGUAAAUUCAAGACUCUUCCAAUUGUUUGUGACAUAAGAUUAAUAAAUAAUGUAACCUAAAGUUUUAAAGAGUAUGAAAUAGUAGAUUAUAUAUAUAUAUAUAUAUAUAUAUAUAUAUAUGUAUAAAAAGAGAUAUUACAUAUGCCAACAUUUAUUUCUACUUCUGCAUGUGUUUCCUUAAGUCUUCCAAAACUUUGAUACAUUUGAUCAUUUAAUUUAACUUUCUUUGCAUUUUUAAUUUUCUCACUUUUUGGUUUGGUUUUGGUGACCUUUUUUUGAGGCCCCCACUCUCUCUUUUUAAAGAACCUUAUAAUAAUCUCUCUCUCUCUCUCUCUCUCAAAACAAUUCCCAUUCUCCACUCUCCACUCUCUCUCUCUCAACAAAAAAAAUGUCAUCUUUGAAGAAAAGAAAUUUCCACCUCUGGUUCUCAAAGCUCCGCUGCUUUCCGGCCACCGUCAAACCCUCAUCGCCGCCGCAAACGCCCAACAAGAAACCAUUUUCCAUUACCCACUUGGAAAACUCCGACUAUUCUUCUACCUCCACCGCUGCUGACGACGGUUUCUUCUCCGACGACUCCUCUUCUGAUUCCGACGCCAUCGUCCCUGACUUCUCCGCUGCCGUCGCUUCCCACCGGUUCUUCUUCUCCUCUCCUGGCUGCUCCAACUCUAUUUUUGACUCCUCUCCCGACACGCACCACAGCACCGCCGUUUCCGCCGCCGUACACGGCGGCGUCGAAGUUAGGAAGGUUUCAAUGGACCCAUUUGUGGAUUUUAGAGCGUCAAUGCAGGAGAUGGUCGAAGCGAGAGAUCGGCCAGUGGACGUCCGGCGAGAUUGGGAGUAUCUGCAGGAGCUUCUUCUUUGUUAUCUUCAAAUCAACCCCGUUGAUACUCAUAAGUUUAUAUUAAGAGCUUUCUCCGACCUCGUUGUUUAUUUGCUGGAAUCCUCGCCGGAGUCAUUCUCCGACCGCCGUAUUCGGCCGCACAAUAUCAACUCAAACAGCUGGUAAUUGGUGCAAUGACAACAAUAUAUCAUAUCAAUAUUUCAACGAUAUAUCUUUCCUACCCUUCACCAAUUAUCUCUCCUCCCAACCUUCCGAUGUUCGUAUUGUUUAUCCAAGAGUUCAUGAUCGGCGUGUGGCCGGUAAGUAUUUUCUCUCGCUUCUAAUGCCUUGAACUUGUUGUCCGUAGUUUCGAACAAUAAGUAUGGAGCCUCCAUUUAUACCUAUACUCAGAGAAUAUGUACUAUAUAAACAUUCUUAACUCUAUUAAAGCAACUUUUCCCAAUGAACCACUCUUUUAAUGAGAAUGUAAUUAAGGCAUUGUUAGUAAAAGCUUUUCACUUUCACGAUAUUUGAUAAACAUGGUUUUUUAUCUCAAGAUCAAUUAGCAUCAUAGGUAAUUAACCAUACAGCUUUAAAAACUUGCUAUGUUUUCCAUCUUUUUCAACGUUGAUCCUCAAUAUGUUCUUCAAAAUAGUGUCUUUUAUCUCAAGGAUCGAUGUUUUGUUCAAAAGGCCAGAAAACAAACAAAUAAAUUAUAUAUCUCAUAAGGACCAAAAUUAAAAGCAUAGGAAAAUGAUAUCAUAAUGAUAUAGCUAGUAGGUUAUAAUUGUAUUUUCUUUUAUAUAUAUUCUACUUGAUAGAAAAUGAUUUUUUUUUUUUGUUCAUAUUUUUUUGCAGGGGGAGAAAAAGGCAUAUAGUAGUUGGUGAAAAAGGGGGUUGGAAUGUUUGUUGUAAGAAAGACAAAAACAAAAUUGUGGGUUAUUUCGAUGAUCAUCAAACACACACACACACACUCACUCACAAAAAUCAAAAGAAUCAAAGCCAAAGCGUGGUGUAUGUGCAAAAAAAGAGACAGAGAAUAUAAUAUAUAUAUAUAUAUUGUGUGUUUGUUUACUGUUUGGUUGGUGGAAGAGAAAAUGAGGGAAAGUAAAAGAAAAAAGAAAAAGAAAAAGAAAGUUUUUCUUGGGUACAUAAUUGCUGACAAAAGAAGGCAGAAGAAAGAGGGUUGGUUUUAUUGUCCUUCGAGAGGGAAAAAAGAAGAAGAAGAAGAAGAAGAGUUGAGGAGUGGUCCUAUAAGGUUGUAUGUUUGGUGAUGACAUUAAUGUUUGUAAUUUAAUGUGUUUUGCAGUCUGUAUCAUCAAACAAGCCUAACUGCUCAUAACACACACAACCUUUAUUUCUUCUUUUAUUUUGCAUUUGGGUCUGUGGAGAGGAAAAUGGGUGAAGAUAUCAAACCAUUUUUGCAUAACCAAAAGAGGCAUUUUUGAAUCUUGUAUGUAUAUUAUGCUUUGUGCAUUUGUUAUCUUCUUCUUUUUGGACAAAUUGGAGAAAUCGGUACUAAAAUAUGGUUACAGUUGUAAUGAUACCAUAAAAUACUUCAAGAAUAUAUUUUUACAAUUUGUUGUUUUGUUUAUUCUACAUGUAAGAGGGAGUUUGGCUUGAAGAUUUUGAUUUAGUUGCAAUUGAUUUGUGUGAUGUUAUUUUGAAGUUAAAUGAUAUGACCCACCUGUCUUGUUACUUAAUGUGGAUCGGUUUAUUUAAUGGAUAUUGGUUCAAAUGUUUUUUUUUUUUUUUUUUGUUUCUCUGGACAAGUGGGUUGGGGGAUUUAACUCAAAAUAGCAAAGUAUAUUCAUAGUGAUGGAUAGAUAGAUGCAUCUUCUUUAUGUUUAUUACGAAAUUAUUCCCUAUUUUCAUAGUCUCAAUUGUUAUUAUUUUUUUUUCUUUUCGACUUGAUAUUUGAUGUAAUAAAAAUUCAAGAAACAAUUAUGAUAAAAUAAUAAGAGUCUAACUUAUUUCCACAUGAAAAAAAAUAAAAUUAAUCUACUAAGGGAAGUUGGUUAUAUAAUUCAUAAGAAUAAUUCACAAGUGCUAUUUUUGUUAUUAGAAAAGGAUGAAGAAAAACAGUCCCAAUUUCCCAUAGUUAUGGGCAAUUGGGAUGGGAAUCCAAAAAAGUAAAAAAGAAGAAGCCUACGCCAUGAAAUAAUAUUCAUUAAAUCCACCAUUUUUUUAUACUAAAAGCAAUUUUCCUACUAGCACAUGAGUGGACUCCACACUACUUUUAAAAAAGCAUGUUGAUACAACAAUUAACGAAUAGAGGUACUAUAAAUUUUUCUUCUAUAUAUGCAUGCACAUAAUUAAACUAAAAAUUUUCACUUUCAUAGUUCUAUUUUUUCCAAAGGCAGCAUAACAAUCUUUCUCCUAUGCACGCAUAAAAUUAAGGCUUCAACAUCGAUAUCUAUUUAUCUAGAUCAUGAAAAGGUAAAUAAAGUAAAAGAACAGAAAAUAAAAAGAGUUUUUGUUACCAACUGUGGCUAGAAGUUUAUAGCAUCUCAAUUUGGACAAAUAGGAAUUGGUAAAGAACAAGGUGUUUUUGCACAUACACUGCCUUUAAUAAUUUCUAAUUUUCUAUAUUUCCAAAGGAGAUUCUAUCUCCUUUUUAGUAUACCAAAGUCCACUUUAAUGCUUUUCAUUUCACAAAGUUCAAAAGUAUAAAUCAUUUUCCAAUGGAAAAAAAAGGUCUGGCUAUAUAUUAUUUCUAGAAGCUAGAAAGUUAUUAAUUAUACCCUCAAUUUAUUUAUAUUGUAUCCAAUUAGUUAGUAGGUUUGCUUUUAAAAAGAAACAUAUCAUACAGUAUAAAACUAAGUAGAAUUUUAGGAUGAACAAGACUUUAAUCAUAACAUAAAUAAAAUUAAUAUGGGCUGUAAAUAAAAAAUACUCAUUCAAUAUAAAACUAUUUACAAAAUAUAACGAAAUUUAUAUUAUAUCAAAGAUACAAUGAUAGACUUUUGUCAAUGUCUAUCUGUAAUAUAUUUGGUAUAUUUUAUAAAAACUUUAAUUUAUUUUAUUAUAUUUAAAAUAUCUUAUUUUAAAAUACAUGUGGACAAAAGACUUAAUAGGUAUAUAAUUUCAAGGUCAAAAUUUUCCUUGUCUUGUCUUUAUGAACAUUUUUUCUAAGACAAAUCAUAAAAACCAUUUAAAUAGUAUGAUGAUAGUUGUAAUUACACUCUCAAACUUUCAAUUGUAAAUAUUAAGUCUUUAAACUUAUAUAGACGUGUUAAAACUAAACCAUUAUACAAAUUGUAACAAUUGUAUAAGUGCGAGAGUUACAACUUUUGAAUGUAUAAUUUUCACAACUACUAACAGUUGUAUAAGUUUUCACAACUACUAACAAUUGUAUAAGUGUGAGAGUUACAAUUUUUGAAUGUAUAAUUUUUACUACUAUUAUAAGUUUGAUGGUGCAAUUAAGAUUUAAUUUUUUAUUAAAAGUUUGAGAAUGUAAUAAAUGGGAAGCCAUUUUUACAAUUGACCUCUUCUUUUGAAAUAAGGGUCAUCAAAAUUGUGUCAAAGCCAUCCACACACUACAUACUUAGAGCUUUGAUAAACCCAAGAGAUAAUGGGAGAGAGAGGAAUUUAAAGGAGUUUUGUUUUGAUAUGAAGUAAAAAGUGUACAAGGGGAAAGUGGAUCCAAAGAGAGAUUCCAAGAGGGCAUCUAAAAAGAAAGACAUUCUUUUAGUAUUUUGAUGCAUAUAUUUUUUGUAUUAAGUAUGAUCCCCAAGAUACCUUGGUCUACACAUUUGGUCUUGUUUUAACUAUACCAUUUUCAUUUUCUCUCUCAAUUAUUUAAGGUUUUAUUUGGAGUAUGUGUUGGAAUUAUUCUCAUGUAAUCACCAUAUUUUACUCUAUGUUGUUGGGAUUUAUAUAUGCACAUUUAUAUUAUUUUAUUUUCAUCACCACUGCCAAUUUUGGUGGCUCAAUACUUCACUCUCUCAACUUCAUUCAUCUCAAGAUAGAGUAAGCUUUGCCAAUUUGGCAAAUAGCUAGGGAGAUAAUAGAGGUGUGUGUAUACACACACACAUAAUACAGUUAAAUAAUAGUUGAAGAUAAUAUAAUUUUAUCAUACAUAAAAAUUUAAUAACCGUUUAUGAUCUCAAUUAGUCUAAUUUCAAAAUUUCCCAUUAUUUCUCUAUGGAAAAAAAAAAAGUAAUUUCUGAUCCUAAAUCCUAAACUUUCGAAAUUGUAUCAUUAAUUUCCCAUUUUAGAUAUUUUGUUAAUGGUCCUAAUAUUUUUCAACUUUGUAUUUAAUGUUGAUUUCAAUUUGAAUUUGUUAAACCUAUAAGUUGUCCAUCUGUUUCCCCACUUGAAAAAAGUGAAUCUAGACUCCAAAUGAUGGAGGCAAAGCUGAGGAAACACAAACAUAGAUUACAUACUAAACCUAAAACUAUUUUAAUAAUAAUAAUAAUAAAACAAAAUUGUCCUGGGGAGCAUAGUGAAUAACCUUACCCCAUAUUCUAAUGGGCUAGCCCCAAGUAUAAAUGUUUGGGCUUUUCCACAUUAGGCCCACACAGAAUCCAAGGAUCGUGAAAGAUAAUGUGGGCCACAAACAAAGCCCCAGCUAUCCCAAGCUCUGACUACUGUCAAGUUCAACCGAUUUAUCCAAUCUGAUUCUCCACCGCUCACCGACAGGGAAAAUGGCCGUUCCGAUUUCCCUGAAAUUUCCGACGGUUCCAUCCACUUUAACCAACAGAACCGCCUCCUUGUUCGUACCACUACGGCGGAGCUCCCCUCAUCAUUCUCAUCCUCACUCACAACAUACGAUCAGAUUCCCAACGAUUAGAUCCAACAGAAACGUUAAGUUCUCCGCCGUCAAUGCUGUGCAGGAAAGCCAAGAGAAUACAGAAUCCGACGGUGUGGAGGUUCAAGCAGGGCCACCAACGGAGGAGCCGAAAACGGCCGACCAAUCAGCAGAAUCCGGCGCGAAUUUGGGCGCCGAAAUUCAGGAGGCUUUGAAGCAGCAAAAGGUGGAGAAAGAAGGGGACCUGAUCGGCGGAGUGGCGGAGGAGAUUAAAGAGAUUGAAUGGCCAGCGUUUCGAAAGGUUUUGGGCACGACGGGGGUAGUGAUCGGCGUUAUUGCUGGCUCUAGUGUCGUUCUGCUCACUGUGAAUGCCUUAUUGGCAGAGCUGUCCGAUCGAGUUUUCGCCGGAAAAGGAGUUCAAGAUUUCUUUAGUUGAAAGUUCGAUUUUUUUUCUUGAGAUGUAAACUUUGUAACUGAAAUCCAAUGGCUUCUACGGAAGAAACUGGAUUGUAAUUUGUGUUAAGAAGGAAGAAUCCAUUGCAGCAUAAUCAAACUACGUGAAAUUUGAAGAGUAUUCUAAAACUUAAAACUUCCUAUUGAACAGAAUGUUGUUAAAACAAAAUUUCACACAAACAAGCUUAUAACAGUUUAUAGAAGAGAUAGAUUCCCAAGGAUUCUGAUGUUGUCCAUAUCAUCAAAAUCUGAAUCACAAUAAUCAAAUGGGUCAUGAGAAAUAUCUAUUUUCGACAUCAUAAACAAUGGGGAUAUCUGAGGCUUGGAUGAGUCGUUUGCAAUGGUCUCCAAUGACCUAUCCUUUCAUUCUCACUUCCAAGGCUUACCUUAGGCAAUGCUUUUGUGCAAAAGCUGCAGGACUCGAACAAAUUGAGGGGCUAGUAAAAGCAAACCAUCUUCCCAAGAACAUGAAGCCACAUAAAAUCUAAGAAGUAUUUAUAUGCCUAGGUUAAGAAAAACAACACAACCUGUAACGAAUGGAUCAACUCAUUGAAGCAUAGCAUCAAACAGAUGGUCUGCAUUAAACGAAUGAAUCGAAAGGCAUUGCAAAACCUAUUUUCAGUCGGAGCCGCAAGCUGCAAGCAAAACAUGAACAUGUUUCCCAAAAAUAGGAAAGAAAAUAAACCAUACUUGAUUGAUGCUGUAAUGUCCUAGGAUUCAGAAUCUGGAUUUGGUCUCCUACCCUUUCGAGGGUACUCAACCUAAAGCUAAACAAACUAUGAAACGAUUAAAGCUAAUGAAAGAAUGUAUAGAUAGUAACUCUUACAAUUCACUUGAUUUUUCUUAAUCAUACUUUCAUAUCCCAGGAUCCCUCUAAUGUGAUAUCAAUUUAGUAGUAAGAGGAGUUGACAACUUCAAGUAACAACGAAUGGAUUAAGAAAAUUGCAUCUUAAGGCCACAAGAAUUCAAGUAACAACGAAUGGAAGGAGAUGAAUUAAGAAAAUUGCAUCUUAAGGCCCCAAGAAUUUUUUGGUUUUUUCUUGAGAUGUUUUCUAAUAUAACUAAAUUGAUUGAAAUAAUUAUAAAUAUAGCAAAAUAUAUAUUUCCAUCUUAAUAAAUAUUUUAACAUAUUUGUCCUUCAAAACAAUUACUUUCACUAAUUAAAAUAAAUAUUAAAAUUUUUAUUGAACAACCAUAGGGGUGCAAAACACCAAGUUUGUUUCAGAAAACUAAUUUCUCAAGACUCCCUACCGCUGUGAAUCUGUGAUGGGGCCAUGCUUGAAAUCAGAACCUUAUCUCUUCAUCAACGCCCUCGAAUGGUCACAACCUCACAAAUUACCUCAUUUUCAAUUCAUCCCUAAGCAGAGAAAAGAAAACAAUGGCAACUCUUCAUUUUGUUCCUUCCGCUUUCUCCCUACCAAAACAAAAGCAACCCAUCAAGCUUUCCUCAGUCAGACCCACUACUCAGAUAAGCUGUUCACGACGGCGCUUGGUGGUCCGGUCGUACAAAGUAGUGAUUGAGCACGAGGGGCAGACUACCGAGCUUGAGGUCGAUCCCGAUGAGAGCAUAUUGAGCAGUGCCUUGGACAAUGGCUUAGAAAUUCCUCACGAUUGCAAGCUUGGAGUUUGCAUGACUUGCCCUGCUCGCCUUGUCAGUGGCACCGUCGACCAAAGCGAAGGUAUGUUGAGCGAUGACGUUGUGGCACAAGGCUAUUCGCUUCUAUGUGUGGCUUAUCCUCGCUCAGAUUGCCACAUUAAAACCAUCCCUGAGGAGGAAUUGUUGGCACUUCAAUUAGCCACGGCUAAUGACUAAAAUCUGAGUACUUCGUUGGAUGAUUUUGUAGAUUUAAUUCUGGUUUAGUUUAUAACUAUAUUGAAAUCGAUCUAUCUGGGAUGUUGUCUCUUUUGGCUGUUGUUUGGUCAUUUGGGUAUAAUGAUAAAUCUUUUCAUUUGAUUCCAGUCAGUAGCAGAUGGAAAUGGAUGUAUAUUGUUAAAGAAUCCCAACCUAUUUCUCCAUCUAGAGCUUCUAAUUUUGGAAAAUAACACACACACACACAGACAUAUAUAUAUAUUCAGAUAAGAUUCUGAUUCUGAUAGACGAGGAAUUGAAGUUCUUCAUAACGAAAUACUGAAAAAAACUUGACAGUUUGUGAGGGAAGUAAAUAAAGAGGUUGAUUAGAAAACUAGCUUCCUUUUAUUGUUUCCUCUCGCCUUUUGUACUGAAUUGUGGAUAUCACCAGCCCGCACUUCUUGAGUCAAAACUGCUGUAUAAAUGGAGGAGUUCUUCCUUGAAGUCAUGUUUGAAUUCAUAUGCUUAGAAAUGGAAUGUACCACAGCAACAAUCUUAAUUGUCACUCAGUGAGCUACAUAUGUAACGCUCAUGUGUUGAUGCAUGAAUUUAGACAAUGUGGGCUGCCAAUAUGGCGUCCGAGAUAGAUCUCAGUCUAGAAAUGAUUUUGAGACCUGUCACAUAAACUUGCGCAGUCGUGGUGUUUGGCCACCUACACUUCGGAGCUCAUUUUGUCAGUGUAGCUCAUUUUGUCAUACUUAUCAGUUCAAUUGUCUCCUUUGCUUGAUUCGUUCGGCUAUUCGGAGGCUUGGUUUAAGUCAGAGAACGAACAGCGUGCUCCAAUGGGUUUCAAGACAUGCGUCUUCCGGUGGUUUAGGUCAUGUGGCAAGCUAUAUGAGUAUGGCGAUGCCAAUAACAUAAUGGCUCGUGGUAAGGACCAAUAAGCUAAUAAAAACACGAGUGUUCUGAGCUUCUUCUCAACAUCAUGAUUCUUCCUUUCACCUAUUGCAUGUUUGUUCAGUUAGGAAGGUGUACAAGGCCAUUUGCCAAACACUAUAAUCGGGUUUAUCAUUGAUUUUCCUUAUUCUUUGUUGUAGAUUUUCCUUUUCCUUUGUAGUUAUAUCUUCCCAUGGAUAUCAAACUAUCCUGUCUCCUUACUUUUCGGAACCUCAAUCAAGUUUAGUGAAAAGAUGUCCCCGUAUUGUAAAUAUCAUAAAAGUAGACAAUGAUCAACUGGGUCAUGAUCCUUCUGACUUUAAAUUAAACAUCAUAAGUAACUGAAUGAGGUUCACCAUCAUCAAUGAAUAGAGGGGAUAUCUAAGACCUGGACAAACCAUUUGUAAUUUAUUGAAUGAUCUAGCCAAAGAACAAAAAUCCACUUUGAAGUUCGUUCCUAAUCUUGCAUCUAUAUACGUCAAUAUGGGAUGUCCACGACAAAAACGAAAAAGAAAAAACUAAUACAAAUAGCACAGUGAAGAAACGACUUUCAUAGAAGCAUAUCAUCAAACAGUUGUUGUGCAUUGAUCAAUUGAUGCAAAUUUGAACUAUUUAACUUCGUGCAAUUGAAAUCGACAUAAAAGUGGAAGUUAUAAAUGUAUUACUUUCUAAAUUGGUACCUCAAACUCGCAAUCUGGGUUGAUUGGGUUGAUUGAAAGUUCGUCUUCAACUUUCUCCUCCUAUUUGCUCAAAAGUGGUAAGAUCUCAAAAUUGGGAGGUAUUUCUUACAGAGUGGUUCCAUUAAUGGUUUAGGAAUUUGUGGUUGGUUGACUUUUGUUUGUUUAGUUUCAUCCAACCUUACUAGAGAGAUAGACCCUGAAACUUCCAAGGCCAAGAAGGAAGAUGUGCGAAUUUUGUUACUUUCUAACUAUCUCGACAUUAUCUAGUGUUUUACUGACCCACACACUUACUUGUUAACGAGAUAAACUAAUAUAACUCAAAGUUGUUAAUGUUUAUACAAAUGGAUCAUAGAAAAAAUCUAAGAUUCCUUUUAAUUGAGCUUCUUCCAUAUUUUUAUGGAUGACUUAACAACAACUCAAUUCCUAGACCAAAGAAAACUGGAACAACUUUUACCAAUAACACCAAAAAUCUAAAUAGACAAGGAAGAUGAAGUGUCUGAUCCAAUAUUUAGUGCACCUAGAAGCGUAUGGCAUAGUUGGACGAUAGAAGGAGCUCAAAGGUAAGGUGGCAUGGCCAAUGUGCCUAACCAAUAGUAGUGAUAAAGUCAUGUGCACCCAAGAUUAAACGGAAGUACCAUUUGGUGCAACUUUUCAUAUAUAUUUGAAUACUUUGAUGUAUUUUGAACCACGUUAAACUCUUUUAUAUAUGAUUUGUAUCAUUUUUUUUCUUUAGUAAGAAAGUUUGAGGUUUUUUAACCUACUUAAUUAAAAAUAUUAUUUUUAAAAUCGUCUAAUUGAAAUAAAAAGAGUUUUCCAGAAUAAUUUCCCAAAAAUUAGCAUAUCUACCUAGCUCUUGUUGUAUAUUAAAAAUAGAAAAAGAAAUUUUAUGAUUAUUAAUUAACAAUGAUUAGGUAUAGUCUAAUAGUGAUAGAUCUAUAUAGGUUUUGAAAAACUAUUAGUAACAAUCAAAUUAAGGUCGAUCGGUUGAUUUUCAUACAAAAAAUUUGCAUACCGAUCAACUUAUAUACAUUUUAGUUUUUUUUUUAAAAAAGAAGUACAAAAUCGCCGACCCUAAACUAAAACACAAAUCUAUUGUCUUAGUGAUCGUUUAUUAUUUUCUUUAUGUUUUCUAAUUUUCAUAGCCCACUAUCUUGUAAAAACCGACCAACCGUUGAAAUUUUCCACAUGUUUAUGGUCAUUUUUUGUGGUCAUGUUUUAUUCAAAACUAACACCGAUCUCCAGAUACUUUGUCUAAGCUACAUAUAAUAUCGUACUCUCCAUUUUUUCUACAAAAAUCUAUUCCAUGAUAAAUAAGGGAUUGCACUCCAUUUUCUUUGUUAGUAUAAGUCAAAUAUUAGAGAAAUUGAACUUGAAAUCUCUUUAUUAAAUAAGAUAUCCUCCCAACUAAAUUAUGUUAUUAUUGGCAUUUUUUUUAUAUAUUAUUUAAUGAUUGUGGGAAAGUGAUUAGUUUAUUGUUAAAUCAAAAUGAGGAGGAUAAGCAUUUUGUUUUGUUGAAUUGCGGAAAGCAUUUUUGCAAGAUUCUAUUCCAUCGCAUUACGACCUCUUCCAAGACGUCACACGUCAUCUUCGUUACGAAAAAAAGAAAAACAAUCAAAUCAAAUCAAAUACCAAUAUCUUAUUCUCUGAUUAUUUAAUAUUCAAAUGUUAAAUUUAUAUAAUUUCAACAAAUUUAGAAAGUUUUCAAAAUCACAUUUUGCUUUUACUUUCUAUAAAAUAUCAACACGUUUUUUUAAUCUUUUUAUUUAGUGGUUAAUGUAGAUAAAAAUAAUAAUUAAAUACCUUUUUUUAUUUCAAAGGUUUACAAUAAUUGUUUUGUCUCAAAUAACUUUAUACAUUUGUUUUAAAUAAUAAUAUAAUAUUUUAAAUUGAAAGAGUAAGUUUUAAAAAUUAUACUUUUUUGAACUAUUUUAAAAAAUCAAACACAAAAAUACUUCAUGACAUUUUAAAUCUGUUUUAAAAAAUUUAACGACUACCUUUUGAAAACUCGAGAAAUUAAAUGGGUAUAUUUUUAUAAAUUUAGAAAAUAAAAAGGUGAAGACCUCGUGAACAAAAAGACAUUCAUUUAAAGUUGAAAACUAAAAAGAUAAUUGUUUCAAAAUAAAAUUAAACAGUCUUGUCUUAAGUAGAAAUUAAACGGUAUUUGUUAUUUAAUAAAUGUCAAUAAUCAUAUAAUUACGAAGAUAUAAGAAAAUAAAAUUUAUUUAAAAGAUAAAACUUCAUAAAAAAAUAAAUAAGAUAUAUACAUUGUUAAUAAGUACUAGGUAUAGGUAAAACAUUUGAUUUUGAGGUUUGUAGGUCAUGUUUGGUAACAUUUAUGUUUUAUGUUUUCUGAUUCUUAUUUACUGUUUAUUCUUUUCUUUUAGAACAAGAAACGUAAAUGUGUUUGCUAACUGUUUCUUUUUCUUGUUUCUAGAAAAAAAAAACAGAAGCAAAAAAUGUGUUAGUGAUCUUAUGGAGAUCAAGAUGAAGAUUGAGAUCUGAAGGACAGAGCCGACGAGGAGGAAGACGAAAACCCACGAUGAAGAGGAAGACUGAAAGACGAAGAGGAAGAUAAAUACCCACAUAUUGAACGAAAAUCCAAACUCGUGUAAAGAGGAAGAUGAUAGGAGGCAAAGUGGAAGAUGGUGAAGACAAUGAGAAGAAGAGGAAGAUGAUGGUUAUUUGGAAAAGAUGAUGGAGACAAUGGAAAGGAAAAGGAAACCACGUGAACAACGAUUAUUUGUGGAAGAAGAUGAAAAUAAGAGGAAGAAAAAGGAAACCACGUAGGAAAUUAGAAAAGGAAGUAGAAAAAUAAUUGAGAAAAAGAAAAAGAAAAAAUAAACCGAUAAAAAUAAUUAAGAAAAAGAAAAAUAAAACUAAUAAAAAUUAUUGAGAAAAAGGAAAAGAAAACCUUAUAAAUAAUUGAUAAAAAGUAAACCAAUAAAAACAACUCAUGCACGAAACUGAAAAAACUACUAUUUUUUUUUCCAAUAAUUCAUUCUAAAAUGAGAAACAUUUAUAUUUCUUUUAGAACGAGAAACAAAAGAAUGUUAUCAAAUACCUCUGUUUCUUAAAAAUGAAAACGAAAAUGAAAACAUGAAACAGAGAAUGAGAACGUUACCAAUUGGGCCGGUAGUUUUAAAAAGAUUAAAUUCACUCAUUUCAUUCUAAAUUUAUUGUUUUGUUGUUUAUUUAUUUACAACUAUUUAAAAAACGAAAAAAAAAGUCACCAAUAGUAUAAAAAAACAACUUUAUUUUCAUCGUUAGAGUAGACAUUUUAAAAAACAACAAAAUAUUAAAAUUAUUUACAAAAUACACCUAAAUUCACCAAAGUCAUUUGAAAAUAUUUGUUUGCUAUAUUUUAUAAAUAACUGUUUAAUUCUAAAUUUUUAAUUUUAUCACGAAAAUAUUUUAAGAGAUAUUUAAUGAAUUAUAGAACAUUAUUCUAUAUCAAAUUGAUAAAUUCUUGAGAUAAACAAUAUGAAAGCUUUUUUUGUUUGGUAUAUUAUUAAUAUUGUUUUCCAAAUUUAAUGAAAUUUGAGAAUGUUAUUUAAUUAUUAAUUUUUUUAUGAAAUUUGAAAGAGGAUUUUUUAAAUAACUUGGAUCAAAUUAUUUACAAGUUAUAUAUCUAGGCACCACAAAAGUCUAGUAAUCUUUGUUAAAGAUUGAUAUAAGUCUAUUAAUAUUUAUCAGUGACGAAUACAAAUAGAAAUUGUUUAUUAAUAGAGAUGGUAGAAAAUCUAUUAUUCUGAUACCAGUUGAAACAUAUAGAAAUGUAUGAUUGUUAGAAACGUACGUUUGCAUCGAGGAGAGUCUAAAAUUAAAACUACAACAAGAUUAGGUACAUAAUUUAUAAAAGUUAAAAGUACAAAUUGAUACAAAUAACUUUACACUAAAAAAUUACAAGUCUUUUUUGUAACUUUUUGAAGGAGUGGAGCUUUUUAAUUGGCCACUAAGAACCAAAUAUAAUUACAAAUUGCAACAUUGCUUUUUAGAAUCAUUUUCCUGGACUCGAGGCCAUACUCAAACUUUCCUUCUUCUACGUUGCUCCGGUGAGCUCCUUCUCCGUACGCAAAUAUGGAAGCAACCACCGUCCAUUCAGACAGUCGCCCGACGAUAAUGGUCACCAACGACGACGGAAUCGAUGCACCCGGUCUUCGCUCUCUGGUUCGCGUUCUCGUCUCCACCCAGCUUUACAAUGUUCAAGUCUGUGCUCCUGAUUCGUACGCCUCUUCUCUCUUUUCCUCUUUUCGAUUUCUUCUCUUUCCAAUUUCCGAGUAUCUGUGUGAUAGGAAUAGUUGGUGAAAUUUUGUUCGCUCGUCUUUUGUGUUUGGUGCUAAUUUCUUUUGAUUGUUAGUGCAUUUCUGGUUCUUGUUUUUCUAUUUUGCAAGUGGUUGUUCUAACUUCUUUCGAAUGUUGAUGGCCGUUGGAUCGUGUGAAUUGAGAUAUAAGGAACUGUUUUUUCGGCUGUUCUUACUUUUCAAUCAAUAUGAUAGGAUUGGGUUAUAGAUCAUAAGAUAUUAGCUAAACCAACUAGCUUCGGUUUGUUUUGUUUAAUUAUACAUGAAUUUCUAUAUAUUUGAUAGUGGAGGUUGAGUUUGCAUCAUACAGGGAAAAGUCAGCUGUUAGCCAGUCUAUUACUUGGCGUCAUCCUGUUUCUGUCAAGAGAGUGGCAAUUGAAGGAACCACUUCUUAUGCUGUUUCUGGUAUGUUUUUAUUCUCUCAAUUGAAAUCUGUACCUUACCUGGUAACUUAAGUAGACUGAUCGCUAAAUUCUUAGCUAUUCUACCUUACAUGAUUAUAUUUGGUUCUUUGGAGAUUUUAAGAAAUGCAAUUUUUUUAAUCAGCCUAUAUCCGGCAGUUGCUGAUGCUAGUUCUUUGAAGUGUGUACUUUCUUAUGUUCUACAUAUAAGCCCGACUGCCGAGCCCAACAACGUUAGUAUCAAUGUAUUGGAGAUAUUGUAAUACCCCUCGUUUGGAUUGACUAGAGAAAAGAUUACCCUUUUAAUCAGUUUUAUUUACUCUUUUGAUAAAAACUUUUAAGGGUAUUUUUUGAAAUCUAUUUUGAGUGGUUGCCACCACUUCAAUUUUACCAAAAUGACUUAUUUUCAAAAUUAAAUACUUGAAUAGUCUAUUUUUUUUUUUCCUUUUGAGAAGGAUAAGUGUCUCUUUAUUAAUAAAAAUAUAAAUAAUGAGAUAAAAGCUCAUGGUAGAAGAGGGCUAUACUAUUAGCAAUUACAAAAAUAUAAAUUGAUCAAGAAACAAAUCACUCCCUCGGUUUAUUUGUUUGCCUGUCAUCAGUUAGUUAACCAUACUGUUGUUACUACAGUUAGUUUAUAUUAAGCUAACUGCCUCUGUAAUUCUAUAGUAGUUGAAAGUUUGUGCCCAUUGCAAAGCUGUGAUGUUAUAGUAGUGUGCUAGAAUGAUUAGGCCUUACCAAUAUAUAGGGACCAUUAAUGUACAUUAAGAUAUUUUCUUUAGUCCAAUCUCCAAUUACAUAUCUCUUCAUCCAGUAAUAACUUAACAUAUAUUCACUUUGACGGAAUGGAUUUAACUUGAAGCUAUUGGUUUGUAAUGAAGGGUUUCUCAUUUAAACCUAUUACCAUUGACUUGAACUUUAGCUGGUGUCCGAUUUUCUUCCAUUGACCUAACAAGGUUGUAAGCUUUCAUGCUUCUGCAGGAACUCCGGCAGAUUGUUCUUCUUUGGGAGUAUCCAAAGCUCUCUUUCCUACAGUUCCUGACAUGGUCAUUCCUUUUCCCCUUAUUGCACGGUUUGGCUGUAGUAUAUUUUUCAAUUGAGCUAUUUGUGGUUUGUUCACAUGAACACACUUGACGUGUGAAUGACCUCACAAGAAGUUAGGAUUUAUGAGAACACAAGGAAUGCUAUUUCUCAGUCCUAUGUUUAUCUGUGAUUGUAAAUGUGGACUAAUCAAUCAAACAACUAAACUAAUAAAUGUUGAAUACAAGCACACCUCACAGUGUUGUCACUGAUGAGCUUGGCGUAUACAAGUUGAAAUUUAUUUAGCUCUUCCUGCCUGUUUAUGUAUCGUACUUUUAAUUGCAGGUAGUCAGUGGCAUAAAUAUGGGUAGCAACUGCGGUUAUCAUGUGUUAGUGACAAAUCUUUAUAGACUUCCUCCUUAUAUUGACUAUUUUGGCAGUUCAACUAUCAAUUAUUUUAAAGCAUCGAAUAUGUACCCACUACUCAACAUGCAUGUUUAUUUGCCCUUGUGUUGGCAAGAGAAACUUACCAAGUAUCAACUCACUUGGAAGUUAUUAGAGCUCUCAUGAUUAAAUGAAUAAUGAGUAUUAUGUGCUCCUAAAAAGAACAGUGAAGAAAUCAACCUUUUGGCUACAAGCAAUUUGCACACGGAAGCACCUGGAAAUAUUAAUUCCCAAAACUUUGGGACAAAACAAACACGAACAUUUUUUCUUGUAGCUGUUUUGGUUGUCUAAAUUAGUACCAGUCAAUACUAUUUGAUCAAUAUAAAAAAUUGUACGUGCGUGGUUGAAAAGAAGUUUUGAACUUUAUUGAUGUAGUCUUUCAUUUAAACUGCAGUGUGUAUUCUGGGACAGUUGCUGGUGCUCGGGAAGCAUUUUUUAAUGGCAUUCCUUCUAUUUCCUUGUCUUAUGAGUGGUAUGUCUAUUGAGAUGGGAUCCUUUCUUUUUUAAUAAAGAUUUCUUUUAUUACUAAACUUAAUCAUUUAAUUGUUACGUAAUAUCUAUUGAGAUGGGAUCCUUUCUUAGAAGGGAAAAAAGGGAAGAAGAAGAAGAAAGGUUUAGAUUCGUAGAUCAGCAGAUGGUCUGUCAUCUUGUUUGAAAAAUUUCCACAUCAUAUUAAUUAUCAGUCUAAGUAUAUCUCAUUAUUAAUUUAUUAUUAGUCUUUACUCAUUUGCCGUUCUUGUUAUGGAGCUUCAGGGUUGGAGGUAGGAGCAACAUAGAAGACUAUACCCUAGCUGCUCAGGCUUGCUUGCCCAUAAUAAGUGCAAUGUUAGCUGACGUCAAGGCUCAAAAUUUUCCACGAAAUUGUUUCUUGAAUAUUGAUUUUCCAACAGAUAUUGCUAAUCAUAGGGUAAAUUUCAUUUACUUUUCUUAUUGACUUAUGCUGUAUAAUGUAUUAUGUUGACUGCUUAUUACACUUCCAUGUUAUGAAGGAGGUGGUUAGCACUUAGCAGUAACUCUUGUGGGGUUUUUUUGGGACAUUAUUUAGGGUUAUAAGUUAACUAAGCAAGGCCGAUGCAUAUACACAAUGGGUUGGAGGAGAGUUACAUCGGACUCUCAAGGAGGCAAAAUGUUGUCAACUAUGACAAUGGAUCCAACUUCGUCAAUGGAAUGUAAAAUGUCAGAGGAAUCAUCUUCAUCUGAACUGUUUACGAGGCAGGUUGGUUCUCUUCCCUUCUACCCAAACUAUUUAAUUAAAAGAGUCACUAAUAUUAACCUUACUAGAUUAAGAUGUGAUCUGAUAUGUGUACACUAGUGUCCUUGAAUUCUAGUUGAGAGAAAAACAUUGGUCCACAUUCACUAUUAUGUUGUAACACUGCAGCUUUCUCGUGCCUUUGUUAUUCGUUCUGAUACCAAAUAAUGUAAAAUUAUAUCUAAACGAAAAGUGAAAAGAACACCAGACUCGUAGAAGGUAGUUUCAGCUUUCAACCACCAUUAGGCAAUUAGAGGAGCUUUCAAACUUUCCAACAAUCAAUUCUAAAGAGUCCAAAAAUAAAUUCGACUCUUCCAUCCAUUCACUGUUUAAAUACAACAGUUUAGAAACCACAAAUACAAUCUUCGAAACUUUUUAUUAUUGUUAUAAUUGUUUAUUUAUUUCUUAUUAUUAUUAGUGGAUCUUUUAAACUUUGGAAUUCUUCUGUUCUAGAUUGUUUGUUCUUUAAGCUUUUCUGAACUUUUAGAUUGUUUGUUCUUUAAGCUUUUCUGAACUUUCAUGGAUAUAUAUACACACACACGUAGAAGAAAGAAAAUUAAAAGAAAGAUUGCUUGUUGUUACAAUUAUUUUAUUUUGGAUAAUUUUGAUGAUUGUUCUGUUUCACUAUUCCUAGCUUAUUAUAAAAAAAAAAAAAUUGUAUUUGUAAACGUUAAUUUAAGUUAUUGUCUUUGUAGGUAAUAAGUGCACCUAUUGAUAAUGAAGAUACAGAUUACAAAUAUCUACUAGAAGGCUAUGUGAGUAUCAUUUUACACAAAAAAACUUAUCAUUAGAGCAGAUACCUCGUCAUGAAUUAAAAAAGCUUGUGAUUCCAUUUCAGAUUACUGUCACUCCUCUUGCCGCCCUGUCUCGUGCAGAGACUGACUGCGAAAACUUUUUGGAAGCAUGGUUGCCUGGUGUGGUUGCUCGGCCAUCACCAUCUGCUUUAUAAUUUCGUAAGGUUUCUGGGUAAUGGCACUUCAAAGUUUUAUGAACUUUAUUUCAUUUUGUUUAAAUACUAAUAAGCAGAUAAGCAUAAGCACACAGGUGCCGAGUUCACUCGUCAUAAUUGGCUUUUGUGGUAUCUCUUUUUUUUUCCCUCGUACGAAUUCCCCACCACCCUCUCGCUCAAAGCUAUCUACAUUCAUGCUACAGAACCUUAUUACAAGAUCAUGAAAAUAGUUUCCUUCCUAAUCAUUGAAAUGCUUAACAUUCAACUAUCUUCAUUUAAUUGCUUGUGAUAAAUGAAGUUCAUGAUCCUUUCUGAUUCUUCGACGAUUCUGACAUUAGGCAACUGAAUCUUAACCAAUUGCAACGUCUGCAGUACCUAUAUGUUAACUAUAAUUUAUGUCAAGCUCUAGACAUGGCAUCUAACUUUAGUUUUAAGACUGUUGGCGUCCUCUUAGUAUUCUGUUUACCUCACUGGAUGCUAGGAAAGCUGUAUGGGAUAGGGAAAGUCUUGUUGACUGCACUGAACACUCGAUGCAUUGCACGUGCACCAAGGAUCCAUAGUACAUCUGAUGUUCUAUCUUAUAUUGAAGUAUGGUACGAAACAUUAUGGAAACAAGUGUUACUGAAAACUUUCUGUUAUAUUCUUUGCAGGUUUAGGCAUUCUAUUAGAUGGUAAAAAUUCGAGCAGAGCCGUUUCUAGUUUAAUAUCCUUUGCAGUUUGCAUCGUGGAGAGAGCAGUUCUUCAUAUCAUGGAAAAUAUAAAUCCGGUCUGAAAAAUUGUUUAAGAGAAGAGUUGUGGAAUCCUUACUGUGAGUUGAUUCUAUUAAAAAUAUUACUUAAUGUGACAGAAACUUAAAGAAAGAGCCUUUCUUUCUUUCAUUACAUUUUUCAUUUCUAAUAAUGUUAUUAUGAUUGUUGUUUACUUUCAGUAAGGUCUAUAGUUUAUUAGCAUUUGCUGCUUGAUUUUGUUUCAAAUCUUUGUGGGUUGGGAUCUAGAAAGAAACAAGGUUGCAAGGUUCCAAACAAAAGUCAAAUAGAAGUUUCGAUGUAAAUAUUAAAAAGAAGUUGAUGCAACGGGAAAGGUAUCAAGCCAAAUCCAUAACCAAACAAGAGAUCCAUCCCCUAGAGUUUGAGAGAAUGAAAAGAUUAAAAAGAUUCUAUAUUCAAAAGAUAAAUCAAAAGCUUCCUUCUACGACUCUAAAUUGACUAAUAAGGUGGGACAAUGAACUAAUUAAUUCUAAAAUACUAAUUAAACUAAAUAUUAAUUAAAAUACAUUAACUAUCCUUAACUUAUCCUCAGCAGAAGUCUUAUCCUUGAAAGAUGGUAGAAACUAUAUGAGACAGUAGACUCUGAAGGUCUAACUUCUAAGAUACCCAUUUGCAGUCAGGAUAUGUUAUAGUGAGAACACUCAAGAAAGUUUUAAGAUGUUUGGUUCACAAGUUAGAUUUGUGUAAUUGAAUUAGGUCCAAUGAGCAACUUUUUGCUCGUAUCAAACAAAAAAGUUCACUAAUCUACAAAAGUACAUGAACUCAAAGACAUGGCACUUGUUCUUCACACUACAAACAAACUCUUAUAUUAUCACGACCUUUUGUACCAAUCAUUGUAGCACAUGUGUUGUCCAGGGCAUAAACCUAGAAACCAAAACAUCAGUCACACAUAAUCGGGUCUUUAAAAUCCUUUAUUAUUUUUUCCUUUAUAAUUUAAAUUUUAAAUUGUGACCCAAAUCUCCCAUUAGGUUCACAAGUCACAUUUUGGGACUAUCUUUCAUUUGGUAGAUUUGGAUUAUUGAACAACUUUACCAUCUUACCAUAUCAUGAAGCAAAUGCCACUUUAUCAGAUUAGGGGAUUUUAUCACACCAUUUGUUUUCUAUUGUAAGAUGAAGAUUUCAAACCACUACUAGAUUCGUUAUUUUUUUAUGACUGUAUUUCUCCCUUGUAAAUGUCUUUAUAGCAAGUUUAGUCUCUUAAUUCUACAGUAUUGAUGAAGGAAAUAGUAAAUAUAAUCAAAACAUUGUUCUCAUAUGAAUCAAAAUUCAUGGCAUUGGCAUUAUUAUAGUAUAUCUAAGGCAAAAACAUCUUUAGGUUGUCCCAUCUAUUCAAUAGUUGUCUCAUGUCAUUAUCAGAAUCAACCUUGAAAAUAUAGAAUUUAGAAUUCAACUGCCGCCUCAACUGCUGAUUUGGACAAAGCAACUGUAAAGAAGCUACACAAAAAUUUUGAACAAAAGAAAAAAAAAAAAGAGAUGAAAAUGGGGAAGGAAAACUUUUAUUUCUGGGCAUUCUUUUUUCCCCCUUCAAAUAUAUAAAGUAUUAUAAAUAUUUUAUGUACAUUGGUGGAGAAGUUGUGUAUUUAGGAUGAUGAAACUUGAAAGCUUCAUUGUUUCGGUGGCAAUGGAGUGUGUGAUUCCACUAAUAUUGACCAAAGCACAUGCACAUCUUCACAGGGACAGGAUUUCACAUCCUCAUACAGAAUAUAUAUCCCUCUUCCUGCAUCAAAAUUACCCAAAAACUAUGAACCAAAAAAGAAAAAAAAAACUUGAACUUCAAAGGAUGUUGAAGAGAUUCUUUUCUUUUCUACAUAAUUUUCUAGUGAAAGAACAGAAAGUGAAGGGGAAAUGGUGGCAUUGUAGAAGGCAAAAAGAGAGAAACAGAGAAUGUAAGUGAUGAAAUGAAACUGAGUUCGAAAAGGGAAGUGACUUACGUUUUUUAGGCGAAGAAUGGAGGCGAAACCAGAGCUUCUUUAAUGGGGAGAAGAGGGAUUGGAGCCACCCCAUUUGGAGAAGAGAAGUGGAGGGAAAAUGUCUUUCACUUCAUGUAGAGAGAAUAUUAGAAAGAGCAAAGGAUUUGUGUUGGUUUUGAUAUUGGUCCUUUUUUUUUUUAAGCUUAGACGAGGGAUUUUGAUGCAUUUUUAAUUAUUCACAUUCAUUUAUUGAAUAAAUCAUGCAUUUCUCAUAUGGUUCUUGGUAAAAUGUCUUUUUCAAGCACUUUUUUUCCUUGUAGUAGAAGAAGCCUUCUUCACCACCAAUCUGCUGUGCUUCACACACUUCCAUGAAAUCCCUUUUUCCUUUUUUAAUUUUAUUUUCAAAUCUCAUUUUCUCAAGUUUUAUUUUGUAUAAUAUUCCCCAAAAACCCACUUUUUAAGAGUGUUGAUAGUUUGAUUAUAGUUUUUAGUGGUCUUUCCCAUUUUGGAUAUCUCUUGUGACUGAAGAAAAAAUGUAUAAAGUGUUGUUUGAAAUUGGAGUCCCCAACAAGGGAUCCUAUCCCAUAAGUCCACAUGUCCUUUACUCCCCAAUUGGGUGCCUUAGAAGUGUGCUUCAACCUUGUUUUCCUAACUCCAUUUUUUUGUAAGUCUUUUUCUGCUUUCCUUUGCUUGUUUUUGCACCUUUUGUUGAUUGAUUCAAUAUACACAAAGCUUAUUAUGUGAUUGAGAAAAAGCUUAAAGAAUAGAGAAAUCGAACACAAAGAUUUAUAUAAUUUACUAAUAGUAGAGAUCAUAUUUUAUUGGAGCUAAAAGUAUUAGGAAGAAUUUAUUUACUAGGGUCAAAAUCCUAAAUAAACUAUAUAAUAGGAACAAAAAACACAAAAGAAAACACAAAUCUUCUUUUUCUCUCUAGGAAUCUUUCUGCAUUAUUAACAAGAGUAAGGUCUCUCUCCUAGAGAGAGAAUUUUUGUGGGUUGUAAUUAUGAUUGAUACUCUCAUUGGAAGUAAAAUGAAAUGGAAAGGUUUGAUUUGAUUGAAUUUAGAAAUACCCAAAAUCAGUAAAUUUAUUCAUUAAAUUAAUUUUUUUUAAAAAAAAAAAAAAAACUGUCCAAAUCAUUUAACUACAAUUUCUUGUUGACCACCUCAAAUUACAUUUCCCUUUCUAACUUUGUAUGGAUUUCUUUCUAAAUCUUUUUCUACUAUAUAAUCAUUAUUUGCAAAAUUGGACUUGAAAAUGGAAGUUGUUUUGCAAAUAAGAAAAUAUUACUGAACAAUAUAUUAGUAACUUCAUACACUUUUCCAUUUUUAGAUAUGAAAUAGAUCCUCUGGUAUGUUAAAUUAAAUCUCAACAAAUUGAUCCAAAUAGCUUUUGAUGCAAUUACUAAUAAUGCAUAUGAACAAUAUAUUAGAAAAUAAACAUUUAUUGUAAUUUUAGCUUCUUUAAUUUUCUUUUAUUUAAGUAAACCAAUCCAAUCAAUUCAAAAAUUACAAAAAAAGUUUAUACACAUGUGAAAAAAAACCUCCACAAGUGAUUUUAAUAUUUUGUUUACAAAAUAACGUAUUUUAUUUCUGGCUCAAUAUUUUGAAGAAAAAAAGUUGAAAGAAAAAGAUGAUAUAUUUUUUUUCUUUUUAUUUGUUUCGGAAAAUUAACAAGCAACCCCUUUUAAAAUAAGCUCGAGAUGUGGGCCGUGGUCAUGCGGGCUUUCUGUCUGCAGCCCAAUGAAGCGGCAGCACAGAUCUUAUGUUUAUGUGGUAGCCCAUUAUCCAGGGCCUCAGCCCAAUAGAAGCCCCGUUUAUGUACCCAACUUAAAUAUUUUGUUGGGCUACUUUUGAAAUCCUUGUUUUAGACCCAAUAGUUCACUCCCAUAGAAUAGUUUCCAUUUUGGUUUCUAACAAAAUAGUACACAAUUUUAUCUUUGUAGUUUAAAAUUUUAAAAUAAAGAUGAUAAUUUUUAUCAUGAAAUUAUAACGUAUGUUAUAUAUUUUUAAUUUCAGUAAGUAAAUCAAUGGGGAUGAACAAAAGAGGGGAAGAGAAGUAAGAAAAGAUAGGCUCAAGACAAUUAGGCUCGAUCAGCCUUAGCUUCGAGGGCGGGCUCUCCAAUCACAAGUUGAGUCUGCUUAAUCUUCUUGGCGAUAGAGCCAAAGCACCUCGACUCUAGUUUGGUUGGCUCGGCCUCGUCCCAGAACAAGACCACUCUCCCACUACUCAAGAUAUAACCUUAAAGUUAUAAGGAGUUAGAAGAGGGAAAUUUAUAAAGAGAAGCAAUUUUCUCCAUUAUAAACCUACUAAACUAUGAAUCUCUAAAACUUCUAGGCAUCAGAAGGUGUACGUGGCUUACGCCAUACCGGUGUUAAGAUUUUCUUUGUUUUUCAAACAAGCUCUUUCUAAAUCACAAAUUUUACAUUUGAAGUUAUCUCGAGAUCAGAACAAUCAAAAUCUAGUAUCAUACACUUAUAAAUACUUUUUAAAUAAAUUUUUUUAUAGAAAAUAAAUGUGAAGUCAACUAAAUAUACUCAACGAGUUAUGAUACAAAUUAUUGAUUAAAAAGAUUAAAAGUUUAAAUAUAGUUCAAUAAUAUGCAUAUUUUUAAUUUAAUGUUAAAUAAAUGAUUGAAUUUUCAAGUAUAUGUUCAAUAAAUCUUCAAUUUUUUUAAAUAAGACCAUAACUACUUUUUAAGUUUAGAAGUUUACACUAUUUAAAUAUUAAAAAAAUAUAUCUAUUUAGCGGUUUAAAAUUUUAGAACUUUAUUUCGAAUUUGAAAAUUAAAUAAAGAUUUUUUUUUUAUAAAAAUAACCAAAUGAAUUGUGUGAUUUUGUUCAUCGUGAACAUAUCAGUGUCUAUAAAUCUCUAUUAUUAAUGAAAUCUGAAAAUUUUGUUAUAUACAGGUUAAAUUUACCCUAAAUAACUUAUUAAAGUCCACUAAAAUCAAUAUUAAUCUGAGCAUUCUUUUAAAAAUAUAAAAAGAAAAAAGAGAACCUUUUAGAUAUUUCAGCCAUAGUACUGAAUUUACUUGUCCUUUGACAGAUUCAUCCUUUUUUUCUCCAUUUUUACAAACUUCAUUCAUUUUCAUUUUUGUGAGAAUUAUUGUUAUUAUUUAUUAUUUAUUAUUUUCAAAUUCAAUCAAGUAUUUUAAGUUAUAUGAAAUUAAAUUUGGAUAUUUAAAGGGAAAAAAUCAAAAUGUGAAGUAAAGGGAUGAAAAUUAUACUUUAAAACAACACUAUAAUUUAGUUACGUGAAGUAUUUAUCGAUCAUUUUGCUAUUUGAUAAACAAUGGUGUUCAUGAACAUGGUUUAAAAUUUUUUAAAAAAAUUCACACUUUACACUUCUAAACUUUGAGAUUUGUAUCACUUAAAAUUUCAAUAUAAUAAUUAGUAUCAAUCAAAUUCUAAAUUAAAAUAAGUCUCAUGCAUGAUAUCCACUUGUGAUCGCGACUUUUUCAUAUGCGAUAAUUAAUAUAGAGUAAAAACAAAUAUUAAAAUCAUAUACAUAAUAGAGAAUUUUCAUUUAUAUGAAUCAUUUUUCAUCUUCUUUUUUACUUAUCUAUAAUUAAGAACGAAUCAUAACCCAUAUGAAUGGUUUAAAUUGAUUAACGUAUAAAAUUUUAGUACUUAAGUUGAUCUCACUAGUUAAAGUUUGAAGGGACUAAACCAAAAAAUUCACUAGUAAUAAAUCAUUUAUUCUCUCACAUUUUUUAUAUUUAAAAUUAGAGGUGCAUUUCAAAAAGGGUAAAAUCAAAUCGAUUCGAUUUUGUUUAUCUUUAAAAAAACUAUUUACUCAGUUUCGAUUUGACUAUAAAACUCAACCAACGACCACACUAUCAACUUUGAAAUUCAUACUAAGUAUGCAAGUCGAAGAAUUAAUAUACUUUUUUUUCUUUUUUUUUUUUUUUUUGUUGUGGCAGAAUGAUGAUUCUUGGAAGUGAAAGAGACAAAGCAUUUGAAAACAAAAGAAGAAUGAGAAGAAGAAGAAGAAAAGAGAGAGUGGGGGAAUUAGGGGCAGGGCGUCUUAAAUGCAUAUGAGAAAGAGAAGAGAAGAGAAAGGCUUUAUUAGGACACUGACCCUUAACACACUUAGAACUUUAAAAAGGACUCUUUCAUGUCUUUAUGAGUUUUGGAUUUUAGGGUUCAUAGCCACCAAAUUCACAUCCUUCUCUUCUCUUUUUAUCUAACCUUUUUCAGUAAGUAAAUUGAUCAUCAGGUGAACAGACCAAACAUUUCUUUUCAGACUCUCAGACUUUUCUGUUUCUAAAAUUAUUAUUUUUAUUAUCAUUUAUUCCACUUUUUUUCUUUUUUUUUUUUUUGCAAUUAGAAGAGAUUUUCUUUAAAACUCAAUUUCAAAUUCUAAUCUUCAAAUUGACGUUCUAAUUGUUUAAAUGUACGCUAUUUGAAAGUCAUUUUCUAAAUAAUACAUGUAUGGAUCAUUUUAAACCUUAAUUAGAAAAUGAUGUUUUAAAUGUUAACUUUUACGUUUACACAUAUUAUUCAUUACAUAAAGCUUUUGAAUUGAGCAAAAUCAUCUCCUUGUAUUAGCUAUUGGUUCUUUGUUGAGUGAUCUUGAACGUUAUUGACGUUUAGUGUAGAACGUCUUAUAUAUGUGAUUAAGAUUUGAUGAGUACUACCAUGUCUUGGUGUUCUUGUCGAUUACCUCAUUUCUUUGAAAACCCAAGAAGCCUCAAACGAUGUUGCGUUCAUCAGUAGGAAUUAAGUGUAUUAUUGCUCCAUGACUUUUGCUAAGUCUAAAUUUAAGUGGGUUAAAGCAUUACUUGGAAAUCUCAUGGUAGAUCAUUCAUGUACCAUAUAAACUAUUAGUUUGAGAUAGCUAAUUGAGGUUAUAUAUUGCUCAAAACCAUUUUUUUUUAUUAUGAACGCACAAAGCACAAACUAAACUACUUGCAAAUAUUUUGACAAAGAUGUUACAGAAACAAAAAUUUCUAUCUUCUAAAAUAAUUAUGAAUUGUCAUCUAUGAUCCUCAUAUUCCAACUUAAAAAGAAAGUGUUAACAAAUUAUAAUUAUAUUGUAUGUUUUAUAUAUUUUUCUACCCUUCAUUUUUUUUUUGAUGUAAUUUUAGACCAAAAUUAGAUUGUAUAUAUGUUAUUCACUUUAUUGUAAUAAAAAAUAAAAUGAAACAACUUUCCUUAUCCUAAUAACUAACCAAUGGAAAUAUAAAUCAUUCAUUCCUUAAAAGUUUAAGAUUUUAAUUGAUUUAAUCUAGCAAAAUUUUAAGGGUUGUUUACAUUGAUUUGUAACAUUAAUUAUUUUUAUCCCUAACAAAAUAUAUAUAGAUACAAAUUAACAAACACAUAGAGAAAAUUGAGAAAUGAAAUGCUAAUUUUAGUGUGUGUGUGUGUAUGUGUUUGUGUGAGGUAAGAGUAAAAUAGCCCUAAAUGAAAGAAAAAAGUUGGGUGAUGACAAGUGGGCAUAUGGUUUUCAAUGUAGAAAUUCGUCUGCUAAUUCAGAAGUUGAUGUAAUGUCAUUUCAAUGUAUCAAAAAAAGAAAAAAGAAAGAUAUGUAAUUUAAAUAAGAAAAUAAAAUUAAGAAAGAGUAAGGAGUAAAUAUAAAAAAGGAACAAAGAAGAUAUAUCUUUUAUAAUUGUGAAAUCAAAUACCUUUUCCCAUGAAAUGACAUUAUGACUCAUAUUUCAACCAUAUAGUUAUUUUUAUAUCUCUAUUUUCUUUUAAUUAAAAAAGGGGUAAGAAUAAUAUGAUUUAUUAUUAAAACAACAAAAUUGAUAGAUAGGUCACAUCAUCCCAUAUUACUUUUCCCUAUACAUUUAAUUCCUCUUUUAGUUUUAGGAAUGCCCGUGAAAAUAACAAAAAAAAAAUUUAUAAUAAAUAUGUUUUUUUUUUAAGUAUAGAGAUUAAAUUUAAAUUUUGAAAUAAAAUUAGAAAACAAUAAUAUAUAUAUAAAAGAUGACAUCAAAUCCCACAAAAAAAGAAAGAAAAAGAAACACAAAAUGUUGGUUGCCAACCAUGCAUUAUUUAUCCAUCAAACAUGCAAACAACACCAUAUAUACGAAACACCAUUUUAGGCUUAAGAAAAAACAAAUGAAAUGAUAAUAAGAAAAUAAGAGAUGAGAAAGAAAGAGAAGAAAACAUAUAUACAAAGGAAAGGAUUAGAAGAAAGACUUUAAUGUGGCAGCUGCCAUAUGCAUAUGGCCCCUUCCUCAUCACUACUCUUCAUUUCCACCAUUACCUUUCGUCAACAAAACACCUGCUAAACGACGCCAUUUUAAAUCAUUUCAAUCUUCCCUUCUUCUUUUUCAUUUGUUUUACUUUUAUGGUUUUCUUCAAAACUUCACCUUCUCUAUUUAAUAUAUAUACAUGUGAGUUAUUUGUUUUACUUUUUUCGCUACGCUUAUCUCAAACGGAUGGAUAUAUAUCCAAAGAAAAUUGAGAGGCGGCAUGGAAUUAAAACAUACAUCCCAAAUGAGAAUGGAUUAGAGCACUAAGUUUCGAACCGAUUGGAUAACCGGAGAAUAUACCAAUUGAGAAAUAGUUGAGUCGUAUUUGGCAUGCCUACCUACAAUGACCUUGGAUGUUACAUACACUAUCUUGACUUCGUCAUAGUUAUAAGUAACAACAAUAUUUGAGUGUCAGAUGAGCAACAUUACAAAUAAGCCCAUUUGAUGGCUCUCGAGAAAAGAGAUAUUACAUGUUUGGAUUGUUUUCUAAAGUGUUUUUUUUUUAAAAAAACAUUAAUAAACAAUUAGAAAUUCAAUCCAAACGCACCCUAAAUUUGGACCUUAGCUUACUUUUAUUUUCUUAGUUGAACCAUACAAUCUACAAUUUAGACGUUAGAGUGUAAUAGCUAGGUUUGGUAUUCAACCGAAAACUUUCAUGUAGAUCAAUUUAAAAGACGAGAUUCACACUCAUUAAUAGAAAUGAGUAUGCAGACAAACUCACAACAACCACAAAUCCAUUGGAAUUUUUAAGAUUUCAACAAGUUUUAUAAACCAAUUUAAUUUUGAAAUGAAAGAGGGUGUAGGUAAAGACACUUAUUAAUUAAUCAAAAUCCGAAUUAUAUAAGGCAUGUUUCUAAAAACAGACUUGAUGGGUUUCUACUUCCUUUCGUUGAAACUCCAUAACUUUACAACCUUAAAGAAAAACCAAUUCAUUACUUGUUUCUGUCACACACUUUUGAUUCACUCUCAUUUCUUCUUUUUCAUCAGUGGCUUUUUGGUGAUUGGCUUUGAGAGGAAAAUGGCAAAAAGCUUCAUCAUAUCAUCGCUAUAUAAAUUGUGUGUAUAUAUAUAUAUAUAUCUAUCUAUUUAUAAACCGUUGAGCUUUUUCCUUCUUUUUUUUUUCUUUUCUCUUUUGGAGGCUUUGGGGAUGAUAUGAUUGUGAAUUUCAAAAUUGGUCGACUUUGUAUUUGAGGAAAUGAGUGAGAAACAAAGUGAUAACAAAAAAAUGAUAAUCAUCAAUUGGGCCCAAUAUUAAGUGGGUCUUGAAAAUUAUGAAUUUUCAUAAAUUUCAAGAUAAAGACUUCCUAUCCCUCUCAUAUGAAAUUCUCACUUCAACAAUACAAACAAUUCAUAAUUAAAUGCAUAUCAACAUUUUAAAAAUUUUAUAAAUAUACUAAACACUUCAACAAAAGUCCAUCAAUCAUACAUCAAUACUUCCAAUACCAUACAUUUGUCUAUUUAAUAUAUUUUACUAUAUUUUUUACAAUUUUAAAAAACAUGUUGGUAUAUUUUGCUAAUAGUCCAAUUCUUUAUUUUAGACCAUGAUAUUCCAUUCUAGUUAUAUUUUUUCAAUCUUCUAGGUCAUAGAUUAGUAAAAGAUAUGUUAUAACUAUUUUUGAAAUAUUUUCAAAAGUUUUAUCAUUUAAAAUAAAAAAAUUUGACAAACUAUUUACAUUUUAUAGAACAAAAAAAGAUAAAAUUUAUUACACUUGAUUCUUUUAUGGAGGAUAAAUAUUUUGUCCAAUAUUCUUUUUUUUAUGAUUUUUUUUUAAAAAUAAAAAUAAAAACCUCAUAUAUUAUUUUAAAGAAAUAAAAAAAAAGUUAUAAGGUGAGAGCAUCUCCAAGAAGUUAGUAUAUCCAAGGACAUGCACCAAAUUUUGCUUAACAAAAGUGGCAAGUGGGUCUUUUGUUCUUUGUCACAUGCAAUGACCUAAUCAAAAGUUUAAAUAUAUCAUUCAACCUUAAACUACUUUAUAAUUUACCCAUCAACAUUUCAAAACAUAGGAUUUUUUAAAAAAUUUAAUUAUUAUGAUGCUAUUUAAAAGCAUUACAAAAUUUUGAAUUAAUUAGUUAUUGAAUAGUUUUGAUCAUUAAUGUACGUGUAAACAAAAUUAGAAAAAAUAAUUUAUAUAUUGACAUUUAGGGUUAGAUCACGAGAUCAGUCCCAUUUAAAAUAUAUGUAAGGUCAAAUUUAUGGUAACUAUCAAGAUAUAUAAUUAUUAGUUUUUGCUUUUUCUUAAUCAAACUUUAAUCUAAUUUUAGCCCAUCCCACACUAUUGAUUCAAUGAUGAUCUCUUCUUCUAACCCACAUGGUGGUUUACUUUAUGAUUAAUUAAUUAAAUUUCAAAGUAACCAAAGUAAUUUAAUUAUAUGGAGAAAAAGAGUGAUAAGGACGAAAAUAAAAGUUGUAUGUUAGCAAAGCAAUUUUCGCGUUUCAAUAUUUUGUUCCCUAUUUUGUUUAAUGCUACACAAUCAAUAGAAGACGACCAAAUUUAAUUUCGAUGAUUUCAUUUUAAAGUACUUUUUUUUUUAAUAAUAACGAUCAAGCAUUUCAUUUUUAUUAAAAUUGAUUCUGAAAUUAUGUAAUGACAUAUUGAAAAAAUAUAUAUAUAAAUAAGAGAAUAACUUGAACACAAAAUAUAAAUUGAAGUUAAAAGUGUGUAUAUAUAUAUGAUGGGAUUUUAAAUAAGUAUUUAGAAAUAUUAAUUAAAUAAAUAAAUAUAUGAAAUUUUUUUAUAGGGUCUAUUUAAUCAUGAUUGUUAAUCACAAUUUAAAAUUACUAAACACUAAGACAUACAUUUUGAGAUUAACUCUAAUGAGUUAGAAAAGAUGGUAGUGCACCCGACCAUAAUCUAUUCAUAACUAUAUUAGUAAUAUUUUAUUAUAUUUAUAAAUAUUUUUAAUUCAAUUUAUUAUAUUUAAAAAUAAUUUACUUGUUCUUAAAACAACACUAAAUAAGCAAACCAUGUUAAUUAAAUCAAAUAAUAUUUUUAUCACAUGCAUUAAGUCUUAAACCAUAUAAUCAACGAUAAUAUCCUAAACUAAUGUUUCUUCCACUUAAAUCCAAGGAUGAACACACAAAAUCAUGUGAAUUAAUGUAGUUAAUUAAUUAAGAAAAAGAAAAUAGACUUUUUGUUAAUUUUUGGUCCCAUAUCAUUAUUAUUUCACUAUUCUUUGAUAUGUCAUUUUCUUUUCUAUAUAUAUAUACACAAAAAAAGAACUAAAACAAUACUAUUCCCCAUAUAUAGAGGCCCCUAAGAGGGAGUUGCAAUCCUAAUUUAGUCACACACAAAAGAAAGUAAACCAAAAAUAGACCCUACUAAUAAACCAAAAUGGCAACCAAAAAUAUUUUCAUAUACAUGAUAAGGUAAUGGCAAAAUAUAUAUAUCCUGCAUGACCAUACUUUUUUUUCUACUUCAAGUGGGUGUUCUCAUUAUAAAAGCAGUUGGAGAGUAAAGCCAGAGAGGAAGGCAAUAUGUGAAUAAUAUUAAUUUGAAUUAUUAUAUUAUGUGAUCAUAAACUAUAUAGUAUAUAAUAAUAAUAUGUUUACACUUGUUACAUAGUGGGUGACCCAAAAACAAUCAUAUGAAAAAGUGGAGAGAGAGAGAGAGAAAUGAGGAAGAAAAAAAGGAGGGUUUUGUUUCAAAAUUUGAAAUCUCUCUCUCUCUCUCUCUCUCGAGUUGGGAAAAAAAGGAAAAUAAAUAAAAAUGUAAAAAUGUAAAAAUGAAAAUAAAAAUUCAAAGGGUAGGUGGAAGGAUAUGCCACCUUUAUAGUAUAGUCAUUGUCCACGUUUUCAUUUGUACCAAACCUUACCCACCUCUAUAUAUAUAUAGCAAACAUUAUAUGUAUAUUAUGUUAAAAUAUAAGUUUUGGUAACAUUCAAAUUUGAAUCAAAUCAAUGUUUUUACGUUAAUUAAGUUCACUCAGAAUCAAGAUUUUAGGUUUAAAUUUUCCAAUCUCUAACUUAUACUAAGAAAUCAAUCUUUUUACCGUAUAGUUUAAGAAUGUCUAUUUAAAUUUUAAAUUUUAUGUUUAUUAAAUUUUAUAUAAUUUAUCAUUGUGUAUGAAAAGAUAUUUGACUCAUUAUUGUUAUUACUAUUGUUUUUGAAAGGAAAGAUUUUACAUCUUUUAUAAGAUACAUUACAUGUGCAGCUUCUUCUUUUAUGGCCAAUUAGAUUAGAUGUUACUGGUGUUAUUUAAUAUGAAAAACUACAAAAACUAUUCAGUAGUAGGGUAGUACUUGUAAUGAUAUUUUCAAUUUUUCAAUAAUACAACUAGUGAUUAAACUUUUAAAGGUGAUAAAAUUGGACUAAUAUAAAUGAUGAAAUAUGGUCUCAAAAUUAUAUAAUCAAUACAAAAUUGUAAGUUUAAAAGUUCAUUUUUAAACUUCGGAUAAGUUUUGAAAUCUAAUUUUUAAUUUUGAAAGUUUAAGAAUAUCUAAGUGUUAAGUGAUUUUUGAAAUUUAUCAUAUUUAAUAUUAUAAUACAUGAAGUCCAAAGAAGCCAAUAAUCCAAAUAAUCACGAUUCGGUUCAAGAACAGUGAACUAGAAAAUAAACCGUCACUUGAAAGGACAUCUCCUAACUAAUUACAUGAAGUUCAUUUCAUUUAUAAAUGAUUGAAUAUCUUCAUAGACUUAGUUAAAUACAAAAUAAAAAUUUAACAAAGGUAUAUAUUUGACAUUUUUGUAAAAGAAACAUUAAGAACAAAAUUGAUAUUUUUAUAAAGUUUAGUGACAAAAUUGUAAUUUUAACUUCACAUCAUCACAGGUUUACAAUAGCAUUCCUCUCUCCAAACCUUAUUAGUCAUGAUUUCAUAUACCCUAUAUAAUAUAUGAAAAUGAUUGUCACACACACUAAUAUAUAUAUAGAGAGAGAGAGAAAUUUUUGAAUUAAAAAAAGAAAAAUUGAGAAGCCAAAUGUAAAUGUAUUGGAUAUUGGAGAAUCAUGGGUGUGUACGUAGAAGGAAAUUAAAAUAAUUAAAAGAAAAUGAGAAAAAAUAGAAGUCAAAGAUAAAGAGAAAAAGAAUCUAUUAAAUGUGCCCAAAUUUGAAAGAAGACAAAGAGAAGGCUAUUUUUCACUACGCAACACCCUUUCUUUAUUACUAUAUUUUUUUAAUUAUCACGAUAAAGUUACCUCUACAAUUCUCAAUUCUCAGCUUUGGAAAACGCCUAAAUCACAUCAUUUUAUUCACUAAUUCAUUUUUUUUCAAAAAAUUUGACUAAUUGUUAUUACUUUAAUCCAUUGUUUUCUAAAAUAAUACUUCAAGUUGGAAAACUAUAUCAUACCUGCCACUAUAUUAAAUUAUAACAUGUUUUAUAGUAUGACAUAAAAUUGAAUGCCUUAUAAGGAUAUGUCUUAAAUUUUUAAAAAUUCAUAAAUUAAAUGCAUAAAAUUGAAGUUUAAGAAACACAAAAUUAAGAAGAUUAUUGGAAAAAAAAAAAGGAAAAUAUUGAGGGGAUGGUGGAUUGGAGGUUUAGGUUUGCAACGUGUGGGAAGAUGAGAGAACCGGCGUAACAAUGACGGAGUUAGGGGCAGGUUUCUUUUAAUACGAGAUUGGAUGACAAUUAUCAAGGCUUUGACUUUGUGGGUUUAUGUGUUGUGUUUGUUCUCUCUAUUUUACAGACUAAAAUCUCACUUUUUAAUACUGUUUAUUUAUUCUGCAUUUCAUAAUUAUUAUUUCUAUUUGUGUUAUUUUAUAAAUAUAUGUAUAUUAUAGCAAAAAUCUAGAAGAAAACUUUUUAUUGUUUUUCUUCUUUGUUUCAUUUUUUUGUAUUUAAGCUAAGAGUAAACCCUACAGUAGUUGAAACUUGAUUACACAACUUGUUAAUACUAUGUUCAUUAGGUGUGUGAGUUUUAGCCAAGUUUUAUCGAAGUGUAAAUUUCUUUGAAAAGUUCAGUUUGAACCUUUUAUAUGAUAUAGAAGUGGAAAAAUGAUCAAACUAAACAUCUUUUGGUCGCUAUGUAAUAAGACAUGACUCACUUUAUCAUUAUAGUUUAAGACUUAAUUUUAAUCCAUGCAUAUUUCAUAAAUUCUAUAAUAUUGCUAGUCAUCCUUGUUCCUUUUUCUUCCAACACAUUUGUUAUCUAUAAGCAUUAAACUUAGUAAAUAUAAAUAAUUUUUUUUUCUCAACGUAAGGAAUAAUAUUAUAUUAUUCAAGAUUUAUUGAAUGUACAUGAACUAAAAUCAACAUGUUACAUGAUAGGAAGAAUAAGAUUAUAUAUAAAUUUAUAAAUAUAUUGAGAAUGAAAAAUAUAAAAUAAAUGAAGGGUAGCAAAAAUAAAAGCGUGUGGGUAGAUCCUAUAUUAAAAGAGAAAGUAAAAGAAAAUGAAAGGUGAUGGAAUAUUGUGAAAGAGUAAGACAUAAGUAUUAAUUAAGUUAGGAGUAUAGUCAAUUGGAAUUGACCUUAUAGUUGUAAUAUUAAUUAUGUUAACAACGACAACAUAAAUGCAAAUGGGAAAACCAAUUAAUUAAAUGAAAUGAAACCCAAUAAACUAAAAUAAUUAUUUUUAAAAAGGAAAAUAAAAUCCAGCGUGGAAUAAUUAGGAAGGGGGAAAAAUAGAGUGGAUGAAGAUGGAGAGGAGUUUUGGAUGGUACGUGUGAUUGAAUUGAUUAUUCCGCGAUAUCCGUUCACGGGUUUUCACUUUUAAAAUCACUCAUUUUCUCUGCCCUUAUUCCAUACUCACAUCAUUACAUUACUCUAUCAUCCAAUAAUAAUCCUCUAUUUAAUCAAUCAAUAAAUAAAACACUCUUUUUACCCUUAAAUUUUGAUUUCUUUAAUAAUUCUUUUAUUCUUAGUUAUUAUUUCUCUUUACUCUAAAUGUAACUCAAGUAGUUAUUGUAUUCACCGAUCUUAUUAUUUGUUAGCAUUUAAUGGUAAUAGUAAAAUAAAAGUUAAUUCUAACUUAAGUUCUUGGAGUUAAAAUAUCACUAUUUUAUUUUAAGAUGAUAUAGGAAGAAAUAAUAAGAAGAAAUUAAAAAAUUAAACCUAAUUAUAUAAUGAUUAUUAUUUUAUUUUUUUUCCUUUGGGGUAUUGAAUGAAACCAAAAAUUGAAUAACAUGUAUAUUAAAAUAAAGUUAGGAAAUUGCAUGGAUAAAAAUACUUAAAACGAAAGCAAUAACUAAAACAAAUACAUUAUUGACUUAAUACGCAAAAAUACAUAGGCUUGUGAAUAUCAAUAAUGUCCACAAACCCAUACCAAACGUAACUAAUGAAGAGGACCUUAAACAAAACAUAAUUGUUUGAAAUUGACUCUUUUCUUUUUCUCUUUUUAAUUUUUUUUUUGUUAAAUCAUGAAUUUAAUGAUCAAUAUAUUAUAGUUGUCAUGUCAUAUUUUCAAUGAUGAUAAUAAUAAUUAUAUAUAUAUAUAUAUAUAUAUAAAAGAGAAAACAGACGAAAUUAAAAAUAUCAGUAUCAGCUAAUUCCAUUCAUUGGCCUACGUUCAGCCUACGAGAGACCUUCCCAUUUAUUGCAAUAUUCUCUUUUCCUCCAAAUUACCAUGCACAAGCUGUAAAUGAAAUAUAACCCAAAAAACACUGAGGGAAAACCCGAAUUUCACACUCCUUCUCCCCUUUUUAUUUUUAACAAAGAGAGAAUUUUAUUUUUCCUUUCUAAAUUUCAUCGAGGUUUGAGUAUAAAUUUUAGUUUGGUUUAUAAGUUUUAGGAUAUUGUUACAAUUUUAUCUUAGGAUAUUAUGUUACUAAUGCUUACUUUACUAUUUGGAAUUAAUGGUGAUACAAAAGUUAGUGAAAACUAAUUGACCACAGUUAAAUAAAGGUUAGGUUGAAGAUUUUUAAAACUCAAAAAUAAAAAUGUAAUAUUUUUAAAUUUAAAAAUCAAAUAAGAUUUAAAACCCUUCAUACAAAUUUAACUAUUUAGUUUUUAAAAAUGAAGUAUCUUUACCAUCCAUGGUUUUUAGGUUAAAAGAAUGGAAUUCUGAGAUUGAUUCUUAAAACAGAAAAAGUUAUUAACAACUCAAUUUUUAAAAAUGGUUGUGUUUUAGAAAACUUAGAAAGAAAACAUAUGAUGAAAAGAGUCAUAGUUUUUAUUUUUUAAAAAACAAAAACUGAUCCUAAAAAAACAAGAACCGAAACCCAAAGAAUAAAUAUAGUGUAAAAGCAAAAAAAGAAUGGUAGAAACGAGAAGUUAACGGCGUGGCCGCCGACUGAAUUUUCCGUUAAAAACUGCCGUCACAGAACAGAAUUAAAAUAUUAUAUAUGAAAACAAACUCAUUGACCAAAAGAAAAGAAAUAGAAGAGAGAGUUACCGUUUUUUAUUCCCUCUUUUUGAAAAGCCCCUUCCUUUAUAACGGCGUUAUUCAUCCAAAGUCCACUAUAAAUAGAAGCCUUCCAAAUCCACCACUCCCCGGCCAUUUUUAUUUAUUCAAACUCACAACUCACAACUCCAAUCUCUCUCUUCUUUCUCUCUCCAAACGAUCAAAUUUCCUUCUUUUUUUGAAAGAGAAAAAAAUCUUGCGUGAAGGUGAAGUUUGGUAUAUUUAUCAGGAGGAUUAUUGUUUUUUCUUGGAGAUCAAAAUGGGGAAAAAUGAUCAACAACCAGUUCAAUCUGUUCUUCAUCUUCUUCGUAAACAAUCCCCACUUUCCCUCAAACAGGUUUGUAACAAAAAAGAAAACCAAACUAAACCCAUUUCUUAAAUUUUAAUAUAUGUUCUUCUUUGUUUUCUUCAAAUUUAAAAAUUUUAUGGUUUUUUCUUUUUGUAGGAGAAAUUUUGUAAUACAGCUUGUGUUGAGCGGUUUCUGAAGGCUAAAGGAGAUAAUGUGAAGAAAGCUGUUAAGAGCUUGAGAGCUUGUCUUUCUUGGAGAGAGACCAUUGGCAUUGGUAAAUUUACUUUCUUUUCUUCUUUUUUAUGGGUUAAUAUUGAAGAAUCUUGCCUUUUUUUUUUUCCUUCGAAAAUAUAAACGUUUUAAAGUAGUGGCAUGAUCUUCAUAGUAAUGAUUAAAGCUACCCUACGUGAUUCCAUUCCUUUCCUUUUUAAAAACCACAUCACAGAAAAAAAAAAAAAAAAAAAAAAACCAAAACCUCUAUUUACUUUUUUUCUUCUUCCGAAUAUUCUCCUUUAUCUACAGACCAUCUCAUCGCCGAUGAAUUCUCCACUGAGCUGGCGGAUGGCGUCGCCUAUGUCGCUGGUCACGACGAAGAAUCUCGCCCCGUCGUGGUAACCAUUUCAUAUCAAUUUCACUAAUUUUCUUUUCUUAUUGCUCUCUCACAUGGGCAAAAAAGUGAGUUUUUUUGCACUUUGUUUGCAGAUUUUCCGGUUUAAGCAGGAUUAUCACAAGUUCCAUUCCCAAAAACUGUGAGUAAAAUCAAAACUCCCACCCAUUAUAUAUAUAAAAAAAAAAAUAAUGAUAAUGAUAUAAUUCCAAUUUAAUUUUCUGAUAUUGUUUCAUUUAUUCAAAUAGGUUUACUCGUUUGGUAGUGUUCACGCUAGAAGUAGCCAUUGGGACCAUGCCCAAAAACGUGGACCAAAUGAUCAUACUUUUUGACGCAAGUAAGUAAUUACUGAUUAGAAUUAAAUUAAGUUCAAUAUAUUUGAAAAUAAAAGAAAAAGAAAAAGAAAAACGAACGACAUGUCGGAAGGGCGGGUGAGUUAUUUCUGAGAUAUGAUUCAGAAACUGUCCGGUGUGGAACGGCGGUGUCGUUGUCAAUAGCCACCACUUUUAGGGCGGAGGAGUAGGGGAAGGGUAUUAUCGGGAAUUGAAAUGUCUCAAUCGGUAAUGUCUUAGAAUUGGUCAAUUUUCACAGUAGAGUACUACACUUUAGUGGGAGAUUGAACAGAUGAACUAAUUAAAUAAAAGCAGAAACACCCAGAAAUUAACUUUCUUUUUCUUUUUAAAAUUAUGCUCAGAUUUUAAGAAAUGAAAUUUAACUUGAUGAUUGGGAUAAUGGAGUAAAUGUAUUGAAGCGUGGGAAAAAUGCAGGCUUUUUCAGGUCAGGAUCGGCUUUUAUGAAUUUAUUAGUGGGAAUGCUCAAAAUGGUGGCUGAAUUCUAUCCUCAACAACUUCAUUCUGCUUUUGUUAUUGAUCCUCCUUCUUUAUUCUCAUAUCUUUGGAAGGUAUUUUUCUUUCAAUUUCUUUUCAUUUUCAAGCCUCCUCAAUAUCACCAACUCAAAUAUUUCUAAUCUAUAUAAAUUUAUUUUUUCUAUUUUCAGUAGUUUUCUAUUUCUAAUUAUGAAAAACUUAGUAUUGACUCUGCUACUGCUUAUAUGUUUAGGUUUGAGUAUAACUUUACUUUUAAAACAAUUUGUCUUUUGCUUUUUGUUGAGUUGAUUGUUGUCCAAUGUCUACUGUGCUUUUUUCAAAAACCAAAUUUUUAUGCAGCUUCUUUUUGCUUCCUAUGGUGGGUGGGUUUUCUUUUUUGGAGGUUUAUUAUUAAAUAUUAACUGUUUCAGAUACAUUAUUUUAGUUCAAAGACUAUAUUUUCCCCUUCUUUUAACUUUGUUUUUGGCUUUGGUUUAUUUUAUUAUUUUAAUAAAAAGCUUUUGUUUAUUUCAAUUAUAAUUUUACUUUUUACUUUGCAGUUGAUCUUCAUUUGAAAAUUUUAGAAUAAAUUUAAUGUAACAUGAAAGUACAAAUUUAUGGCUUCAAAGAAUUACUUUUAAUGAAAGUGAAUGUAUCGAACACAAUUACUUUUAGAAGUACAGUGACUAAAACCAGUGGUGGUGAAACUAAUUAAAUUGAAUAAAUAUUAAAAGACGUUUACUACUUGCACUUUGUAGAUAUUUGAUUUUGUCAUAAACUACAAAUAGUUUAUAAGUCACUUUUUACCAAUCUCCUAAAAAUAUAGAAACUAAUAUAUAGAGAAACAAAAAAUGAUAUUUAAAUUUUAUUUAUUUUUACUCUGUAAUUGCAAAUACAAUAAUUUUGAUUAUGUUGGUUUGAAAUGGUAAUUUUAGAUAUGGUGUAUUUUUAAAUAUAACAAAAUAUUUAUAAAAUAUAAAAAAAUAUUAUAGUGAUUGUCCAUAAAUUAUUGGUUGUCUAUAUCAUGACGACAAGUAUAGUAUUUUUGGACGAUUUACAUAUAAAUGAUGAUAUUUUAUUGUAUUUGAAUAUGUUUUGUCAUUUAAAAUAACUUUCUUUGAUUUUGGUGGUCCACCUAAUUUUGAAUGAUGAAUUUUAAAAUUUUUAACACAAACUUAAAUUGUAAUCGUAAAUUAUCAUUAGGAUUUAUGAAAAAAUGAGGCGAUUAAUAGGAUUUAAAACAUUAUAAAAAUCGGAUAAAAAUAGUUUUUAUUUUUAUUGAAAAAGCUAAAUUAUAUUGAAGUUGAUAUUAAUAAUAAGUUAAUACGAUGAAACUGCAGGGUGUUCGAGCGUUCGUUGAAUUAUCAGCGGUGACGAUGGUGAUAUCAUCUCUAGACUUUGAGGAUUCAUUAGAGUUCAACGACUUUGCUGCCUAUCCGCGAGCCUCCUCCCUCCGAUUCGAUCAAGCAUCAAUACAAUCAACGGGAAAGAUCGGGUCAUCCGCAUCAUCACGCUUCUCCUUCACCGUAUCCCAUCAUUUUGACUCACUAAAGCCAUGGUACCUCAGUCUAACAGACACGUCAGCGUCCAAAGUAGGACCCACGAGUCCUUCACCACUGGGCCCCGCACUGAUCUCCCCACUCAACGCCCGUUCCCUGUCCUUCGCAUCUCCGGCUGCCAGGAUGCCACGUGGUGAAAUCAACGACUCAAGUAGUUUCAGCUCGAGACUGACAAGGAAAAGCCUGUUCCCGUCAACACCGCUGCCGCCGAGAAGCGCUGCCAUGGACGGUGGUGGUAAGAAGGGUAAAAUCAAAAACCCCCCAAGGACCCCACGGCCGUCGUUCCUCCAAUCGCCGGCGGUUUUCUUCCGAAGAGAGUGCCACGUCAGUAGAACGGAAAGAAACCGGGAAGCUUUCCGGUCUGUUUUGAAAUUCUACAGAAGACCCUACGAUGAAAUGGUUUACAGGUCAAAGAUGAGGCCCCCACUUGGUGGAUUAAUCUCCAUCGUCACACCACAUCUUAGACGUCGACACGUGUCAAUGUCUCAACGGUUCUGAUCCAUUACCCAAAAAGAGAAGAAAAAACAAACAAAAAGAAAAGAAAAAAUCACUAUUUUUUUUUCGCUACCUCUACCACUACACAGUAGUUGGAGUUGUCCCUAUAGACAGACAAGAAGAUACGAAAGUUUAUAACAUGAAUCAAGUGGAAAAAUGGUCAUGAGUUAGUAAAAAUAAUUGACCGAGUUGAUGGGGGUGAAUGUGUUUGAGUAAUUGAAAUGACAUAACUGAGACGGAGUUGGGGGUGGACUGAGUUUGGGAGGACCGAGAUGGGAAAGAAGAAAAAGAGCUUCGAGUUUGAGGACAAGAAGACAACGUGCUAGACGGGGUGUGAAAUGGUGUGCAAAUUGUCCUUUUAUUUUUUUGAACUUUGUGGUUCUUUAAUUUUGCAAAGUCUACGUUUUUGGGGGUUUGGAACGUUAAUAAUAAAAGAAAAAGAGAAAAGAAUAUGCAUGGGAAAUGGGUAGCGUGGUCGAACCGGUGAGAUCAGAUGUCAAGAUUGUUUGAAACCUCACAAAACAGAACACACCAAGUCUAACUAUUUAAUUUCUUGUUAAUCCAUAUUUUUUUUUAUGUAUACAUUAUAUAUAUAUAUAUAUAUAUAUAUAUAUUUGUGACUUUGUGUAUUUAAUUCAUUUGUUAAUUUUGUGAAAUUUUGCAACUCCAAUAGUAUAGUUUUGUCUAUUUUAAGUAAUAAUAUUUGACAGUUAGCUAGAUGUUAGGCUUUUUUGAUGUGACGCUAUAACAUGUAGAAGAAAAUAAACUAGUUACUCAUCUUAUUUUCAAUUGUUUUUUAGAUGAAACUCUCAUCUUAUUACUCAUCAAAGAUAAUAUUUCAAAUGAGUGUUAGAUCCAAUAAAAUAAAAUCAAGAUCCAAUCAAGAUUGUUGAACCUAACUAAACACAACCUCAAAGGGACAUUUUGAGAUGAUCUCAUAGAAGACUCACUCUCAUUUUAAAACAAAUGAGUUACUUUUUUCAUUGUCAAUUGACUUUGAUAUCCAACUUCAUACUAUCAAAUAUCAACAUGAAAUUGUAGUUACAUAAUUCAUUUUUAUCUCAUUAUAGAUGAAGGAUGAAAUAAAAAUCUAUACUUCCGUUACAUUUAUUUUGUGCAACAGCUUAUAGUUUUGAACGAAUAAUGCUUACAUCACCUCUAAAUUUUUCGCAACUAUUUAAUUUAUAGAAAGGAAAACUCAUUCCAUUGUUAUUUUUCCCAUCUAAUACAUUCUACUCACCGCGCAUAGAUCAAGGGACAAAAAAUGAACAGCUUUGACUAAAAAGUUCAAGUUUGAAACCCCUAUUUCAUAUUGUACUCUCAGUUUCUACAUUGAAUACUAUUUGCUGUGAAUAAUGUUACACACACUUUUUGUCUCUAAGAUUCAGAGAAAACUAAAAUUUAAUCUCUAUAAUUUGGUAAAACCUCAAAGACAGUCCAUAGAAUUUUAUAAAUAGUCUCUUUACUGCCAAAUCAAUUUUAAAUUACUAUAUUAGUUUCUGCUUUAACUUAACUUGGAAGACUAUUUGAAUGAAGUUGUUGUUGUUACUAGUAUGUACUAGGAAUCUUCACCACUUUUAUAAUACUAAACUUGGUUUCACUAUCAUAUUUAGUCAAAUGGGUAUUUAUUUAAUAAACGAAUCACCAAGAUUAAAAGAAGAAAGUUUGGACUUUUAUGUCAAAGAAUUCAGAAAAAGAAAAGAAAUACAUGGAACCAUGAGAGAGCAAGUGGGUAGCUGAAUUAGGAAUAUGUGUCGUUUAUUUUUUUUUUUUUUAAAUUUUUUGAAGUUGAAAGAGAAAAGUCAAAAUGGAGGUUUAUGUGAAUAUGAAAAACAGGGUAUUGGGAAUUGAAACAAUGGCACAGCAAAGCACAGAGAUAUAGUGAGAAGAAGGGGGGAUUGGUUCAGACAUAAGAAUCAGAACACAUGUAGUUUUGGAGAGUGAGAUUUUAUAAUGUUGUGUUUUCUUUUUUAAUCUUUUGGUGUCGUAUUCGACAUGUCGUUUUGGAUGAGUGAAUUGGUGCUGUUCUGUUUCUAUUUCAUCCAAAAGAGAUGACGUCGUAAAAUCAGUGGCUCUUUUGUGUUUGGAAUCUAAUGGUGACACUGUCAUCGUCAAAAUCUGUGGUUUUAUUUUCUUUAUUAUAAAGAUGGGGUCCGUAAAUUAGGCUUUAUUACUCGGUUGUUAGUUUUAAUGUGAAUUAGAUGAGGACAAGACAUUAGAGUUUGAAAGAGUUUUUGUGCAGAGGUUUUAUUUGGAGUUUACUAGUUGUAGUGUAGGAGUCUUUGGUUUUUCUUUGCAGUUUUGGUGGGUACUACUCAGAUCUUUUCAAAGGAAUAUGGACACAUCAACAUGAAACUUAUUCUCUCUCUCAAUUUCAUUUUUUAAAAUGAUUUGGACGGUGAGAUGAUGGGUAUUAUGUUGAAAGAGAUUUCUUGAGAAAGUCAUUUGAGUACAUAAAAACAAAUGUUGAUGAUUUUUUAUCGGUACAAAAUUUCUCGUACGUGUAUAAGAAUCAAGGAAAUGUUGAACUCACAAGGAAAUAUUUAGUUCCAAUAGAUCUUAAACCAAAAUUAGUAAGUUCGUAUUUUGGAUGUAGUCAUAAAAUGUAGAUUAAAAAAUAAAAUGAAACUACCUGAUAACAAAUAGAGAUAAGAAUGAUUAUCAAACUCCUUAAUAAACAUGAUAAGUAUGAAAAGAUAGAAAAAUAUAGAGAUAAGAAUGAUUAUCAAACUCCUUAAUAAACAUGAAAAGUAUAAAAAGAUAGAAAAAUAUUGUUACUAAUGUGUAAGUUUAAACGGUUUAAUGAGGUUGAUUUGUUAAAUCACCCGACCUUAAGUUCCCUUUUUAAGAUGGAACAAAAUUAAGCUAAUUAGUAAAAUGGAACAUCUCACUCAAUUAGGAUACGUUCUCUUAAAUCCAAAUGCAUUUGGGGAGGAAGUUCUCUAUCUAAGAGAACAGCGAACAUAUGAAAUCAUCGUGGGUAGUGACUGACAAAUUUUCGUCCUUUUGCCAUUGGUUUAGCAUGAUGAAGUCAUUUUCAAGCUCCCCUAACGUAAACAACCAAGGUCUAAUAUGAACAGUCCAAGAUGUAAGCGAGAUCAUAAAACAUAGUCUAAAAAAAAUUGAGACUAGGUCAUCAUUGCACCACAAAUCUCCUAUCUCUGUCGUAGGGAAUUUGACAUCUAGGGAAUUUUCUGCUUAGACAUCAAGAACCAUAAGAAAAUUAUUUUGGUGAGUGAUUUGAAACAACAAAUUGUUUCCUUGCGUCUUUGGUGCAUCAAGGUCAAGUCAUUGUCAGAUGUCAAGCCUUUAAUAUUAUGAUCAAAGAGAACAUGCUACAACCUAUGGAUACAGUUGACAAGCUUGUGAUAACUUACAACUUAAAAGAUCUCUGCAUAACUACACCAUCGCCAACUUACAGGAGUUCCUACUUAGUUUAUAUUAUAGGAUGCUAUUGACAAUUCAAAACAUGCAGUGUAACAGUUACAACCCACCAUACAUUAUUUCAUUAUGUACCUGUAUUAAACUUAUGAGUUAUAUGAAAGUGUAAUGUACAAACACAACAGCUUGGCCUAGGUAAAUCACCUAGCUUUUCUUCCGCAAUGUAACCAAUUCCAUGGUGGCACCAUAUUUUCCAUGCAGAGCUUCUGCACACCAGCCAUGUCCAUCAUCCACAGUCGGCAUCUUGACUUCCAUGUAAGGAGUUGCAGGGUGUUGAGCACCUGGGAGUGUUGCCCCAGCUAGAACUCUAAGCAUAUUUGAAGAGUCAAUGUCCAUACAAAUUGUGAUUUCAGGGACUCCUUUGGGUGCUGGUGGAAUUCCAAUGAUUUUGAAAUAGCCAAGCAGAUGGUUUUCCUCUGCUCUGGUCUCUUCGCCUUCAUAGACAACAAUCAGGGCCUCACUUUGAUUGUCUUGAAUUGUUGUGAAAACCAACUCCUUGCGUGCUGGCAUUGUGGUGUUCUUGGGGAUAAUUGGAAUGAAACUGUUUCCAUCAGCUCGAAUUCCAAUGGCAAGAGGCGUUGCUUGGAUGCUAAGAAGAUCUAGACUGCCAAAUGGAUCGCCAAUGCCUGAUGCUAUUGCACCUUCUAAAGCUGCACCAGAAACUGCAGCUUCUAAAGGAUCUAUUCCUUCAUAAAGUGCCUUCUUUUUACUUAUUUCCAUCAGAAGAUGUCUGAUCUUUGGAAUAUAUGAACAGCCACCAACUACUACUACAUCACUCAAAUCUUCGAUCCCCAGUCGUGCAUCAUGUAAGCAUUGCUUAACGAGGUUCUCACAUUUCUCGAACACCUUGCUGUUCACCAUCUCAAAGUCCUCUCGGCUAAGAACCUUGCAUAACUUUGACCCAUUUCCCAAGCUGACAUUGAUUUCAACACUAGACUGGAAUGAGAGCUUGUGGAUAGCAUCUUGAGUCGCAACUCGGAGCAACCCCAUCCUUCUGAUCUCAUCAAUUCCACGGUGUGAGAAUAUAGAUUCAGAAUUUGGCAAAAGAUACUUCAUGGUGUUUUGAAGUAGAUCUUCGCCUCCUAUAGGACUGCCAGCCAGGGCUCUGAUCUGUGACACCCCUCCUCCUAUGGCUGACACAGCAACAUCACAAUACCCAGCUCCCAUGUUGAAAAUAAGAGCAAUUUUUUCACUUCCACUGCCCAUGCUGUCAUGUACAGCCUGCUGUUGUUGUUGAGCAUAUAACAAAGCUACUGCUGUUGGUUCAGGCAUCAAUCUAACUUGAAGUCCAGCCAUUGCACAAGCUCGUUCCACACGAGUAAGCUGGAAUCGGCUGAAUGAAACUGGAAUUGUUAAAACAACAUUUCUAAUUGGUCGUUUUAGUUGAUAUUCAGCCAUCAUUUUCAGUUCAACGAUGAAAAUUGCCAAAACUUCUUCAGGAGUUGUAGAUCUCCAUACAUUAUUCACCAAAGCUGCAACAAAUGGACGAACACCAAUGUCCAAAGUUUGCACCAGAAAAGGAAGGCUCUUGCAUGCAUGAACAACUGGGUCAGUGUCAACUCUUCCAAUCAAGCGUUUCAUAUUGAAAAUUGCAGCACCAGAGAGCAUGUCAUACUCAUGGCUUAGCUCAUUACUAACUCCCCCAGAAGGAGUGUCAUCCUUGAAGGUGACAUAUGAUCUCAUAAUUUUCUGGUUUCUUGUGUUCUUAAGAAGCUCUACCUGAGAUCCAUUCCAGACUGCAAUACUACAUUGUGAUGUACCAAUAUCAAUUCCAACUGCAAUUUCUGGAAAAGUUGAUGUUGUUCUAUCUUCCCCAGUAGUUUCACUAUCAGAAGCUACGGUGUAUAUUGGUUCAGCCAUAAUCUGCAUUUUGAUCAAUAUAUAGGUCUAGUUUUCAGUUGGUAACUCAUUGCCAUCACUAAUCAUAGAUUGCGCUAGAGGACAUGAAAAAGAUAAUCAACAAUUCUAUCCUUUAAAAUGGGAUUUAAAGUCCACUCAAUCAUCUCUCGAACACUUCAAAAGGAAUACACAAGAGCAAAAUGUCUAUACUCGUUUUACUUAUAACAGAGAAAGAGGAGAUACACACGUUGGACAAAUAAAGAUUGACUGUAUCACUUCGGAAGGUGUUAUAAACACAGACCAUAUCAUUAUGUAAACUACUCAGGAUAUUUUUUUUUACACAUCAUAGAAAAUACUGUUUAACAUUGAAUUCUAAAUAUGAACACACGUUUGUUAAUCAAAAUUUCUUUCACAUAGGCAGGUUCACUAUACUAUGACAGGAAUUUCAUAAACAAGAUCAACUGUAAUCUACCUCUCUAAUCCAAUUAUAACAUUUCAAACAUCAGCAUACACGUUGAAAUUAAUAAGCACUUCAUUAACAAACACCUUCCAGGCAAUUCCAAACAUCAUUUCUCUACGUAAACAGUAGAAAGCAAGAAAAAGAAUUUGCAUUAAAAAAUUCGCCAAUUCAGCAAAGACUCGGUCACUUUAAUAAUACGAAGGAAAAAAAAAGCAAAAUACAUCAAGCCCAGUCUAGAAAAGCACAAACAGAUUGAAAAUUGCUAACUAUUGCCAAGAAAAUCUAAGAACAAGACAUACCCAGUUCCGUAAUCAACCAAUUGAAGAAAGAAAAAGAGAAAUAACCAGGAACAAUAGCGAUUAAAAUGGUUGAGCCGAGCAAGCAGGUGGCAGAAGCAAGCAACGAGACAGAAAAUUCAGUAGCAGAGAGCUACAAGGAAAAGAGCAAUGAGAAACCUUUAGAAGAUACGAGAUAAGCCGGUGAAGAUAAAGAAGGGGAAAGCGAAGAGUAAUUUAUAAAAGCCAUUGAAAGAAAGCUUGAUCGUCUUCUAGAGCUUCCUAGAGAAAGAGAAGCGAACAAUUUUGGUUUUGAAAAUAGGGAAAAACGAUAGCGGCAAGUUUUACGGUGUGGACGCUUACACUGUGGGAAGGAAUUGGGUUAGAUCAAACGGACAACAAUUGAUCAUCAUUGGACUCGGCAACUAUAACUUCACUUGUUGGAUAAAUCACCAAUUUCUUUCGUUGAAAAUUUUCAACUUUUUAAUACAAUUUUAUUUUUGAGGAUUUUUUUUUUGGGAGUGAAGGAGGGUAGAAACUUAGAUUUAUUUUAAUUUAAUAUUCGAUUUUAUGCUUUUUAAAUAAAAUUUUAUAUCAUCAAAAUUGGUUUUAAAUUGUAUUUGACAGUAAAAAACUUAGGAUGAUAUUGAAAAUGAGAAUAUCGAUUUUAAAUCACUUCUAAAUUAACUUGGAAUUCUGUUUGAUAAAAGUUUCAAGAAAUUCUCUGGUUGGUAGGACACGUAGCAGGCCCAUCGGUUGUGCUUGUUGGGCUGACUUGACCCCGUUUUGGGACCCAGGCCCAAUAAGCCCAAUCUAAUUUGCAAACGCUCUAUGUGAGUCCACAAGGAUAGUAGUUAAGCACCAAUUACAAUUUUAAAAAUUAACAUUUUAAAUGAAGUCAAUUAUUUCCUUAAGAAACAAUUGUUAAUUAUUUCUUGAGGUUAUUAAUAAUAACUGGUAUGAUUUUAUGCCAAAAUUUGAGCCUAAUCUAAUUAAUUCACCUCCAUAUAUAUUUUUAAUGCCAAUAUCAAUUAAAAGAAACGUGUUUGAUAAUGAAUGAAAAUCACAUUCUUCUCAAGUGAAAAGUAAUAGAUAUUAACAUAAAGUCUAGAGUUGAUUGCUUUUCUUGUUUACAUUCCAUGAACGUAACGAGUUAUGGAGUUCACCCUAAAAUUUGUAAUCAAAUCAUGCAAUUUAACUAAGAAAUGUAAUGUCUUAUUCAAAAAUUCAUUUUUAUUUAUACACCUUUCAUAAACUUCUUAAAAUAAAAACACAAUGUGCUUUAAAACUCUUUUUUAAAAGUAUUUGUGUAUUGUGUAUACGAGUUUUUUUUUGUUUGUUAUAUAUACUAAAAAUGUUUUUAUUUAAAUUUUUUCAAAAUUGGUUGAUGGUGACAACCUCUAGAGUUGAUUAUGGGAAGUUCGCUCGUAGAGUUACUAGAGGUGGUGGUGAAAGAUUGACCGACAACAAUCAUUGGAGAAGGUGUCUAAAAGUUGGUUGACGAACUUUCUAACCCUUUGAAAAAGUACCCCGAAAGUUGAAGAAUAGUAAUAAUAGGUGAGUGUUAUUUUAAAUCCUGACCUUGAUCACCAACUAAAGAGUAAUUUGGGUUCUGUGUGGGGCGGUGGUGGCAGAUAAGCCGGAAAAUUUGAAGGAUUUGGAAAGGUACAAGGGAAUGGCGAUGGUGGGAUUGUGGUGUAUUCGUCCAGAUUCAACUCAAAGAACGUCGAUGAAGAAGGUCACCCAAAUGUUGGAAGGCACCGUUGAAGUUGGAACCCCUCCUCUCCCCUUUGUAAUACAUAUAUAUAUAUAUAUAUAUUCGUUUCAUGAAUGUCUCAAUUACAACAAAUAUAUCAAACUUUCAAACAUUAUGGUUUGUUCGAUUGUUUUCUUGUGUUUGGAGACAAUCUCUUGUAUUAUGCAACAUAACAAAUGUUUCUUCAUUUGCUAUUUUGUCGAUUUUCUUUUUUAAAAUUUGAUGGAUAUCGAGUUGUGUUCAAACACUUUUUAUAACAAAUUAGAUUGUUUAUAUUUCUUUAACCAAAUAAGUUUUAUUGAAUAAUGAACCCAACCAUAAAGUAUUUGGAUUGGGUUGGUUCACCUUAAUCGGAUCAUUUAUAUAUUUAAAUUUUUGUCCUAUAAAUAAUUUUUUAAAAAAUUUUUUAAAAUUAUUUUUAUAUAUAGAAUCAAGAUUAACAAUUCAAUAUUCAUCUAGAUUAUCAAAAUUUUCUUAGAAUAAAUUAUUAAAGAAAUUUAUACUUACAUAACUAUUUUAUAUAAGUAUAAUAUUUUAAAAAGAUUAAUGUUAAGUUUGAAGUGGUUGAGUUGUUUUUGGUGAACCAAUGAACUAAAUCAAUGGAGUUGAUUGAAUUUUCCAAGUCAUCGUGUUUUUUUAACAAUUUUAUUAAUAAAUUUGAUGGGUUUGUUAGUUGAUCAAAGCUUUUAAGCCUAUUUUUGAAAAUUAGUAACUAAAAUGACCGAGUUAAAACUUUAGUGAUAAAAUACACAUAUUUUAUUUAAAACACAAGCGAACAAAUUAAACUUUCGAACUUCAAGAUAAAAGGUUCUAAAGACAAAUCUUGGUUAGAAAAGUUAUAUUGUCACGUAGAAAACAAAUGAUAUAAUGACAUAAUAAAAUUUAAUUAGGACUCCACUUUGGAUUGAGUUGAGUAUAUUAUGAAAUUGAUAUGCUGAAAUUAUAAAUUAUUUGUUGGAGGUGCACAAUUGUGAAGACAAAUUUUUCCAAUCAAUGUGCAAAGAAGAAAGAUCUAAAGAUAAGCUUUUAUCCUUUCUCUUUGAUUUUAUUUGGUAGUAGUAGCAGCCUAUAUGCUUUUAUUACCAGCCAUACCUUGCCAAGUUAGGCUUAUACUAAAACCAAAAUUAGUUUGUUGUGAUGGGUAAUAACAUUUUUAAAUAAAACGAACUAAAAUAUUUAUAAAUUAUUGUAAAAUUUUAUAUCUAUUAUGAAUAAGUUAGUGUCUAUCAUUAAUAUAAUCUAAAAUUUUACUAUAUUUUAUAAAUAUUUUCAACGAUUUUUUUUUGUAUUUAUAAUAACGUUAUUUAUAUUAUUAAUUUAAUUUUGUAAUUGUUUUUAGUUAAUUCCUACAAAUUGUAGGGGAUAACGACACUGAUUGAUUUCAACCUCCAUUUUUGAACUUAAAUAUUCCUUUUAAGUUUUAAUUUGGAGAAUUAUAAAAAAUGACAAAUUAGUGAUCUAAGAACAUGAGAUUAAAUUAUAAUUAAAUUUGUGAAAUUUCUUUUACUUUCAAGUUUUUUAAAAGUGAUAUUCAUACAUUUAAAAAUGACUUUGCUUCAUGAAAAAUUACUUCCGAACGAUGAGCAUAGUUUGUGAUGCCACGAAAAACUUCUAAAACAAGAUUACCUAAGAGUAAUUCUCACUUGAUAUUAUAUUAACACUAUUUUAUUUUUUAUGAAAAGAAAAAAUACAAAACUCUCUUGCAAAUUUAGGGAACAUUAGAAAAACAAUGGAUGAUUUGAAAAACGAGGAAGAAAAAUGGUAUCAUUCAAUUGUAAAAAAGGCAAUAAUCUUGUCCUUUUACCUUUCAAAUUCAACAUUUACAUGAAGAAAAAAUAAGUUUGCUGCUAAUUUAGUAAACAAAGCUUUGAUUAAGAUAAUAUUCAAAGGUUAAAUAAUUUGAACCAAAAUCUUUUUUUUUCUCAACAAGUAUAAUUAGGGUGGAUUUUUUAAAACUCGUGGAAGUGUAAAAAAAACAUUAGUUAAUUGAAAUUAUUAAUCAAAAUAAUGUUCAUAGUAUUUUUUUUAAAAAAAAAUUAAGUUAGAAGGGUUCUCAAUAUAAAACACAUUUAAUUUUUCUCAGUAAAAAUAAUCAGUUUCUUUGACCCAAAAAUUGAUGUAUAGUUUGAAAUAAAUUAAGAAAAGAAAUCAAAUUUUAGUUUUACUUGAAUUAGGAAAUGUUCCCUUUUAAAGAUGACAUCAAUUAUUUUCAUAGUCUCUUAUGAGGAGGACAACAACUUAUUGUAAAAUAAUAAUAGUUAUUAUAUGUACUCAACUUUAUACAUUUUAUUUAUGUAAGACGGGUAAAGGACUCUUCUAUGAUUCCAAAAAUUUAGAAUAUAAAUAUUUAUUUUCGAGGGGUUGAAAUAAAAUGGAAAGUGAUUUUCUAUUUGUGUGGUACAUUAUGAAUUUAAAAAUUCAACUUUGACAACCACUCAUGCCUUUUCUAAUUUAGAAGACAUAAAUUUUAUAAAAUAAAAAGAUAAGAAACUAGAGAUGAAAAUCUUGAUGAGAAGACCUAAAAUUGCCACUAUUGGAGGGAAGAAGAAGAGCACCCAUAAUUUCUAAUGAAGCAUGCUUAUGAUAUUAAGAUUCUAACCCAUGAUGUAGAAUGAUGAGAGAAAAUCACUUGAACCAAAUGCCAAGUGUAAUCAACUUUACAGGUCAUCCAAUCCAACAAUGGAAGAAAAAUGGAUAUUAAAAAGAAAAGAAAAGAAAAGAAAGAGACAAGAGGUUGGUUCUUAAGGAGUCUUGUAGGGCUUUGUAGUUAUCAUUAGCUUUCCCAAACAAGAGGUGGGUGAAUCAAAUCAUCACUCCACAAAGGUAUGAUUUUUAAACAUGUUGGUCACAACACUAAUACCAAACCACACCACACCACUCCACCAUUGCCACCCACCCACCUCCAUUUUUCCCCUCUAAAUGCUCUCCCAUGUCAGUUACUACCGACACACCACAUUCAAAAUCAAAACAUACUCCUACAUCAAUUAAAGAAAGAAAGAAAAAACUCCACAAUCUUUAGUUUUUCAAACAAAUUUGUGUAAAUGGAGAGACUGGUUGUUCUAAUGCAUCAUGUUGAUGCUUAAUUUAACUUGUAGUACUGUUUACAUUUUUUAACUAUAUAAUCCGAACUCAAAAUAUCUAGAAAGUGUAUUUUCGUAAUGAUCGCAUGAAAUCCCAAAAAGUGAUAAAGAAAACUCUCGAACAGAUUUGUUUAAAUUUUUUUUUAUACUGAGAUAGAAACAAAUAAAUAAAUAUAUAAUUUUGUUGAGAGGGGUUGGAUGUAGUAUUUGUAUGGUGAUGUUGAUGAGUGGGUUUGGCAUAGCACGCUCUCAUUCAUAUCUUUUGGAGCAAAGAGAAUAUUAUGAUGGUUCCCAUUGCACGCCCUUCUCUCUCUUCCCCUAUUCUCUCUUUCUCUCUUUCUCUCUUUCUCUCUUUCUCUUUCUCUCUAACACACACACACAUAAUAUUAUUAUUAUUCUUCUUAUUCUUCUUGAAGAAAUGAAUUACCUGGAUUUUCGCCUAUUUGUCACCCUCUCAAUCAUCAUCUUUUUAUUUUUAUCUUUUCUCCUCCCAACCAAAUAUUUUAAAUUACAUAUUUGGUCCCUAUGCUUCCAUUAAACUUCAAAUUUAGUCUCUAUCAUGUUUUCAAAGCUGCAUAAAAUAGUUAUAAAUACUAUUUAUAAAAUUUUACGAUUAAAUACUAACUUUAUUCGAACUCGUAGGACUUAGAUGAUAAAAUAUAACUCGGAGUAUUUUUUAACUAUCUAUAAUUGAAGAUUUCGAUACAAAAUAUUGUUUUUGAGAAAUUGUACAACUUAGAUGACAAAAAUUAGAAAAUAAUAUGAAAUUUGAUCAUGAAAGCUAAGAAAUCCUAAGUGAAAUUAAGUUUGUUGUUAAUAUCACAUGCAUAAGAAACGUGUAAUGAUUGUCAUUUAUUAGAUUGGAUAGAAGGAAGAAAGUAAAAACCAUGCGACCAAAUCAUCCUUACAAAAUCUCAAACAUUGGUCUAUGAAAAAACAUUGCGAAAAUCCAAAACGAUUCUUUUUUUUUUUAUUUAAGUUUUCUUUUUCUAUUUUUUUUCCUAAUUUCCAAAUCAAAACCAUACUUUUCUUUACAUUUUCCAUUGCUUUCUCCUUCCUUAAAUACCCCAUCUUCCCUCCUUUCUUCCUCAUCAAAUAUUUCUAUCCUUCUCCUAUUUCUUGUUCUUUCCUCAGAGUUUCUUCUCUCUGCAUCAACAAUGGCUGAUGUUUCCUCUGCUAAUUUGGUUAACAAUGGGAAUGAGCUUAUUGAGAAGGGUCAUUCUUUAAAUGGGUAUCGAAAAAGCUGUUGGUAUGAAGAAGAAAUUGAAGAGAAUUUAAGAUGGUCCUUCGCUCUUAAUAGGUAACCCUUUUUUCUUUUCUUUACAUUUGAUUUCCACACACACAAAAGAAAAAAAAGAAGCCCUGUCUAGAUUUUGUUUAGUAAGGAUUUUGUUUUUAGUUUUCUGUUUUUGAUAUUUAUGUUUUCUUACUUCCAAUUUCUCUGUUAUGAUGUACAACAAGUUUGUUUCGUAAGAACAAAAAACCAAAAACCAAAUAGUUAUGAAACCAAAAUAGUACUUUUUGGGAUUAUUUUAAGUGGGGUUCUUGAGACAAGCUUAUUUAACGAUACUCUCAAUGUUCUUAAGCUGUCUGUUGGAUAUUUUACUGUGGCUAUUUUGCUAGACUUUGUGAGGUCCAUCAAGUUGAAAUAGGGAUGAAAUCUUUUAAAAAGUGAAACACUUUUUCCCUUUCACUUUAAAUCAAUAACUCAAUAAAAUAAUCCAUUGGUCUUGGAAAAGCCAGACAAGAAACCUUAAAACACAAAAAAAAAAAAGAAAAAAAAAAGGAGUUUUAGUUUAGGGAUUAUUCUUCACUACUUGUCUUACAAAAUCUGCUUACUUUGUAAUCUUGUAGUAUACUACAUACUGGAGCUUCUCAGUAUCAAGAUAUCGCGUUACUCGACACAAAGCCAUUCGGGAAGGCGUUGGUUAUCGAUGGAAAACUACAGAGUGCAGAAACUGAUGAAUUCAUUUACCAUGAAUGCCUUGUUCACCCUGCACUUCUCCAUCAUCCCAAGUACUUUGCAAUGCCUAAUAGUUAAAUUAUCCAUAUAGAGUCUUAGGUGUAAAAUAUUAACUAAUAUCUUCCUAUUGUAUGAUGUUUUUUACUCAGUCCAAAGUCCAUUUUUAUCAUGGGAGGAGGUGAAGGCUCCACAGCAAGAGAACUACUUAGACAUAAGACUGUGGAGAAAGUGGUAAUGUGUGACAUCGAUGAGGUUCGAAUUCGUUUCCUUUUCUUCUUUGUUAAUCCAAUAAAAGAUACAAAAAAACUCUCUAAAACCAUGAUGGAUUAUUAAUCAAAUGAGCAGGAAGUUGUUGAUUUCUGCAAGUCAUACCUGAUAGUAAACAAAGAAGCUUUCUGUGAUCCAAGACUUGAACUUAUCAUUAACGAUGCCAGGUUUGGUUUCGAUUAGCACAUUUAAUUCUUACGUUGCUACGGUUGCUAUAAGUUCUGGGGGGUUUAUGUUGCAGAGCGGAGCUUGAGAAUCGAACUGAGCUAUACGACGUAAUUGUUGGUGAUCUCGCAGACCCAAUCGAGGGUGGUCCUUGUUAUAAACUCUAUACCAAAUCUUUCUAUGAGUAUACUGUGAAGCCUAGAUUGAAGCAAGAUGGCAUAUUUAUCACUCAGGUAAGUGUGAGAGAUGAAAAUGAAAGAAGUUUGUGAAUAUAAAUUGAGAUUAGGAACUGAAGUUGUCGAUGUCUUUGCAGGCUGGUCCAGCUGGAAUUUUCAGCCAUACUGAAGUGUUUUCCUGCAUCUACAAUACUCUAAAGCAAGUUUUUAAAUGUGAGAGCAAAACUUUAGGCUAUAUUAUUGUUGCUGACUUUAGUCGAAACUUAAUACUUUAAACAAACUAAUGCAUUGGCUGAUGGUUUUUCUUUAUAAUCUGCAGAUGUGGUGCCUUAUUCUGCCCAUAUUCCUUCCUUUGCUGAUACUUGGGGUUGGGUUAUGGUAAGGAAAAUGACAUCUCUUUUUCAUGCUGGCAUACUUUUUUAACCAAUAAACGAGUUUACAGAUCUAGAGACCAUUCGACAUUUUAAACUAAAUCGUGUUUCUAGGUUGCUUUCGAAGCUAGUAGUGCUUAUGUACACUUGGAAUCACCAUUUAUUACUAUUAAAUGGUUGGUCAAGUCCAUUAGAAUCAAAGUAGAGAAACAAGAUUAGCUACUAAACUGAAAGAAGUAAAGUUUAAGGAAGUUGACAGUAAAUUCUAUUGCACACCCGAGGUCUACUGUCGUUUUACACCAUCCUGGGUUCAGUUGGGUAAUUUGGGGCGGGGUGUGACAACAAUAAUCCGAUAACAUGUAUGUUAUUAAUACAAAACUUUAUCAGUUCAAAACUGAUAAACUUUCAAAUGGGAAUCUAGUUUUCUUUUUUUAUCAUUUGAUUGGAAUGUGUUUUAAGGGAGAUUUUUGUGUUGAAAAUUGCAGGCCUCAGACACCCCUUUCAAUCUGAAUGCUGAUGAUUUGGACCAGAGAAUCAAACAAAGAAUCACAGGGGAAAACAAGUACUUUGAUGGAAAAACAUUCUCAUCUGCCUCUACAUUAAGCAAAGCAGUUCGGAAGUCGUAAGUAGACGUUUUUUCCAUUUUGGUUUUGAUGGGAUUUAUUUGAAAACUUUGGAGAUGUUAAAGAUUGGAAACAAUUUACGCAGACUGGACAACGAGACGCAAGUGUACACGGAAGAAACAGCGAGGUUCAUAUAUGGAUAUGGAGCUGAAGCCUGCAAGCUCAACCAAGUCUGAUAGCUUUUGAUAAAGAGAGGGGAAAGAGAAGAAGAAAGAAAGGGCCCCUAAAUAAGAGACUAUAGGAAUCCAUCAUGUUAGCCUAGAAAUGAAACAAAAUCUCCUCUAGCCACUUUUUUUUUUGUUCCCUCCCUUUCUUUGUGUAUUGUUUUUUUUCUUUUUUUUUUUUAGUUUUGUUUUCUUAUUGUUUGUGUAGUGACUUUAAAGUUACAAAUAUAGUAGUAAUUAAAAGAGGGGCUUUUAGCUUAUAUAUUUAUUUAUUUUAUUAUUAUCCCACUUUUCACUCUUUCUUGGACAAACCCCAAAUAUAACAAAGAUUAUUAAUGGACACGAUAUGGAGAUGAAAUAGAAAUGAACUUUUAGGACCUCUUUGGUAGGUAUAUUGAAAACAAAAAAAGUUGAAUAAUUAAAACAAAAUUGACAAUGUAUUCAAAUUUUAGAUAUAAUGAAAUCACCACAAAUAUUAGUAUUAUUGUUUAUUGAACAAACUCUUUAGUUUUCAAGUUCUAAAAGUUUGUAUUUAUUUUUUUGGCUACUGUUUUCAGUAUACUUUCACAUUUCUUACAAACAUAUAUUUGAAUUCUUGACUAAAUUUAAAGGUUGAGUUUUUAACUAUUAGAUAUGUUAGAUAAGCAUUGUUUUUAUUUUUCUGAAAUUGUGUUUCUUUUUCACAAUCUUUAUAUAUUGAAUGGAUUUGCCAAAGUCCGAGAAAAAGAAACGGCUCCAUUAAUUAUUUUUUUUUUUAUCUCAUGGAGCUAUUUGAGAACAAUUAUUACGGAGAUAGAGAUCGCAGUCAACCAUUAUUAAACUACAAUUCAUCCAAAAUCUUAAACUAGUGGUUGAGAGUACCAAUAAGUGAAAAUCAAUUUUAAUUGAAUAGGAAACGACAAUGAAACUAGUAGCUAAAGAAAAAUUUAAUUAUAUACCUCACCAACACAGUCCAUUUUUUAACUAUCUUUUGUAUCUUCUCUAACGGUGAUCUCCUUUAAAAAAUUUACUUUUAUAUAUGUUUUUUAUCACACAUGGUUGUGAUUUUCUUAAAUAUUUCUAUAUACAUAUAUAUUUAUUUUGUAGAAAUGGAGCAUUCCAAGUGAGCUGUAAUUGAAACACGUGACUCGACUCGAGAUAGCAACGUGUAGGUGCAUAUCGAUUAAAGUUUCCUCGAUGCAUCGAUUGAAAUUUAAGUGUUUAAGAGUGAUUUUUAAAGGAUUAAAGUUUGCUUAAAAAAAUGUUAAUAGUUAUUUAAAAUCAAUACUUAAAGUCUAAAACUAAAAUUUAAAUAAUUAAAUGUAUGUUUCUAAAUAUUUCAAAAUGGCGAACUACACCCCAAAAAAUAUGAGAACAAAAAGUGAUUGACUUUAAUAAAUUCAUAUGCAAGAGACUUUAGUUAAACAAUUUUUUUUAAAAAAUUUUGCAACACUCUUGUAAACAACCUCAAGGGCCGAUCAUAGCUCAACACAAAUCUAAUCCUCAAGUAAUGAUUUUGAAAAAAACUUAAAUGUUAAACAAAAUUUAGAGUGAAGCCUAUGAUAUGGGAGAAUCUCUUGUUUCAAUAUAAGCUGUUUAGGAGAACCCGAACAUUCAUCUCGUGAAAGUUAUGUGUUACGAAAUAGUUAAUGAAAUUAAACAAAAUAACCCAAUUUACCUCAUAAGCAAGUCACAUACGCACAUACACAAAAAGAGAUCAAUUUCAUCACAGAAUUUUCUAGCAUGAUCACUAAAAACAACUGACAAAUUUACAUCUAACACACAAAUCAUAACUCCACAAGACAAAAUCAGAACAGAAGAUCAAGAACAUACACUUAUAAGAAUUAAUAUAAGAGAGUAUGAUUCAUAAUUGACAUCAUAAAGAAAAAGAGCAUAUAAGAACAUAAGAAAUUAAAUUUCUUACAAAUCAUACACUUGUUUUCCAGUGAACUUAACCUCAAUAGGGCUAACAUUCUUCCCGAUAGACCUGAAGUUCUGACCAACUCCUUCCCUUCCUGGAUUCACCUUCUCUGGAUAAACCCCAUCUUUAGGAUGCAAAUACUGAACUUCCCCAUUAGGAAAAACCCUAUAAAAUUGAUACUUAAUCUUAUACUUUGAUCUCAACCUUGUCCCCAAAGCCAAACACUGCUCUUUCCUUGCCAAUUUCAGCAGAUUCGGCCCUUCUCGCAUGAUCGCCGCGCCACCGGUCGGCAUCUCAAAGAUUUGCUCUUUAGGGGAUUCCCAUGUUAUGACAUAGAAUUCCUCCACUUGAGCCUUCCGGAGGAGUCCUCCGGUGCUGCCCGCGAAGAUCGGGGACGGGGUGCUGGGGUCGAGCUCGGGUGGGGAGAAUCCGGCCGGAGCCUCGACAGAAGUCUCGGCUUCGGCGGAGACCUUGAAAGAGCGGGAAGAGGAGGCGGCCUUGAGGUGGGGCUUGGAGGUGAGGAAGGAGAGAGUUGAGGAUUGCUUCCAUGGAAUGGAAAUGCCGGUGGAUUUGGGAGUGGAGAGAGAUGGGGUGAAGAGGGUGGCUUGAGUGGCCAUGGCCAUGGGAUUUGGAGCAGAGGAAGAGGAUUGGGAAUGGUGGAUUGAGAAUGGAGGAUUGAGGAAGAAUAAUAAGAAGAAUUGGAUUUGGGGUUUUUGUGUGGAUGAUGGGAAUUUGGAGAGUGGAUAAGAUGAUCUUUGGUUGGCCAAUUAGAAUGAGAGUUUUUGAUAUGGAGACCUCACCCACAGCUUUUAUUUCAUCUUCAGUUCAUUCCAACUCUGUUUUGUCAAAAUUGGAUUCAAUAUUGAUAUUUUAUUUUAAGUUCCAAACAAUAAAUGAAAAUACCUUUAGAUGCAAUCUUCAAAUAGAAAACACAAUUAUCUCUAAUCAUACCAUUUUCAAAUAAAGCCAUGAGAUUAUAUUAAAAAAGUGGCAAUAAUACUAAUGUGCACGCAAAAUGACUGCCAAACAUAAGCCAACCUAUUUCAAAACGUAUGUCAUCAACAAAAUCUAACUUAAACAAAUUCAAUAUAAUUAGACUCGAGAAAGAGUGUGGAGAGAAAAAAAAUACUUUUAAAGUAUUAACCUUUCGUAUGCGUUUGUGGGAGGGAAAGAGUUAUGCAAAAAAAAGAGUUAUGUGGAAAAAUUAUUAUAAUAAUUUAUUGUUAUGAUAAUAUGUAUCUGGGGUUAGGUUAUUUGAUUGUGUUAUGGUAAUAUGUGUUUUGGAGAAGAAAAAUGAAUAGCAGUGUUAUGAUUGUAUGAGUUUGAGGGAGAAAUUAUAACAGUAAUGUUAUGUUAAUAUAUGUAUGGGAGAUGGAUUAUUUUGAUAAUAUUAUGAUAAUAGGAAGUAUGGAAAUUUGCAUAGUGAUGAAAAAAUGGAAUAGAGAAAUUUACAGGGUUGGAAAAAAUGGAAUAGAGAAAUUUGUAGGGUUAUGGAACAUAGAGUAGAAAAAUUUAUAGGAUUAUUUAACCCUAAUUCCGAGUUUCGCAAAUCCUUAUUGGACCCAAACCCUUCUCUAAUCGCCUAAAUAUCCCCGGCCCAAACACACCCUUCUAGUUUAAAGUGUACGUUGAAGUUUUCAAUGUCUUACAACUAUUUUUGAACCGUAUUACAAAUUUACCUUAUUUUCUAUAAAAUUUUCAAAGUUUUAGACACACGAUUUUUUAAUAAAAAUUAUAUUUUAGAAAAUGCCACGUGUUUAGGCACUACUUGGGCUCAUUUUUCUUUUUUUUUUAAAAACUAAUUAUUAAAUCUAUUUCUUCCUUAUAACAAAUCCCAACUGUCUAUAGAUGGUUGCAUUAAAAAUCUCAAAAAAAUAAACCAAAAAUAACAAAAUCCAAACGAUAACAAAAUUUUAAAAUCACACUCUUUGUUAUAUAAUUAUAAAUAGAGAUCAGUGGCCAUGAGUAAAACGUUAGUGUUAAAAAAAAUGGGUUUUAGUAGAAGUUUUAUUUUAUUAAACUAUUUUCUCUUCAGUGUUGCCCUAUUUUCUUCUGCAAAGAAAAUUUCAGUUACUUAUGAUGGAAGAUCUUUGAAAAUAAAUGGAGAAAGAAAAAUUAUCAUUUCUGGUGCAAUCCAUUAUCCUCGUAGCAGUCCUGGAGUAAUUUUUCUCAUUUAUUAAUCUUUAUAUAUAUUUCAUUUACCUAAUUUAACUCUCUAUUUUUCUCAUAUACUUUAUUAAUUUUAGAUGUGGCCAAUGUUGAUGAAGAAAGCAAAAAAUGGUGGCCUUAAUGCAAUUGAAACCUACGUAUUUUGGAAUGCCCAUGAACCCCAACGUGGCCAAGUACUUUUUAUCUCAUUAUUUUUAAAUAUAUAUAUAUAAUGUGAAUUAUAAUUCAUUACAAUUUAAUGGAUUCAUUUCCCUUUUUAUUUUUCCUUUCAGUAUGAUUUUUCAGGAAAUAAUGAUCUAGUACAGUUUAUUAAAGCAGUACAAAAAGAAAGGCUUUAUGCUAUUCUAAGAAUCGGACCUUAUGUUUGUGCCGAGUGGAAUUACGGGUAAAUAUAUAUAAUUUACUUUAUUAUUAUUAUUAUUAUUAUUAUCACUCUUACUUAUUUGUAUUUAUUUCCUAAACUAAUUUAUUUUGAAAUUUCUUUACAGAGGGUUUCCUGUUUGGUUGCAUAAUCUUCCAGGCAUUAAGUUCAGGACCAAUAAUCAAGUUUAUAAGGUAACCUUUUUUCUUUUUUCUAACAAAAAAUCAUUUUUACUAAUUAUAAGUCUACAUGCUGAUAUUUUUUAAAAUCAAUUAUAACAAAAUUUAUUGUGAUUUUAGGAUGAAAUGGCAAAGUUCACUACAUUAAUAGUAAACAAAAUGAGGGAGAAUAAGCUAUUUGCAUCACAAGGAGGACCCAUCAUUGUUGCCCAGGUUUGUUUUGUAUUUUUAUUUUUUUUUUAAAAAAAAUCAUUUAAUUAUAUAUAUAUAUAUAUAUAUAUAUAUAUAUAUAUUAAAAAAAUUAAUAACAUGUUUUUAAAAAAUUAGAUUGAAAACGAGUUUGGAAAUGUGGAAGGAUCGUACGGACAAGAGGGAAAAGAAUAUGUGAAAUGGUGUGCUGAGUUAGCACAAUCUUACAACCUCAGUGAACCUUGGAUUAUGUGUCAACAAGGAGAUGCUCCUCAGCCCAUUGUAUGCAUUACCAUUACACUACCCCUUUCUCAAUGUGUUCUCUUUAUAAUAAUUAAAAACUGAUUUUGUUUCAUCUAUAUUUAUAAUUGACAGAUUAAUACAUGCAAUGGCUUUUACUGUGACCAAUUCAAACCCAACAACAAAAAUAGUCCUAAAAUGUGGACUGAGAGUUGGGCUGGCUGGUUUGUUCUUUGACCUUGACUUAUACGAAUAGUGAUGAUGGAAAUGCACUUCAAUAUUUUUCAGUAAAUAAUAACAAAAUUACUAACACUAGGUUCAAGGGUUGGGGAGAAAGAGAUCCAUAUAGAACGGCGGAAGAUCUUGCCUUUGCUGUUGCACGUUUUUUCCAAUAUGGUGGUUCCUUGCACAAUUACUAUAUGGUAGUUUCGUAAGAUCACUAAUUUCUUUUUCUUAAAAAGAAUCGUUUUUUCCAUUCCUUUUUACCUAAUUUCGUUUAAAUAUAUGUAUAGUAUCAUGGUGGAACGAACUUUGGUAGGAGUGCAGGAGGUCCUUACAUUACUACAUCUUACGAUUACAAUGCACCGCUGGAUGAAUAUGGUACAUUAUUAAUUGUAGAUUUUUUAUUUUGAAAAUGAGACCCAUUUAAUAAAAAUGGAAAUUAAACUUGAUUUAAAUAUUGUUAGGGAAUAUGAACCAGCCAAAAUGGGGACAUUUGAAGCAACUUCAUGAACUUAUCAGGUCUAUGGAGAAAGUUUUGACAUAUGGUGAUGUCAAGCACAUUGACACUGGUCAUUCGACAACGGUGAGUAUUUUAAAUAUAUUGUAGUUUGUGGUUUGGAAAAUUUGUUAAAGUUAUUGACUGUGUGGCCAAUAUUUUGUAACAGGCAACAUCUUAUACCUACAAAGGAAAAUCAAGUUGCUUCUUUGGAAAUCCUGAAAAUAGUGAUAGAGAAAUUACCUUUCAAGAAAGAAAGUACACUGUUCCUGGUUGGUCUGUCACUGUUCUUCCUGACUGCAAAACCGAAGUUUACAACACUGCUAAGGUAUAAACAAACUAAUCUGUUUGUUGAUUUUUAAAUUGAAAAUUGGCUGUUUGUUUGCCACUUUUCUGACUGUCAACCCAUACAUACAUUUUGGUUUUCUUAAAAAACAAACCAUAUCUUGGAUGGGUGAUGGGUUUGAGUUUUCUAUUUUAAAACUUUCUUUUUUGUUGCACCCCUAAUUAUUAUUAUAAAUUUGAUGUGUUCUUAUUAUUUCAUGAACAUUAGGUAAACACUCAAACAACAAUAAGAGAAAUGGUUCCGAGCUUAGUAGGAAAACACAAAAAACCAUUGAAAUGGCAAUGGAGAAAUGAGAAAAUUGAGCAUCUUACACAUGAAGGCGAUAUAUCAGGAAGUGCUAUCACUGCCAAUAGCCUUAUUGAUCAAAAGAUGGUCACAAAUGAUAGCAGUGAUUAUUUGUGGUACCUCACCGGGUAAUUUUAACUACUUUAAUUUCCCCUUUUUUAAUUUUUCAUAACCAUAGAAACUAAAAUUAGGUAUAAUAAUCACAUUUUAAUCCCUUUUGGCCCCUCAUUUUUCAGAUUCCAUCUAAAUGGAAACGAUCCACUCUUCGGCAAACGUGUAACAUUACGUGUUAAGACUCGUGGCCAUAUACUUCAUGCCUUCGUCAACAAUAAACAUAUUGGUAAUAAAUUCACUAUAAUCAUUCUCAAGUAAUCUACUAAACUUUAUAGUAAAAAGUUCAUACAAUGUUACUUUUUUUUUUCAGGGACACAGUUCGGUCCAUAUGGUAAAUAUAGUUUCACAUUAGAGAAGAAAGUAAGGAAUCUACGGCAUGGAUUCAAUCAAAUUGCCCUAUUAAGUGCCACCGUUGGAUUACCUGUAAGUACUUUUAAAUAAAUUAAACUAAAUUAAGUUUGCUAAAAUACCCCUCUUGAUAUAUAUGAAAUUUUUACACAAAUGCAGAAUUAUGGAGCAUACUAUGAAAAUGUUGAGGUGGGAAUUUAUGGGCCUGUUGAAUUGAUUGCUGAUGGAAAAACCAUAAGGGAUUUAUCAACUAAUGAAUGGAUUUACAAAGUUGGUUUGGAUGGUGAAAAAUAUGAGUUUUUUGAUCCUGACCAUAAAUUUAGAAAGCCAUGGCUAUCUAACAAUCUCCCAUUAAAUCAAAAUUUCACUUGGUAUAAGGUAAAAGGAAAAACUCCACCCUGGCCCUCGACUAAUUUAAUUUUAGAAGUUUUAUAAUAUGAUUGAUUUUGAUUAUAUAUUAUAAUGUUUUUGAUAUAUAUAUAUAGACUAGUUUUUCAACUCCUAAAGGACGUGAAGGAGUGGUAGUGGAUUUAAUGGGUAUGGGAAAAGGUCAAGCUUGGGUUAAUGGAAAAAGUAUUGGAAGAUAUUGGCCAAGUUAUCUUGCUACUGAAAAUGGUUGUUCUUCAAGUUGUGACUACCGUGGGGCUUAUUAUGGUAGUAAGUGUGCUACUAACUGUGGAAAGCCGACUCAAAGAUGGUAAGCGUAUUUUGUAUGUGCAAUUGAUUAAUUCAUUGAUGAACUCAAAAACUUAUAUAAGUUUGAUUAUUAUUAGGUAUCAUAUUCCGAGGUCGUAUAUGAACGACGGAAAAGAAAACACUUUGAUUUUGUUCGAGGAAUUUGGUGGGAUGCCAUUGAAUAUAGAAAUUAAAACAACGAGGGUGAAGAAAGUUUGUGCAAAGGUUGACUUGGGAAGCAAACUGGAGUUAACAUGCCAUGAUAGGACUGUCAAAAGAAUUAUUUUUGUGGGAUUUGGGAACCCUAAGGGCAAUUGUAACAACUUCCAUAAGGGUAGCUGUCAUUCGUCAGAAGCCUUCUCAGUUAUUGAAAAGGUUAAAUUUAAAAUGUUUUUCAAAAAAUACUUUAUUGCUAUUACCAUUGUUCUUAUUAUUAUUUUGAUUAUUAUUUUCUUUUGAUUUACACAGGAAUGUCUUUGGAAAAGGAAAUGUUCAAUUGAGGUUACAAAAGAUAAACUUGGACUUACUGGUUGCAAGAAUCCCAAAGAUAAUUGGCUUGCUGUUCAAGUUAGUUGUUAGGGAUGUUUAUUAGUUAGGUUUUUAGAGUUGCCAUUCAGUUAGUUAAUCUCUCCUAAUUUAUGUAAGUUAGAACUAAGCUUUUCUAAGCUUAGAUGGUUAGGUUUAAUAUAAUAAUUUCAAGUAAUUUUAUUCUAUGUUAAUAUAGUUAAAUUCAUUUCUCUUUUUUUCUUCCCUUUUUUCCUUAAACCCACUCCCCCACAUAUCUUAUUAUCAACUCAUAGGGUAUCCCUUAAUUGAAUUGGAGUUCAACCACGUAAAAAAAUAGCUUUAGAGUUAAUAUUGAAGUGAGCAUUCUGACUUGCAAAGUAAAUGUAGAGUUCUAAGUAUGUUCUUUAUAAUUUUUGACCAACUAAUCGCUUCGGUUAUGGAUUUUUGUAAAAGUUUACACGGAUCGCUUUGGUCGGCCAUGAAUAUAUUUGAAAUUUGAAACCAACUGGCUGAAUAAGAUUUUUGUAGAGGUGACAAAUAUUGAAUGACUAAAACCUACAAGAAUCAAUAACGAAUUAAACCUACUUGCUUAUCAUCCUACCAGUGUCUUUUUUGGGGUUUUAUCAAACCAAAUUCCAACAAGGUCGAGAUUGUUGGAAAGACUAUGGAAACCGAAGGCAAAAUCUCCAGAUGGAGAAAGCCAAGAAUGGUUAGUCCUUGUGGAGUAUAGUAUUCAGAUGGAGUUGAAGAUCAUCAAGUUCUGAAAAUUUGGUUUGAAUUUGAAAUAAAGAGUAUUUAAAAGCUGCAUUUGCCAUGGCAUCAUUUUGAUUGGAUUGGAUACAGCAAAAUUUUGACUUGUAAGUCAACAAGAAAGUUCUCGAAAAAUCAAGGAGAAAGAAGAAAGAAGAAAAGUCAUGGAUGACUUUUGAAUUUGAGAGUGUAGAAAGCAAUUAAGGAUAAAUCCAACCAAACAAUUGUGUUACGUAAAAUACUUCUACAAGACAGAUACUUACAAGAAAAGUCACCGGUGUUGCUACCUUGUGGAUUUUCAUUAUAUUCCUCAUGUGUAAUGAAGUGGCUCAUAAGCUUGCUCGUUAAACAAAUAAGCUUACCACACUUGAAAAAGUGUAUCAUCUAGCUGAUUCAAUAAGCUACUUCCAUAAUAUACAAGCUAACGUGUUUGCAUCGACUUAUUAAGUAUACGCAAAAGCACUUUUUAAAAGCUUAAAAAGUUCAUCUCCUUGUACAAAUAUCAUACAUGAUUUUGUCCCUAGCAAAGAUGGAACAUUAAAAUUCAUAGCUUCCCAAUCUUAUGUUUCUAAUCUUAAGCUACACACGACACCCUUUGUGCAUGGCAACCGGAGGGUUAUUGCUUUGUCCUCAUUCGCUCUUCUAUCUCUGUUGGUGGGGGUGAGAGUUCUAUUUCUGUUUAGUUCUCGGAUUGGUUCCCCUCAAAUUUUGUUUCCUAGGUUUCUAAAUUUCUGAUCUUAAGCUAUACACUACAUCUUUUGUGCAUGGCAACCGGAGGGGUUGCUUUGUCCUCAUUCGUUCUUCUAUCUCUGUUGGUGAGGGGUUGGAGGUUCUGUUUCUAUUUCGAUCCAGUAUUGGUUCCCCUCAACUUUGUUUAGGGGGCUAUGUUGCUGGUUGGCUGUUGCUAUACACUGUACACCCAUACUCUUUUGAAACUUGUCUCUAGCUAAUCUGAGUGGAUAUUACAUCAUAAUUACUUAAUCAAUACUAAUUAAAACAUUUAACCAUGCAAUUGUAAAUAAUUAUCUGUUUCAACCAAAAGAGGGAUUCUCACUUCAAUACUUUCUUCUACCAUUGUUGUCCUUUCAAAACUUCUAGACUCCUUCAUUGCUUUAGAAUCAUGGCUUAUUAAAUCUCUCAUUCUUUCUGAUCUCACACAACUUACAACCCAAUCCACAAGCGUUGUUGCAUCAUCAUCUCCUUCUGUUUCUUCUUCAACAUGCAUUCUACAAAAUAUGGUCUCUAACAGCAUUACUCCAAAGCUAUAAACAUCUACUAUUUUUUGUAAUUGCUGCAUUCUUCAGCCCUUUUGGCAUCAUAAAUCCCAUUGUUCCUCUUAUCAUUAUUGUGGCUAUCCGUAUCUGGUUUUUCUUCAUAAGUUUCGCUCUAAGUCGAAAUUCGAGAUUUUCGCUGUGAAAUUUUUCGUCAAGGAGAAUCUUUUGUGGCUUGAUAUCACAAUGGAUGAUAUGGGUCUCGUACUCUUCAUGUAGAUAUAACAACCAUUUUGCUCUGUUCUCCCAUUUAGCCUUUUGAAUAUCUCUCUCUUCAAAUAGGAAAUUUGAUAGAGGACCAUUUUUCAUUAGCUCAUAAACCAAUAACCGAUGAUCUCCUUCAUUAGUUAUAAAUACAAUAAAAGAAAAUUUGGCUACUUCCUUUGUCAAUGAACAGUCAAAGCUGCUGACUUUUCUUGCUUGGAUUAGAAAAAUACAUGAACUUGAUGUUUCGUCUUAAUGUUAUGCCUUUAACCCAAGAAAAGAACAAUUAUCAAUGAUAUAAAUUAAUAAUCAAAUAUCAACAUUUAUCUUACAAGUGUAGUUGAGUCAAAGUCAAAUUAAUAAUUUGGUCUCGUGAUAUAAGUUUAGGUCUUUAUCAAAUUUGAGUUUUCUUUGUUAGAAAGUUAUAUGUUAUUUAUUAUAAAUAAAAGUUUCACUACAAGAAGAGUGGUCUACGACGAUAGUUGUUUUCUGUUGCGAAUAAAAUCCGUGACAUUUAUUUACAGUCAUGGAAAGUCAUUAACUACUAUUUUAUGACAACAAAUAACUGUCAUAUUUGAUAUUACGACAACAAAUAACUUCAUCAUUUGCGUAUUAACGACAGUUUAAAAAUGUCGCAAAUUCGUUUCUUAUGACUUUUUUUAAAUGUCAAGGAUAUGUCAACCGUGACAGGUUUUUAGAAAUUAAAUGACAUUGUUUUGCUAUUGACGACAUUUUUUUCUGACAAUUUUUUUUAUAAAACAAAUGUCAUUGUUUUAAUAUUGACGAUAAUUAUGGAGUAUAACGAAUUCAUAAAUUAUGACAUUUAUCUCAUGUUGCAAAUUCUUCAACUACUACCGUUUUUCCUAUUCUCCUUGUCGAACCAUUUGAACGACAAUAAUGUUAUAAUACAUAACACUCAUAUAGAAACAAAUGGUUGACACUUUAAUAUAUACACACUAUAAUACACUUUGUAAUAUUCGUACAUUUCCAAUCAAGUUUGAACAAUUUACAAGUAUAGAAUUACAACCCUUAAUCAAAACUAGUGUAAAUACCAUCAUAAUACAUAUAACAUAAUUUUUUGUACAAGCAUAAACAACCAACCGGUAAUCCUUCACCUUUGAAAACAUUCUUUGUUGUUUGAACCAUGGUCGAAUUCUUCAUUUCUAAAAAAAUCAAAAAGUGUUAUAUAAAACAAUUUCUCCAAGUUGGAUUCAUUGCUCCAAUAGAUUCUUCCAAACCUAGUAAGAAAACAAAAUCUCAUUUUAGAAUAUGUCUAAAGAAUAUCUCAACCCUUCAUUCCAGCCCCCUCCCAACACAAUAAAAAACAGUGAAAAUGGCACACACAUAACAUGUCUUUAGCCAAUAGGAAAAUUGAAAAAAAGACUACUACCAUAACUGCAUGAUAGUCAUAACACUUCAUGUAUUUAGGCUCAAGAACUACCAGAACACCCCCAAAAAAGUAAACUCACACCCACACACUAAGAGAGAGAACCUGGAAUUCUUUGAAGAUGAGGAUAUGUUAACAAGUCUUUUUAUUAGUUAACAAUCAUAUGUCAUAAUUAGAUAUGACGAAGAACAAUAUACCAUAUGAAUGAAACAAAAUAGUAAAAGAUGUUAUAAUGAAUUGCUCUUGUGAAAUUCCAAAUGUUGAUCAUAAAGUAAUGUUUAUAGUUCUCUUGUCCAAUUGGAACUCUGUGGUUACAACAACACGGUGGAAUGAAUAACAAGGAAGCACAUUCUUUUUAACUUAGCAAUCAAUUAAAGAAAAAUAUAUCUCAAAUGGUUUAAUUGAAAAAAAAGUGUGGAGGACAGAAGGAAAGAGAAAAGCAUACCUUGUAACCAUCUCCUAUAAGCAAAUCUAACUCAGAACAUGCAAUUACUUAUAGUAAAAAUCAGUUUUUAAAAUUGAAAAUGUUGCUAGGUUGCAUCUCAACAAAUCAAAGUGCAAGAUUAUUCAAUAACAAAGCACAUAAGACAACAUAGCAAUAGAUUGUCAAACAAAAACUACAUAAUAUGUUCAAGUACAACUGCAUUUACUAAACCUUCCUACAAACCAAACGUGAAAAUGACUAGAAACAAAAGAUAUAUCAAAUUUAAAGUAGAACCAUGGACCAAAGUCCAAUGUGAAAAUGUACAAAACUAUUCAAAAAUGGAGAUAAUAAUUAGGGUUAAGAAGAAACAAAGAGCAAAGGAGAAAGAAAGAACCCGUAUUUUCCCUUGCGGCUACUGCAACUACACAAGGUGGAUGAAAACAUGGUGGGAUUUGGAAAUCGUUGCUCAAUUGAGUGCAAUAUAAAUAACGUGUGUCUAAAUGAUAAAAUUAUAAACAUACAUAAUACAUAUAUAUUUCAAAAGAAAGAUGUGAUUAAAGUACAUACCAAAAGAUAGACAAUGACCAAUUGGUCUAAAGUUUAACAAUGAGGCUUCAGUGAACUAUACCUUGAGGAUAAACCCAAUGAAAAAUGAAUCAAGAGGAUAAACCUAAUGAAAAAUGAAUCAAAGUAUAUGACAAAUCCCAACAGAAAAUCAACAAAUGAUAAAAAAAAUGUAUAUUUUUCUCCUAGCAGUAAGAACACUAAAAUCAUGAAAUAAUUGACAUGUAAUUUGACAAUUUGGAGGUCAUAAUGGAAUAUUUUGCCCAGAUCAAUUAAACAUGAGUCACAUAUGUGAAAUUUGUAUAAUAUUGGCAACUGACCUUAGAGAUUGAGAACUAGCAAGGUCACCUCAAUAAUUGUCACUAAACCCAAACUGUGUUAUCAACAUCAAAACAUACUACAUUUGCACUUCUCCACCGUUCCAACACCUUCGAUAUUUUAAGAGUAAAGUUUAACAUCACUAACCAAAAAAGAGAUAUGAAAGAAUAUUUACCAACAUUAGGUUAAUUAACUCAGCGGCAAUCUAAGAAAAGAUAUCAACCAAAUACUUAACAAGUGGAAGAGAGAAAGAUAAGAUAAUUACAUUGCUGCAAUGAAGAUAUGCUACAAAAAGGGUCAUAUAGAAAGAGAUAUACAGUCAUUGAUGGAGAUUUAGGAGAAAAUUUACAUGAUAUACUGCCUAUAAAUAGAAAUGUUAUAUGCUUAAAAAACUGUUUGUUACAACAAUGGCUCUUGCUCAAAAUUUAUCAUUUGUGCAUAGUAAGAUGGUACUAUUACAAAAUUUAUCACAACAACUUCAAGUCAUUUCCAGUAUGUACACUUUAGGAUGAAAAUAUAAAGUGCAACUCUCAUACAUAAAUAUAUUCCAAAUACUAGUUUUCUCACCUCCUCGAUCAAAGUUUUUUUCUUCUAUAUAUAUCUAGAAUUGAAUAAUAUGCAAACUAGCUCAAAUUUUCCAUUCUAUGCUUCUUAUAAAAUAUGAUAUUCAUAAAAAUGAUAAACAAUGGACAUUUCAAUAUAUUAAACAGUCAAAAGAAACCUAUCUAAACAAUGGCUCCAUGAAUAUAAACAGUAAAAAAGAACCUAUCUAAACAAGGGCUCCAUAGACUUUUAUACUGUCAAAUGAUAUUAAACAAAUUGGUUAGACUUAUGCCUCAAUAGUUAUGCAAAAAGAAGAUGAACAUUUUAGUGUUACCAAGUCUUUGUGAGUUGGACAUUAGAUAUGUAUUGAAGAACAUUUUGGUAAGCUAAUAAACAAUAGACACAUACAUAUCCGAGACAAAUACAAAUACAAGAACUUUGAGAAAUACAUUGAACUCAUUUCUCAAGGCAUGAGCUCAUUGACUUUUCUAGUAUUAAGUUCUAUAUAUCACUAUUAUUGUUGUUUCAUUUUGUUUGAUAAUUUGCUAGACUCCAAAAAUCAAUGACUUCAUCACCUUCAACAAAUAAAGGUUCACAAAGUCCAAGUAUAAGUAUCAACUCCAAUUGUAAGCCCAAUUUCAAGUCCAACUCCACACUCAACUCCAUUUUAAAACCCAAUUUCAACUUCAUACUCUUCAAUUGAUGACAAUUUGAUUGUUGAUUAUUAUUUUUGUUCUCGUUGAAAGUAUUGGAAUGAUCUUUAAAGAAGAUAUUGACAUUGGUUGUUUUGAGAUCACCCCCAAGUUGUAAAAUUAGGGUGAUACAUUUAGGUUUAAUAGCAAAUGUCUUACCUCACAAAUAUCAUGCAAUUACGAUACAACUCAAUAGCAACCAUAAACAAAAUAUCAAUAGAAAAAUCAAAAGUACUCAAAUUCACUUGGAAAACGCAUAGACAAACAAAAAGACUCUACAAACCAUCAACGUUUAAAAUCUCACAUUUCAUUUUUCAUUCUCUUUUUCUCAAAGCUUCAGCCCAUAGCCAUGAAAUCUUCCUUGGCCUUGAUUUCCUAAUUCGAACGAACAAAAAUCAAUUAAAAAUCAACCAAAUGCUUCAUUGAGGCAUUUCAUCAAACACAUGGUAAGCUACCAAAAUCCUUCAUCACAUAGUCAACCAUAAAGAAAAAAAUGUAGAUUCAAAUUAGAAAAACAAUCGUAAACAACAAUAUUGAAUAGGAUGGUAGACAAAACAAACACAUAUCUCCUAUAAAAGCAAAAGUACGAGGGAUGUUUUUCAUAAAAAGAACCAUCAAUAUAUCCCAUUGUGGGUAAAGUGAAAGCAUUUGAAGUUAAUAUGCUGUAUAAAUACAAGCAAUAGAAAUAAUGGUUGAGAUUCAUCAGUGAGUUAAGCGGUGCAAGGGAUGUUGGGUGGUGGCGUCGGCUGAAAGAGAGAAAGAGGGGGAUUUCGGGUGUCGUUGACAAAAAGUCUCGUCGUUUUCGGCAUGAGAGAGGGAGAGAGAUGGUUAGUGGAAGGGAGGAAAAAUUGAGGAGGGGCGACAUGUGGAUCUUCCACAAAGAAGAAGAAAAAAAAGAAGAAGAAGAGAUGAAGAAGAGAAGAAGAGAAGAAGAGGAGAAGAAGAAGAGGAAGAGGAGGAGGUAGAGAAACGGGUUUUGGAGAUGUUUUUAUUUUAAUAAAUAAAUUAUUUAAUGAUUUUAGAAUUACAAAAAAUCUAAUUUUAAUAAACUUUUUAUUUAAAAUAAUUUUAUUUUAAUAAAUUAAAUAAAUUAUUUUUUGUAUCUUUUAUGAAAAAUUCUGUAUUUUAUCGCCAAAAAUGACUGUUUUUUAACUUUUGUGAUAAUUUUUUAUUUCCUCCUUUCAAUUUGGGAUGUAUACAACUAUCAUAGUAGAUAGUUUUUCCAAUUUGUUUCACCUUUAUCAUCGAUAAAUAAUAGUUAUAGUAAAUUUAAAUAAAUAAAUUAUAAAUGAUAAUAGACUGUGAACACAAAACAUUUCUCUAAUGAAAUGUAUAAUAUAAUAUUAGAUUCAAAAAGAACACUUCCUCUCUUCAACCACAUUAUCCAUAAAUCUCUUCCAAAACCAAUGUUGCUUCCACACUCUUUCAGUCAUCUCUUCGAUGGGAAUACCGUUUGUCUCUGGCACCAACAAGUACACAAACAAUGACAUUACAAUCACACAACAAGAGAAAAAUAAGAAUAUCCAAUAUUUCAUAUAACACAACAUGGACAGAAAAGAUUGAGCUAUCAUAAAAGUAAACAUCAUAUUCACACAAACAGCCACACUCUGUCCACUUGAUCGUGUCUCCAAUGGAAAGAUUUCACUGGGUAUCAACCAUCCAAGAGGUCCCCAAGACCAAGCAUACGAUGAAACAAAAGUGCAUACCAUCAACACCACCAAAAUCGCCAACCCUUGUGAUAGAUUAUUAGAGUUGUCUUGGAGUUCUAAUCCCAGCACAAUUGCAAUGAUGGUUUGAGAGACGAACAUCUGAACUCCAGCUUCUAGCAACAGGAUUCUUCGACCGACCUUAUCCACCAUGUAAAUGGAGACUAAUGUAGAAAUGGCAUUAACGAUCCCUGUUAUCGCAGAGGAGUAUAAAGACGCAUCGUUGCCGAAACCCAACGUGUUGAACAGAACUGGAGCAUAGAACAUAAUUGCGUUCAUUCCCGUGAGUUGUUGACAAACUUGAAAGAGUACGGCAAUGACUAAUGGAGGUCGAUUUUGGCGAGCAAAAAGUAUUCCAAAAGGAUUUUUUAUUGCUCCAGCGGUGCGACUUGCUUCCACAAUCUCCAAAUACUCUGACUCGAUCUUGUCAGUGCCUCUAAUUUUGCUUAGAACCAAUUUUCCUUUCUCUAAAUAGCCCCGUUGAAUCAAACUGUUUGGAGUAUCAUCAAUUGAGAUUGCUCCAAUGGUUAAUAGCAUCGCCGGAACCCCAGCCAAUGCCAUUGAUAGCCUCCAUCCCCAUCCCCAUUGAAUCCUAAUAUUUCAGCCUUGGGGGUUUGUUAGCAAUUACACAAACUUGAGAAAAUGAAACACUUCAUGUUUAAACUUACUUGGAUGUGCCAUAAUUGACAAGGUUAGCAAACAUAAUCCCAACUGUAAUAUCAAAUUGAAACAACAUAUUCAAAGCUCCUCGCAUCCUCGCCGGCGCUAUCUCCGAAAGAAACAACGGCACCGCCUAUCAACAACCAAAAGAAGAAAAAACAUGAUUUCAAAUGUAUCAAAAAAUAAAAAGAAAAAACAUAAUCUGUCUCCACAAAUUCCAAGAAAUUUCUAACCUGAUUUGCAAAUCCAACUCCACAACCCAAACAAAUUCUUCCUAAAAUGAGCAUACAAAGUGUAAUGGCGGUAGCAUUUAACAUAGUUCCAACAAUGAAGAAAAUCCCAGCAAUCACCAUUGUCUGUUUCCGACCCAAAACUCUUGAUGUGAAAGAUGCUAUUAAUGUUGCUAUUAAAGCAGCAAUAUAAAGUGAUGAUGUGAACAUUUGUAACUCUCCAUUGUCGUAUUUACAAUAAUUGUUGUCGUCUCCCUUUUUGUUUUGUGUUCUUUCGUACACUACUGGAAAAAACUCUUUAAGAAAUGAAGGCAUUGACACCACUCCCCCUGCACCAAAACAUUCGUUAAAUCAUCCACUAACCUAAAAGUUUAAGUUGAAAAAUAAUGACACCAUCGCUCACCAGAAAUCCCGAGGUCGUAGCCAAACAUGAGGCCUCCGGUGGCGGCCAUUAUGCAAGAACUGAGGACCACCGGAGUUACCUUGGCUUCAAACUCAACUUUGGACGUAGCCACCGCAUACUUUACGGUCGUAGUCAUCGUCGUUGAGUAUAUAAUCCUUUGAUAUUGGCAAUUGAUAUAUAAGUGUGAAGAACCAAGGAUGUAUUGAAUUGGGAGCGUUACAACUUUUUUAUUUUACUAAAUUUGAGAAGUGAAUUUGGCUAAGAAUGGAUUUGACAACUGUCUGUACAGAGUCAUAGACAGCUGAAAUGAAAUCGUUCAAUUUCUUGUUCAUAUAUAUAUAUAUAUAUAUAUGAGAAAUUCAAAAUAUAAUCCAAUAUUUGCAACCAUGACCUCAAUUUUUUAAUUUGAAAUUCAUUCUAACAUUUUUUUUAUUGGUUUAUAGGUGUUAGAUUCACUUCAUUAUUGGAUUUAUUGAGUUUUAGAUUCUCUUAAGAAGCCACAAUAGGCAAAAAAAAAAAAAAAAAAAAAACCCUCUUUAUUAAAGUUGUAUUGUUUUUUUUUUUUUUUCAAUUUCCAAUAAAAACAUAAACCAUAUUUUAAAGGUGAUUAUCGAUUUUAUUUAAUAAUAAUCAAAUGACUAUGUUUGUUUGAGUGAAUAACUUUAUUUGUUUAAGUAUUUUCAAUAUUUUACUUAGUCUAUACCAAUUUGAAGGCGGAACGUACACAUACCCGCUGUACUCUGUUCUAAGGGGUUGAUAUGUUUUCUAUCGGAGAUUCCCUCAUUUUUCCUCUAAUUACAACUCUAAUAAAAUAAAUUAUACUUCAAGUCCUUUUAAGAGUUUAAUAUUUGCAGUGUUACUGACUAACCAUAAAUAGAUAGACAGAAAAGCUCAACAUUGUUAAUUCCCUCAGAUAGGGAUGAUGACACAUUUUCUAAUUUUCCCCAACUGUUGAUGAGGUAGAAGAAGAGGUCGAGGAGGUUGGUUGCUUUGGGCUUUUGAUCCAAGCUAUUGUUCCCUCCCGGGAGGACUACAAGUCAGUAGUAUGCUCUCCUUCCAUCAAAUGAAAAGGGUCGACCUUAUUCCUUGGUUGGUCAAGGAUGAGACUGAGCAUGAGUUCCCAAGAUCCCAUCUUCUUAUGAUUCGAGUCCUAUGGUCAGAGUGAGUUUUGUUUCAUUGUGCAUCUUGACAUUUUCUUGAGUGGGAUAGUUUUGUGUACUCCAUGAAGGCGAUUACAUCCUUGUCCCAUAAAGCACAAUGGAUGAAAUGUGGCUUUAUAUUUUAUUCAUUAAUCUCAUAUGUUGUACUCGACAUCUUACCAAAACAAGAAAGAAGGAUAAAGGAAAAAGAAAAAGACUACAGGAGGUAAUAAUCAUGUCUACAAUUCGAAACCAGUAAGCAAAUGAACACUAACAAAUUAAAUUUUCUCGGUUCUACUGUCUCACCCCACAACCAUAAUUGGCCAACAAAAUAAAGGCAAGAGAGAACAAUUGUAAAAUAAUAAAUUAGAGCCAAAAAGAACAAAAAAAAUCAAGCUGAAGCCUUUCCUUUCUCAGCCACAUCAGUCAUGUAUCUCUUCCAAAACCAAUGUUGCUUCCAAACUUUGUCAGUCAUUUCUUCAAUUGGAAUCCCUUUAGUCUCCGGCAGCAAAAACAUCACGAACAACGACAUUACCACCACCCAACCAGAGAAGAACAAGAAGAUCCCAUACUUCAUAUAGCACAGCAUCGACAAGAAAGAUUGUGCUAUCACGAAAGUGAAGACCAUAUUCACACAGACGGUUACACUUUGUCCAGCUGAUCGUGUCUCCAAUGGAAAAGUUUCACUCGGAAUCAACCAUCCAAGUGGACCAAAAGACCAAGCGAAAGACGAAACAAAACUGCAAACCAUGACUACCACUACAAUCGCCAACCCAUGUGACAUGCUGUUUGUGUUGUCUUGAAGUUUUACGCCAAGCACCACCGCGAUAAUCAUUUGGGAAAUGAACAUUUGAACUCCAGCUUCUAAUAACAACAUUCGUCGUCCGAUCUUGUCGACAAAGUAAAUCGAUACCAAUGUAGAAAGGACAUUAACAGCGCCAGUUAUGACAGCAGAGUAGAGAGAUGCAUCGUUGCCAAAGCCUAAGGUGUUGAAUAAAACUGGAGCGUAGAACAUAAUGGCAUUGAUGCCGGUGAACUGUUGAAAGAUUUGCAACCAUAUGGCAAUGACUAAAGGUGGCCGAUUCUGGCGCAUUUUGAGGUUUCUGAAAGGAUGUUUCACUUCUUGAGCAAUGCGACUUGCUUCCAAGAUCUCCAAAUACUCUGGCUCAACAUUCUCUGUUCCUCUUAUUUUCUUCAAUACUGCUUUUCCUUCCUCCAAAUGACCACGUUCGAUCAAACUAUUUGGAGUAUCAUCAACCAUGAGUGCUCCAAUAGUUAAUAGCAAUGCCGGAAUGCCAGCCAAUGCUAGCGAUACCCUCCAUCCCCAUCCUCCUUCAAUUCUGUCGUAUCAGUUGAAAAUUCUUAAUUUUACUAUUCAUACACAUUUGAAAUAGAGAGAAUUUUUUUAAAUUUGCUUACUUGGAUGUGCCGUAAUUGAUAAGAUUUGCGAACAAUAUCCCAACAGUGAUAUCGAAUUGAAAAAGGAUAUUCAAAGCUCCACGAAUUCUCGUCGGCGCUAUCUCCGAUAGAAACAAAGGCACAGCCUGUUUUGCAGCAUUAGGAGUAAGAACAGAGCGAACAGAGCAAAGCAGAGUAGAAACAUAGCAGAGUGAUGAAUGAAAAUAAACCUGGUUGGCAAAUCCAACUCCACAACCCAGAGAGAUUCUUCCAAGAAUGAGCAUGAGGAGGUUAACAGCGGCGGCGUUCAAAAUGGUUCCGACGAUGAAGAAAACUCCGGCGAUGAGCAUGGUCUUCUUCCGUCCAAGGACUCUAGUGGUGUAAGAAGCGAAGAAUGUGGCUAUUAACGCCGCAAGAUAAAGAGAAGAUGUGAACAAUUGUAAGCUUUCAUUGUUGUAUUUACAGUAAUUGCUGUCGUCGGCCACAUGCUGUUGAGUUCUCUUGUACACAACCGGAAAGAACUCCUCUAAGAAUGAAGGCAUCGACGUCACUCCCCCUGUUUUGACAUGUGGAAUUUCCCACGAGGAAAAGCAAUAAUAAAAUUAGCAAUUUUUGUUUAUCAAAAGUUUUCCUUUUUAGUUUGAUUGAAUUUCUUAUCAAGAAUAAUAAUAGAAUGAUUCCAUGUAAAAUAUCAAAUAGUUAUUAAACUAGACCUGAAAUUCCAACGUCAUAGCCAAACAUUAGUCCUCCGGAGGCAGCCAUCAUACAAGAAAUAAUAACCACCGGAGUUAUCUUGGCCUCGAACUCGACUCCCGAGGAGGAAGUCACAGCAAAUCCUGCUGCAGGCAUAACUAAUAAAAUUUAGUACUACCCUUUUCUCUUUUUUUGGUGGAGGAUUGGAUUGAACUGAAGAAAGUGAUUGAUUGUUAAAAUAUGGGAAGUGAUUUGAAUAUAUUUAUAGAGAGGAAAAAUAAUGAAGAAUGGGAGAGUUUAAUUGUUUAAGUCCUAAAUUUGAUGGUAAAAUAAUGGAGAAAGCAACCGUUUCAAAAACAUAUUAAGAUCCAAUAUCUUUAUUAUUAUCAUGUUCAUUUUUUUAAAUGGGAAAUGGAGACUAUAUUUAGUAAAAUUAAUUAUGAUAUUUAAGAGUGAGAGUAAAUGGAUUUGUGUAUAAGAUGACUUGGACAAACUUUUAUCCAUAUCCAUAAUUUAAUGCCAAAUGAAACGUUCCAGUAUUCAAAUUUGACCAAGUUUGUUUAGGAUUUAAGGAAUCAUUCUGUUUCUCUUGCAUAUAAAAUGGAAAAUAAUAUGUGAACACAUUAUUCUUUUACUAUUUAAAAGCUCUUUAAUAUAUAUAUAUAUAUAUUUUUUUUUUUUUUCUUUUUGUUUCUCAUUAAUUUUUUUACCAUUUAAAAAGUUCUUAUUUUGUUCUUAUAACUUACCUAAUAUUAAAAUAUCCAUGUAUCAUCUAACUUCAAUUUUGUUACAUCACCUAAUAGUUAAUUUUCUUUAAAAGAAUGUAUUAUUGUAGCCUCUUAAUUGGCUAUAUGCACUUUUAUAGAGAUUAAAAAAAUGGGUUUUGAAGUUUAAAAUUAUGUUUGUUUUUCUCAUUAGUGGUGUUUGGGGCUUCUUCUUUUGCAGCUUAGGUCCAACGUUGCAAAUUUGAAACUCAAGCUUAUGCAUUCUUUUGUUAUUUAUUUCUUUUCUUUCUUUUGUAGUUAAAUAUACGUAAGUUUCUUCGGAAAAUUAUAUCUAACAAAUAUAAAAAAGAUUUUUUUUCUCAAACUCUUAUUUGUUAAAAAAAAAGGUUAAGAUUUAGGUAGACAAAUAUAUCAAAUAUAAACAUGCAGGGAAGACAAAUCUAAACAACCAAAUAUAUUGUCCUAAGUGCUAAUUAAUCACACUACAUAGCUAUUUUUUUAUUGAGGCUUUUUUGUUUUCAAAAUUUUUCUAAAAUAUUACAAAAAUUUAAAAUUUUAUUGGCUCCCUUUUUAGCCUGACAUAUACUCUUACUGCUUUGAAUAGAGAAACUAUAUGCAAUUAUGCCUAAGCAUUCAUGUUGUAACAUUUACGUAAACCUAUACGCUUUCAGUUCUAGAAAAUACCAAUAUUAAAAGAAAUUGUAUUCUUGUUUAGAUUUAAGAAUUAAAUAGACAUAACUUCCAAUGCGCAAUAACUAAAUAUUAAUUUAUGUUAAAUUACAAAUUUGAUGUUAUCUAAAGUUAAAAUUUUGUUCAUAUGAUCUUGAAAGUUAUAAUUUUACAAAAACCUCAUAAAUAUUUCAUAUAAUUUAAUAAAAGAAACUUUUGAAUAUAGAAAAAAUUAAAAUUAUUUAUAAAACAGAGGCAAAUCUAUCCAAUUUUCAGUAAUUUAAUUAAAUUCUUUUGCUAUAUUUUUCUAUUCAUAAGAAUUUCUUUAGUUUUAUCCAACCAAAUUAACUAAAUUAUAAUUAUAAAUUAUAUAAAUCAAAUCUUUUAACUUUCUUCCAACAAUGAUGACGUUUACAUUUAACAUUUUCAUUUUAAACAAACCUAAGAUACAAAUUUGAGUCUCCCAAGAAAAAAAUAUACUUUAGGUAUUUACUUAUGAGAUAAUUUUGAAUCAAAAGAUAUGCUUUUAUCUCAAAACUUUUAAAUCAUUUACAUACAAAUUGCAGAAAUGGCUAAGAUAAAAUCUUUACAAAUUAGAAACUAAAAUAAACAUACUGUUGAUUGCAAAAACCGUCUUUAAAAAAGUUGCAAUUAUACUUUUAAAUAUUCAAAUUUAAAAAAAGAAUAAAAUUUAAGCUUAUUCCAAUUUUAAAAUCCAAUCGAUAAUAUAAAUUUGAGAUUCAUGAUGGUUUGUUGGUUUAAUUAAUUCUAUAAUUAUUGAAUAUUUAAUCUAAUUUUAUCCCUGUUGAAAGUUUAAAAGUCCAAUGGUUAAUAUUGAAAAUUUGUUAUAUCAAUUUGAAUAUGUAAUUGCAAUUAUAAAUUUGUGUUAUAUAACCUAAAAUUAAAUAUAUGAAUGUGUGUUGAAAAUUUUAGAUUUGGUCAAAUCAGUGGCAAGUCGUAAAAGUUUAAAGAAGAAAAAAAAUAAAAAGUAUAUAUACAUAUUUUCAUUUCAUAAUUUGGGUGUGAAAGGAAAUUUAAUUUGGAGAGAAAGGGAAAAAAUUAGGUGAUGAGUUACAAAGAGAAUUUUUGCAGUUUCAUUAUAGAAGAUGAUGCAUUAUAGAGUGACGUAAGUUUCAUUACAAAAUUAAACUAUGUUAAUUAUUAAUUAGGGAAUGCCUCUAAUUAACUAAGUUAUACAUUAAAACGUUUUAAAUUUUAACAUUUAAUUAAGUUAAUGUUUUGAAUAUUUUUAUCCCACACCCAAUUUUGUAUACCAUGUAUAAGGAAAAUCUAUCAUAUUAUCAACUUUUUAUUUGAUGAACAACUCUUGAAGUUAUUCUCAUAAUCUGUCAUCGGUGGAUUUAACAUAGGUUCAACAGUUCGAGUCUCUCCCUCUCAACUUUGUUAACUAAGUUAUACAGAUUUCAACUCUCUCAUUUAUAUUUUUGUUAGAAGAUUCGAACAUUUGACUUUUUAAUUAAAAAUAUACAUAAUAUGUGAAAUUAUAUUUAUGUUUGGUUGCAAUAUUUUAUCUAAAAUGAUAAUAAAUAAGAUUAUACUUAGAUCGAGAGGAAUGUUGGAAACUUCCAUUUGCAUUUAUUUGAAGAAAAAAAAUGCUUUAAGUGUUGACUAAGGAGCUCCUCCACGUAGUGAGUAUUUGGAUUGAGAUUAAAGUCAUGGCUUUUGGAUAGGGAUUUUCUCCCUUUUUCUCCAUGUCAUUCCAACGUAUUAGAUUUUAUUCUUUUGAGUUUGUAAUUUGAAAAUGAGAAGUGAUAUGUAUUAUAGUAAAAUAAAUCAAAAUAUUUAUAAAAUAUAUAAAAAUAUUACGGUUUUGUUUACCGUAUCAAUGAUAUAGACUAAUAUAAAUUGCUAUUUGUGUGUUUGUUUCAAUUAUAAAUUAGGAUAUUUUGUUAUAUUUAUAAAUAUUUUGUCAUUUAAAAUUAUUUUUCUACCUUAAUUAUUAUAAAUUUAUUGACACCUUCUUUAAUAGUAAUUUUAUCUUUGUUCGGUCUUUUAAAAUUUAUAUUUGUUUUCUCACCAUUUUAGAGGCUCUUUUAAUAUUAAUUCACAACACAUUUGAAUUGAAAGCUAAUUCCUUUUUUUAAAAAAGUUAUUUCAUCUUCUAGAUUUGAUUUUUCUUCAAUAUUUUUAAAAAGUUAGAUAAUAUAACGUAAAAUUAAAGUAGUCUUCGUGUUCUAUUAAAGAAAACAAAAGCAAACCAAUGUUUUUAUUGAAAGUCAAUUAUAUUAGUGAGUUUUUAGAGAUCAUAUUUACAUUGCUUUUGUUAAAAUUAUGGAUGAACUAUAAAUUUUAGAUGUACAUGAAUCACAUUAAAAAGUUAAAAGAUAAACAUUCCAACUUGCAAAAUUCAAUGUUAAUUUUUUUUCCCUUCCCCAAAAAGGUUCUCUCCAAAGUAUUCUCUCUUUCUCCCUCUCAUCAAUCCAAAUUUUCUUAAAACAGGAUCACCAUUCUAAAACCUCUCUAAUUUAUAACUAACAUUAAUUAAUAAUAUCUCUAUUUUCUUUAUAAAACAAUUAAUCCUAGAAAAUUAAUAAUUUCUAAUGUUUAUUACAUUUAUCCUAAAAAGUAGUUAACUAAAAAUUAUAUCCCUUAAAUUGUAUUUUCAUUUCUUUUUUUUUUUCAUACAAAUGUAAGACUCUUGUUGGAUGAUAUAAUAUUAAACCUAUCUUUAUCGGUUAACUUAAAUUUUUUUAUAAGUUAAUAAUUUAAUAUGGUAUCAAAACAUGUAGUUGUUAAAUGUUUGGAAAAGAAAAAAGAAAUUAGGUAUAUUUUGUACCCAGUAGGAAAUAUUCAAUUGUUUUUAAAAAAGGAGGGUUGGUUAUAUAAGCUAACCUAACCAUAGUACCUUCCUUUGGGGUAAAAGUUAAUUAGACUCAGACCAUACAUUUUGAAUUUUGUUUGCUGAAGGUUUAGUGGGUUUAAUUGUAAUGGUUAAGAAGGUUUAUGCAUACAAACUUUUUGUUAAAGAGGUUAACAUCUCACUCCAUUUAUAGACAUAAGAGAUCAGAGAAGAGGGAUUGAAAAGAUAAACCACAACCAAAUUAUUAAUUGAUCGAAAGUUGGAGGACUGUUUAUUAAUUUAUUAUUUUUACUCAAAGAAAAUAAAAAAAUGGGAUGCUCUAAAGGACAGUUAUAUAAUCCAUGGUUAGCCAAAUUAGGCCUCAAAUUUAGCACAUGCAGAGCUGGAAUCAUCCCACCCAAUUCAAGUCUCGGAUUCUACCAUUUGUUGCUCUAUAAAGAUCUUUUGAUUUCACCUUAUCUCAUUAAUCAAAGCACCUCAAUAUCUCCUUAUCCCACACUAUAUUUUUCUUCCCUCAACUCAAAACGGGAUGCCGGCGGCAGGGUUUUCGGUGGCUCCGUCCGCCGUGGAAUUUGAGGCCAAGAUAACUCCGGUGGUUAUCAUUUCUUGUAUGAUGGCCGCUACUGGAGGCCUUAUGUUCGGUUACGACAUUGGCGUUUCCGGUACUUAAUUAAAUUAAUUAACUAGUUUACUCUUAAUUUUUUCUUUACUUGUGUUAAUUAAUUCUUUUAAUGGAUUUGAUUGUUAAUUCGACAUGUCGGAACAGGGGGAGUGACGUCGAUGCCUUCAUUUCUUAAGGAGUUUUUUCCGGUAGUGUAUGAAAAGACUCAACAACACCAAGGAGACGACAACAAUUACUGUAAAUACGAUAAUGAAAACUUACAGUUGUUCACAUCGUCUCUUUAUCUCGCGGCGUUAACCGCCACAUUCUUCGCUUCUUACACCACUAGAGCUCUCGGCCGGAAACAGACCAUGCUUAUCGCCGGAAUUUUCUUCAUUGUCGGAACCAUUUUGAAUGCCUCCGCCGUUAGCCUCCUCAUGCUUAUUCUUGGAAGAAUCUCCCUGGGUUGUGGAGUUGGAUUUGCCAACCAGGUUUAUUUUCUUCCCUUCUUCUUCUGCUCUGUGUUGCUCUGUUUUGGCUUUGUUCUUACUCUUAAUGUUGUAAAAUAGGCGGUGCCGUUGUUUCUAUCGGAGAUUGCACCGACGAGAAUUCGUGGAGCUUUGAAUAUAUUGUUUCAAUUCGAUGUUACCAUCGGGAUUUUGUUGGCAAACCUUAUCAAUUACGGGACAUCCAAGUAAGCAAAUUAAAAAAUUCUCUCUUUAUUUGAAAUGUGUAUAAAAUGUAAAAUUAAGAAUUUUGAAAUGAUACGACAGAAUUGAAGGAGGAUGGGGAUGGAGGGUAUCAUUAGCACUGGCUGGCGUUCCAGCAUUUCUAUUAACGCUUGGAGCAAUCUUGGUUGAUGAUACUCCAAAUAGUUUGAUCGAACGUGGUCAUUUGGAGAAAGGAAAAGCAGUGUUGAAGAAAAUCAGAGGAACAGAGAAUGUUGAGCCAGAGUAUUUAGAGAUCUUGGAGGCAAGUCGCAUUGCUCAAGAAGUGAAACAUCCUUUCAAAAACCUCCUCAUGCGCCAGAAUCGCCCACCUUUAGUCAUUGCCAUAAUGUUGCAAAUCUUCCAACAACUCACCGGCAUCAACGCCAUUAUGUUCUACGCUCCAGUUUUGUUCAACACGGUAGGCUUCGGUAACGAUGCGGCUUUGUACUCUUCUGUCAUAACAGGAGCCGUCAAUGUCCUUUCUACAUUGGUGUCUAUUUACUCAGUCGACAAGAUCGGGCGACGGAUGUUGUUAUUAGAAGCUGGAGUCCAAAUGUUCGUCUCUCAAACCAUCAUUGCAGUUCUAUUAGGCUUAAAACUCCAGGAUAGCGCUAAUGAUAUGUCGCGUGGGAUGGCGAUUGUGGUGGUGUUGAUGGUGUGUAGUUUUGUUUCAUCUUUCGCAUGGUCUUGGGGUCCACUCGGAUGGUUGAUUCCGAGUGAAACUUUUCCAUUGGAGACUCGAUCGGCUGGGCAAAGUGUGACAGUUUGUGUGAAUAUGGUCUUCACUUUUGUGAUAGCCCAAUCUUUCUUGUCAAUGUUGUGCCAUAUGAAGUUUGGAAUCUUCUUGUUCUUCUCUGGUUGGGUGUUGGUAAUGUCGUUGUUCGUACUGUUUUUGUUGCCAGAGACAAAGGGUGUUCCCCUCGAAGAGAUGACAGAGAAAGUGUGGAAGCAACAUUGGUUCUGGAAGAAAUUUAUGGAUAACACAGACACAAAGGAUUCCGUUUAAGCAUUAUAUAACUAAGCUAAGGUGUAUUGGUUUUUUAUGUCCUUUCUAACUUUCAUUAUUGUGAAUGAGCGUGACACGUCAAAGUCGUAGGCAUGUAUUAAUUUUUUAUUGACGUAUCUACAUUUUCAUCGAUAUAUCUACAUAUCUAUGAGUUUAACAUAGAGAUAAAGAUGUUAUUUCAUAAGAAAAGUCGAUGAAUACAAAUGUCAUUAGAAUGAGUACAAUAUUUACAAAAUAUAAAAUGUUUUCACUUUUUUUCCUACUUAAAUUCAUUCCUUAUUGAUAUUUCUAUUGUUAUUUUAAGUAAAACGUAUAUUGACAUUUACAUUUUCAAACUUAAUCAUGGUUUGAGCCAGUAGAAUCGAAUAAUAAUUACAGAAGGAAUUUCUACCAUAUGUGGUUGUUACUACACUAUCUUUACACGUAUUUGAUAUUAUAUUAGAGUUAUCAUAUGUUGUGAAUUGCAAUACCAAAUCAUAUCUUCACAAAUCUUUUUAUAAUAAUGUCUACUAAAUCUCUAUAUUUGUAAAGUUUCUAAAAUGUCCUUAGACUUACAAAAUAAUGUGCCACAAUCCACCACUUUCAAUAAAUCCUUCAACUUUCUAUUUUCUUUUUGACAUGAUUUUGUCACUAACAUAAUAAAAAAAAUGAUUAUGUUUGUCCUAAAUUAAUGAUCAAAAUGAUAUAAUUAGAUGGUACAUGCAUGUUUAAAAGGUGUAAAAUUUAAUUGGACUAAUUAACUAGAACAAAACUUAAAAAGUUUAGUGGCUACUAAAUUCUUUUAAAAUUGGAGUAGUUAGACCCAAUCCUAAAAUUGUAAGAACAUUGAAUUGUAAUUUAUCUUUGUUUAUAAUUUCGUUCUUAAACUGUUCUUCUUAAAAUGCUAACUAAAUUUCAAAGGAAAGAAGUAGUUUUGGCCAAGUUGGCCAAGAUUUUUAAAAUGAAUCAAAUACUACAAAAUAAAAAUGGUAGUUUUGCAUUUUAAAAAAAAUAUGAGUGGAAAAACAUUUUUUUAUUUAAAUAUUUUUAUAUUUAAAAACAGAAAAUCAUAUGAGAUAAAUUGAUCAGAAUCUGUUUAAUUAUUUUAUGAUAAAUUUUAUUUUUUCUAAUUAGUACAAAAAAGGAGAUAGGAAAUCCAACUUUGAUCUAAGGAAGACAAUGUGCAUAAAUCUAUUUUAAUUUACAUUCUUUUAUAAUAACUUGUGUGUAUAUGAGCAUAUUUUUAAGUGUCUGGUGAUAGAAGAACUCUUAAUAAAACUGCAAACCCAAUCCUUGCAAGGUUAAAGCUCAAUGAAUAAUAGUAUUGACUUUUUAUAAAGGUUUUGUCGGUUCAUAAAAUUCAAAUUUUAAAAACCAAAACUAUUUUAUCAUACAAAUUUCGAAAAAGAAUUAAGACGAGAUAAGCAUUCAAACACGUUAACAUACGUAAAAAAUUAAGAUUAUAUUUACACGCUUUGUUUGAAAUUAUAUUUCUUAACAAUUAUGUUUAUUACUUUGGCCAACUUUUCAGAAGAAAAAAAUGGUUGGAAUCUUCGCAAUAGUGAACUAAAGAACACCCUUUAAUCUCUAAUUACCAAAAUAAAAUGAAUAAUGAAGUAAAGGCCUAUUAGUAACUAACCAUUUCAUUUUACAGUUUCUUUUUUUUAGAAAAUCAUUAUUUUUUUAUUAUAUUUUCUUGGGUAGAUUUUGAAAAUAAAAAAUAUGUUUCUUAAACAAUGAAAGAAACUCUUGAAAAGUAGGAAAAAAGAAUCAAACAUCUAAUAUAAGUAAUAUAGGAGUUAUUGGAGUUGAGAUCUUCAUUUGGGUAGUAAUUUCUCGUCUUCUUCUUUAUUUUUCGUAGAUAUGGAAAAUGCUCGAUCAUAGUUUACUCUAUUAAGACACCAUUGACCAUUUCUCUAAAAAAAAAUGAUAAUCAUAAUAAAGCAUAUAACACACAGUCCACUCACCCACCCACACUCAUACGAAAAUUGUAUGUGGUUGAUAAAUAAUUAGUUGUAUGGUUUUAGAUCACCUCAAUCUCCAACCACAUCGAAUACAUAUGGUCUCACAUUCAAGAAAUAGAAGAUUAAGUUCAAUUUUUAUUUUAUCAACUUUCACAUAUAACGAUAAUAUUUUAAGUCCCUCGAAAUUAUAUAAAUAUUAAACACUUUUGAAUGGUUCAACUUUUAUUAUUUAGAAGUUUAAUUUCUAUAAUUACUGUUAGUUUCAGCGUACAAUUUUAAUAUUUAGAUAAAUUUAAGGACUAAUUUUUUAUGAUUAAAUGUUUUAGAGUGUAAUUUUAUCUACCAUCAGACACAACCAAAAUUUGCAAUUUGCUCCAAGAAAUACUUAACCUAUAUAUUUUCAAAAUUUUAUGCUAAAAUAAAAAUUACAUUGUAACAAAUGGGUGAAUAUUAACCACACUUUUUUUAAUCAAAUAUAAACUAUAUUAUUAAGUUGCUAAAAGAAAUAUACAUUACUAGAAAGAAAAAAAAAAAGUGCUACACCACACUUACCUUUAUGGAAACUUAGAAAGUUGCUUGAUAAAUUUUUUUUCAUAUAUAUAUAUAUAUAUGAGAAAUAACAAAAAAAAGAAUAAAAAUUCAAGAACAUAUAUAUUCAUCCAUCUUUAGGACAAAUACUUCGUGUAUAUCUCAAAAUCUUAACAUAUUAGUUCAAGUCAAUCAACUUCAUAAAUACAGAUCAUUACGACUUAGAAUACAAAUCUUACUCUUAAAAUUUUUAGCUUCUACACUUUGUCACUCUCUAACUUAAGGCAUAUUAGAAUGUGUACUCUAAUAUGGACAAAACUUUCUCUUUUGUAGACUACAUUUUCUUCUCUUUUUUAAAAAAUAAAUUUACUAUUAAUGUCAUGUGAAAGUCCGACAAGUUUUUCUUUUAUCCAUAUUUUGACUACAAGGAUAUAGAUUUAUCAACAUAGUUGAAGCUAGAAGAUAAAUUUCAUAAGAUUUUAAAUCUUACCCUCGUAUAUAAGUAAUUCCAAUUCUACAUGUUCUAACUUUAAAAUUAACUUUUUCUACAAUUUUCAAACGUAUUCAUGAAAAUUAAAUUCAUGUAAAGUAGGAUUAAAUGUGUAAUUUUAAUCCCCAAAGCUUUUAUCCACUUUGAUGUUAUUAGUGGGUAAGUCAAAUCAAGGGUGGAUAAACCUAGUGGUAACCUAAUAGUAACACAACACACUAACAUUGAUUCAAGGCUUACAAUUACUUGUGAUUGAAAAUUAUUCUCAUCCACCAAAUAUACCCAAAACCAAGUAUCCAAAAAGACACCAAAAUAAAUGGAAAUUGGGAGAUUGUGCCCUCAAAUAAUUUAAAACAUUUUCAACCAACCCAUCAUAGAAAGUUCCAUUUUCAGCAAACCAAUGAUCUUCUUAAGAACUUUUUUUUGUUUGUUUUUUUAAUUUGCUCCACUUAAUUAUGACCUACAAAUGGGCCCCCAAAGCAAAACGUGCAAUAUGAUAUGAAGCAUUAAUUUUCAAUUGAAAUUAAACAAUUUCGUGGGGAAAUCUCAAGACUCAGAUUUUGGUAAGCUAUGAAGUGACGUCGACCACCAACCUUUUUUUUUCUUUUUUUCUUUUUUUCAAAUUAAUCUAAUGAAAUUCUCCUACUAAGAGGUGCACAUAAUCAUUGUUUGGUUAAUGCGUUGGAAAUUUAUUACAAGAGGUCAGAAUAAAUGUAAAGAAGUAGUUGCACAUGUGGAUAUAUUUAAUCCAUAAUUAGUGAACUUUUAUCUAAAAAUUACUAAAACUUGUCUCGUCGUGACCUUAUGACUCCACAUUCCACUAAUUGGUUUUCAUUAAGCUGACUUAGAGUCAGUACGGAAAUAAUGGGAGAAGAAAAAAAUUAACGAAACCAUGCAACUAAAGUGAUAACCUGUUGUUGUAGUCCAUCAAACCUUUCAAUGUAAUAAUUUGAAGAUGAAAAGAGCUUUCACCGUAAUAAGACUUAGGAGGUCAUGUAUUAUUGUUAGAAAUACAUGUCAACUUAUUUUACAACAUUUCAAUUCAAGUUAGUUGUCUAUUUUGGUAGUUCGUUUUAUUGAUUUAGUUAAACUUGUCAAUUGCCUUUAAAUUUUUAGACCAAUAUGAUUAAAGUAAUUUAAAUUAGGGUCGUAAAUGUUAGCUAAUAUAAAUUAGAUUUACCUUUACUCAUUAGCUUAAAUUUUUUUAACAUAUUUAUUUUAUAUCUUAACUCACUAACUUAAACUGUUGGAUCAAUCGGUAAUUUAAUAUGGUAUAUCACAGUCAAUAAUCUAGGGAGGUCAUGUGUUCAAAUUCAUCUAAUAUUAUUUACCUUCCCUUACUAGUUUAAGUUAAUCUUUUGGAUCAAUGGGUGAUUUAAAAAUGAAUAUAUGGUUUAACUAUCCUAGCUUUAAGAAAAAUGUUCUUUACCAAUUUUGAGAUCAAAAGUUCAAUUAUUUUUUCAUUAAAAAAAACUUACAAAAAUGAGUAGAGUUCAUCUAACAAUCUAACAUAGUAGACAUAGUGUUCAUACUAUCUAUCUUGAAGCAAGAGAUUCUUAGUUACACCCCACAAUUUUACUAUAAUCUUAGUCUUUUCUUUUUCGAUCAAAGUUUUAGUAUCAUACUUGCAUGAACAAUUUAUAAAGUUUAAUGUCUAUAUAUGGUUCUAGUUUGAGAAUGCAAAGUUCAAAGCCAUUGAACAAUGCUUAGAACAUAAAGAUUUUAAUCAUGUAUAAAUUUCAUAUAAUCUUGCCUUGCCAAUAGUGAUCAAAAUGAAUCAAUUAUUUAUGAAUGAAAUUUUAUUAAUUUAUGUUGCCACGUGGACAAAUCCUGGCGGAGGGCACGGGCUGGCGCUGGGCAUUCGCCUUGCCUCCUGACAAGUGCAGUCCGAUACUAUUGUCCCUCAGCCUAUAAAUUCCUCACGCCAUUUCACACUCCACACACCAAUUUCUCCUUUCCCUCUUCUCUCAUUUUUUCUUCUUCUUGAAUUUUCCUUAUUAACCAUUGCCGCCUUUUCUUCCGGAAGUACUUUCCUUAAGAUUUCCAUUAAUUAAGUGAUCGUGUUUAGUAAGAACACAAAGUCGCCGUAACCAUGCCUGCAGGAGGAUUCUCCGCCGUCCACAAGAAUGGCGGAACAGAGUUCGAGGCUAAAAUCACUCCGAUCGUCGUCAUUUCCUGUGUAAUGGCGGCAACCGGCGGUCUCAUGUUCGGCUACGACGUCGGUGUCUCAGGUCACUACUCAAACUCUCUCUCGCUAUCUCGAUCUCUAUCUUAUACAUUGAUUAAGAACACAUCACGAUUUCAGUUGUCAGGAAUCAGGAUGACGUUUCUUUCUGAUUUAGUUUGAAAUUAUCAUCAAUAUGAAUUCAAAUCUUCUCGGAUCUUCGUACACGGUGAUUUUAUUAUUAUUUUGCAAAUCCUUAACUUAUGGCCGUUUACGAUUAAGUCGCGAUGUACUUGAUUAUAUCACCUCAUUGUCAGUCGCCUUCUUGUGUUUCUUUCCUCUUGAUCAGUUUUUUAUUAAUCAAAAUUCUGAACGAAUGGCUGCUAUACUAUUACGAUUGAUCGAUCGACUGUGUGUUCUGCUAUCACGACUGUUACACACUACAUUUUUUGUGCCAUAGACUAGCCUAAAAUUACAGAAAUAUAAAUUAGCCUAGAACAUUGAGAUAUUAAUUUGCUAAUGUAUAGAACAACGACGAUGUGCUUGAUCGAUUAUUACUCUACCAGGUGUGACUUAUUACGUUUUUCUUUUAAAUCAAUUUUUGGUUAAUCGUUAAACGUAGGAGGAGUUACUUCGAUGCCGGAUUUCUUGAAGAAGUUCUUUCCGGUAGUGUAUCGGAAGACACAGCUGAAGGAAGAAAGCGAUAGCAACUACUGUAAAUACGAUAAUCAAGGCCUUCAGUUAUUUACAUCGUCGCUGUAUUUGGCCGGUUUAACGGCGACUUUCUUUGCUUCCUACACCACCAGGAAGCUUGGAAGAAAACUAACGAUGUUAAUUGCUGGCGUUUUCUUCAUUAUUGGAACCGUGCUUAAUACCACCGCUGAAAAUCUCAUGAUGCUCAUCGUCGGUAGGAUCUCACUUGGCUGUGGAGUUGGCUUCGCUAAUCAGGUAUAUGUUUAAUUUACAAGUUCUGAUUGGCAUUAGAUAUGAUCGGUUAGUGGAAUAUAAACAAAACAUCCAAAUUGCGUCCUUUUGUCUUUAAAAUUUUUUAAUCCAAUAUGAAAUAAUAUUUCACUUCAACAUUACUUUACAUAAUGUUUUUCUUACAGUAAAAUGAAAUAAAGAUAGGAACCACUAUAAAUUGAGUUGAGUACAUUCUUUUAUAUGUUAUUGUGGCGUGGAACAUUUAUGCUCGUGUUUUAACUUUUCGAUUUUACAAAAACAUUUCUGUGACGAACUUUUAUGGUCAUAUAUUUUUACAGUUAAAAUACCAUCAACAUCUCUAGAUGUAUAGGUAUUUUAAUGAGCAGGUUAGCUAUAGUCAUUUUAUGAUAACAUCAACUAUGUGAUAACGUUGAAUUUAAUUUCCAAACAUGUGUGGUUUCGUUUAUAUGACAUAUAUUAUCUGAUAGGUAUAGAUAUAUAUUGAAUAUAUCUUUUGGUAUUUCUUUUAGUUCAAGAAUAUUUAAAUUACUUAAGAGUUUAAAUAUAUAGAUUAAUAAAUGUUUAUGUCUACAUUUUGAUAUUCCUAAGAUACGAGGAGUAAAAUAUAUUUUUAGUUCAUGGAGUUUAGAAUUUUUAUCUAUUUAGUCACAAAAGUUUUAAAAUAAGCAUUAUUAAUAUUUUAAAUCUAGAAAAUGAUUUUAAAUGAUCUCUAGAUCAUUUAGUUAACUAAUCAACUGUUAAUUUUAUUUGGAAAAUAAUCUAUUUUGGCUAAAAUUCCUUUAGUUUUCUUUUUUCCUUUCCUGAUUUUUGCUGAUUUGGAGUAUUUGAGAGUUUAAUAUAUAUAUUUGGAUUUUUCUCAAAUUAAAAAUAAUUUCAAUUAUUAUAUUUAAUUAUACACGGUCGUGGAGAUAUACCUUUAUCAAACUUUUGACUAAGAUCAAGUGUAUAUAUAGGUCAUGAAAUAUAUACACUUAUCUUUUGCCUGCAGAAAGAUAUACACUUAUUUGUUGUCUUAUAUAAUUCUUUUCUAGGUUUAAUAAACCUAAGUAACAAGAUCACAUGAAUUCUUUACACCCUUUCUAAAUAAUAUAGACCUUUCAAAUCUAGAAAACAAAAAUGAGCUUAGUUCAACCGCAAUUGUUAUUUUUAUUUUAAAGUUGGUAGAUUUAAUUUGUCAUUCUCGUUCUAUUAAUAGACUUAUGAACAUUGAUCUAAAAAUUAAGUAUGACUCUUUAAAUUUCAACUAAACAUUUCUUUUUUCUUUUCUUUUUUUCUUUUUUCUUCUUUUUAGUAAGAUUAAGAAAUUUGAGAAAUGUUGAAUAGAAAUGCCCUAUUACAUAAUAAAUUUACAAUCCAUAAAUUCAUUACUAUCAAUUUAAAAUUUUAUUUGAACACAAAUUUUUAUGAUUGAACCAGCUAUUAGACACUCAUCAAAUUUUGAAGACUAAUCUCGUAAAAUUUAACCUACAAAGAAAAAACACAUACACAAGAAAAAAAAGUGAGACAAAUAUUUACACAUUUUUAUAAACGUAGAAAGGAACUCGUUGCCCACAGAAUAGAUAAAUAAGCAAACAUGUCAUAACAAGAUGAGACGAUGUUGUCUAGAUAGCCACAACAUUUUCGCUACUUGUUCAAAGAACGUAUGUGAAUUUUGUUUCUAUUUCAUUAUUAGCUUUUAACAAAAUUUAGUUUAUAUAAUUGAGAUGUAAAAAUAUGUGCAUAUGAUAGUUUUUUGUUUUUUUAACUAUUAUUAUUAAUUAGCAUGUGCAUAUAUUAUUUCAAUCUCUGUCAUUUUAGUUUAGAAUGUAUAUAUGGUUAGUGUUCUUUAUCAAAUUUUGAAGUUUACAUGAUUUUUGUUCCCAAUUCAUAGUUCAUUCCAGAGAGGUUAAAUUUUAUCCAUAUUCCUUUUAUCUUUGUUAAUAAUGGGUGGUAUUAAUUAUAUAUUAUAAUUUAUUUGAAAAGAGGGUGGCAGAGCUGGUGUAGUCUGUAGACAAUAACAUAGUGCUGUUGUGACCAAUAAUUUCUUUACUACUCCUUAAGAUAAUUUUUUCUAUAAUAUAUAUUAAAAAAUAUAUAGUAAGUGUAAGACCAAUUAGAAUCAGCAAGUUUAGGUAUAAGGAAAAUAAAGACCAAAAAUAUAAUUGAACUUUUGAAAUGAAGACCCAUUGGAAGCUUGUGAAUUGUAAAAUAAAGUGUCUUUUUCUCUUUAUGGCCAUUAAUAUAAUUUCACAUGAAGCCGUCUACGUCACCCAUUUUUAUUUCUUUCUACACCUUUCCUCAAUCCUUCUUUUUUUUCUUCUCUCUUUUUGUUUUAUAUUUUUCUCUUCACCCUUUUUUUUUAUGAAGUAUUACUAAUAAUUUUCAAACAUCACUUUCUCUCCCAUGAAAAAUUGUCAGAAAUAGCUUCUAAUAGAUCUUAUCUUGUAAAACUAGCACUCCUUUUAAAAAUCGUUUAAACAUCUUUUCUCUAUCGGUCUUUAGAUUGACUAUCGAGAUUUUUCUAAAAUAUUAAAAAUUUUCAACUUGUCUAUUGUUUUGGCCACUUAAGAUUUUUCAGGUACAUCUCAAUAGACAUUAUAAAAGAAAUAUUACUUACUUUUAAAUUUAAAAUUUUGGCAUAAAUAUAUGUUUUUAAAUUUUACACAUAAAAAAAGUUAUUUAAGAUUUGAAUAGAUUUGAAAAAUUGUUAAUUUGCUAGAUACUCAACAACCCAAAACAAUGGUUAGAUUGAAAAUUUUUUAUGUUUUUGAGGAAUCUCGGUGGUUGAGAUUGAAAAAUUAUGUUCAAACAAUUUUUAAACAAAUGUGCUAAUUUUACAAGGCAAAAUAGCUAUUUCAUAUUUGUGAGAACUUUCCAUGUUGAUGUCCUUUCAUUAGCUCUUCACGAUCUAUAUGGUAUCUCCAACUAUUCAAUAUAUAACGCGCACACACACACGUAUUUAAUGAAACUAUAUUUUAAUAAUCUUUUAGAUCAACUCUUUUAAAGCUAAGAUUUACAUAGCUAUUUGUUAAAUUUGUAGAUGGUAUGUCUAUUAGCUCCAAUUACCUUCAUCUUUCAAACUAAUUACAAUGGAAAUCAAUAUGUGAAACAGGCAGUUCCAUUAUUCCUUUCGGAGAUCGCCCCAACUAGAAUCCGUGGAGGAUUAAACAUACUAUUCCAGCUCAACGUCACCAUAGGCAUUCUCUUUGCAAAUCUGGUCAACUAUUUCACUGCUAAGUAAAUUCCCUCUUGACUAAACGAAGAAACAUAGCACAAAUUUUCAUUUCAACGUAAAAAGUAAGCCUUUUUCUUUUCUUUUUUUGUCUAUACAGAAUAGAGGGAGGGUGGGGGUGGAGGCUGUCGCUGGGUUUGGCCGGAAUUCCCGCCGGCCUCCUAACUCUGGGGGCUUUGAUGGUGGUGGACACUCCCAACAGCCUCAUAGAGCGUGGCCGUAUGGAAGAAGGCAAAGCGGUGCUUAAAAAGAUACGUGGAACUGAUAAUGUGGAAGCAGAGUUCUUGGAGUUGGUAGAGGCCAGCCGUGUGGCUCGAGAGAUAAAACACCCUUUUAGAAACCUACUCAAGCGGAGGAACCGCCCCCAGCUCAUCAUUGCUGUUGCCCUCCAGGUUAGUAUCAUACAUUACCGUCCAACUCUUCCCCAGAGAUAUCAUUCUAAGUAUCUUGCUUGAGCUAUCUUUGUAUUAUUGCAACCACAUCCGAUAUUUAUAUGACAUUAGAGGUUCUAUUUCAAAACUCAUUCACAAGGAUCAAAUAGGUAAUUCAUUUAUAUAUCUUAUUAGGAAUGAGGUCUUCCAAAAUAAGAUAAUAGUAUUAUCUUUUCCAUACGGACUAGGUCAACUUUUAAAUUCUUUGUAUAUCAUAUCUUAGUUGAUCGUGUGACCAAGUUCCGUAGGAAAUGACUAAAGAGUAUGGGAAUAUACGUGGGUAAUAACCAUCCACCAUAUGAAGCCUUUUGAGUAAAUGUUAGCAAAACAAAUUUGUGUUUUCAACUCAUCUUCAAAAACGAUCCAAAUACAAGUUAUAUUUGAUCUUUGAACUUAGGUUUGAAUUUACUUGUAAAUGAACCGUUCUCAUGUUGGUUUGCCUUCACAACUCAAAUUAGUUUUGAAACGUGAUAUUACUUUCGGGAGUAAAAGGUAAGGACUUUAAAAAGAAUUUGUAGUUCUCUCCCUCCUUGAAAAUCUAGAUUACCGAUUUGUAUUUGGAUUUGUUAUUGAAAUUCAUCAUUCUAGUUGAUCUAGUUGAUCGUACUGAUAGCUCACUAAAUCCUCGUCUUCUUCCAAACAGAUAUUCCAGCAAUUCACAGGUAUCAAUGCGAUCAUGUUCUACGCUCCGGUCUUAUUUAACACACUAGGUUUCAAAAGUAGUGCCUCUUUGUACUCCGCUGUCAUAACUGGAGCUGUCAAUGUCGCCUCGACAGUCAUAUCAAUCUACUCCGUUGACAAAGUCGGACGCCGGAUGUUAUUACUUGAAGCCGGAGUACAAAUGUUCAUUUCUCAGUUAAUGAUCGCCAUAGUUCUAGGAAUCAAAGUUAAUGAUCACUCUGACAAUUUAACCAAAAGCUUUGCAACAUUAGUUGUGGUCAUGGUUUGCACCUUCGUCUCUUCAUUUGCAUGGUCAUGGGGACCACUAGGAUGGUUGAUUCCAAGCGAAACAUUCCCAUUGGAGACUCGCUCUGCCGGCCAAAGCGUGACCGUUUGUGUAAAUUUGCUAUUCACAUUUGUGAUAGCUCAAGCCUUCCUCUCGAUGCUUUGUCACUUGAAGUUUGGGAUAUUCUUAUUCUUCUCCAGUUGGGUUUUGAUAAUGUCGGUAUUCGUGUUAUUCUUGUUGCCAGAGACAAAGAAUGUACCGAUUGAAGAAAUGACAGAACAAGUAUGGAAACGACAUUGGUUUUGGAAGAGAUUUGUAGAAGAGGACGAAAUUGAGGGACAGAAAAGAAGUGUGAAGAAACAUAGUAAUGGCUUUGAACCUUCUCUCGAGUUGUAGUAAUGAUUUAAAAUUUCUUGAAGGGUUUCCCUAAAUGGUAGAAGGAUUAGGCACCGAAUAGAUAUUAUAAUGGGACAAUAAAUUAAUGAGGUUCAAGCUCUUUUUCCCUUGGCUAGAAGAGUGGACUUCUUAUGCAUAAGAGCAUUUUUGCUUCGGCCUCAAACGAAGGAAUGAUCUUUAAUGUCAUGGAGCUCAAAACUUGCCUGAAGAUGGGUUUGCAUUUGUAAUGAUACUAAUAAGUUAUAUAUUAAUUUGUCAUGUCUAUUUUAUACUUGAAAUAUUGAACCAUUUCAAUUACAUCCCAAACUUUACCUAUACUUUCCAUGCAUGAAAUUUAAAGAUUUUAAACGCAAAAUGUACGUAUUUUGAAAAUAAAGUUACAUAAAUGUUGCAAAAGUGAACGUAAACUGACUUGAACGAUUAUUGAUAUCAAAAAAAUGAAGUUAAAUUAAGGUUAAAUUGCAAAUUUGAUUUCUAUAAAAUUAAAAAAAAAAAGUUAAAAUUUAACCUAUGAAUUUCAUCAUUAUGGAAUGAUAAGACAUCAUAAUUAGUUUAUAUGGUUUGAUAAAAACCUCUAAUUCGACAAAAUCUUACUAAAUAGUUUGAAAUAGGAUAAUUAAAAUUAUCUCAACCAAGCCUUAUAAACGUACAGCAAGUUCUUUCUUCAUGGUAACUACUUGCAAUUAUUAAAGUUGAGAAGGCUUGAAAAAGGAGUAAUGUCACACAUGAGCAAAAGCAUAAUAAUGCUAACUUAAUUUACUCGAAGCUGAAAGAGGAUUUAGAGUAACCAAAUUUAUUUAAUUAAAUGAAUAUCAUAAAUUAUUCCAGUUUGUAAAAUCAUAAAUGAUCUGAUUUCCAUCGUCCUCUUUCCUUGGCCAAACAAUCGGAUACUUAGCAAAUGGUAUGUUCUUCGAGGAGAUGUCAGUGGCUCAACACUGAUGUUAUGGUACAGCAAGAAGAGCACCAUGUAACAAACAGAAGGUGCAUGCUCCGAUCUCAUAGAUCGAUUCUAGGGGGCUCGUGUUUUUUGUUUUCAAGAUCUUAAGAGAUUCAACUUUGCUAUAAUUUUUUCAAGAAGAAGAUUAGGGAUGAAGAAAGACUAACAGUUUCUCCAGUUUGCUACAUUUUCUGGGAGGAUGAAUCUGAUGAAGCAAGCUCAGCGUACAUAUUGGAUAUGGCAUUGGCAAAGUAUUCCUUGGCUUGGGGUCUCUUGAUCUAUGGAAAAAGAAAAGGAAUUCGCAUAUCAGAAAAUAUCAUGAUAGUAUAAUCGUUCAACGAUCUCAUGAUAAUGUCUACAUUCGCCACUUGCCUUAAAUGUAGGAGUGAGAAGACCAUUCUCCAAUGUGAAAGGCUCGUGGACCAAAGUGACAGCUUUUGCAAAUUCGAAACCUCUCAACUGGAAUUAAACAAGGGGAUUUGUGUUAUAUAUAUUAUUGCUGCGAGAGUAAGCAAAAUUGCAUAACUGAAUCAAUAAUUUUUUGCUUGCUUGCCUGUGCCUCUCUUCCAACGGCAUCCAUGUCCGCCAAUACUGCGGCCCUUGCUCUCGGGUCAUUGCAGAGUUGAGCUAAAUCAUUAUACUGCACGUAAAUUGUUAGACAAGCACUGUUUAGAAAGACAAGGAAAAAUGCUCUCGGAAAUUGAGUGGAUCCAUGCAAAACUUGCGAAGAUUAUGCAAAUACCCUAUUAAAUUUGUAUUUUUUGCAUAGAAACAACGCCUCUCAAAAAAUAAAUAAAUAAUACAUGUACAUACAAAAAAAAAAAAAAAUCCCCCUGCAUGAAGGGACUUCGACUAUGCAAAAUAACUGUUGUAGAGAAGUUAUAAAAUGUCUUCUGUGUGAAGUCUAGAUUUGUAUAUAAUAUAUAAUUUUGCAGUAGCCUGUAACUGAUACCAUAUUAAUCUCCUUCAAUUUUUUUUUUGCUUUGAUUCUAUUGCCUAUUGGCUAUCUAUAAAUGGAGAUAUUGGUGGAACGUGGAACUUGGAAGUUAGAAGAAAUUUGCUUGAUAACGAGUCUCAAUUCUGGAAAUUCUUCAUUCUUGGGCCCCUCAGAUGGUGGUGAUAGUCUUAAAUGGACUCCUGACAUCAAUGGCAGCUUUUCUACGAUAUCUACUUUUCUUAAUUUAACCAAGAGAUAUCACUCCAUUGCUGCUCCUUUGAUGCACCACAUAUGGAAGAUUAAAAUUCCAAAAAUGUGAAUUUUUUCUUAUAAUCGCUCCAAAAUAAAUUCCAGCACACUAUGCUCAGCCCCCCGGUGUGCUGCCUUUGUUUCAAAGAUGAGGAGAUCCUGCACCACUUAUUUUUUCAUUGUCUCUUUACUAGGAAAGCUUGGAACAUUUUGUUUAUAAUUUUUUAUUUGGAGUUUUGUCUUCCUAGUAAGGUCGAUAGUUGGAUGCUAAAAGGGCUUGACAUUAGAGAUUAUAGUCCAAAAGGAAACAUCUUAUGAAGAUGAUGUGCUACCCCGUCACUUUUGUGGUGUGUUUGGAAAGAAAGGAAUAGUAUAACUUUUUAAGAUGGCUAUAAUUCUUUUGAUUCUUUUUUGGACUGUGUUGCAACACACGCUUCUUGGUGGAGUACGAAUUACACAAAGCAACAAGCCCCUAGCUGAACUAGUCAUAAAUUUCUCAAUUGCCCAAGAGAAGUGCUCAUUUCCAACUCAAGUUUAGAAUGAAGGUAAAUGUAUAAUAUUUCUAAGACUAAGACAAACUAGCGUUACCUUAAUGCCUUCAGAAGAAGCCCAUGCUUUCAAGGUCUCCACAUCAACUGAGACUACAGCUACCAGAGAUGCAUUAAAGCUAUCACCUUCAGGAAGGUGGAAAUAGCGUCAGUAAUCAAGGGGAUCCACGUCAUGGUAGCAUGUAUAAGGACCAGUCAUAUUCUAAUCAUGUGAAUAGACAAAAAGGUUGAAUAGAUUGUAGAAUUUCAUUUCUCACCGUAAACAAAGCAUUGUGCGACAAACUUGCACUUCGCAUACACGUUUUCAAUUUUCUCUGGUGCAAUGUACUCUCCCUGUGCCAACUUAAAGAUGUUCUUCUUCCUAAGAAAAAGUACAAUAAUUUGAAUAAAAGAAGUCAAUCCUUCAAUUAUAAAGAUGUAUAGGAGAUUUAUUUACGACCGUUUCUCAAAGAGAAAAGAUGUUACUUCUAGCUAAUGAACCCGAGAAUAUAGGAUAAUUAUGUAAAUAUUAGUUGUCAAUAUUUGGUGUUUAUUGUCUUUUUUUUCUUUGUUGAUGUAGGUUUUUCUCUAAUAUAAGUAGUUCUAGGCUGUCACAUUAUUAUAUAACAAAAUAUUAUUACUCCCCAGUCUCCAAAAUAAAUACUAAUCAAUUCAUGGCGUAAAAAGUAUAUAAAACCUCCAGGCAAUUCUUCAAUGACUUCAGCAAAUUUCAGAACUUUAUUACAGCAAUCUUUCAAAUAAUUAAGUCUGUUCUUAUUCUAUGAGUUGAAAAGCGAUGAAAGGUGGAGCGAUAUAGCUCACCUGUCAAUAAUCUUUAAACGACCACCCUGCAUCCACAAUCCAAUGUCUCCCGUAUGGAGCCAUCCAUCUUCGUCAACAGCUUCCCUCCUGUCCAAUUCAAAUCAUUAUUCAAACUAUAAAGUACUCGAUGAAUUAAAGACAUUCAAAGAGAUGAGCAAAGGAAAUUGUUACGUCUGCACUUCAUCUUUGAAAUAGCCCUUGAAAACAAGGGGACCCCUGACACAGAUCUCGCCACGAGAAUAAGGCUGAUCAUCAGAUGUGUAAUUCAUCUCUGGAACAUCCACGAGCUUUAUUUCUAAAACAGAAAUGAAGGACAAUUUUUAGCACAGACUCUGAAUAAUGAAUAGAAGAAUUACAGUGAGCUUGAAAAAGGCCAAAGAAUCAAUGGCACGAAUUAAGUUACCCACACAGGGGUGCAAAACCAUAAUAAGUUACUCUGCACUAAUUGAUAUUACAUUUAUUUUAUCUUUGUGUGGGAGAAAUUAUCCAAGGAGAAGAAAGCAAUACCGCUGGCAUAUUUACACCAUUGAAUGUAUGAAAAAUAAAUUAACACCUACAAUUUCACCAUUCAUCCAGUGGUUAGGAAGGUAACAGUCAUAUUGAGUACUUUUUCUUUUUUAGACCUACAACUUCAAAGCCAUUUCCCAGAAAUUGAAUUUAAUGCACAUAAGAAUUUCAGUAAAAUAGCAGCAGAGUUAGAUGCAAUCGUUAAAAAAUAUCCGUGCAUUCAUCACCAACAAACUCCUCAAGCAUAUCUUAAAUGACUGAGAAGCUCGUGUCAGUUGCUUACCACAAGCCGGAUUAGGAGCCCCAACAUGACCACAAAGGGUGUCGUCUGGAUCCAUAGCACUUAUAACACAAGAAGUUUCUGUCAUUCCAUAGCCUUCAAAUACUACACCACCAAAGCAGCUGUGGAGCAAUUACAUCUAAUUCUUCAGAAACUGGAAGAAAUCUGAAAUAAUAUAACCGUCUCCUAAAUUUAACUGUGAACCAAAAUAUUAAAGACUCACAUCUUUAAAAAUUCCAGUAUAUCAGGAGACAACGGUGAAGCACCAGAUGCCAAGACACGAACUCGUCCUCCAAGCUUUGCCUUUAUCUUAUUAAACACCAAUUUAUCCCAGAGGGGAGAUGGACUUUUUCCUUUAAUAGCAGGAUGCCCCAAAUACAAACAAUAAAUCGAUUACAAGAUUUUGAAAAUACUAACACAUAAAAGGUGAAAAUGAAAAUGUCGAACACAAAUGGAUGCAAGUAGGAACUGAUAAGCAAAAUUUAUGAAAAUUGAGAACGGCAAGGACAAGGACCUAAAAGGCACUAACGCAAACACAAGAUAUGGAUGCAACACAAUACAAACACAUUAAUUUCCAUCGUACCGUUCAUUAUUGCUUGUCUUUUGGAAUUGUAAGCUGCAUUGAACAGUCUCUCCUUCAGCACACCAGAGGUCUUUACAGCAUUAAUAAUUCUGUUCACCAUGUAAUCAACUCAAUGACAAGAGAAGCAUUGUAUUUUCUGAUUGAUCAAUUAACUUUUGAUGCAUGAUCUUUACCCAGCAUAUAUUCUGUUAUACAGCCUGGGAACACUGCAGAAGAUUGUAGGUCUUAAUGCAAUCAUAUCAUCCAUCAAUUUCAUAUUGUCCUAACACAUGUAUAGAAGAUCACAUCAGGUUGCCUCAAGUAAUGAAUGAAAUCACUCUCAAGUUCAUAGUAAGCUCAGUACUCAAUGAAGUUAGUAUAGAUAUAGCUUCAUACCCCCUGGUAAAAACCAACAGCAACCCCAAAAUAAACCGUCGAGACCUGGUUAGCCCGUUCAUAUAUAUGUGCCAAAGGGAGGUACGAUAUGUAGCUGAUAAUUAGAAUGUAAAUCAGUGCAAACCAAACACAUCAAUAAAAUUAGACGACAGUGUCACAUUACUGUAAUGUAAAAGUGAAACACCCGAUGCUUACACAUCUGAGGGGAAAAAUUUCAAAGCAAGAGAACAUCCAGCAACACUCGCAAUUAAAUUCCCAUGUGUCAAUACAGCACCCUGGCAAGAUAUUAAUGUGAACAUAAGAAAAAUAACCUUGUUAGGUGUGAAAGAUCAAGUCAUCAUUAAACAAUGUCAGCAGCUUCGUGCUCAGAUAGAAGAAUUUUUAGAAGUUAUACCUUUGGGGUCCCAGUUGUACCACUCGUGUAGCAAAUAGUUGCAAUGUCAUCAGAUUUUGGAGGGCAAAAAGGCUGGAUGUUAGUGCUACCCUGGAGGAAAGAAUGUCCAAUGACAGGAUAACUUUUUAAAGAAAAUGGAGUAAACAGAACGGUACAUCUAAGAAACCAUAAUCAUACCCCACCCCACCCCCCACCCCCCGGUUGUUGAUUUCAUUGAUCAAUAAAAGAAUUCAUUUCUUUUAAAAACAAAAAUGGUAGGAUAUAUGUGGGUAGUAACCACAGGGAAAACCCAUGCUAGCAAAGAAAUAUGAAGUUGCAUAUUGCUUCUUUUAUCACCAUGCAUCUAAGAAAGAUCCAGCAAUAUUUUUGUGGUCUCGAACUAGGGCUCUUCACUAAUGUUGGAACGUGAACCAUUGAUAACUCAUUUCGUUUCCUUUGGGAGUUUUAUUCCUUUUCAUUAUCUCAAUGAGUGGUUUUUGAAAAAUAUACAAAUAUACAUAGCUUAAUAAAGAAGAUGCAGCCCCAUAGGACUCACGCAAACGGCUAACCAUGUAGCUUCUUUCUUAUGACAUCUUGGGAGGACUUUUUCAGUUUUUCCUAAUCUUAUUUCCUUCUCCUUUCCAAUUAUAUCAUGGGAAACUAAGAGCUUACCUGACUAAGCAAACUUGCAUACGUUAGAACCUGCACCCCUGUCGAUGAUGGAAGUGAUGGUAUUUGAUCAUCUACCCCACCUACAACCUACACAUUUUGGAAGCUAAAUUAAUUAACUAAUUGUAGGUUGUAACAAACAGCCGGAUAUCAGAUCAAAUUAAGAUCAAUUGGCCGGAUAUUAUAUCAAAUUAAGAUCAAUUGCAAACACACUGUGAUUCAUACCACAAUCAGCCGUACGGUUGGAAUUUCUGACAAGAAGCUUAGUAACUGCGAAUUAAAAGUUAAUUAAUAAUGAAUUAUUUCCUGAAGUCAAAUCUCCCAUCAAAAAUCAAGAAUAUAGCUGAGGCCAGUUUCUGAUACUAUGAGAAACAGGUCCUGCAGCAAUGUUAUUUCUUUUGAAUAUCAAAAUCAAUUUCUAAGAAUGCAACAGAUCGACUAAAAUCUCAAAUGUUUCACUCACAGAAUUCAAUGUUUGAGGAACACAAAAUAUAACUUGUACAAGAGCAUGAUUUACAAUAUACUUGACCGCAUCAGGACCUGUAAGAAAGAAAGAAAUUCAAACACAACACCAAAAGGGGAAAUUUUCAAAAUAAAAAACAAUAUCUAAAAGAGAAAUGACAAACCAAGAGUAUCGUAUAAAGGAACUGAUAUGUAAGAAUAUGCUGAGCAGGCGUGGUCAACUACAAGCCACUCAGGUCUAUUGAUGAAAUAUAAUCCAAUGCAAGAUCCCUGUGCCAAGGAUACCCACAAUAGUUAGACAACGCUAAAGAAAUAAUAAACUAAAUAUUAUUCUUUCUUAUCUUUUCUUUUUCUAUAGAAAAACUAAACAUUAUCAUAGCUUUAGGCAUUCAGUCACUCACCUUUGGUAUACCAUGAUUUACAAGGCCAGAACCUAAUGCUGUCCGAGCAGUACCUGCUUCUCCAUAUGUCAUCCAUUUGUACCUUAAACAGUGAGGAUUUGUCACAAAAUAUGGAAAAACCCACAGCAAAAGAAUUAGAAAUUCAACGGUAGCAUAAAACUCACUCUCCAACUGUUCCAUCACAUCGGAUUCGGGUACCUAGAUAUUUAUAGUCUCUAUAUACAUCAGUUGAGCGCCUAAAGUGGAGAAAGUAAAAUCACAAGUCAAAAGCUAUAUAGAUAAUCAAUAUUAGCAGUAAACAAAGAAUACCAGUUCUUUGUGUUCGGAAAUGAGAUAGAUGAAGUAAAGAUACUCACGUAAAGUUAUCGUGCAAUGUACCAAUUUCCGGAUGAUCAGGAAAUCUAUCCACAAGCUUCAAAGGAGAGCGAGCAGAUCUACCACGAGGAAACAAAUUAUCUUUAUGAAGCAUAGUCAUGCAGAAAGGGCAAAUCAAAUUCAAAGAACCCAUUAAAAUCUUUACCUAUAUACAUUCCACUUUCCAGUCUGCAAUUUCUCUGGAAGCACAACGCUGUAGCCAUCCCCUGCUCAGAAUUAAUAACUUUGACAAUGUCAAUCAAGCAUGGAGAAGAAAGAGGACGAUUAGUAUAAUAUAUCAAAUAUAUUUACAGAAACAGGGUACAGCAUUUCUCAUUUCCUCAUAUUCGAUGAUAUUAGACAUGGAGAUGGUCCACUAAAAUUGUCUAAACUUGUACAUCAUAAAAACUGUGGCUCACCACCUUGAUCAUGCCUUUUGUUUAGAUUCUGAUUCAAAAUGGUUUUUGAUUUUUCUCUAAAUACCAACUAGAAAAUCCCAACCUAUAGCCCAAUAGUCACGAACUGAAGCUGAAUAUUCUUGCAACAAACAACAAUCCCAGAAACUCUACUACUAAAUGUAGAAUCUUCGCUCAGUGCAUUCAUAUACCAUAAAAUGUAAAGGAAAAGGUCGUUAGUCAUAAUUUCUAAAUUGAUAUAAUUCCUUCCCGAAAUCACCACGUUCUUCCAAUCAGUUCCAAUUCCAAUGCAGCCUGGAACCAAAGACUUCAACUACUUCGAUAAAAGAACUGCAACCUAUUGAUAAAGGAUGAAAGACAUCGCCAGAAUUGAGAUAGAACUUGAAAAAAACAAUCCGGUCACUUCUAAUUUCCAAUUUGAAAGACUCAUCAGAAACUCGAUAGUGCUUCCGGGCUAUGGCCAAUAAAGAACCAUGUGUCCCCACAACUUACAUGGUGAGUUUUUAAACUUUCCUUUUCCAUUUGUUCUUCAGUAACUAGAUCCUAGCGAUAGUAGUUGUUAUCCCCCCGUUCAAAUAAUGUUUGGCAGCGUCUAGAUCCUAUGAAGUCAACCAUAUUAAUCACUAGCACUGAACCUUCUGCCUUGCGACAUAGAGAGAAAAAAGCAAUGUGAAAAAUAAGAACCUCAUUCGUAUGCAUAUCAAUCCGUACAAACCUCUUUCAAUUCAAUCAAUUUUGAGCUAGCUCGAAUGAUCGAAGAGUAAAUGAAAAGAGAGGAAUCGUGCACAAUCAACAACGCCCCCAACCACACAGACAUUGAGAAUCUCAAAAAUCCAGACUCGAAAAAUAAGAAACUCCCUCAGCAACGGGACAAAGCAGAAUCAACGUAGAACAGACACAACAAGUGUUCAAACAGCCAGCAUUUAAUCAACAUUCGUUGAUACCAAUGCGUUUGGGCAAAAAACCAUAUCUCCUAUGGCCCACGUUUACUCUGAUUGGCUGCGAACAACAAUAAAAACGAAAACCAAGCCAAUAGUCAUAUCCUCAUCGGCUAUAAAACGUUACAGAUCCCUAGCUUUUCAUAGGAAAUUAUUAAACCACUCAUAACAAAAUACGCCAGUGAGAUUUUCACACAUCAAGAUAUAAAAUGAAGAACAACUAAGCGAGAGUCAAACAGAAAGAGAGAGGGAGGGAGAGACCGCUAAAAAACUCGCCAGCAGUUGCAUUAAGCUGGAGCUGAGAAGAAGAGAAUUCGCUGGCGGGAACAAGAUGAUCCUGAAUGGCUUGUAUCCGACGUCGAGCCGCUGAAGAAUCCAUAAGCACGCAAAGAUUUCAAUCCGCCACUCCCAAUCUAAGCCGAUCACUAUAUAGAAAAAGCAAAGUAGAACGAGAAUCCUAGUAUUCAAUUGAAUUUCGUCGAUGAAGAAAAAAGGUAAAAAGAACAAAAAAAACAUUUAUGUAUAUACACUUGCCGGAUAGAUUAUUGAACAGGCACGCAUCUUUAGGUAGAUGACGGUACAAUGACGGGAAUAGCGAUCCGGAUAAUAGCUUUCUGAUUAUUUUGAAAAGAAAAAUUAAUCGUUCGAUUAUCCACAAACAGAAGCUGUGAUCCGUAUGAUGAACAAGAAAACAAAUCAGUAGAAGGAGACGUGAACGUAAAACGCAUUCACAUUCGAUUGGUUGAAAUUGUAGUUGAGUUUGAUUUUUCGGUCAACUUUCCAUUUCGGAAUUUUGCCUUCCAUUACUCCGUUUGAUCAAAAUCCUGCGGCCUUCGAUGCACUCUUUUUGCAAUUCAAUUUUACCAUUAAAUAAAUUAUAGCAAGAGAAAACAAACUUGAACCAUUGCUGCGAAUUUGUAACGAUUUCCAUUUCGUAUGAAUACAAUAAUCAAUUCCAAAAUAUUGGCGGUCCAAUCUUAAAAUACUUUUGGAUAAACUUUUGUACAUUCAUUACCUAAAUUUUUGUACGUCCAUCUAUUUUCAAUUUUGCACCCUCUCGAAAAAUUGGUAGGUAACAAUUUCAGGCUUAUAUUUUUAAAUUUGUAAAAAUUUAAAAUAAAUAUUCAAAGUUUUACUAUUUUAUGAUAGAAUGAACAUUAUAUUUUAUAAAGUUAUUGAUUUAUUUAUGUAACAGAUGUCAUCAAACUUGUGAGAUCAUUUAUAUAAUAUAAAUUAAAUUGUUACAAAAAUUUAAAAUAUGAAAACUAAAUUAUUAUGUAUAAAAUUUAUGGACUAAACUAUCACAAUUUUGAAAAUUCAAAUAUUAAAUUUAUAUAAAUAAAUUUUUUAUUAACUAAAUUAUUACCUCUACCUAAAUUUAGAUGCAUUUACGCACCUCAUUUGAAAAAAAAAUUAUCUAGGAAUAUAAUAAUCACUAAUUUGCUAACGUAAACACUAUUUAAAAGUCUAUAAUUGGGUGGAGUAAAUAAUAUUUCAAAACUCAUAAUUUGCUACAGUUUUUACUAUUUGACAUUCAUUUUUUUUGUUAUUUGCUACCAUGUUUAUUGUCUUCUUAUUAAGCCAAAAUAAUAUACACACCAAAACACAUAUUAACUUACCUCAAACUAAAAUAAUUUAUACCUUAAACAUAAAUUAUUUUAAUCAAUUUAUGACUAUAACAACUCACUAUUUACUCCAAACACCUCUUUAAUAUAAUUCACAUUUUGUUACAUCGAUCUUUUUUUAAAACAUGAAAUCCUUCAAAAAUAUUUAUUUAAUAAUAUACCAAAUUAGGUUAGAAACUUCGAGUUCUUAUAAAAAUAAUUAUGACAACAUCACUCAUGUCAUUACAUUUUAUGAAUUGCAAAAGCAGCAAAUUUAACGUUCAUAAUCAUAUAAUUACCGUUAGAUAGUUGUAAUAUCAAUAAUUUUAUCAUAUCCGUAGUAUUAAAAAAAUAUGUGUCAUAUAAACUGUUUUAUUUUUAAUAUGUUCGUGCAGUUUUUUUUUUUAUAUAUAUAUAAAGUUUCCGCGAACAAUACAACACAACAAUUAAACAUAUCGAAUAAGAAAUUGUCACCUAAUAAAUAGUGACCGUCGAUUAAUUACCUAAAAACAGAGACUAUCAUUGAACAGAUGGUAAAAAAGAAGCUACGUUUCCACACGUGUUUAGAAGAAUCCACAUUUUUUUCGCAAAUGAUACCUUAUCUUCCUCUUUUACCGUUAAAUAUAAACGUCCCUAUUCAAUGUUUUCUCAAAAGAUAAUUUCAAAAUAUCAAACAAAAAAAAAUUAUUCCGCCUUCCUGAAAAACCACUAAAAACAAUAUUUUAAUACACUUCUUGAUUUUUCGUAAAUAUUUUAUCUACUUUAUUGACCCAUUUUUAAAUAAUGUUUAUCCCUUCUUUCCUUUUUUAUUUUAGUAAGAAAAAGUAAGAGAAUAUAUUGAUUUGUUUUUUAUUUUAAUAUAUUUUUUUAUUAUAUUUUAACUAAAUUAUAGUUACGAUGUAGUGGUUUUAUUUCCACAAAACCACCAAGUUGAGAGUUUGAUUGUUGUUUAUUAUAAUUAUUUUUUAACUAUAACUAAUUUACUUAAUACUUGAUCUUAUAUACAUAUUUUGUGACGGUAUAAUUAUAUCUAGUUUGCUAUAUUCAAUAUUUACCAGUUAAGUUGAUUUAUUUGAUUUUGGAUGUAUCAUAUAUUUCAAUUAAACUUUUACAAUGGAUCGAUUUUUGGGAUAUUAAUGUAAAUGGCAGCUUGGUAAAAAAUAUUUACGUUAAUUCUUUAUUUUAAAAUACCUCUAACUUUUUGCUUUUAAACAAAUAUUUUUACUAAAUGCUAAUUCCUUUUUGAUUUACCGUACGAAAAGAGAGGAUUUUACUCUAACUUUUUGUUGGCAGUGAUAUGUGUAUUAACGCAUUAAAUUAAAUUAUGUUAUCACGUAGUAGAUUAGCACCUAAAUAAUAUUUCUUAAAGGAAUGGAUUAAAAUUAAAACACCCAUUGUUUAUCAAUAUUUUUUGUGGCCACCUGCGUCUCUAAAGGGCUAGUGGAUACAUAGCUACGUUGUACUUAAAGGCAGGCAAGGUCGGUUCACUUGUGUUUCUUAAUUAACUUAAUUUAGUUUAUGUUCGUGUGAUUGUUUUAAUUAGUACAUAGUAUAUUUAUUUUGUCUAGUGGGUAUCAAGACAGUAUCCAUAUUGAAAAUAUAUUUUAAAGUUACUAAAAUUAUUUUCUCCUAUGAUCUUCUGUUUUUUUCAUUCCAUGUUUUUUUGAGUAUAUGCUUUAAUUCAAAAGUUGUAGAGAACAAUUGAUAUAUGCAAUUUAAUACUUACGACGAAUUUUACUUUCAAGACAGUAGUUCGUCACAACAUAAUAAUGAUUGACAUUUUUUGUUUUCAACCUUUUCUAAAUGCUAUUAUAAAAAAACUAUUAAUAAUUAUAUAUCAAUUAUUGAGUAGUUUAGCUUCAAUGAAACUCCAAUAACCCAACAACUCUCGAAAUAGCUCCAAAACUAGUUCAUAUGUAAAAAAAUGUGAAAUAAAGUUUGACGUAAAAAUUUAUGACAUUCUCUACGUUGGAUUAAAUGUGAUCAAUUUAUAAUUUUAAUUUAGUUGGAUGACAAAAGGCUGUGUAUUGAAAUUUAUAUUCUUUUAAAAAAAAUUAACUGCUGCAAAUAAAAUACAAUAUUGUUAUUCAAAAGUUUGAAUUGUUUAAAAAACAAAAAAAAAUGUGCAUGUUAUAUUCACACAUAUACAGUGUUGAUUUGUUAGAAAUUUUGGAAAUCAAAAUCAUAGCAUAAAACUAAUUGUGCUCAAAGUUAAAUAAAUAUCUAAACACACCCGUCCUAUGAAAAGAUUGAAAGGUUAAAUAAUUGCAAAUAUGAAAGUGAUUUUUGAACAUAAGAUUAUUAUUCACUUAUGAAGCAAACACCACAUGCAAAAAUAUAUAAUUGAAAAGUUAUAUAACAAUUUUCAACGCUUAAUUAACGAGUUAGGGUUUUAGUCCAAAAAGAUACAUAUUUGUUCCAAAACCUAUUUUGUAUUUAGGUUUACGUUAUUUACAAAUUUGGCACUAUAGGUCGAAUAAACGUGUUAUAUAAACUAUCACUAGUAUCUCUAAAUUUGUCGUAAUAUGAGAUUAAAUGGCUCUCUUGAAAGAAACAUAGCAAAUGUAUUGAUAAUGAAUCACGUAAAUUCAAGACGUGUUGGACGUUUGAGAUGGGGUGAUAGCUAGCGUGGAAAUGGGACCAAAGAUGGUGGGUGGGAGGAAGAUCUGGACCGUGAAAUAUGCUGACUUUGAGUUGACUUCAGGGAUGUCGGUGGGGGGAAGAGGAGUGGGUUCGGGGAGGAUAAAUCAUGAACAGCCCAAUCAGGAAAUUGCAGCGAACCUAGCGGGUUUUCAAUCAGCUCGUCCUAAUUAUUUUUUUUAUAUGAAAAACAACAGCUAUUGUUGGCCCCUUCAUUAUUAUUCUUUCCUUCAUCAUUUUAUUCAUUCCCUUAUUCUGAUACCUCACCCAAGAAAAGAAAAGGAAAUUAAAAUGUAAAUGGAAUUCUAAUUCAUUAAGUUUGCAAUACACCUUUUGUGAGACCAAAAAUAAAUAAAUUGUUAACGAAGUGAUGACUUCCUUUUUUAGAUUCUGAAAGAAAUUUAUUUUCUGUACUUUUCUUAAUAAUGACUUGUUACUUCUUUUUUUUAAGUACGAGAAAUCAAACUUUAAAUACAAAAUUUUGUUUUUUCUAGAUUAGAUUACGAUUUGAUUUGUGAAAGUGUAGAUAAACAAAUAGUUUAAAAUGUAUUUGUUGACUUAAUUUUUAAAAACUACAAAGCUAAUGUUUUAUUUUUUUAUUUUUAAAAUAUAUAAUUAUGUACGUUUUCUCCUAAUUGACUACCAUUGGUUUCAUCUUUCAUAAAUAAAAUACUUAAAAUUUGGUCACACUUACAAAAACAAAGCAAGUUUACAACUAUUUUGUUAGUUUCAAAACUUGAAUUGGGUUAUAAAAAAAUGGUAAGGAGAAAUAAAUAAAAAUGCAAUAAAUAUGAACUUUUUAGAAAAAUAUAUAACAAGACUAUGUCGUAAAUAUUAAUUGAUAAUGUAUUAUGAUAAAUCGUUAUUUGUGUUUAUCUAGUUGAGACGAUAAAUGUAGUGUGAUGUUCUUAAAUAUACAAGACCGUCAAAAUAUCAAAAUAAUACGAGAAUACGUGUAAUUGGAGUUUGAAAAAUGUAGGAGUAAUUAAGAGUAGCCAAUAAUAUGCACACCCAAUAUUUUUCUUAUAAAUUGAUAUAACCAAACAAGAAACUUCCUUCCAAAUUCCCAAUUUCCAAAUUCAUUCUCUCUCUCUCUCUUUCUAAUUACUUCAUCUUCUUCGUUGUUCAUGAAGAAAAUCAAAGAUGCAAAAGAUUGAAAAAAACAGAGACCCAAUAACUAAAUCCCACUCCCUAAUCUCACCAUUAUCUCCCAAAAAUUCCUUCUCUUCAUCUUCCUCCUCCGAUUUCGAAUUCACCAUCUCAAUCUCCCCUCGUAAAUCCUCCAUCGCGCUCUGUCCCGCCGAUGAGCUCUUCUGCAACGGCCACCUUCUUCCUCUCCACUCUCGUCGGAACUCCCUCGUUCCCACCCUCCUCCCUUCCUCCAGCACCUCCUCAUCCGCCGACUCCGCCGCCACCACAGCCUCCCGUGACUCCACCGGUAGCUCCUCCACCGGAAGCUCAUCCACUGACUCGUCCCGCUCCUCCUCCCAAAAUGAUCCCACCCGCCCUACCUCGGACGCCGCCGAUCUCAAUACCGGAAUCCGACACCGGCAUGAUAAGAAAUGCAAACAGUUUUCUUUUUCUAGAUUAUCGUCGGUUUUUAGAAAAGAGCCGAAGAGUGUUAAUAAUGUUAGUACAGGAGGCAGUAACGCCAAGCCGCCACGUGUUAAAGGGAUUGGAUCCACCGCUAAGCAAGUGAUCAAGAAGUACUUCAGAAAAGUUCAGCUGAAAAUUGGGUCCAAAUCCUGCCACUCGCCAGCCACGCCGCCGCUUCCGCCGGAAUCCACGAAAAAUAGUUCCUUAACUUCCGGCAACGCUGAGGAGAGCGGCAGAUUCUCCCUCUCAUUUUCAGGAAAUUUAAGGUAUAUAUCUUGUAAUAAUUAAGUUUAACUUUUAGACCUCUAAGGUAAUUUGUGCUUCAAAUCAAACAAAAAUAUAGAAAACUAAUUUUUAAAGAAACUUAGCUUGCAUAACGUUUUCAAUUUUAAGAUGACUAUUAUUUUGAUCUCGAUAUGAUAGGACUAAAAAAGCAUUAUCUGAUGAAACUCAGUAAUCUUGUUGCACCAGUUCAAUCAUCAUGGAGCUAAACUCAAUCUAAAUAUUUGUUUUUAAAUUAUUCGUCCAAAACUUGUAAUAGGUUAAUUACACUGUCCUUUCAUAAAAGAUUUCAAACUACUUUUAGAUUCAAAAUAUUUUAACUGAAAUUGGGAUGUAGAUAUAGAUGUCACGAAAUAAAAAUCGAGGUCGCAUAAUUCAAUUUCUAUUCAAUAUUUAAUUAAUUGUGUUAUUUUGAAAUAUUCAUGAAAUUAUAAUAUUGUAAAUUUUUUUAGAAAAAUGGAGGUACUUUUUAAAUUAAACCAGAGACAAAUUUGAAGAUUAGUUUCAUAAUUUUAGUCAAUAUUUUAUCGGUAUAAUGUAUGAUUGUGUAUUGUAUUUAAUAGAUAAGUGUACCCCAAUUACUAAAAAAAAGAGUAUGUCCAGAAAGAAAUGCUUUAGCUACUAUAAAUAUAAUUGCAUGGCUUAUUGAUAUUUAAAAGUGUUUCUUUUCAAUGUUUUUGAAGAACGAUUACAAAAUUAAUUAGCUGUGGUAAAUGUAAUUAAUUAAUUAAUUUACAAUUUUUAACCAGGUAUCCACGUGGGAGAAGCAGCCUCCUACCGAGUGGCCCAUCUUCAACACGGUCAUCACCGAGUCACUCCGGCGUUCUCCGGCGAGGUGGCGUACAAAGCAUGAGUUCCGUUAGUGGCUACGGAUCGUCAUACUCCGCCGACAUGUCGUCAAUGGAAGAACUCCACAGUGCAAUCCAAGGCGCCAUUGCUCAUUGCAAGAAUUCACUAAUCCAUAACAAGAACGCCGACGAGUCGUCCUUAAGCUGAAUCAGCCCCACACUACAGUUUUUAUUCCAUAAUUACAUCUGUAAUUUAUUUUAGGGUAUUUUUAAAAUUAUUAGCUGUGUAUUUUUAUUGGCGGUAUUAUAUAUAUAUGAGAUGUAACUUUUAAGAAAUAGAGUUGUGUGACAAUAAAUGUUGGCUACAUGAUCAUAUGCUUGCCCUUUUUGUAAGUGUCUGUUUUAUUUUUCCAAGAAACUCCAAAAUUGCCAAUGAGUCAACUGCCUCAAUAAUGUGCUUCCUCUCUCAAUAAUUUUUUUUCUUUGAAUUUGUUUUUGUUUUUUUUUUUUGGUGUUUCAAAUGUAUGAUUGUGUAGUUCAUAAAAGUCGAAAAUGGACUACAAAUUGUGAUUUGAUUGAGGAACAAACAAAAUAGAUGGAUGUUUGGUAGGUGGGCGUUAUUAAGUACUUGUUUCUGGGAGGGGUGUUAAAAAAUUUUGACCAAUCAAGAAAUCCGAUCAAGCCCCACCCAACUUAAUUGGUAUAUAGUUUAGGUUGGGGUUAUAUCAACUAAGUGAUAGAAAUGGUUGACGGCAAGGUAAGAAUAGGGUUUUCAAUUUAUUUUUCAUUAUUGUUUUGUUCGUACCUAAUCACGCCAUUGUAAGAAAAAGAGUCUAAGCUCUGAUACCAUGUGCUGAAUUUAAAAAAAAAAAAUACAACAAAAUGGUAAAAGCUCUUUGUACAAAGAGAGCAAAGUAGAUACUAUCAUUGGUAUAAAUAGCCAAAAAUGCAAUACACUUGUUUGAAAUAUAUUGGAGAACAGAUAACAAAAUGAAUUAUGAAAAUAACCCAACAGACUACAAAAAAAAAAAAAAAAAAAAAAAAAAAAAAAAAAAAAAAAAAAACUAAUAGCAAAGGAUAAAAAAUAUAUAUCUAUCACUAAUUUGAGUUAGUUAAAUUAAGUUGAUUUCCAAUAAAUGAAAAUUUUAAGUUAACUUAAAUUUAUGUUAUUUUUAAUAUAUAUAUUCAUGGUUUUUGUUUAUCAUUUAUUAUUCAACACUUCUAAGAAUAAUAAUUUUAGCAAUUUAGAAAAAAAAAAGUUCUAUGAUAUAAAUAUGUAAAUUGUGUUGCUAAACUUUGAUCCAUAUAUACGUGAAGAUAAUUAAAUAAAUAUUUUGCAUUUAACAUUUGUGUAUCUUAAAAAACAUAAACCAAUCACACAAGUAAUCCAAAACUAACUCAAUUACCUAAAUAUUUCAUUAGUUUGAGUUGGAUUUAUUAUCUAAUAAAAGAAACUUUCAACAUAAACAAUUAGAUGGAUACAUUUUUAAUAACAUGUAUGGAUUGAUUAGUUAAUUAGCGUGAUAAAAAUACAUCUGUUAUUCAAAAUUGAAGUGAUAGAACAAAUUUGUAUGAAAGUAAAACUAAACAGUAAAACAACUCAUUCAAUUACCAUAAAAAUCAGCACUCAUAAAUCAAACGAAAAUAAUUAAUAUUAAAAUGAAAACAUAAGAAAGCUUAGAAAAUAAUAAGAAAUUGAAUUAAUUUAAAUUUUCUUUAAACGAUAUUGGGAUCUAAAAUAAACAUUAAAAACAAAUCUUUAAAAGUUGCUAAAAAUGCAUGAAAAAAAAGACCUAAGACGAAAGUGAUUCUAAAACUUAAAUUACUACCCUCACUGCUUUUGAAGCAAACACCACAUGCAAAACAGAAGCAUAUCGGAUUGAUCUGGACCGUCAAUUAUGGUGACUUUGUGAUAUCGGAUUCAUAAGGUUAAAUCUUGAACAAGUCAAAGAGGAAAUUUCAGCGAACCUACCGGCUUUAUUUCAAUCGCCUAAUGCUGAUUAUUUUAUUUUGUUUUUUGUUUUUUUAUAGAAAAAUAUUGUAAAUAGCAAACUCGUUAAAAUAUCCACAAAUCAUAGUAAAGUAAAAUUAAGCAUAGAUACUUAUUAUAUACUUAUUUUGCCGGUGUCUAUAAUAUAAAAUGUUAAAAUAAGCUGUUCGGUAACUAUUUUAUUUUAAUUUUUGUUUUUUCUGUUUUAAAAUUUUUAUUUAUUAAAAGUAAUAACUAUAUAUAUAUUUGGUAACCGAUUUUUAAUUUGUUAACAUAAAAACAGAGAACAAAUGGUUAGAUAGUUAAUUUUUCCAUAUUUAAUAAUGUCCAUUUUUUUUUUUUAUAUACGAUGCUAAUUAUUUUAGAGUAUUAAAGAACAAGUUCUCAUUCAUUGUUAUUAAUUAUUUUAAAAUGAAAUUAACACGUUCUAACUUCUAACUUCUAACUCAUUAACGUUAAUGUUCAAAAUUAGUAAUAUAAAAUCAGAAGUAAGUUUCCAGUAUAUUUACCUAUGAUUUUGAUAUUUAAAGUGAAGCUAAUAAAUGUUUAUUUUCAUAUUAAGUUUAUACCGCAACAUUUCAUUUCAUAUUAUUACACCUUCAUGUGUUCGACACAAAAUUUAAACGGUGAAUCAAACGCUUCUAUUAUAUAUUUAGAAAAAAAAUAUAUAAAUAAAAAUAAAUGAUACAGUAAAUAAAUAACAAUUUAAACUUAAAAUAGUAUGAGAACAUUUCAUUUGCUUUCGUUUUCGUGUUAGGUAAUUAUGCACUUGAUUCUCUAGCCAAAUGACAUGUAUCUUUUCCUUGCUAUGUGGAUAUUUCCUUUUCCUUUAGGUUUUCUUAUCAAUUUUUAAAUACGCGUGGAUAUUAACAUUUUAUCAAUCUACAUUUUUAUAAAGUUAAAAACGUACCUCAACUCUUCUAUCACCAUCAAUACUUUAAACAUUAUUUAGUGUGUUUUUUAAAUUUAGGUUGAGUGAAAAAUAUGAAAAUCACGAUAAUUGAGUUAUAUAAAGAACAAAUAAUCAAAUUUUAAAAUAAAUAAAUAAACAUCAAUUUUAAACUGUCCUUACAAUAUCUCAAUUUAAUAGUUCCAAGUUUUGCAAAACAUAUAUUUAUAUUGCCUGCCUUAUCUAACCUAGUUCUUUUAGUAUAUUGAAGUACAUGUAACAAAGGUGAAGUUGUGAAGUUUCAUACGAGGAGAGGAAUAAACAAAUUAAGAAUGAAGAUGACCAACUAAAGUACACUAAAAAGUGUUUUAAUUUACUCAAAAAAUUGCAGUCGAGAAAGGGAAGUUUCAACUUCACUGUUUUUUUCACUAUGUGUUUUUGACCCGUGACAUAAAAAUAUCGAUUUGAUAUCUAAUCUUUUAUACUAUGAUUAUUCGAUUACAAAACUCUCUCACGAUAGCUUAACAUAACAUGUUUACCAUGAAAAUUUUCUAACAAGUUUUCAAGUAAUUAAUUUUUCAAUAACUCUAUCGAUCACAUAUUUUAUGUGUUAUCUCGAAUAAGUAUUAGGUGCAUAUUUAAUAUUAAUUUUUUAACAUCAAUAUUUUAUCAACAAAAGAUUGUACUUGGUAUAGAGUAAGAUUAACAACAGACAUUGCAUUUCCAUAUGCAUGGGAAACAAAUUGCAGGUCUUUUAAAUAAACACCUAACCUUCAAUUUUGUAUAUCAAAAGUUAGUUACCACUGCAGUUUAGAACCUCAUUUACAGUGUUGUGUAUUGAUGUACAUUUUCCUUCCAUCUUCUUUGUACUAUAGCAUUGAAGAUAAAAUCUUGUAUUUCCUGGACAAUAAUUGUAGUAUUGGUCAGUGUAUGUGGAGCGAAGUAAAUGGUUGAGUUAGAAGGGAUUGUGUUUGUGGGACUGAAACGGCGGUGGAAGUCGGUUAGAUUGGACCUCCUUGUGUGUUUACCUUAUUGGUCGUCGGAUCUAUCUUCCACCCGACAUGUCGAUUAAAACGACGUCCCAUUUAAGACUAUGCGACAUCUCACAUGCCAAUUGCCAAUUACCAAUUACACUGCUUGUGCUUCACUUUCACACCCUCUCUCUUUUUUCAAAUCUACUGUUUUUCCGGCCUUGACUCUCAGUCGCUUUCCACACCAUGUGGGUUCCCCACGAUGUUGCCUAUCCCUUGCUUUCUCAUGGGCCUCCGAGGCCCAAUCCGUUCCAUAGUCUUCUCGGAUCAUCCAUUGUAGGCCCGCUUCAAAUUCCAUGUUUUGUUUUUUUUUUUUAAUAUUUUGGUUAAAAUAUCCUUUUCACCUUUUUUUUUUUUCUUCUUCGAGAAAUUUGCAUCAUUGUACUUUGUUCAAGUUUAGAGAGGACAUGUAUAUAUAUGAUUUAUACUAUGACAUAUGUUACCGUUAAAGAAUGAACUCUUAACAUUAUUCUUUGUUCGUUAAUAUUUUAAUUAUUGUCGAACCACUUUGUGUAUUGUGGUUCUACUUCAUCGUCCAAUCAAUUAUUUGUCAUUUUAUACAUAGAUAUACAUACUAUAAAUACUAGUUUAGUCAUAUUAUUGUUCAAACUACACAAAAGUGAUCUCAAUAAUGUGAUGGAUAUUUACAAGUGUAAACUACAUACUGAAAAUCUCAAUGCUAUUAUAUAUUGGACAGUGUUUACAACUAGUUGUAAUGUUAUAACUGAUCAUCAACAUAUACGAAUAUAACAUAAUAUAAAACAUUAGUAUCUAAUACAAUACUCCACCACCAUGUUUAAGGGCAUGAAAACAUGUAGAAAAAAAAAUAACACAAUCACAUAAAAGUUCCUAACACAAUUUACAUUAUAUGUCCUUGAAAACAAUGAAAAGGUCUCUAUUGAUGAGUGAGAUCAAUACAUGAGCAUAAUCACAUCAAGGACAUCCAGGAAUAGUACAAGAGCACAUUCACAUCGAGGACAUCCAUAAAAGCUUAUAGAUGAGUACAUGGCCAUGCACAAAGAGAGACCUAUAAGUGUCAAAAAGGCGUCAAACAAAAUAAGAAGAAGAAAAAGAGGGGAUAAGUUGCAUCAAUCACAUCAACCAAACAAGCAACAAUUUGAUUGGUGAGAGCUAAAACAUAUUACAUUUAGCCUUUUGCCACAAUACAUACCAAUGCAUUGUCUUCAGUAGAAAGUUAAAAAGACAAUACUUAACCAUUAAUCACGUUGGUUUUGUGAAUGAGAUUUCAAAUAUUUAAAAAGAAAGAAUGAACUAGUAUUGUUUUCACAAUUAGUAACGAACUAAAACUUUGUGGUUAUAAAACACAAGCUUGUUAAAUAAUAUAGGAACAGAGUAAACAUUAACGAUUAUUUUUUGAAAAGUUAAUGAACUUAAACAAAAUAUCACUUUGUGUGGCAAAAUUCAUGAAAUAAAUGUAUUACAAUGGUUUCCAACCAAGAUAAACCCAUUUUAUCUAAUAAACUUUACUGUGUAUGUUUAAAACAUAGUUUGUGAUAAAUACAUUAAAGAUAUUACAGAAAAAUAACACAACUAAUGAUUAUAAUCAUAUUUUAAAUAAAUUAUAAACAACUAAUAGUUUUAAACAAAAUACUUUAAAUUGAGUACAUAAUUAUUCUUCUGUUUUCAAAUAUAGCAAUCGUCAAAAUAUAAAUAAUAUUGAUGAAAUCAUCCAUUUUUUAGAAGAAGAAAAAAGGCGUAUAGAUUAUUUAGCUACACCAAACAUUUGUAUUACAUUUCGAUAGGAUAAAAAACAAUCUUUAUUUUGGGUAUCUUUAUGCAAAAGCAAUUACUUGAAAAUAAUAAAAGACAAAAGAAAAGCAAAUGCAAUAGCAUGAGACUUUGGACCUCACAUCUCAUCAUAAUUGGUGACACGUACAAGUAGCUUCAAAUUCUUCAUGGCAAAGCCAAAGUUAUUUUAGGGUUCAAAAGAAAUUUUAUUUAAUAUACAUUUUUUCUUUGUUUGAAGAGACGAAAAGAUAAAAGUGAAAAGAAAAGUACAAAAAAAAAGGACCAAAAUUGAAACAGCCGCAAGCUCAUGGGGCGGUCCUUUCUACCGUGCCUUACUUAUCGGCGAUCUUCUAAAUUUGAAUAUCCAUCAAAAUGUUAUUAGAUUAUGUUAUUUUUCUAUUAGUCGAUCAACUUGAAUUUGAGAUUCUAUAUUUUUCAUUGUAAAGGUAACUGUCAACUUUUAAACUUUGUUUGAAAAACAUUUAAGAAACACCAAAAUAAUUUUUUAAAAUGACGUUUCGAGGGUCUAAAUAUGAUGUACCUAAAAGGAACGGUCUAUAAAAGAUUAAUAAAACAAUGGUUUGACGAUUACUUCACAAAUUUUCAACUAAUUUUAAGUUUUUCAAAAAAGAAAAAAAUGGUUUGACAAAGUGACAUAAUUAAAUUGAUAAUGUUCAAUAUACCAAACAUAAAGUCAGAAUAACCACAAAUUUAUGAUUUUUUUUUUGUCGUGAAUAAACAUACUAUUUUAAGUUUCAACAACAAAGUAUUGGUAAUUAUGUCUAGCCGUUAAAAUCAUGCAAGUAAUUGAAUUGUCAAGCAAGUGAAAUUAUGUUAAAAUUGACAUUUACAUCAUAUACUCACAACUUCGCUUUUGCUAGAUUUAUAUUAUUCAUCUAUAUGCACUAAAGUUAUAUUACGAAGCCUUUUCAAAUUUCAAAAGAUAAAGAGAAAAAGAAAAAUCACAACCACUUCGAGUAAUACAUAUAUAUAAAUAGUGUUCUUAACUGGUACGAACACUCACAUAUAUAAAAAAAAAUAGUGUUGUGAUAAAAUUUAUUUGUUAUUAAUUUAAUUUUGACACCUUCCCAUCUAGAAUAAAUUGUUGUAAAUAUAAUAUUAUAUCAUAUUUUUUUGGUGAGAAAUUUAUGAGGGUUUAUUGGACAUAAUUUUAGGUUGGAUUAAUGAGUUUUUGUAAUUUUUAAACUUAAGACAACCACUUUGUUUUUUAUUUUUUAAAAUGACAAAAAUUAUUUAAUUUAUAUCAAUAGGUGCUUUUAACUAUCUUACCCUUUACUAACCUUAUGGAAGUUUAAUUUAACAAAGUACAUGCUUUAACUAAAUAGUUAAGUGGUUGAGUUCUCAACCCUAGCUUUAAACUAUGAGAACAAAACUUAUCAUUUUUAACUUCACAUCAGAAAAUGCUUUUAACUUAUCAUUUUUAACCUCACGUAAUAACGUGCUUUUAACUUAUCACAUUCUCUUCACAAUUCAAAUUAACAAAUUUUCAUUAGUUAUUUUCCAUUCCUCUAUAUGUGAGGAUUGAUCAUUAUAAACAAAAGAGACUGAUUACUCUAUCAAACCUUUUCAUUUAACUAAAAAUAAAGGUUUAUCAAUAUUAUAAUAUUAAUAAUAAAGAAAAAAAAUUGUGGGCAGCACACGUGGACAAUCACCCAAAUCCGAUUGGUUCACGUGAAUGAUCAGACCCAUUUACUUUAGACGGUGGGAGAGAAGGAGCCGUUGGAUGAAGACACGUAGACAUUUAUAUUUCACGAGAGCAAAAGCCCAUUAUUAUACGGCCCAUUAACAAGUCACGGGAGAGAUGGGCCUCCACUGUUGACAAAACGUGGAUUUACGUGGGCCCACAAAUAUUUAGUGGGCCAGACUAUAGCGCACGUUAGUAAAAGUUUACUAAUUUUGACCUUUUUUACUUUUCCGGCGGGAGCGUAGGUUAGAUUUUACAAAUUAAAAUGAAUAGUGCGGUCCAGGGCGGGGAAGUUCUUGACCGGUCUUUGAUUAAAUGCGAGCCAGAACGAAAACACAAAGACAAAAGAAGAGGGAAAUCUGAAAAUACUUAGCAUACGAAUUUCCCAAACUACCCUCUAACCCCUUUCUUUCUUUCUCUCUCUUCUUCUCUUUCUCUUCCCUUUUCCCACUUGAUCAACCCCCUCCAGAUUUGGUUCUUUGGAUCAGCUUCUUCCAUCUCUCAUUAUCCAAGCUCCCCUGGUUGUUUAUGGAGCUUCAGAAGCGCCUAGAUCAGAAUCUCCCAGAGAGGAAAGGCCAUAAGCGGAAACUGGAGGAGGAAUUUGAAGAGGAACGGGAGAUCUCCGUGCCUACAGGGGACGCCAAGCAAGCGAUACUUACCGAGGUCAGUGAUCAAGUCGAAAUUCUCAAUUCUACUUUUUCAUGGAAGGAGGCCGAUCGAGCUGCUGCUAAGCGAGCUACUCAUGUUCUUGCCGAGCUUGCUAAGAACGGUAUACUCUUUUUUUUCCCGAUCUCGUUGUGUUUUACGCUUUUUCAUCUUUUUCGAUCUUGUGUUUCGAGCGUUAGUCUUCUUCAGGAUUUUCUACUCCUUUUUUUUUUUCUUAAUAUAUUGUUAAUUGAUUGGAAUUUUUGUGCCUUUUUUUUGGUGUUGGCAGAAGAAGUAGUAAACGUGAUUGUGGAAGGUGGAGCUGUGCCGGCUUUAGUUAAGCAUCUACAAGCACCGCCUACUAUUGAAGGUGAUCGUAGUCUUAAGCCAUUCGAGCACGAGGUUGAGAAAGGAAGUGCUUUUGCUCUUGGACUACUGGCUGUAAAGGUCAAAUUUAAUCUCUUCCGUUUGACCUGCCCUAUUUGUACACAAGUUUUCUAGUGUCAUUUUGAUAGCGUGUAUGACUUAUUUUUACACAUUUUUUGAGCAAAAGAAGUAGGGAGUUAGCUGAGAAGUAAUUUGUGCAUUUUUGUUCACGGUUUUGGCUCAAGGUAUUGUAAGAGUAAAUGCUAUAUUUCAAUUGGAUUGCAUGUUUAUAGUUGUAGCUCAUGCGUUACCCUUCCGGGCUUUUGUCGGACAUUUGCAUCUAAAUAUAAGUAAAACAUAUUUUAGUAGGCGUGUGCACCACUUAUCAACUUAUAACUUUCAUCCCAUUCCUAAAGCUCAAUUCGUUUUCUGCAAAUGAUGUCUGACCCACUUCUUCCUUUUUAUCCUCUCUCAACAGCCAGAGCACCAGCAACUGAUAGUUGACAUUGGCGCUCUAUCACACCUCGUUGAGCUAUUGAAGAGACACAAGGAUGGUUCUUCUCGAGCUGUGAACAGUGUUAUUCGUAGAGCUGCAGAUGCCAUUACAAAUCUUGCCCAUGAGAACAGUUUCAUCAAAACACGGGUUAGGUAUGUUUAGUUGAUUCACUUUUCAGUGUUACAAUUUUCAUUGAAGCCUGUUCUCAACGAGGAUUUAAAUAUUUAGGAUGGAAGGUGGGAUUCCUCCGCUUGUUGAGUUGCUUGAAUUUACUGACACAAAGGUUCAAAGGGCUGCUGCUGGGGCACUACGAACAUUGGCCUUUAAGAACGAUGAGAAUAAAAACCAGGUAAUUGGCAUUUUACUUCAAAUUGGAUGUUUAACUUUAGGUUUAAUUUGUAAAUAAUUUGUUAUCUUCGCUAACUGGCAGAUUGUUGAGUGCAAUGCUCUCCCUACACUGAUUUUGAUGCUUCGUUCUGAGGAUGCUGCUAUACAUUAUGAAGCGGUAGGAUUUUCCCAAGUCACAAACUCGAAUAUUUAGUACUUUUUAAUGGAGUGAUAUUUUGUUUGCAUUCUAUAAAAUCUGAAUUGUGGAUUUUAGGUUGGGGUUAUUGGAAAUUUGGUGCACUCAUCCCCCAAUAUAAAGAGAGAAGUUCUUCUCGCAGGAGCUUUGCAACCUGUUAUUGGAUUACUCAGGUAUGCCAAUCUUCAGGAUCCUUGUCACAUCUUUUUUCUGUUACUGCUUCACUACAUGUAACUUCAGGAAUCUUGUUUUGUAUGUUACUGCUUCAGCCCAUAUCUCGUGCCCAUCAUCUCAAUUUUUCUAUAUACUAUUGUAGCUCUGUCAAUCAUAACUAGUUAUGCUGUGAAGACAAAGUUGAUCUCCACUAGUCUGAAUCAUGUUUACCCUUCUGUGUUAGUUCUUGCUGCUCUGAGAGCCAAAGGGAGGCAGCAUUAUUACUUGGACAAUUCGCGGCAACUGAUUCGGAUUGUAAGGUGAAUAAAUUCGAUGAUUUAUUAUUUCAUGGCAACAAUUUUGAAAGGGAGAGUUGAGAAUCUGUAUACCUGUUAAAUUUGAUUUCUUGGGAAACAGAAGGGUAAAUUAUUCACUUUAUAAGAGUGCUGUUGUGUGUAUAUACCAUCACUUCAUUAAAUAUUUGUUUUAUUACAAAGGAUGUCUUCACCCUUCAAUUUCUGUUUCUCAUUCUCCUUUACUUAACUUUCUUACUGAAUGGAUAAAAAAUUUGCAGAUUCAUAUUGUACAAAGAGGUGCUGUUCGACCCUUAAUUGAGAUGCUUCAGUCACCUGAUGUACAGCUUCGAGAGAUGUCAGCUUUUGCGUUGGGGAGGUUGGCACAGGUACUAUAUUCUUUAUCUUUUGUUUAGAAUGACACCUGAUGUGCUUUUUGAGUUUAGUACUUAAACUUUUUAUUCUUUUUGGUUGAGCAGCCUUUCAUUUACCCAAUAAUAAAUAUCAUAAUUCUUCAUAAAGAUGUUCUAAAGCACCAUUCCUAUCCUCCUGGCUGUCCCAUUCUUUUUCUCCUUAUGGAUUGUUCUUAGGAUUGAAUGACUAGUUCUUGCCAAUUUCCUGGCUGAAACUGAAAAAAAAAUUCUUUUCAGGAAACUCAUAACCAAGCUGGUAUUGCUCAUAAUGGUGGUUUAAUGCCAUUACUGAAGCUUCUGGAUUCAAAAAAUGGUUCUUUGCAACACAAUGCUGCGUUUGCUCUUUAUGGGCUUGCAGAUAAUGAGGUGUGAUACCUUUAAUGUUGAUACGGACUUGAUAACGAAUUGCUGCAUCUAAUCUCACCAACUUACUGAACAAUUGUGAUCAUAAAAUAAUUUGAUGUGAACUGUAAUUUUUGAUUCCUUCUGCAGGAUAAUGUAUCUGAUUUUAUUAGGGUGGGAGGAGUUCAGAAGCUUCAAGAUGGAGAAUUUAUAGUGCAAGUAACUUAACCUUCCUUAUCUAUCUAGUUGGUUCAGUACCCCCUACCCUCAUCUUUGCAUGUAUUAUUGAAGCCUGGAGGUUAUCCAUAAAUAAACUGGCAAAUUUGUUUCAGGCAACAAAAGAUUGUGUAGCAAAGACACUAAAGAGAUUAGAGGAGAAGAUACAUGGAAGGGUGAGCUAUAACUUAACUGAUUUUGUUUGGGACUUUGACGUGCCUGACGCGUUCCCUUGUCAAUAUGGAUGCUUUCCAAAUUUUAAUAAUAUUCUUUUCCUUGAUUAGGUUUUAAAUCACUUAUUACAUCUAAUGCGUGUAGCUGAGAAAGCUGUGCAAAGACGGGUCUCUCUUGCUCUUGCUCAUCUUUGUUCACCCGAUGAUCAGAGGACCAUAUUUAUCGAUAAUAAUGGCAUGUCAUAUACUUAGAAUUUCACCGUGUUUUUCUCUCCCAUGAGGGUGCAGUUUAGGAUCAACUUGUUAUUAAUGAAUGGGGAUUUUAUUGUAGAAUAAAUGUUUUUGUGUUUUGCAGGUCUAGAGUUGCUUCUUGGCCUACUUGGUUCUUCAAGUCUCAAGCAGCAGCUUGAUGGUGCUGUUGCACUGUACAAGCUGGCAAAUAAAGCCACGACUCUUUCUUCUGUGGAUGCUGCCCCACCAUCCCCAACACCACAGGUAAGAUGUUUGUAUAUUUAUUACCCUUCCAACACCUUGAAAUAUAGUUUAUACAUUGGCUUGAGAAAAAAACCUGACUUUGUGGAAGGGAGAAAGUGAAUGGGCAAGGUUGAGAAUUCUUGUCCUCGAUCCUUUGAGUUAGUGGCUAAAUAUAUGCGCCCCUCAAGUAUCUGUUUUGGUUUCUUGGAGUUAGAAGUAGUUGUUCUCUCUGAUUUUGUACCUGAAAAAAUGGGCAUAUGAUCUAUAAUUUUGAUACUUUUCGCUUUAUGACUCUAAUUCUGACGUAUGUCAUUCAGGUGUACCUUGGUGAGCAGUAUGUGAACAAUCCGACACUAUCCGAUGUUACUUUUCUUGUUGAAGGUCGUUUAUUUUUUUUCGUCUUGUUUCAAACUACUUAUGAUCUUUUACUUUUCCACUGACCUUAUUGAACUUUUUGUUUUUCUUUUUGACAUUUGCAGGCAGACGCUUCCAUGCCCACAGAAUUUGCUUGCUUGCUUCUUCAGAUGCAUUCCGUGCCAUGUUUGAUGGUGGCUAUCGGGUGAGCAUCUAAUUGUGUUCAUAACCAAUUCUGUCAUCCUUGUUUCUAGCUUAAUUUGGGACUUGGCGUUUCAAGUGCAAGCUGUAUUUUUUGUAUCACCAUUCGCAAUGGCUUAUGUUGAAAUUCCCCCCCAUUUGGGGUCGGUGGUCAUUCUUGAGCAAGUUUAUUUAUGCUACUAUUAAUUGAAGUGGAAAUUAUUUGGAACACUGCCUCAAAAUGCCCAAUUUCACAGAUUGCGUUUAAUAUGUAUUUCAGGAGAAGGAUGCUAAGGAUAUAGAAAUUCCAAAUAUUAGAUGGGAAGUUUUUGAGCUAAUGAUGAGGUUAGCAAAGCUCCAGUUCCAAAAGCUAUCAGAAUAUAAAUGCAAGUAAUAUUAUGUUAAUUAGCUGAAUUUAAGUUGUCAUACAGAUUUGUUUACACCGGAUCUGUGGAUGUUUCGUUGGAUAUUGCUCAAGAUCUUCUGAGAGCUGCGGAUCAGUAUCUCUUGGAAGGACUUAAACGACUGUCCGAAUACACCAUUGCACAGGUGAGCUAAUAAUUACCAAAUUUUAGUUUUGUUUUAUGAUCUUUGUCAUCCACGCGUGUAAUUCAAGCUGUUAGACAUGUAUACGAGAUAAACUUGUCAAUCUGAAACUUUGGCAGGAUAUAUCACUGGAAAAUGUUUCAAGCAUGUAUGAACUCUCCGAAGCCUUCAAUGCCAUAUCUUUGAGACACACGUGCAUCCUUUUUAUCUUGGAACAAUUUGAAAAGCUCAGUUUAAUGCCGGGGUACGUUUCUCUUUCGAACCUCAUCCUACUUCUGCUUGAAGUUUAACUUUUCAAAGGUUUAAUUAUUUCAAAGGUUUAAUUUUGAAAAUAAGCCAUUACUUUUCAAAUGUUUAAUUUUGAAAAUAAGUCAUUUAUAAGAAAAUUGAAUUGUUUGGCAACCACUCAAUUCAAAAUAGCUUUCGAAAGCAUUUUCGUAGUUUAGUCUAAAUUUAAAAUAAUGACAUUUAAAAAAAAAAAAAUUCUCUAGUCAAUCCAAACAAAUACUUUUUUUUUUUCUGAUGCCAAUCCAAACAGGCUUGAGGUGUUAGUUCACAAAUUAUCAAAUAAUUAACUUUAAACUCCAUUUAAGUUCCUUCAUUUUUGCAACAAACUUAGGAUUUAAACUCUUAGAUUUAGAUCCCUCAGUGCUUGCUUUAAAUGGAGAGUAUUAGUAUCACAAUCAGAAGCUCUUGGAGAUGGACCUAAAGAAGCAAUGGAUCGAAAAACAUGGUUUCUCCCUACAUUUUCUAAGCAUUCUUCAUGCCCACUAUUUGCAGGCAUUCUCUUCUAAUUCAGCGGAUACUUCCCGAGAUCCGGAAUUAUUUUGCUAAAGCUUUGACCAAGGUUAAUCUCCAGAGCUCACGGCUGUAGAUGGCUGCACUGUGUUGUUAUUCAUCAUCGCUAACCAAAAAACACGAUGUACAGAUAGUGGUAGAUUUGGUCGCUGCUGCGGAGCUAGAUUGAGGUUCAAAUUAGCUUAUUUGUUUUAUGGCUCAUGAUCCUUUGAUUUUUUUUUAUCCUAAUGGUAAGGGUUUUGAUCUUUUUGUAUAAAGUCUCAAGUAAUACCAUUGCUUAGAUAGAAUGACCUUUAGUCCUUACGAGAAUGUUAUCCUUGAAAUGCAUUGCAUUUAUUUUAUGAAUUGAUGUAUCUUCCCAAAUGACUAAGCUCUUGUGAAGAGACAUUCAGUUGGAGAACACUGUAAAUUUGACGUCAGUAAUAUCAAUUUCAGGGUUUUUUUCUUCUUAUUUUUUUAUUUUGUAUAACUGUGGGUUUAUCUUUUGAAAUUAUUUUGGAGUUAAAAAAAAAAAAAAAACUUCAUGUAUAAUACUUCUAUAAAUUGGUUGGUUGAUACUAUGGUUAAAAAUAUUUUUAUCACGUUAAAAAUCAUUUGAAGCAAAAGUAAUUUAGUAUUUAAUGUAAAUUUCUAAUAAUCAAAUUUGAUUUUGAAAUUACUCUAUUUCUAAAUGUUCAUUAAUUUAACUUGCAUUGAAAUGCCCAUUCUUCAGUUGAUACGUCCUUGUGGACAGUGAAUUGAACUGGUUAGAUACUAAAACAUGUGUUUGUUUGUUCAGUUUCUAAUCAAUUUAUGUUUGGAAUGUUGCAUUCAUUUAAAAUCAAUUACAAUGGUACGUAAAAUUAUAUUUAAAAGUGCAAAAUCAAUUACAAUGGUAUGACUUGGGUAUAAUAGAAGGGUUGGAUAUGUUGGUGAAUGAGAAGGUUUGGAUGUUGUUUCGAAGAGACAAACUUGAAUCUUUUUAUGUGGAGAGAAUCUAGAGAAGUUGGAAAUGAUGGAAGAGAUUGAGUUUGUUGGAGAUAAGAUAAAAAUCUCUUAGAGCACCCACAUGCACAUGCUCCUCUGCCAUCAUUUUUGCUUUAAAUUAUGAAAUGAGAUAAAAAUAAAAAAAUAAAAAUUUUAAAAAGGUGAACAUAUUACAUUUUCAUUUUGUCAGAUUAAAUUUCUAACCUCACCCACGUGAUUCCUACACUCACUUUCUUGAUUUUCAUGAUAAUUCAUAUCCUCCCUGGGAGCACCAUGGGUCCAAUUACAUAUCAUUUGUUCCUCUCUGUGUAUUAGAUGAGAAUGAGUACAAAUAAGCUAAACCCACGUUUGGUAUAUCCAAGUUCAAAGAGUAUGGGACAAAGUCGGUAUCUUGUGGUUUGGGACAACUACGUAAAUAUCUAUCAAUUGAAAAAUAGUCGAGAUGCAUUCGAUCUAGCACCUAAUAACUUGGAGGAUAAAAAACAGUUUUGACAUCGCUGAUACACACUUAACUAGAAAAUGUUGAGGAAAAGAUCUAUCUUAAUUUAACGAUCCCAAAGAGAGUAGGUGUUCUCUAAAAGAGAGCUCUAACAUUACUUGUGUACUUGGCUGAAACAUACACUUAUGUGUGGUAGGCUCGACACUAUCUUGAUGUGAGGAUCUCUUGCCAAACCAGAAGAAGCGGGUCAAAGGUCAAGUCCACAAGGUUGUAUCUAUAAUGUGAUUGGGUGAGAUCCAAGCAUCAACAUGUUUAUUAUUAUCUUUUAGCAUAUGUAGAGUAUGAGAAUCAAUUCUAUAAGCCAACGAUAGUAAGCUAUUUCUCUAGAUAAUUUUAAAAGUUAUUCAUACUUUUAAAAUACAUUGUGUUUGAGCACUACUUAUCUUUUUUUUUUUUUUUUUUUUUUUUUUUUUUUUUUUUUUUUUACUUUUAAAAGAAUUGAGUUGUUUGUUCAAUUAUCAUUUAUUGUAUUUUUUAGUGCAAUGAGCGUUGGAUGAUUUGAACCACAAAGUUAGUACUAUCAACAUCUUAUGCCAAUUAAAUGACGUUUUCGUUGCUUAUUACAAUUACAAAUAACAUUUGUUGUUAUGAUGAGAUACUAUUGACAAAGUUUUGAUGUGAACGACAUUUUUAUGUAAUUUCUUAGCUAAAAAAAUAUUCUCAACAAACCAUUUGAUUUUACAAUAAAAUAAUUAUUGAGUUAUGACAUCUAAAUGUUAAUGGUAGUGACAUAAAUCCAAAUAAAAGCCUAAUUUAAAAUUGAAAUACACACAGAAGAAAAAAUAAAACUUUUAAAAUCAUUAUUCUUUUCUCACAUAAUAAUGAGAAAUAUAUUGCAAAAUGAUUAAAAAAGAGCUGAAAGUUAAUUCCAAAAGGAAAAAAAUAAAUAAACGUUUAAUUUAAUUGAAUUUUAAAAAAGGCAACUUUGGGGGAAAAUAGAGGCCUGGCGGAGAGGGACAGCUUGAAAGUUCAAAUUUUGCAAAACUCCUCCGUUCGGCUUCCGCCAAUUGGACGCAAUACAAAGGCUUUCCUCGAAACCCCAACCAUUUUCCCUUCUCAUUUUCGACUCCCAACACCUUUUAUUAAUCCAAAUUCCUCUCUUUUCCCUCUCUUUCAGUUCCUAUUUCCUUCUAUCAUCAUCUCGACGUUCAGUACAGCCUCCAUAGUCCAUACAACUACACCAGGUGAAGAAAGAACCCUCCCUUUCUCUUCUCUUCUCUUCUUCUUCUUCCCUUUUCUUUUCAUUACUAGGGUUUUCUUUCUUUUUCUUCCUUGUUUCCCUUUCUGGGAUUUCUUCCAUUUUCUUCUCAACCUCGUUUUUUUAACUGUAUGAAAGCUUUGUCUUGUGUUAGAUCCAUGGUAGAUGUUCUUUGGUGGCUUCUGGUACUGUUUAUUAUCUUAUCUGUUUUGCUGUUGGACUCCAUUUUGUUGUUUAGGGAUUAUACAGAGUGAUGCUCUGGAAGGGAGAAGUCUCCACAGAGUUGUUUUAAUGUGGAUGGAGUAGUGGAGUGAAUCUUUAUUUUGUGAGUGCCUGUUGUUUGUCCUGAUAUAUAAUCCGUAUUGUUUUUCUGUUUCUUGUUUGUUUAAUUUAUUGUGAAGGAGAAAAGGAGUCAUCUUGAAAUUAUUCGACAACAAUCUGCCUUAUGUUCAAACCUACUAGAUCUUUGCUUCUUUAUUUUGUAUGUUACAGAGUUGAGUUGAAAUUUGUUUGUCUCUACUCCCUAUUCUUCUUCCAAUUUGUGUUCUGUUCUUCUAUUGGACUCCAAAUGAUUGUCUAAUUUGGUGGAAGUACGAAAAUGGUAAAUAGCUUUGCUUCUGCACUGACAAGUGUAAUAUGUUUGGACAUGGUGGAGCUCUUGGUUCACGACGUGUGUUUCUCUAAUUUUUCUCGCUUAUCUAGUGACUAUGGUUUGCUUGAGAACUAGACGUGGUUUGAAACGCUUAUAUUCCUUAUCAUUUUAAGUUUCUUUUUAUUUUAUCUGAUAUAGGCGGCUAGAUUUCAAGCACGUUUGACAAUGGACUCUGUAACCAAAAAUCCAGAACGCAGGCCAUUUUCUAUCAAAUUGUGGCCUCCUAGUGAAAAUACUCGAAAAAUGCUUGUGGAGCGGAUGACAAAUAACCUUACCUGCAAAUCCUUUUUCACCCAAAAAUAUGGUACUCUUAGUCAGGAAGAGGCUACAGAUGAGUCACAGAAAAUUGAAGAUAUUGCUUUUGAGACAGCUAAUCAGAAUUAUGAAAAACAGCCAGAUGGUGAUGGGGGUGCUGCUGUGCAACUUUAUGCCAAGGAAUGCAGCAGGUUGCUUCUUGAGGUUCUUAAGAGAGGUCCUAAAGCUGAGGCAGACAAGGAGGCUGGAUCUGAUAUCACUAGUGCUCCUCGUGAAAUCUGUUUUGAUAUCUCAAAAGGUCGACGAGACUUUAUCGAGGCUGAGGAAGCUGAAGAACUUCUAAAGCCUUUGAAAGAGCCAAAGAAUUCUUAUACACAGAUAUGUUUCAGCAACCGGAGCUUUGGUUUAGAAGCAGCUCGUGUUACUGAGCCGAUUCUUGUGUCCCUCAAGGAUCAGUUAAAAGAAGUGGAUCUCUCUGAUUUUAUUGCAGGAAGACCAGAAUCAGAAGCUCUACAAGUCAUGAAAUUGUUCUCUGAUGCUUUAGAAGGCAGCAUCUUGAGAUCCUUAAACCUCUCAAAUAAUGCCUUAGGUGAGAAGGGUGUUAGAGCUUUUGGCUCUCUCCUGAAAUCACAAUCUUGUUUAGAGGAGCUAUAUUUGAUGAAUGAUGGAAUUUCCAAGGAAGCUGCUCAGGCGGUAUCCGAGUUGAUUCCUUCGACAGAUAAGCUUAGGAUCCUUCAUUUUCAUAACAACAUGACAGGUGAUGAAGGUGCUUUUGCGAUUGCCGAAGUUGUAAAGCGUUCUCUUCUAUUGGAAGACUUUCGUUGCUCCUCUACAAGGAUAGACUCUGAGGGAGGAGUCGCCUUAUCUUUAGCACUCGGGACUUGUCCCCGGUUGAAGAAACUCGACCUUCGAGACAACAUGUUUGGAGUGGAAGGUGGAGUUGCUCUGAGUAAAGCCCUUUCACAUCAUGCAGAUCUCAAGGAGCUUUAUUUGAGUUACCAGAACUUGGAAGAUGAAGGUGCAAUUGCCAUAGCCAAUAUACUGAAGGACACUGCUCCUACACUUGAAGUCUUGGAAAUAGCUGGAAAUGACAUUACAGCUGAAGCUGCUUCUGCAUUAGCUGCUUGUAUAACUCAAAAGGCCCAUUUGAUCAGCUUGAAUUUGGGUGAAAAUGAGCUGAAGGAUGAAGGAACUAUCCAGAUCAGUAAGGCAAUAGAAGGUCUCAUCAAAUUAAAGAAAGUUGACAUGAAUACUAACUUAAUUAGGAGAGCUGGCACUCGGGUUUUAGCUCAAACUGUGGUUCAGAAGCCUGAUUUUCAACUGCUGAACAUCAAUGGAAAUUUCAUUUCUGAUGAAGGCAUUGAUGAGUUGAAGGAUAUUUUCAAGAAAUUUCCGGAUAUGCUUGGGCCCUUGGAUGAAAAUGACCCCGAAGGGGAAGACGGCGACGACGAGGAAUCUGUAGCAGAUGGCGAGGAGGAGGAGGAUGAGUUGGGAUCAAAACUAAAGAACCUUGAAGUUAAUGAAGAGAACUAGAGAGGUUCUCUAUUUAAUGAACCUCUUUGAUUUAGGCUAGUUGCAAGAUUUGUCUCUCAAACUUUAGUAUUUAAAGAGAGGCUCAUGUUGUUUUAGUUUCUGAUUUUUGGUUUACUUCAAGAACUAAAUCUAGUUUAGCGGCGAUCGACUAGAACAUGAACAAAAAUUUCUAUGGGGGCAUCAUGGUAAUAGAUUGUCUGUAGCUGUAGGAUUUAUUUUGGUUGCUAGGAAUUUUUGCAAUGAACUGUAUCUGUAUCCUUUGUUGUCAUUGCCUCCAUCCUUUUCUCCCUUUUGAGAGGAAUAGUUGGAUGAUGAAUCUUGCUCCGUAUUUGAUUGGAGAGCUUAAAAGGCUUCUUUACUUUAUAUUGAUUGAAGCAAAUCCAAUUCUCUGCCUCACAUCAUAAUUUCAGGUCCUACUUAUAGCAUGACUUGCUAUCACCAUAAUCUUACAGUACGAAAGAAUCUUUAGUAAGGAAGGGGUAGAUGUCCAUUUGCUAGUAGUUACAAAAAUAAUGGAUAGUCACGCAUGUAAUAAUGGUAGCAAAAAUUGAUAAAAAUAAAUGAAUUGUUUUUGGUUGGUUUUUUCUUUGGAAGGUUGGAUUAAUAUCCUUUUAACUUCUCAAAAAAAUUAAAAAAUAUUCAUAUCAUUAACGCAUAAAAAAUAUUCAUAUCAUUAACCUCACCUUGUCUCUUUUCCAUUUCUUCUCUCCAUUGCUUCGAUUCAAUUCAUGGCCUAAUAUUCCCUCUUUUUCAUUUUUUCUUCAAUAAAUAUCCUCUUACGUCCCUUGUUUGUUCUUCCAUUCCUCCAUCUCAAUAAUUACCUCAUCAAUUAAGAUACAUAGACUAUAUAUAUCCAUGAUCUUAGAACUUAAAUAUGUCAACGAAAUUGUUUGUUCGGAGUUGAGUGAAAGUUAAAACAUUUAGAAUUAAGUACACUAAAACAGAGAUUUGAAUGUUUAGGUCAUAAUAUUGCAGACACGACAUAAAUAUGAAAACAAGUCCAUAACCAAACUUUGUAGAUUAGAAAAUUUUGUUGACCAUUUUUGUAGUUUAUAUUAACCAAACUUUGUAGAUUAGAAAAUUUUGUUGACCAUUUUUGUAGUUUAUAUUAGUUUAUUUGUUGCGGGAUGUUCAGAAACUCCCCAAUUAUCGAAGAUGGUAUUCGUUCGUUGGUUCUUUAUAUAUUUAAUGAUUCGUUGUGUCCUCUUGCAUUGUAAACAAAUAAGAGAAUCCAUGCAAAACCAUGACCAUUUAAGUGUUGUUUUUUUUUUUCUUUUUUCUUUCAUUAAUAUUUGUAAUUUAGUCUAAAAUGCACUUGCAUUCAAAAAAUGAGAGAUUCAUUAGAUUUAAAUGCCCAACUAAAUCUAAACAUAUAUCCAAGUACUAAUAUCUUUUCUUAUUAUUUGUCAAAUCAUAAUUCAAAAUUCAACCAGCAUAAAACUUAUAUCUUCAACCUUAUAUUUUUUCUCUUUAUUUCUAGUUUUGCUCAACAUUCUGGCGUUUGGGAGACAUUACUCAUUGAAAAUCCGUACGGACCCCAACAUUACACCUUAUGUUGAGAUGAAAAUGUGUGUUUCCAUUCUACAAAUCUUGUCCAUAUUCUGAAGACCUAGAAAAAUCAAAGCAUAAUAUAUCUAUAAAUUAAAGCGUCCCAAAUUUCCAGGACCAUUAAAAUUACAACUUUAAGGGGAAGGAUGUAUCUUUAAAACCCUUUUGUUACACUAAAAAAAAAUGAACCAUAGAGCACAACUGAAUAAAGCUGCUACGUUCAAGCCAUGUAGGAAAGCAGCUCGCUCCAGGAGAGCUCAUUGACAGGAUCAUGAAUUUUGAAGCUUCUAAUAAUCAGAUUUAAUCUACUGCUGCAAUCUGCAUUGCCUUGUUUAUUGGUUCUUGGAAAUACUGGAGAGAGAUGAAUAUUGCCUCCUAAGAAUCAAGGAAGCAUGGAUUAGAGAAUAUAGAGAAGAUUGAGAGAUGAGAGGAGAUGAUCAUGGUGGAGUACCUCUGUUCGAAUUGUUCGGCUUCCUUGCAGUGGACAUGUAUUCAAGUAUGAUGAGAAGAUCUCGUGAGCAUUUUUACUCUAACGGAUGGAAACAAUUUCAAUAUGUUAGUUAAUUAUGUACUGAAGUAACCCAAUGAAAGAAAUAUGCUGUUUAUUAAACUCCUUUAGUGCUUUUAAGAAUCAUCAAUUUAUUGGAAGAUUAAUCCUCUCUAUGGUUCUAUGUGCCUGAAGUUAUUAAAAAUGGACACCUUGAAGUUGUUGUCUUCCUCAAUGCUCUCUUCUAAACCGGCAAGUCCACCAAAGGCAAUUAAUAGAUGCCUGCCAAUUAAAACAAUUAAUCAACUCAAAAUGGGGGAAGGCCAAGAAAAAAGCUAAUCGAUUGAAACAACAGGCCAAAAACUCCCACUUGGAAUGAUACUAAGAAUUGUUCGUGUAUGAAAGCGUGUAUACGUUUUUUUUAUAGAAAAAAUGGAACCUUUUGACAGUCUGUUGAACCAUGGAUAAACAAAGGCUCACUGUAAAUUUAAUUGGCAAGAUGCUAUUGACACUGUUCUUUAAGAGCACCCCUUCUACACAUUUUUUCCAUUACAAUAAAGCCAUAAUGUAGAAAGGCAUGCUUCUGUAAAUUUGGUGGAUAUUAUGAAGGGGAUAUUUGUACCGAUAUGGAAAAUUUCUUCCAAGAUUUGAAUUUACGGAAUAUAUAGUUUAAAAGAUGAUUAAAAAUACUAACUUCUGUUAUACGGCAUAGUAAAUGACUAGAGAAAAUUGAACAAAAAGAAAAUGAAAACAAUCACUUAUUUUUAUAUUUAAACAUAAUUUAGUUAGCAUAACCAACUAGCAAAAGAUGACGAAGGUAUCAGCUAGAAACCAUACUACCCAGGUCAUAUGGUGCUAGACUUCAGCAAAAUACCUGAAAGGAGGCAGUGUUAGUUCUGAGGACUUUAUAACCAUUCCGUGCUCUGAGGUACCAAUCAAAUGAUCGUAACCACCCUUGGAACAAAACGAUAAUAAAUUGUGAGGAACGUGAUAUUAAUUGUUAGACGAUUCAUGGAGAGGUAUAAUUGUGUACCUCGUAUGAACUCUCCUUAAAAACUGCACUCAGAGAAGAAGCAUAUCGCACUCUAUAACCCCAGUAAAGCCCUUCUUCCACAGGCUUUGAGGAUGAGACCACCUGGCGGGGCAGAUCUGAAGAAAUGAAGUAGCAAAUACUCGGUUAUCAUUAAUGAAAAAUUUGCGUGGCAUGACUCAUACAUGUAUGCCGAGCAUUAAAAUGAUCAUAAUUUCAUUUCUUUUAAUAGAAGAAGAUAUAUAAAAAGCUUAAGUGCCAUGAAAGUGGAGAACUGAACUAGGUCUGGCAGAUUACAGCUGAAAUAUGUCCUCAAGUUCAACCAUUAUCUUCUAUGGAAUACCCACCUCAACCAUUUAUGAAAGGUCAAACCCGAGCAUAAAUGUUACAGCCUUUUCUUAGGCCCUUUGCCAUGUUCUCUAUUUUCUCUAAAAUGAUCCAGGAAUACCCAUCUCAACCAUGUUCUCUAUUUUACCAGUUUUUUCAGAAGCAUUUGUAGACAUCAUAAAAUAUUGCAGACUUCAAAAGUACAAGCCUAAAGCCAAUACUCGUCAAGACAUCUAUAGGUUAGCUAGAAGGAAAACAACAGUCAAUAUGUAUGUUCAUUUGAUUCAAAUAUGUACUAAAAAAAGCAUCAGAUAUUACCAGAAAACAAAUUGCGAUCUGUUCCCAUAGCUACCGUUACUCUUGUUCCAGGUUCAAGUAUUUCAUCAACAACAACAUUCUGCACAAUAAUUUAAAAUGAGCCAUGAACGCAAAGAAAACCUAGAUAAGUAAAAUAUGGUUGAUGGAGGCAUUAAAUUAAACUUUAAAAAAAGCGGAGAAAUUGAAUUAGCAUACACCUUCCACUCCAUUUAAAAUCAACAUGGUAGAAUAGCUCAAACUUAAUGUAGAAGAAGCUUUGUGAUUCCAUUCUAGAUACUUGAGAAGCCUAAAUUAAACAUGGCUUUACCUUACUCAAACCAACAUCAACCGAUGUUCCUUUAGCAUCUGGAGCUCUUUCUUUCAGGGUAACACCUAAAUUUAACAUAACAAAAUGAGGUCGAUGUAACAUGAACAAGAAGAAACACUGUGGCCGAGGAUGCCAACAUAAUAAAUCUGAAGUCAUCCAAAGAUAUAACCAAAUAGAUAUGCAUCUAAAUAUAGUCCCAGCCAUAGUCUCAACUUUCAGGAAUCUCCCAAAAAAAAUGUAAGACACUUAGUAAGACUUCUCACAAACUAUGCCACUCAAGCUUUAAAGAACUGUCUACCUGAGGAUGAAAAAUAAUUACUAACAAUGUCUUUCUAGACUCUGAGAAAUGAUUAAAAAAAGCUCGUGCAUUGAGAAAAAGGAAGGAAGCUUAGGCAUCUGGUCAACUACAAUACCAUAUGACUACCAACUAAAAAAUGAGGCUUGAGCAUUGGGAACCUCAGGAAAAUAAAUGUUCUACCAGUAAAAGCAAUGAACUUUUAGAAGAAGACGUCUGUAGGAGAAAGUGAUGGAAAAAGUCCCAAGGUUUUGAGAAAUGAUUAAUGGCAGGAAACCAAGAAAUCAAGUAGACACUAGAAUUUGACUCGUUUUGUGCACAUCACAAUUUCCUAAUCACGCUACCACAAAAAGAGAUAAUAUAGGAUGGCUAAAGGUAUUUGGAAGGAAAUAAGGCCAAAGAAAGUGGAAUUCUUCAUUGCGACACCAGCUUGAAUUGAAAAAAAAUUGCAAAGGAGAUGGUUCCCAACCUUCAUUUAAUUUUAAACACAAGCAUCUGUUUUACAAAUUAAAUGAAAGAGGCCAGUUCAAUUUACCCUUCCAGUGUUCAAGCACAGAGCUAUUAGGUUACUAUUUUCCAAGCUUUUCGAAGUGUUUGGUAUUUCAAUAGCAAGGUAAAGAUGAAUCUCCAGGAAACGAACUAUUGUAUGGCCCAAAGUUCAAACAGGAAGACAAAGGUCCUCGUGACUAAUGCAAUUAAAAACUGUUACUUCUGAAGGUGUGCUAGGAACAAGAAAGCCAACAAUAUCCUCACAUGCCCGAGAGUUUGCAAAGAUUCAGGUGCAAAUUUAGAAGAAAACCCAAAAGGAGCUUUCAAAUUUUACCUUCUCGAUAGGGACCCCAUUCGUGCUUGCGCAAAUGGUGAGGGGCAUCAAGAGGGGGCAACAUCCCCUACAACAAAUUCACAGUAAAUUGAAGAUCAAAAGCAAGACAGGAAAUGUUAAUUCUUUGAUUAAAGCAACGAAGCUAUUUAAGGUCGUACCACAAAUCUUAAAUUGUUAUGCUUUGGGAAAAGAGCUUUUCUCAAGUAUUGUGGAGUCUCAAGAUAUUUUAAGAUCCUUAUUAGGAAAGCAGCGCCACUUUCAUCCUCAUCUGAAUUGUUCGCUGCCGCAACCUCUGAGCCAGUCGUUGAACUCCUUCCACUGUCAAAUACCACCACCUGAUACAUGCAUAACCUAUCUUUCUAAGCUGAACUAGUCCAGUGAAGCCAAUAGCUAUCCAGGAAAAUUUGAAGGAAAGAGGAUGAAAAAAAUGAGAAAGAUGGUGACCUCGUUAAUUCGAAAUAUUGUUGCCGCACGAGCAAUUUGACCAGCCAACUGAAAAAAAGUUCAUAAGUUUCAUCCAAAUUAAUCACAUCACUCCAUUUCAGAAGAGGAGAAAAUGCAUCGAGAGAGCAUAAGAAAUAAAAGAGAAAAUGAUUCCAAGAACUAAUCAAAUCAUUCUCUUAGGGAACAGGGGAAAGGAGGCCGAACUCGAAAAACACUCGCCUAUAAAAGAGAGAAUGCGUACUCUGGUGGCAAGCUCCAGGGAUUGAGCAUUAUCAAUGAUGGAACCGGAAACCGCAAUGCUCACUGUAGGUUUGGAAAUCGGUUUCCUCUUCUCUGCCUCGAUUGAACCAUUCUCAACUUUCUUCUUCUUCUUCUUCUUCUUUUUCUCAGGAGAGCAUCCAUUAAUGAGCUCCGUUUCAUGAUUAGCUUCGAAGUCAUCUCUGUCAAGCGCCUCCGAUUCCUGUUCCGGCCGCUUAUGCUUCUUCUUCCCCAUUUUUCAAGACCUCCGCCGGUGGUAGGGGUUUAGCAGGGUUCAGAAUGCCGGAUUUUUCUGAGCUGAAAGACGCCAACUUUACCAAGCUCUUCAAAGCUUUGAUAACUACACGACAGUUCAAUAAACUUAAUAAGCUUUCUGCCUUUACAUAGCCCAAAAUAAGGAUAGGCCCAUGGUUGAAAAAGGCUGUCUCAUGGGCUAAACCAUUGAGCCUAAAUGAGCCUCAGUAUAUUAAGAGAGCCCAAUAGUUACAUUACACAACGGCCAAUAUUCUUUUGGGCUUUCAACCUUUUAAACUCUUACAUGUCGUCUUGAAAGAGUUAAAAUGCUGAGGUUUUUAAUCAUAAUCACUUCAAAUAUAUAUAUUUUUUAAUUAUUCAAAAAUGAUUUUUUUUAUUUCACACUUUUAAAUGGAAUAUUCAUUUAUUGAAAAAUAAUUUCAAGUCAGUAAAAUCAUAUUUUUGAACCUAAUGAAAAGUGAUCAGCUCCCUUCAAAAUCACUAAAUUAUGUUAAUAAGUUAAAACUCUUGGGCUUAAUUGUCCUUUCAGUACAAAAUAUUUCAAUAAAAUUUGUGUUGAUUAAUUAAUUUUUGAAACAUAAAUCCAUAUAGAAUUAACAAGGGUGUGUUUGGAUUAUGGUGUUUAAUUUAAAAUAUAAGUAAUUUUGAAAAAUAAAAAUAAAAAUAGAUUUUUAAGUGUAUUUUAAACAAAAUAAGUUUUUUCAAAAAAUAAAUUUCUUAAAAGACAUUUUUUUCUUAAGUCAAUCCAAACAAACUUUGAGGUAAUAUACUUAACAAUUUUGAAUUUUUAAAGUUAGGUAGAUGUGAUACAACCAUCAUCUUAGAAUCAACAAUUUUUUUUAAAAAAACUAUAACUUAUACGUAUAAGAGGACACGAAGUUCUUUAACUUGAACUAAGCUUCUUCUUUAACUUGAAGUGAACUAAGCUCUUAUUGAGUAAAUAGUUAUUCAUUUUGUAAUUUUGUAGUAAACCCUAAUUUUAUAGUUAACCAUAACUCCCAAUGUAGGUAUGGCGUUGGGAGUUGUUGUCUACUCCCUAUAUUUUUCAUAAUUCGUGAGAGAGACAAUAUCUUAUGACAUAUAAUCUCUCGACUAUCCUUUUAUUCGGUGGAAGAUCCACUUUUUUUUUUUAGAGUAUUGCUAUUUCUUUUACUCAACUUCAUAUGCUAACAAAGUUGUGGUUAAAAGAAAUGUUAAAUGUAAAAGUAGAGUGAAAAUAGUUUGCCCCUACAAAAGACUGAAAUGUCAUAAUAUAAAGAAAAUCCCAUUCUGUUUUUAAUAAAAAGGAAAGAAAAGGUGAGGUGACAGCCACUGCUCGACAUCUUCCUUUGAAAUUGGGGAUGAUUACAAAAUCUAAUAAAGAAGAAGAGAGAAAAAGAACACUAUUUGUAAUAAGGUCAAAAAAGAUGAAGCCAUAGUCUUUUGGUUGGUAAACAAAAAAUGACUACAAACAUAAAUAAAAACAACAAAAAGGUUAAAUGAUAUAAAUAAAUUUUAGAAAUAACAUUUUUUAGGCUUUGGAUUGUUUCGAAAAAAGAUCUAUAUUUUCUUGGAAGUUGUUACUCCAUGUUAAUGUUUGAAACUAUAUUUUGAAAGACACAUCUUUGGGAUUUUUGGACCAAAAUGGAGAUUUGGAAUGUUGUGUAUGGUAAUGACCUAAUAUUACGUGACGAUUAUCCAAAUUUUUAUUUUAAGUUAAAACGGCACAUAAGAAGAUUAUAACUUCUUUUAGAUUAAGAAUUUAUAUAUACUCUAUAGACGAUAGUUUUGAAUUGGUUAUUAAACAUAAUAUUACAACUUUUGUUAAAAUAAAUUACUCUUUGAAUCAAGAAGAAAUAUUUCAGGUAUUCCAUUUGUUAAAAUAACAGUAAUUAUAAAUUAUAAAUAUAGUAUUUAGUUAUUCAGUAUAGUAUUUUAUUUUGCUCAUAAAUUUUAAAACAUUAUGUUUUUAAUUUGGUAAUAGGUUUACAAAUUUUACACUUAUUUUUUAUUUUUGAGUUUCAUUUGGUUUCAUCAUUAAAAUAUUUAAGCGGUCAAAAAUUAAUAACAAAAAUUGCAUUAAAUGAUAAAAAAAUUUAGAAAAAAGAAGUUCACAACACAUCUUUUUUACAUAUUGCAAAUAUAAAGUAAUUAGAUAUAUUAUACAUAUCAAAGGGAUAUCUACUCUUAAAUUUUGUACUUUUGCAAUUUAAAAAAUGUAGUGAGAUGAUUUUUUAUCAUAAUUUUUUGUUGCUAUUUUUGUAAAUGCCCCAAAAAUCAAUCUUAUUAUUUUAAAUUGAUUAAUGUUACCAUAUAUCGAAAGUGAAUAUUUAGUUAACAAAAUAUAAAGUAAUAGAAGAAUAUGGCUUAUUAGAAAACAUUGCAUGUUAAUGCCCUCUUCGCACCAUUUAUAAUAAACUCAACAGAUGAGUCUUUUUCCUGUAUGAAACAACUGAUCAUCAUUCUAAUACAAGAUUUACAAGCUUAAUUUUGUAGGAUUACUUGUUAAGACUACUUAGACUACAUCAAAAUCAAAAGUAAUGGUACAUAUAACAUCUUAAAAUUUUCUAGAUCAAACAAAAUCAAAUCUCAAAAUUAGAAAAAAAAAACACUAUUUUUAAACUUAGAAACCAAAUAAAAUAAAACUUUCUAAUUCAACGAUUGACCCAAAACUUUAAGAUCGCCACGAGUGAAGUUGAAUUUAAUAUUAGUUAUUCAACAAUAAUACUUAAACUAAUAAGAAGUGAGUAUGAUAGAAGGAAAAAGAGAGUCGAUCAAUUGAAAUAGUCAAUGUAAGGAGAUAUUCAACCAACGUCGAUUUGAAACAGCAUUUAAAAAUAAAAAAUUAAAGCCUUUAACAAAUCCAUUCAAUGUGUACCCCUUCAUAGUCGAGGUCGAUUUUUUACAAUUACUAAACUGACCAUAGUCAGUUCAGUAUCGAUUUGGUUGGAAAACCGAUUUUGACCGGUGAAUGAACACCCGUAGUAAAGAAAAAAUAAAAAAGAAUAUAUAAGAAGUAGAAGAAAUAAAAAGUAGUGGGGUUGUCCGGUUCAUGACAAGAUUGGACCGGUCGGGCCCAUAACUGCCCUGAAGCAAGAUCGUCAAAAUCUUUAGAAAUUCCUUUUGUUUCCUAAGAAAAUUACAACAGAAUCUACUGCCAAAUUUUAUCUUCAGAUACAUAUAAUUAAUAACAACAUUCAAAUAUAUUCAUUAAAUAAUAAAAUUAUAAAUUAUUGUUUUUGUAUUUUAGAAAUUAAAAAAAAAAAAGAAAAAAGAAAAGAGAAUUCUCUCUUUUAUAUACCACUCUUCAAAGAUUUCAUUGCAGUCACAAAAGAUUUAUAUCAAAAGCUUUCUGGAAAAGCCCAACAAACAAAAAAGAGAAGAAAUAUAGAAAGCUAUCACAUACACCAUUAUAAUUAUAUUUUCACCAUCAUCUCCUUUUCGAUCUUUUUGACUCUUUCCAUUGUACGGUUCACUUUCAAACUUUCAUCACCAUUUUCAUUUUUCUCUUUUUUAAUCUUUUUUUUUCCUUUUAAUUAUCUCGUUUUAAUUAAUUACGUACUAUUAAAAUUAAAGACUCUUUAGUUAUGAAUAGACAUAAAGAUAUUAUUUGCCCAAAAUAAUCACACUUUGAUAUGCCUUUUGAAUGUAUACCGUUAUUGUUGCUAAUAUUAAUAAUGUCUAAUGUCUAAUGUGCUCUAACCUACCUUUUCCAUUUUAAUGGAUUCAUUUAUUUUCCCUUCUUUUUUGUUGCUAGUUCUUUUUUCCGUCUACAUCCUCAAAACCUAAGUGCCUUUUUAUUAUAAACUUCGAGAACAAUUGUAAUUUCAACUUUUUAAUUGAAAAUAUAUAAGUAAAUAAUAAACAUGUUAAGUUAGUUCUCUUGAUACAUUUUUAAUACACAAUAUACUUGUAGUUCACUUGUCGUCUCUUGGAUUAUUGAAGUUAUUUCUUGGUAGGUUUUGUUUCCAAAGGAACAAAACACUUUGAACAAUUAUACUGUAGCAUGCAAAAUAAACUUUGUAGAUUAAUUUAGAAACAAAUAAAGUCUCUACAAAAAUGAAGAAUUCUUUUUAGUUCAAUAUAUAAUAGUCAUCUACCUACAAUUAAUAUUAUAUCUAACUAGUUUUUCGUAGAGUUAUAAUAAGUUAUUUCGUAUGGUUAGUCGAAGUGUACGAAUAAGCUAUCCUUGACAUUAACACCGGGUACAUAAGAAAAAAAAACUUUAUCAUACAAUUAAAUUUCUCUUUACUGUAAAAUACUAUAUGUUGUUUGCAAAUGUUAAGAGUAUAUUUAAUAUAUUAGCUUAAAAUUGUAGCUCUACUAGUUAUUUAAUAUAUAAGAAUAUAUUUCUAACAUCACAAUUCACAGACUAGGAGAUUUCUACGUACGUCACAGAAAAACAAAACAAGAAAUAACAAUAGAUUAAAGGAGUAUAAAAUUAUCAUGAAUUGUGACAUGUUUUUCUUAUAUGUUGAAUAUUACGAUAGUGCAUGGAAAGAAAUUAAUAGAUAAUGGAACCCUACUUUUUCCUUUUCUAUUUUUUUCUUUUUUUCUCUAAUGGUUUGAACAAAUCAGAACCAAAACGUAGCAUCUAAGUACUUAGCAACCAAGCAACAAAAAAAAGAAAAAAGAAAAAAGGAAAAUCCUAACUUUUUAUUUUUUCCAAAUUCUUUGUGAAGUAAUUGACAGAGAAAUAUCCAACACCAAAUCAAAGCAACUUAUUUUUUGUUUUUUUCUUUUUCAAAUAUCAUGGGUUCUCGCUUUGGCUUUUGUCUAAUGAAUUGUACACGUGGAACGUUUUUAUUCGCCAUACUGUCCUGCUGUGGAUUAGGUCAAAUUAAAUGGGCUUUGGGUGGGAUUACAAUUGACGGAAACUUUCGGGGUAAUGGAGCUCUUUUAGACUAAACGACACCGUUUUUUCAUUUCUUUUAUUGUUUAGUUAUUGCUACCUUUUUCUACAUGGCAUCCUCCAGCUGCUUUUUUGUUUUGGUUUUGGUUUCACCUUUUCUUUUUAAUUAUUACAAAAAAAUAUUUCACAUUUAUAAUUGUUUUACGUAACAAAUUGCAUGCAAUCAAUUUGCUCCUUUUUAAUGAAUUUAUAAACUUUGGUUCGUCCUAUUAAUCAAAACGUCACAUAGUUCUUACUCAUUCUUUCUAUAUUUUCUAUGUGGCCUAAUUAACUUAACUUGGUGGAGUGGAGCUUUGUUUCUUUAUUGAGAAAGGCAUGAAAUUAUAAACCUUAACUCUCUAUAUGACGUACUAUAAUAUAGAUUAUUUUAGCCAAACUUUUAUAUAAUACUCUCGAUUAAGACAUACAUGUUAUUGAAACCUUUUAUUAAUAAUAUUCAUGAUAGAAAUUAUAUAAAUUAAAGAUUGUAAUCUUCAGCUUUAAGAUAAUUUAGGUUAAAAAAAAUUUAUAUUUUCUCUAAAAUAAAAUAUGAGAAUUUAUGUGACAACUAAUAUGUAAAAUUAUAAAAUAUAUUAGUACUAUAUUUUUCAAUUAAUUUUCUAUAUUGAAUGUGGGUUCAACACAAUUUAAUUUUGCUAUGGCAAGAAAACUUUUUAGGGUACGUUUUAAAACAAAUUAUAAAGUUGAAUGAUUAAAAAAUGAAACAUUUCAAAGAGUAGAAGCGUGUAAUUAAAACUUUUCCUAAAGUUUAGGAAUAUUUCAUAUAAUUAUUUAAGCUUUAUUAAUAAUAAGGUAGGAAAGGAUAAAAUUACAAUAGUUUAGCCAAUAAGUAUAUCAAUUCUAAAAAUGAAUACCUAAAGAGAUGUGUCAAUUAGAGAGAAAAAGGCUUUAAAGUUUAAAAAGUCAUGGAAAGUUACAAGUGGUUUUUUGUUACAAAUUUAUUAAAUAGUUACUUUAUAUAAAUAUACUUUAUCCAUGUCUUAAUAGGAGCCUUGUAUAUAUUAAAUAGUGAUCGUGACAUAUUUUUUAAGCCAAGGAGACAAAAUUUUCAAUUUUGAAACAAAUCUUAUCCAUAUCUUCUAAGUUUAUUGAAAUGAAUUAUUCCGUUGUCAUUUUCAAAUUGUGUUAAUUUCAAUUUCAAUACUACAUAAAUUAAGUAAUAUAAGAUAAAGAUAUGUAUUAUACGUGUGGAAAUUAAGGAAGGGUUUGAUUAUUUACGAGUAUAGAAAUAAAAUCUCCAAUAUUGAUGAAAGUUUAUUAUAAUAUUACACAAUAUAAGUAUAUAUAUAUUUUUCUAAAUGGGAAAAAUUAAUUGCAAUUUAUUUAUUUUGUUUUGCAAAUAAAGGAAGCCUAUCUUGGAAUAUACGAGUUGAUUUAUGAUAUUAAUAUCUUAACAUAAACUAUAAAGGUUUACAAAAAAAAACAUUUAUGGACGUUAUUGAAUAAAAAAAAAUAGGGUUGAAUUUUUUCGCUCAAUUUGAUGAUUAUAUAUUAUGUUUGAUAAUAUUGUUUUCGUAUAGAAUUAAUGAGUAUUUAAAAAAAAAAUUAAGAAUUAUAAUGAGAAUUUUUAAAAUAAUCAUAAAAAUAAUUUAGAAAUACUAUAAUAAAAGAGACCGCAAAAUUGUUUUAAUAUUUAUCUCAAAUAGUUGUCAUAUUAGCUUUACCGAUUGACAUAUUUGUCUCCCGGUGACAAAGAGAUCAAUUAUGAGGUUCACAUUUCCACGUUCUUAUCGAACUAAGAAAAAUGUUUUUAAUAUGUAUAAUUUUUUAAUAUAAUAAAACAAACCGAAAAUAUUUACAAAACCAACAUUUUUUUUAUCGAUAAUUGACGCUUAUUGAUUUUAAUAAAUUAGAAUUAUCUACUAUUAUUUGAUCCUUUAUUAAUUAAUAAUGAAAUUUUUGUUGUAUUUAUAAAUAUAUUAACCAAAUUUUACCUUAUAAAAUUAUAUAAUUUUUAAUUUUAUUUUUAAGUUUUUAUAAUUUUGCUACCAUUAUAAAUCACAAUAAAUGAAUAAAAGAGAAAUUAUCGUUGAAUGGCCUAAUUUUUUUAUACCUAAAUGGUUAAAAUAGGUAUAACAAUUUUGAUCACUCUCCUCGUUAGUUUAAAAUUAACCUCACUUUCUUGCUUUUCUUUUUAAAUAACUUUAGACAGACAACACACAAUCUGACCGUAGUUAAAUUAAACGGACAAAAAUCAAAUAAAAUGAAGCAAUUACAAAUAUAACAAUUAUUAGAUUUGAAGUAUUAAUACCAUCUAACACAAUUUUAGAAAAUUACAAAUAUAACAAAAUACGUUCAAAUUCGUUAAUAAUAGAAAACUAUCACUAAUACACUAAAAGAAUCUACCGACAAUAGAGUGUUUAUUAUGGUAUGUUAUUGAUAAACUUUAUUUUAUUUGUAAAUUUUUUAAAAAAAUUGCUAUAUAAUAAUAAUUACUACAUUAUAUAUUUAAAAUUUUCCCAAGUUUUCAAUUUAUAAUAUUACUCUUAAAUUUUCAUAAAUAUUUCAAAACUGCUAUACCAUUAAAGAGACUAGAGAGUAGAAGGCCAAUCAAACAAUGAAUGAAAAUUAGAAAUAAAAUGAGGAAGGCAACUACGUAAGUAGAACGAUAUGGCAGUAUUUAGGUCCCCCUCCCUAUUUUAGUUCACCAUCAUACUCAAAAUGGUAAUCUUCAAACAUGUAUGAAAUGUUACUGAUACCUUAUAUUACAUUUUGAAAGAAUAAGGAUAUUUUGAAACAAAGUGACAAAAAUUAUUACUAUUAUUAUCAUAUUGGUGUAAUGUAUUUUAUUACAAAUAGAAAAAAUAAUUGUUUUCAAUUUUAAGAGUUCUAAAAAUAUAGAAAGAGAAAAAUCCAACCUCGGAUUAGGUUUAUCAUUAAAUGUACUACAGAGUUGAUAUUGACCCCCCAAAAAAAAAGCAAUGGUAGGUACAUCCAGUACGUGGACAACCAACAAUCAUUCUCAAAGAUACCAAAAGAAAAAAAGAGAAAAAAAGAAGAGAAAUUAGCUUUUACGUACAUACACACGUAAAACAUCAUAAUCACUGUAUCGACUACAUACACAUACAGUACAUAUAUGACAUAUUAUGUAGAUACUUAAAGAGAAAAAAGGGUUAGAGGGGGCAUUAUGAAAGGCAGAAGAAGCUCCACCUCGGUGAGAAAAAUGAAGAAGGGUGCAUGUGGUUGUCUGAGUGAAACCGUACUCCAACUUGCACUUUUAAGUCGUUGUUACAAAGCAAAAACGACUAGGGCAUAGCACCAAUUUGCAUGUGCCCCCUUUAAUUUCCCUAUUCCCCAAUAUAUCGAUUUUUAUUUUUACAUAUCCCUAUCCACAGUCCCACCCUCACGUAUUAGCCUUAGGGCAGUAGAAAGAAAGCAAAUGAAAAAAAUGGAUUGUUAUUAUUAUUAGUACACAUGUGUAGUACCCCCUGUGUUCUUCUUUCACUCUGACACACAUCUACUUGCACACACAAUCUGUACGGUCUUUUCUUGGAUUUUCUGUCCUUCUUCUUCAUCAUUUUUUCCCUCCCUUGUAUUACACUCAAUUGAAUUACCACUUUAGUCUUUAAUCCAAGUUUUAGGUUCAUCAAAGUUUAACGUGACAUUAUUAGAAGUAGUGCCUUCUAAAGUUUUGUUUUUAAACCUUUUAACAUUUUUUUUAUGAGAUGCAAUAUAAUAUUAAAUUUAUCUUCAACUAUAAACAUACAAUUUUGAAAUAUAAUUUAACGAGGUUACCCUCGAAUAAAUUUAAUGGUAUUUGAAAUGCAUUUCCAAUAUAUAAUAGAAUUAUAUAAUAGGAUUAUGAUUUUGUGAUAACCAAGUACUUUUCCUUAAACUUUGUGUUUUGGUCAAUUUUUUAAAAUUGCAUGUUUAAUAGAUCAUUGGUAUGUCCAGACUAUUUCUUAACUAAUAAAAUCUAUUAAGUGUAAAUUGUAAUUUGUGUCUAAUUAUAUGAUAUUAAAUUCUUGUUUGGUAACGGCCAUUUGAUUUAUAUUUUUUAUUUAUUUUAAAGUUUCGUUUAAUUAUUUUAAAAAAUUGAUAACAUAUUCAGGAAGUUUUUAAGGUUUUUAAAGCCCAGAAACAAAAUUGUUGAAAGCAUAAAGACCAUUUAUAUUUUUAAAAUUUUAAGAAUUUAUAAGACAAAAAAGACAAAAGUUGAAGUACAAAAUUUGUAAAUAAACAUUUUUUACAAGAAUAUAUCUGAAAUUAGGUCAGGUAUUAUUUUGCCUUUUUCUUUAACCUAAAAUGUCUAAUUACUAAAACAGACGAGAUUGGUUCCUACCUCUUAAUUAAUUCAGCUUACGUUUGCAUCUCCCACCACCAUUUUCUUACUUUUAUGGGUUACACUUGUACUACUCUAAAGAAAUAAAAACUGUAUUUUAUUCAUUUCAAUUUAACCAUAACACAUCCGGACAUUUUAUAAAUAUUGUGUUAUAAGAAAAUAUCUCUUGAAACUAUAUCAAUACGGUUAGAUUAUUGAUAUAACGUUGAAUUUUAUUAUAAGUUAUCAAUAUGAUGCAAGGCACAUGUUGGAAUUUCUAUAUUGAAAAUAUCACUUUGAACAAGUUCUUAUAAAAUUGAUUGAUCUAAAGUUAAUCACCAUGGAUAAACAUGUGUUGUUGUAGUUUUCAUAUAUAAAAAGGUAUAAAAUAGGAGUAAGAGGGAGGUGAAAUUAGUGAGAAAUGGAUUAAUAAAAGGGAUUACAAAGAGAAGCCGGAUUAAAUAAAUAUCAUCCAAAAAUUAAAAAUCGUUAAUAAUAGUUUUAAUUAUAAUUAAUUAAGAAGAGACCCAAAUGGAGAGGGGCUCCCGAGUCAAUACCAACAUUUCAUUGUUGUUUUUAAUUUCGUCAAUAUUAUUAUUUUCACCCGCCUCGUUGCACCUGCAUGGUCUUUCAACCUUUUCUAUUUCGAUUUCCGCCCCUCCAAGAUUUCCAUUUUCUUCCACUUUCCCCCCCAAAUCUUCCUCAUAAUUACCUUUCUCCCCCACCACUUCAACGUCGUCGUUUCUUCUUACUUCUUCUUCUUCUUCCUUUUCUUUUUCUCUUACCUUUUGCUUCUCCGUACUUUCUUCUCCACAGUCAAAUCUGGAACUUGAAGUGCUACUUUUCAAAAUGCUCAAUCGAAGCCGUCCAUGGCUUCGUUCAACGUGGAAAUACGAAAGUCUCGCCGGAGUUUUCACCGCCUCCAUUAUUAACCGUCCGUCUUCACGAUAUGACCGUACACGAAUCGAAUCAACACCAGCGAUUGUAGUCAGAGGCGGUGGAAAAACUUUGUUAUUACCUUGAUUUCUUUUCGAUUUCACUCGCUUCCUCAUCGAAGACCGUUCGUUUAUCAGAUCGGAAAAAACAACAUCCUCAACGAAAUCAUCUCCAGUCUCAUUCCCUAAAUUCUCCGUACAGAGUGCAAGACUCUCAUCACUCAGAGCAGAGCGAGAGCGUUUAACGAGUGGAUGAACAUAAUCAGAUUGUAAUUCCUUAGACGCCAUUGCGGAUUUAACGGAUUUCUUGGAGACGUCAUCGUCAUCGGAGGGAGGAGGAGGAGAAGGAGGAGGAGGAAGAGAGUUAAUAGCGUUGUGAUUGAGAAGAAUCUGGUUAAGUUGGUGGCAUUGGGGGAGGGAAUUGGAAGAAUUAUCGAGAUCGAGGAAACAGGAAUUGAGAGCGAAAUGAAGAGAAGGAGGGGGAUGAGGAUGAGGAUGUAAUUUGAUUCGAGGCCAAGUUGUUUCGAUGAAUUGAGAAUCGACGCAGGGUUGAGGGCCACGACAGACCAUUGUCGCCAUUGUUGGAGAGUAUGAAGGUAAGGUAGGUUGGAAAUCUUGGGAUUAGGGUUUGUUGUGAGAGAAGGAAGAGAGAAUUGAAAGAGAGGGGAUAAGUGAAGAAGAUGUGGGGGAGAAGGGUGUGAAUUUGUAGUCCAAAAAAGUGGCAAGGAAGAGGUAGUGAGGAGUGAGGUAAGAGUGGUGGGGGCCUAUGUUCAUUCCACUUGAAUUAUAUUAUAAUCCUCCGUAUGCACAAAUACUACCUUACAUUACAAAUCUAAUACAAUUGGCUGUAUCACAACUGACCCCUAUGGUUAAUAGUCUUCUAUUAAUGAUUAGUAAUAUGAUUUAUAACUUAUAAACUCUUAACUUUUUAUUUAAAUUUUGUUAUACUUGCAGAUUAUCGUGUGUUGUAUUUGUUAAUACUUUAAGUUUGAUUACUAUAUUUGUAAAUAUUUAUAAAUUAUAUACCUUUGAUUAUGUUAGAUGUUUGAAACUCCUAUUUAUAGCUCAAUUGACGUAGAAUGAGUAGCUUUUACCAAGUCACAUGUUCGAGUCUUCCAUAAAAAAAAAGUAAACCAAAACAAAUUUACACAAUUUUAUAUAACACAAAUAUUAAUUGACCAAGAAGUGAGUUUCCAUGAGUUUGAAGAUCUUAAAGUUAAAAAUAAUAUUAAUUAUCACAUCAUUUAGAGAAACAUAAUAAAAUUUUGGUUUUUUCUUUAAAAUUUUUUCAAUAGAAACUAUUUAAAAUAAACUUUAAAAAAAAAUUAUAUUUUGUAUAAAAGCAUUUGAAAAACGCUUCAUUAACUUGUAAACAAUUUUCAAAAUAACCAAAUGGACAAUCAAAUCACAUAUUAUAAAUUGACUUUUUGAGAUAGAAAGUUUAAUCUCCCUCUUAAUUGGCUGUACUAAAAAAAAAAGCAAAAGUUAAUGUUUAUUCCAUGUUAGAGUCUCUUACCAUAUUAGUUUUUCUAAAAAUAUAUAAGUUAAUAAAAACUCACUUUCUAUUAAUAUAUUUAGGAAAUUAAUUUAAGUUUAGAUUACAAUAUAUAUGAUGUCAAAUUCAGCCCUCAAUUUAAAUAAGUUUGUGGGAAUUUUACAUCUUUUUAUUGGUUGUAUUGUAUCUUUCUCUUCUUUUCAAAAGGAUUGUGUGGUCAGCUGUGGUACUUUUUUUUUUUCCUUUGAGGUUGGACAAAAUUAUUUUUUUAAAUGGAUAUUGUUUUUUUUAUUGUGACAUUUCAGCCAAAUAAAUAAACAAAUAUAAUAAUAAAUAAUAAUAAUUUUUCUAUAAAAAAAACAUUGUUGGGAUUUUUCAGUUUUUAUUGGUUGUAUUGUAUCUUUUUGUGGUUGAUUUCAUAUCUGACUUUCUUCCUUUAUGAAUUUUAAGUUAUUUAAUCAUUGGUUCUUAGAAAAUAUUAGAAUUUUGUUUCCACAGAGAGAAGGUUUAUUAUUUUUUACUAUUUCUUCAAAUUUAGAGUUCUUUUUAGAUAAUUAGAGUUUUGGUCACAAUUAUUUCCCGAAUUACUUUUUUAUUCUGUUAACACUUUUUUUUAUACAUUUAGUAAUAAUUAAGAAAAUAUGUAUACAACUAAAGUUUGGAGUUAAAAAUUAAAAUAAAUCUAUGUCAAAUAUUUAUCUAGGAAGAUUGGAUUCUCCUUAAUAAAACUACGAGUGAUUUUAUAACAUAUAGAUUAUAAACUAUACUUUGUGUUAGAUCUCAAAAGCUAAUGUAAUUAAAUAUAUAGAUUUUAUAAUGCAUCAUGUCGAUUAGAUAAAAAGAUGAUCUUGGAUAUAUAAGUGAUAACAACUAUUUCCAUUGAUAUAAAAUAUUUUGAGACGGUACUAAAAAUAAAGCUAUGAAAGUGUAUUUAUUUAAUAUUUGAACAUACAGAAACAAACAACGAAAGUGUAGUAUUCAAACAUAAAAUUCAAUGUUAUCUAUUAUAAAUCAAUGAAAGAUUAAUCACUCGUUAUCCGAUAUUCUUCAAAGUUCCAAUGACCAAAAUAAAUACAAGAUUUACAUAAAAAUUUGAAGAUAAUAACGACACUUUUGAUGAAAAAAAGUUCAAGAUCUAAACUUAGAUUGUGACCAAAUUGGAAGGGAUAAGAGUGUGGAAGAAUAGGGUGAAGUAACACUUAGCCACACUAUCAAAAUUUGGAGAAAAGUUUCUCCUAAAUAAAAGUCAAAUUAAGGUUAAAUGAAUGCAUGAGUACUAGUUUAGUAUACUUACAUAUCCUUUGAAAAGAGGGAGUAAGAUACCAAAUCAAAUAGCUCAUACUAAGUGAAAACGACCUAAAAUUGUAUUUUUAGAAACAUAAAUCACCCUAAAUUAGAGACAUAGAAAAUUGUAUUGGUGUAAUUUAAGGACAAAACCAAAUUGUUUCUUAUCCUACUAAAAUAUUUUCUUUUUAUAAAAAUUUCAAACGUCUAAAUUGAAGUAAAUAAUAUAUUACAACUAUGGCAUAGUCAUGAAAAUUUUGUAUAUGUAUGUAAAAGAAAGAAACAUUGUUUUGUAAGACGAAAACGAUAAGAUUAGAACGUCAUCCACUCACAAAAACCGUCCGCUCCUAAUCGGUUGGAGUCGAUUGAUUUUUGAAAUUUUGUUGUGGGGAAGAGGGAAAAUGGAGGGGUUGAUUGUGGAAAAAACCUAAAAACAAAAAAUACAAAGAUGUGUGGGCAUAAAAAUGUUGAGAGAGAAGAAAGAAAAGAGGGCAUGUUGGUCCAAAAAUUACCAGCUUUUUUUCUUCUCUUCAUAAACUUCCAAAGGAAAAAGAACAAAAAGGCCAGGAAACAAAAAGAUUCUCUCAAAUAUUUGUUGACAGUGAUUUCCCUUCCCUUAAUUCUCUCUUCAUACCAUUUAUUUAGAUUUUAUCCAAAUUAUUAAAUUAAUUUAUAUGUUUCUCCUACACUUAAAUUAUUUAAUUGGUGAGUAUGAUUCAUAUGGGUUUAAAGAGUCAACACACCCACUUUCCUUUUGCUUCUGUCCAAAUGGGGAAUCAACAUUUAAAAAGAACCACAAGAAUGUCAGCCCACCCCCUUUGAAACUUCAUUUGCUUAAAUACCCAUUAUUCCUUUUCUUCAUUUUUUUUUUUUAUUUCCUUUUCAUUUUAUUCCCAUCAACUCUUUUUCCUUUUUCGGGAUACAAUUACAGAUUUUCUUUGACAUAAUAUGCACAAAUACUCCCUACUUCCUUUCAAUACUCUUCUAAUUUACUGCUUUUAACUCUUCUUUUCUUCAAUUUUCUCUUUCUUUUUAUAUAUAUUAUUAUGAUAUUGCUUAUUUUGAGUUUAAACCAAACCCAAAGGGUUGUUCCUGUCUUUAUAGGCAUAUUCGUUAUUAUUUUAUAUCAAAAUUUUGAUUGAAUUUUUAAAAACCAUGAUACAAGGAUCAUGAGGUUGAAGAUGUUGUCCAAAGUUGGUUAAAAUUUACAAUUUACAAUUUAACUUUUUUCUUUUCCAAACUCAUAAUUAGAGAAUUGAAUGGUAGGUUAACUAAUUUAGCUUUUCCUUUAGAUAAAUGAUUAUGUUAGGUGAAAAUUGAAAUCUAGGGUUAAGCAAUGUCACUCAAACAGCCUUUAUUUGUCUCCGUUGCUUCCGGAUACCAUAGAUUCUUCAAGGGGAUUGUGCCUUGUGGUGUGACGUGGGGAAAUAUACAAAAAAUUUCUCUCAUUCUUAAUAUUUUCUCCACAAAUCAUUUAACCUAAUUGGUCCAACGUGAUUCUCACUUUUUUAUAGUUCAAGAAUUGUGGGCAAAGAAGAAUGAGUUCUUAAAAAUCUUAUUCCAUUAAUCCAACAGUUAUCAAAUCGACAAGUAAAUAAUAUAAUAUAUAAAAUGUAAAAUAUAAAAGUUAAUAAUCGAUUAACUUAUGUUUGUUCUUAGUCGUUUGAAGCAUUACAUAAUAGAUUUAAGACAUUCCAGCACAAACUAUGUGUAGAUUGAUAAUUAUUCUCACUUUUGUAAUCAAUUUUGAAUAUAUGAAAAAAAAAAAAAAUCUAAUGGUUAUGAGAGAAACCAUCGUUUAAAUCUAAUGAACUUUGAACCGUUCGUAGAAGAAUAUGAAAUGUGCAAUAAUUAAGUGUAUUGAGAGACGACAACAAAUAUAUUAAAAGGGAUAUAGGUGAGAUAUAGAGUAUACCAAACUUUAAUUUAUUUUUAUUGUAAGUGUUGGAAUUUGAAUCGUCCUCUAUGCUAUAUGGUUCCAUUUUAUAGGAUUUGGGAAAGCUUAUAGAUUCCUUGUGUAACACAUAGGAUUCCUUUCUUUUUCAUUAUUCAAUUAAAAUUUCACUCACCCAUUUAAACUUUUCUUGCAAUAAACAAAUAUCCAAAUUUUCAUUAUUUUUUCUAAUAUGAUAAUUGCGAGAUAGAAAGUUGAAUCUCUAAAACGUACGCAAAGACUCAAGAAAAUAAAUAAAUUGGACUAGAAAAAUAGAGAGAGCAAAAUUCAAAUGGUAACUAAAUACCAAUGCCAUUGUAGGGCAUUUGAUUUCUUUUUAAGAAAUGGAAAGAGAGAAAUUGCACCGUACGGCAUAACUUUGUUAAUUAAAAUCCAUUUAGUGGAUGAGAAAAUGUACAAUAAAUGACAAAGGAUAGGUUAAAGAAUUUUAGUACCCUUCACCUCCUUUCAAAAUAAUAAUAAUUAGAAAAAAAGAGAGUACCUUCAUCUACUUUUUAAUGGUUUAAGUUUAAUUAGUUAUGUAUUCUAAAUAAAUCUUACCUUUUUAUGAAACAAAAUAAUUCUUAAACUUAAUUCUUCAAAAUUAUUAUUUUUAAUUAAAAUUAGUUCAAUAAUGACAAUAUUUUUAUUUUUUAUACUAAAAAUAAUUUUUCAAAAUUUAUAGAAACCAAAACUUUUUUUUUUUUUUUUUUAUGAAAAACAAAUAAUGAAUUGUGCAAUAACUAUUUUAAAGUUUAUUUGAAGUAUAGAAGCUUAAAUUUAGACAUUUAAUUAUAAGGUUAAAAUGAAAAGAAAAAAAAAGGUAAAAAAGUAAAAAAAUCAUAAUGAUAUUUUACUCUUCAAUUUUUUGCAACGUAUGUUUGCGUUUUCUCCUCAUUUAGGCUUUGUUUUUACUUUUAUUAAAGAAAACAUUUGAAUUCAAACUCUAAAAACAUUACAAAUAGUUUUUAAAAUCUAAUCAUUUUAUGAAUAGAAAGUGGACGUUAAAACAAAUAUAAGAAUUUCAAGGAAAAGUUAUAGGGUUUUAAAAAUAUUUCAAAUAGUUAUAAAUAAGACUUAAGUAUAUUGAUAUAAUUCCUCCAUGCAUGAUGCAAAUCUGUAAACGAGAACGAGAAAGAGUUUCAUCCUUUAGAUUGAGGGUUUAGAUAUAAUUCAUAUAUUCAUAUGUUUUUAGGAGUCAUUUGUUUCACGGACAUUCUAGAUUUUUAUAGAGUUAACAUUUAGAUUAUUGUGUUUGUUUUGUAGUAUUAUAAGAUACCGUGACAUCUGAAGAUUCUUCGACAUCCUAGAAUGCACGAACGGAGAACAUCUAGAUAGUUUUGGGGGAUUCUGAGAUUAAUGACAUUCUUUUAUAUAUAUAUAUAUAUAUAUAUAUAUUAUAUAUAUAUAUAUAACAUUGUUUUGUUAUACUUUAAACCUUAUUAUUUUUAAUAAGAUAUUAAAAUUAAAAUUAUAUUUAUAAAAAAUCUUAAAUAAUGAUAUAUUAUUUUGUUAAAAAAACAAAUUAUAAGUUUUAUUAAUUUAAAAAGAAAUUCAUAUUGACAAAAAUAUUUCUGAAACCAACAUGGUAACCUAGGGAUGCAGACAUCUAUAAUUUUCGGUAUUUAAGACGUACUGGUUACCUACAUUUUCAAAAAACAAACGGCCUCUUAGAAUUAUUUAUUAGUUAGAUCCAAAUGAUAAAAAGCCUUAGCUUACGUAUUUAAAAUCACGUAAAAAAAAUCAAUUACUAUAUCAAAAGCCAAUAAAUAUUCCAUAUCCUAAGGUCGAAGCUUUAGAAAAAAAAAAACUAAUAAACACAUACUUUUGAGUCAGGUCAAAAUUCUAGAGCAUACAUUCGAAAUUAUGAGUUAGGGUUACAGAGGAAUCCAGGAAUCCAUGUGUGAAGGCACUAAAAUGUACAUAUAAAUAUAUACAACACAUAAGGUAUAAAAUCGUACGGAAAAUGAUGUAAUGUGUGAAGCAUAUAGUUAGAUGGAAAAAGGGAAAUUUAAUGUGUGAUCCAGCUGAGGGCUUAGGGUUUCUGAUCAUAACCCUUCUUCUUCACUCCACUUAAUUAUACCUUUAUUUACUUCUGACAUUAAUAAUAAAAAUAAUAAUAGCUAACCUUAAAACUACUUUUAGAGAAAGAACAUAAUAUGCCAAAACUACUUAUUAAGAGAUCAGGUGUUUGCAUAUUAAUUACAGGGACUUUUCACUUAAGCUUUCUAAGAAUGCAAAAAGAAUAUUGCCAUGCAAGGAAACCCUCGAGUGCAUUUGUGUUGUAUACUGUGAAGAUCAAUUGUUUGUAACUUUGUCCUUUUUUUUCUUUUCUUUAUUCAAAGUUUAGUUUAUUAAUUGGUUUCUUUUCUGAGUUUAGAGUUGUGGGAUGCCCUAGCAAGUUGUUGAGCUUAAACCCCCCAUGUGGGUUACGUUAGCUUUAAUUUGAAUGUAAUUAAGUGAAUUAGCUAGGUUUAAAUUUCAAUUUUUUUUAAUAUUCAAAUGAAAUUAUUUUGGAUUUAUAUGAUAAUACUCAUUUGAUUAUAUAUCUUUAAAUGAUUUUAUCAUGGGUUUCAUUUUUCUAACUAAAUACUUCAAUUCUUAAUCAAAUCCUAUAAAAUAAAAACAAAUUUUAAAAAACUGUUUGUUUUUAGUUUUAAAAACUUUGUCUUGGCCUUUGAAAACACUCAUAAUUUAGGGUUAGGGUUUUUGUGGUUUCAUUUUGGUAGUGACCUCGGUUUGAAUAUUAUUUUAGUUAAAUUUUGGAUGUUUUAUUUUAUAUGUUUGAUUUUUUGGAACAAUUAAUUUUCAAGUUUAGGGUUUAUAUACAGAUUUUUUUUUCUUUUUUUACAAAUUUAAAUAGCGUGGAAUCAAACUUCCUCGACUUCAAGGAUUAAAAUGUUUUAAAUUAGGUUAACAAACUCAACCAAUUACAUAUAAGGCAUUUGUAAUUAUAUAUUGGUAAAGGUUUUCAUUAUUUAUAACUACACAAUUAGAUAGCUAGUCUGAAAUUGCAACUUAUACAAUUAAGACUAUAUAUAUUAUUUAAUUUGUAGCCAUUGUUCCCUUUUUACUCUUGGAAAUUGUAACCAUUUGGUUUUAUAACUGUGUAUACUUUGAGAAACAUAAAAGUACUUGCUCUCAUCCUAAAAUGUUUUAUAAAAAACACUCAACUCUCAUUUUAAAAAGUAAACUAAGAGAGUAGAAGCAAACAAUAAAGUGAUAUCGUCAAUCUGGUUGAAAACAAAUUCUUAAAAGAUGCAAUAACAUUCAUCAAUUCAUAGGAGAAAUAAUUAAAAUCUCUGUUAAAAGAGAUGAAAAAGAAAAAAACAAUGUGGACAAAAAUGCAUAAUAUCAUGGAAGUGGUUCAAUAAAAAGCACUGGAAACAAAACAAAAUCAUACACAAUCAUAUAGGUUCUAAUGAUAUAAUAUUAAAUAUAAAAAAAGAAAACGUGAAAAUGAAUAUUAAUCUCCGACAGUCGGUCAAGCAAAAGGUUCUAAUGAUGUGGGAGUGGCUUUUGCGUCAGAAGAUGAAAGAUGAGCGGUUUCAGAGUGGCUCCGCACCACCAACUGCUGACUACGCCCACCCACUUGGUCAAUUUUUGGCUCCUCAAGUGCUAUCUAUAUGCACCCACUUCCCUUCCCUUUUCUUUUCUUUUUUAUUUCUCUAUUACGAAAAAUAAAUUUAAAAAAUUGGUUUUUAUUUAAGGAAUAUUUAUAGCUACGCUAGGUUGGUGAGUUCCAAUACAAAUACCAUACCAAAUUAUAAAUACUUGUGCUCUGGUGCCACCUCUGCAUGCCCUACACCCAAACAAUUGGAUCUUUUAGAUUCAAUUUCUUUUUCUUUGUUUUAAAUAAUUAAGUUUAAUAUUCCUUCCUUUCUACAAUUUUAGGGAAUACAUUAGACUAUAAAAAAUAUGAUGAUAAUAUAAUAUAAUAUAUCACACUUUAAUGUGAAAUUUCAAUAAAUGGAGAAGUUAGUGACACUCAAAGUUUAAAGGUUAAUGUAAAUGUGGAGGUUCUAAUUCUACAUAAAUAUUGAAGAAAAUAUAGAUAAACUGGAUUUUUUUUAUAAUAGCAACAUAAAUUAUUUAAAUUAAUAAAAUAAAUCUUUGCCUUUUUUUUUUUUAACAAGGCAACAUGUUUAAAAAUUAUAAUUAUAUUUUGUUGCUUACGCCUAUGUUUUAUGAUUUUUUUUGUUACGAUAUAAUUUAAAUUUUGUUUUCGCUUUUUUUUCUGUUAAUAAACUUAGAUAUGUAGAAAAGACAUUUUAAAAUUUUAAAGACUAAAAAUGUGUCCACUUGUUAUAAUUUAAUUUUAAUUGGAUGGAUAGAUAGGAAAUAUAAGUUUUAUUUUAUUUUAAUUGAUUCAAAAUUACUAAAAGAUAUUCAAUAAUUUUUAGUAUUAAAACAAAACCCAAACAAAAGUGUAACGUAGGAUAGUGAUUGGAUGGUGAUUUUCAAGUAUAAAAUAAGUAAUUAAUUAAUGAAGCUUCAAAUCAAUUAGAUUGAGAAGCGAAUUAAUAAUUGAAAAAAAUAUCACAUAAAUACCCAACUUUAAGAUUUUGAAAGCUCAUGCGAUCAUACACGUAAAGGUAUGUUAUUUGCCCCUUCCCACUAUCUCACAUUAACAAAAAUAAUAAUGAUAAUAAAAUAAAUUACUUUAAACAACAAACUUUAAAAAAAUAUAUUUAUAAAUACGAUAAAAUAUCAAAAUUUAUCAAUGAAAUUACAACCGGUUAAGAUAAAUUAUUAUUGAGUUUAAUUUAUUAAGAUUCAUGUAUAUAGACAAUAAUAUUUUGUUAUAUUUAAGAAAUAUUUUGAUUGAUUAAAGUUUAUUAUAAUUUAAAUUGGAAGAAUUAUUGAGAUGGAGUAAGACAAUUGUGAUGAAUGAUGUUAAAAAAUAAUUGGAUUUGACAUUAAUUUUGGAUUUCUUAGAGCAUUGUGGAAACUGACGGCAGCAUAUAUAUGAAAAUGUGGCUACAAAAAAAUGCAAUUUGAGUUACCAUGAGUUUGCUUAAAUUCAUUUAUUUUUGUCUAAUGGUUGAUGACUUCAUGUGAAUAAACAUUAAAAAAAAGGCAAAUUUUGUAAAGAUGAAAAAAAUAGUAUUUAAUUUACAAAUUAAUUUAUAAGUUAUGAAAAGUUCUAAGUUAAUUGGUUGAUUUUGCAGGUGUUUUUUGUUGGAAAAAUUUAGGAAAAUGUUAAGCAUCAUAAAGUAUUAAUUUAAUUUAUGUUGUUUGUGACUUUUAAUUAUGGUUGGAGUAGUUAUAGUUUUAUUCCAUAUAUAAAUUUGAAAGGGGAUAAUAGCUCAUUUCUAACCAAAAAGAAAAAAUUGAUUCAGAAAUUAUGUUAUUUUUGUUUAUUAUGUGAUGUCUUAUACUGUGAUUAGUAUAUAACUAUAUUGAUAUACGGUUCACGUCUUUAUCUUUCAUCGAACAAUUUUAUAUGCUAAGUACUAUUGAGAAUGAAUAGUUUUCCAUGUCAUUCCUAUACAUAGUUUCUUUAAAUUCAUUUAUAAGUUUAAAAAGAGUAUUAGUGAUAAAUUCUAUAAACAGUUUUAAAGUUAGCUACUAACUCUUUGUGUUUAUUAUUUAUUAGUAUUUUAAAGAAAAACCAAAUAGAUUAAAUAUCAUGUUUUAUGGAUGCAUAUUCCAAAGAAAAAUCAAUAUGGAGGCAUACAAUUAGUUAAAAUAUCUAACCAAUCAACUUUUCUAAUGUUUGAAACUAAAUGAAAUCUGAAUUUUGUGUCAAUAAAAUUUAAAUUGAAAGUUUAAAAAAUAAUUUUAAUUAUUUGUGUUAUUAUAAAUUUGAACAGAAUAACUAAUGUUACAUAAGCUUUAAUUUGUAAUGAAAUUUAAAAUAUAAUUCACAUUUGCAUAAUUAAUUAAGUGAGUAGGUAUCCAUAGUAAUCCAAGGAGACAAUUAAUAAUGUUGUUUUGUUAGUACAUAUUAAUUAGAAUAUUAUGGAAAAAAUUAAUUAAUUGAUUCCGAAGGCGUUGAUAUGAAGCUGAUCCUCAAUUUGCAAAGGUAUCAAUAUGUCAAUUGUCAACUCAUAUUUUUAUUCGUACUAAAAAAAAGCAGAUAUUUUAAUUCGUACAAGAAAGAAAAAGGAAAAACAGGAAAUUUUUAUUCGAUUGGUAUUAUUUAUUUAUUUAUUGUAAUUAUUAAUGGAGAAUAUAAAUAUAUAUAUAUUUUAUUUUGUAAAGGGUGAAUGCAUGCGUCAUAUGGCUAAUAGCUUGGCCUUAACGUGAAAGCCAAAGGGUAAAUUAAGGCUUAGGUAAUCAAAUUUAAGCUAAUAGUUUAGUGUAUGAAGGACAAAGAAUCCAGUUCAUGUCUCACAUUAAUUCUUUUAAUAUAUAACCUUAUUAUUAUUAUUUUUUUAAUUUCACCUUAAAAAGCUCUCCUUUUUCGCCAUGUUGCUCCCACACACUUUCAAUAUUAUUUAUUUCUUUACAAAAAUCUUCCCUUUCUCUCUCACUAUCAUUUUUAAUUCUUUUUUUUCUUUUACCUUUUCAACUCCUAACAUUAACCAAUAUAUAUAUAUAUAUAUAUAUAAUGGAAUCAUACGCAAUCCAUGCACAAAUGCACCUAUUUCAUAAUUUAAUGUUGAAUAAUAUAGUAAUAGCUAGAUGAUUACAUAAUCACCCUAAUCCUAUCCUAAAUACCUUGAUUUAAAAAAACACUAUAUAUAUAAAUACCAAAAAGAAAAGUUAAGCUUUUGAUUAUUUAUGAAGAUAUAUAAAUGAAUAUUUGAAUUUUAAAUGUGAAAUUAAGCAUAAUUUAAGUGACACGUGGAGUUUGUAUAUGAUUUUGAAAUGAUAUAUUAUCAUUAGGUUUUGUUCAAAACAUAACAAUAAAAAAGAAUCUAAACAAGUAGCGUAUUAAAAAGAGCACUAGGUUAAAAUUAUAAUCGAAGAUUAAAUGUAUAUAUAAUUGAUCUAAAUUUACGUUGGUGAUGCAUAAUUACAAAUUAAACAUGUUUAAACACCAUCAAUAAUGUUUCCUAAAAUUGAGGGCAAAAUUAUACCAAUCACAUUCUGAAAAAAUGAAAGUAAACCUUUUGAUUUAACCCAAUUGGAAAUAAGAAAUUGAAUCUUAAUUGUCACCUCAACUAACUGCUCGUUGCUAAUAUGGUAUAAUAAUCAUACACUUUUUAUUAUUACAAAUGUCUUUUUCCUUUUUGACAAUUCAUAAUUACAAAUGUCUUUAGGUUGGGCAUUAUUUAACCGAUAAAAUGCAACAAAAUCAAUGGUAAAAUGAGGUAUAUUAUAAUAGGAAUAAGUAUUUAGGGUUGUUCAAUACAAAAUUUAAAAAAACGGGUAAAGGAAAAUUUAACAUAGUUUCCCACAUUUUUAUUUCGUGGCAUGAAUUAUGAAAAAAAAGACUAAUUUUGUGAAAAUCAAUAUUAAUGGAAGAAAAAAUAAUAAUAUGUUUCGAAUAAACCAUCCAUACUGACUUAAAAGUUUAAACUUAUUUGUAAAGAUAAAUUUAAUAUAAUAUCUAAAAAAAUUCUAUUUUUUUUUAUUAAAUAUUAUUAGUUUAUAUGUUAUACUAGCAGAGUCCAACUAUAUCAUUUUUUUUUUUUUACCCAUCGUUUAAAAUUAAAAGUUAAUAGUUAAUUUAUUAUUGAUGGUUUAAUUAAUUAGUCCAACUCAUUAUUCUAUAACAUACCCAAUUAAUUGUACCACUUACAAUUGAAUUCCUAACAAUUUUCAAUAGAAUCAUUCCACAAAUAGAAUAAGUCAGCCAUGUGCCCAACUAAUUUAUCAUUAGAAAAUAAUCAAACAAACUCUAAUGAUAUGACUUGUAUAUAAAACUUCAAUUAUAUAUAUGUAUAUAUAUAAACAGAAGAAUGUGGGUGGUAAAUUAAUGGUUACUUUUAGAGAGAAUGUUGACUAAGCAUCAAAGGGUGAUCUUCAAAGGAGAUUGAGAAAUAAUAAAGAAAACAAAUAUAAUGUAAAAAGGUGUAGAGUGAGGCCAUAGCUUUCUGCAUCUAGCCAUUCAUUCUUCUGACUUUGUACUAUAUACUCUUUCUUUGCAAUAAUUAUUUUUAUAUGUUUACAUAUUUUCUAUGUGUAUGGGUUAUAAACACUUCUUUACAACUUUAUCAAAAAAAAGAAAAAAGAAAAAAAAAGGUCCAUGGCCUAUAAUGGUACAUAUAUGGGUAAGGACACGAUAUACUACUCUAUACCCACUUUAUAUAGUAAUCAAUCGAAGAUUAAAUGUAGAUUAAUUGAAAAUGAAUGAAUAUUUGCCACAUAUAUAUAUAUAUUCUAUUUAUAUGUGUUGUUAGGUCAUUGGCUUGAUUUCAAGAUAAAUUCUUUAAAGUGGUAUCUAGUUAGUUAACACUUGAUGUGAUGACCAUUUACGACGGCCUCUCACGAUAAUUAUUUGUGUUUUUUAAGAUUAUGUCUAUAAACACUACUUUAAUUCAUUGGGUUAUGUUUACCAAACUAAUUAAGUCUACCGUUGAAAACUAAAAGAGAUAUAUGUUUUUUUUCAAAAAACUCAUUAUUUUUUAGAAUUGGAUAAAAAUUAAUGUUUCUAACUUAGCUAUUCAUAGUGUUUGGUGUCUAUGAUAUAUAUAAAUAAGUGUUCUCAAAAUAAAAUAAAUUUUUAAAAGAUGUUUACAAUUUUCUUUUGUUUUUUUAAAAUGGAUGGAAAAGAUAAAAAUUAUGGAUAAGAAAGGGUGAGAAAUCAAAUAUAAUUUUUGAGAAGAUGUGAUCUUAAGUUACUAAUUUACUGAAAAAAAACUUAAACUAAUUAGUAAAAGUAAAUUUAAUUGGAGAGUUAUUACAUCAUCUUUGGAUAUAAAUGGCUAUGAAAUAACACCCUAGUAAAUUAGUAAUGGAUGAAAAGAGCUUAAACUAAUAAGUGAGGAUAAAUUUAAUUAUAUGAGGUAAUAGAUAACUAAAACAGGUGGGAAAGGGAGGGGUUUAUUUUAAUUUAUGAUGGGAGAAAAAAGAGUGGAAGUAGAAGAAAAGAGGGAGAGAGUGGGAAACAGAAGACAGAGAAGUAGAUUCCAUGUUCCUAUAGGAAGAGGAAGGGAUAAAAGUAGGUUAGGAGAAAGAGACAGGUUUGUCCUUUGGAGUUUCCAUAGGCUUAAUUUCCCUUUUUAUAUGUAUUAAUUAACUAUAAUUCUUAAUUAAGUUGAUGUUAGUUUCCCUAAACUUUAUAAAUAAUCAUUUAGUAAUUAAUAUAAAAGUAUACAAUUGGUUGACAUACUUUUCCGGGAAUCUCUUUAGAAGCUGGUGGAGAAUCCGCUAACGUAAGCUUUUUCAAAACUACUUUUUCUCCCCUUCUCAUCCGAACUUUCUUCUUUAAAUCAAUUAACAGCUUUUUAAAUAUUUAUAGUAUCUUUUUGUUUAUAUAUAUAUAUACUAACGAGUGCUCGGGUCAAUUUAUGCAAAUAACAUGAAGAUAAUCAUACUUAUUUUUUUAGGAAUUUCUUUAUAAUCUAUUUAACUUAGUAUUAAUUGUGUUGAAAUUAUGUUGGAUCAUCCCAAAAUUUGAAAAGUGAAAUAUUAAAUUGAGUAAAGAAAACAAAUUUUAAAAUUAGGGAUGGUUGAAAUUUUGUAAGAUACGUCAUAUAGUUUAACUUAUUAUAUAUAAUUAAAAGUGAGAGGUUGGUGCAAGUAUCUUGUCUUGGGCCCUCUUUGCUCCUUCGACUCUCUUUGUUUGUUGUUUGUUGUUGAAGUUGACCUGUAAAAGUACUUCCAAGCCAAGUAUAUUUCAAUUGCUAAUUCUCACUUGGGAGAGUGCAUGGACACACUAAACUUGAGAUAAGGGUUAUUAGAUAACAGUUUCAUUUUUCUGAAAUUUAUACUUGUUCCUUUCCAACUUUUUAAAUACACUUCUCACCUUUAUUAAAUUAAAAACAAAACACUUUAAUUUCUUAACUGAUUCUAAAAAAGUGAGUUGAAUAUUUCUUAAGCUUGGUUUUUUAAAACUUUAUAACAAAACUUGAAAAGUAGUGCUCACAAGGUUUAAUUUCCAAAAAAACAAAAGGGUUGUCAGUUUUUACAAUUUUUUCUUUUUGUUUUUCCAUAUCAGUUCAAGUAAAGAGAAAGAAUUGGCUAAAUUAAAAUCUUGUCUUUGUAUAAGCUCAUGAAAUUUGAACCCCCGGUCAGGGAUCUCAUAUAAAUGUUGAAGUUAGAGAUUCAUGGUCUAAACAACCACCUCCUCACAGAUAAAGAGCAGUUCAUUUUCAAAUUUUUGCAAAACAAACCUCUCUUCUGAUGUUAUAAGAUUAGUAACCACACAUUUCUCCUCAGAAAAUGGUUUCCUACCUGUCCGUCCAGCUCGAUGAAGAUAGUCAAUAGCACAUCGAGGCAGAUCGAAGUUGUAUAUAUGGGUUGUUUCAGGCAAAUCAAUUCCCCUGGCCACUAUGUCAGUUGCUACAAUAAGAUAACUUCCUCCUUGUCUCAGUUCCUGCAUUCAAAACAAUCAACAAUUCAAAUAAAAAAUGUGUUGAUGACUCAGUUUCAACCGAAAGUCCAACUCGAGUUCUUCCGAGUCUAACAUUCUUGUGACAAAAAGUCAAGAAUACCGUGGUUUGGAUUGAUUCAUUGUUAGGCAGAAAAUAGUGGGUGAAAAGUAAUGGUAUCCAGUGGUUCGGUAAAGAAUGAGAUUUUUUUAAUCCCAUGUUCAUUUAAACUUUUCGAUAAAUAGAGACGAAGAAUGAAAACAGGGCAGGGUCUAUGUGGAAAUCCUAGUAUAGGGAGAAAAACCACAGUAUAGAUGUUUCUUGUUAUUUUCUAAUACUAAUAGAGGAAAUAUUUAUAGACAAUAAGAGCCUAAUAAAAAAAAUAAAAAAUUAGGGCAAAGUAAAUCUGCCCAUUAUUUCUAACAAAACUAAUUGGGACAGGGUUGUCAGGCGAGAUAUCACAUCCCAGUUAGCUGAUCUCACAGCAGUGUUAACACCCUACUUGGUUAAUGGUUGGCAAAAGAUUGCAUACAAAGCUUACCGACAGGGAAGAAGCUCGUAAAUUGUAAUUCACAUCUUCCUCGAGAAGAAUGACGUCAGAACAACCACCAUAUGAGGCCUUCAAGAAAUCAAUCAUCAAGGUUGUUGGUGGAAUCUUUCCGGCCUUCUUUGACUUCUCUGACUGCAAAUCCAGUGUAACAGAAUCAGACAAGUUACAAUUCUUCAAUUCUUUUGCAACUAUUUGAACGGAUUGGCUUCCUAGAACUAGAUUUUCCUGAAAUCCAGAGUUCCAGACCUAAAAAUGUGAACCUAAGGGCUUAGAUAUGCAGCCACGGCCAUGCUUGUAGCAUGUCCAGUUUUGCAAUUGUUAUGGAAUUGAAAAAUAAAGAUAAAUAGAAAAGCAUAAACAAUAAAGAAAGAAACAACACAAAGAUUUACAUUAUAGGUCCAUGGGCAGAGGGGAAUAGUUUACUAUUUGAGAGAAAUAGUUUAAAUUACAUAGUAGUAGUGGCGCCUUUAAAUUUAGAGAGGUUAUGUAGAAUACUUCUCUAAACAUCAUUAUGGUCAAAAGUGUAAAUGGCCAUUUCCACCGCUAGAUAACAGAUUCAAAGAUUCAAAGUGUUGAUAAAACGUUUUCUCUAUUUUUAAUUUUCAAGGGCAGUAUAAUCAAUUAGAUUAGAGGCUUAGAGCAUUCAAUUCAUUGAUGAUCCGUAGCAAGCAAAUAUAAUUUGGCGUAGUAUAGCUCAAUUUUCUUUCAAAUAGUAAACCAUGAAGAAUCUAAAAGCUUCAAUAGAAAAAAGCUGUUAGAACAUUUUACUUAUUUACUUGGUCAUUCAUCUAAAAGCUUCAAUCAACACAAACCUGCUCACUGACAAAAAUGAUUGCAGACUGAGGAAUAUCUGUUAGUAACAAGGUCAGGAGGGUUUGAUGCUUUUUGUUCUUCUCACAUGUCUGUCAAAGUCAAGCAAACGAUAAUACUUCAGCAAGUAAAAUCAAAACUAUUAGAAAAAAGAAAUUCAAUGUGCAGUGAGAUGGAUGGCUGAGAAUACUCCUGAAUGGACAAUAAAAUUUACCACAAAUCUAUGCAGUAAACAUGAUGGCAUGGGCUGAGUUGAGUUAAUAUGAAUAUGAACAACAGUACUCUGCAAGAGGAAGAGAGGGAAAGUUUUAUCAAGCUAAUGAAAUUAAUAGCUGAAUUGCAUCACAAAUUGGAAAUAACCAAAAAGAAUUCCAUAUACCUUGGUCCACUUCUGCUGUAUACAAUCAUGAAGAAAAUGCCUAUGCUGCGGAAUUGAUGCACUUGCAAAAAUCGUCUGACGGUUACUGAAUGAAGAAUAUGACGUCAAUAGUUUUUUUAGGGAACUAACUUGCUUUGAGGAACUAAACAUGAAAUCAACCUGACAAACAAACGAGAAAAAUGAUGUGAAGACCUUUAAAUAAAAGUCUAUAACAAGCUUACUACAGCAUUUUUAGGAUGCUUAUUUAUAUCUUUAUUUACUUUCAAGACAUCUGAAUUAUAAUCUAAGCAUGUGGAAUGAUACAUCAAUGUUUAACAAGCUGUUUUGGUGGCUGCAAACCUGUAAGAAUAUUGCUCAAUGGCAUAACAAAUUUUACGAGCUGUCCAGAAAGUAUGUGCCAAGAAGCUAGUGAAAAACAAAAUUUCUUUUCAAGUACCUCAUCAAUUACCAGCACAUUCAAUGAACCAAGGUCAAGAAAUUGUCUCUCUACCAUUUGGCACAAGCUUCCUACAGUCGCCACCAGUAUUUCAGGGGGAUCUGCCUACAAAUUUUCAUAACUCAAAGUUAUAAUAUGGAUGAGGAGUUUCUUCUACUAAUCACAACCCAAGAAUGUAGCAAGAAGAUGGAAAAAACAACAAUCAGAUGUCAUCGGUGAAACUUUAGAAACUCAAAACGAAGUUGGCUAUGGCAAUGCAUUGUUUUGUCUAUACAUGUUAGUGUUUGGGUCCAAUUGCAUACACCUCAACUACUCUCACAAGACAACUAUCUAACCCUACUAUGCUUGGUUGCCAAAAAAAACUCGAAGGAUAUAACCCCUUGGUAGGUAGCCACCAUAGCCUGUAGCCAUCCCUCUAAGCAUUUAACAAUUUACAGUGGCCUUGUUGACCACUAGUUCAGUUCAUGACAAUGCAACUAUAAGCCGUCAAAACAUAGAUUCUAAACAUGCAAUUAGAAGUAUCGAACACCAUCUAACCCAAAACCCUUCUCCAGUUUUUUGACAACAUCACAUAAAAGCCAUUGAGUGUACUUAAAGAAGAGGAACAGAUGCAGCACCUUUAACCAAGUCUUGUGUCUUCUCAACAAGCCUCCAUCUAAAAGAGCCAUGACAACAUAAGAAUUUAGCCCAUCUUCAGAUGCAGCAGGCUUGGCGGCUAACAUCCUAGCAACUUUUGUAACCUGAGUUCCAUUCCACCAGGUAAAAAACAAGAUUACCAUAAAAAAAAACUAAUUUCAGAACUACAAAAAGAAAAACAAGAACAGAUGAAAGAAGAAAAUACAUAAAGUUCAAGCAUAAUCUGGAAGUUACAGAGUUCAAUCUCACUUGCAUUCCUAACUCCCGUGUGGGUACUACAAUCAAUGCUUGAACAGCUGAUUUUUUAGCGUUGAUUACAGAAAAUAUCAACAGCAAAUAUGUCAGUGUCUUCCCAGAACCUGUCUAAAAGGAUAAGAGUAAGUAACGAACAGUACACAGAAUUUCAAAAUACCACACAAACAAACAACCAAAAGAGUCCAUUCUCCGAGUAGAUUACUUUAUAUACAUAGACUUGACCUGCGCAUGAAGCACACAAUCCCGACCCGAAAACAAAACUGGGAGAGCUUGCCUCUGCACAUCAGUUGGGGCAACAAAUCCAAUUUCCUCAGUUCUACACCAUUUAAGAAAGAAAAUGGAAGGGGGAAAAAAAAAAAAACCCCAUAAGACAAAAUAAUAAAUUAAGAAGGAAUUCAAAAGAAUAGAUGGAAUAUGUAGAGUUGCCUGCGCAGUAUAUGCUCGGGAACGUGUCCAUUGCAGAUUUCCCGGAGAGUGGAAGCCUCGAAAUUGGAUUCAGCUACGUUCUUUAAAGAAGAAGAGCUCAGAAGGGCUUGCAGAGGCCUAGAUUUUGAGGUGGAGUAGAUGGGUCCAUUGGUAUUGAUAAAAUUUGGUAAUUGAAAGGAUAAAUGAACGGGAAAAGACCUUUCAGAUGAGAGGAGCAGCCAAGGAGGAGGGAAUUUGGUAGUGGGAAGAAAGGUUGCAGCCAUUGGAAUUGGAGUGAGCUCGCGCAAUAUUGGAUAGGUUCAAAAAGGGGGGAAGGGAAAAUGGCGAGAGAGUCUACUGGAGCUGAGAGGAAGAGGGAAGAAGGGGUGUAAUAGAGAAAUCGCGGGCGCCGGUUGUGAAGUUGCCGAUGCGAACCUAACCGCCUAAAGUUCGAAGUUCGAAGAAGGAUAAGGCUUAAAGUUGGUUAAAACUUUAAAAUUAAAUAUGGUUUCAAAAGUUUUAAUUUUAUUUCUUUUAUUUUUUUGGUCUAAAAUCUUUCAAAAUUUCAAUUUUUAUAAAUGUUUAGUGAUACAAACAUUUUGAAUUUUAUUUUACGUUUUCAAUGUGUAGGGGUAAGUUCGAAAGUUCAUACAUCCCAAACUUCAAACUCUAAUUUGUAAUCUUGAAUUUUGACGAUGAUGUUUUGUAUGAAAUUAACUUCUUUUGUAAACUUUUGUUGAAGUUUAUGACUUUAUAAUUGUUGGAAUUUUUUGUCCUAAAACUCGUAGUUUGUAAAUCAUAUUCUAUUCAAUAAAGUUGUUAUUGAGAAAUUAAAUAUUAUAAUCUUAAAUCCAAUAAAUCAAGUUCCAAGGCUAUUUUUUGAAUAAACUUGAACUUUAUGUGUAAACAUAAACGUGGAUCAAGUUCGAGUAUAUAGCCUAAAUAGUCUAUAGUAUAUGAAAUAAAGGUUGGGCGCCUUAUUUAGAGAAACUAUGGAUGCGGCCCACUUUGUAGUACAAACGAGGUGAUCCUAAUCGUUCAUGUAGAGACAUGAAAGUGGGGGCAUCCUAUGUAAAAUGUUUACAUAAGACUGAACCAUGAAUUAGUCAUUUUUACGUUAUAACACCGUUUACUGUUUAAAACUGACUAUCUCAAUUAUUGAUGACCUAGGUAACUUAGUCUUAAUCCUGAGUUAACUAUGAACUCCUGUUCAUACGAGAUUAUCCUUAGAUCUGCAUAGGUGAGGGCAGCUCAUCAGCGUUGGCCCAAUAAGCCUCCCAUUUCAGGGGUAAGAUCGGGUGGAUAGCUGGGAACAUAGGGUACAAGAUGGAAUUCACUCCUACCCGCUUUAGGGUUAGUAGAUAGGUUGCUCUCUUAAGCACUGAAUCCAAGUCUUGAACAAGGGGCCCCACCCUCUCAUUGGCCCGAGAGGGAUUAAGUUUAUAGGUUGAACCUUAAACCAAUUGUUCAAUAGUGGAUUAGUGGGACUUAAGGAGCAAGAUGUAAUCUUGGGGGUAAAACGGUAUUUUGACCCAGCCAAGGUUACGAGCAACCUGUGAAGGAUUAACUUACUGAUUAUGGUUUUAUCAAAUGGACACAAAUAUAUCUAUAGUGAGGGGAGUGCAACUACGGGACUUUAGUGGAAUGACCCGUUAGUUAACGAAUGUUGAUUAACUCGGUUUAAAAGAGUUUAGCUAGUUAAUCUUGAAUCGUUGGAGCCCAUGAUCUAUAGGUCCAUUAGGUUCCUCUGCUAGCUCAUAUGGAUUAAACUUAGAACAGUGUGAUGAAAUAAGUCGAAUUGUUCGAAUUGGGAGAAGAAAGGAAAACCGACAUAUACAGUGAUAUAAUCGUCGGUCUUCUAAUUAGAAAUAGAGCUUUAUGUUUUACAUACUAUAAGUAUGAAUGCGGAUUCAUACUAAGAAGCUCGGAAUUGGUCAAAAAUAGUAAAAAGUCAAAAUGUUGACUUUUGACUUUGAAAAGUCAAACUUUGACCGGCCUUAUAUUCAAAUGUGAUUUGAAUUUUGGAAAAAUGAAUGCGGAUUCAUGCUCGGGAGGUUGGAAUUAGUCAAGACGGACAAAAUGGUAAAAAGUCAAAAUAUUGACUUUUGACUUAGAAAAGUCAAAGUUUGACUUUUGACUAGAAAAAUCUAAUGACCAUUUUACCCUUGGACUAAGUUAGUGGGAAAAUCCAACAUUUUGUUGGAUAAUCCCACUAACUCUUAGUGGGAUAUGUGGCUAUAUGAGAUAUAGACACCUAGCCCACUAAGUUCCACUAAUUGUUAGUGGAACAUUCAAUUAGUGGAACAUUAGGUGUUGAGAUUUGGCAAAUGAAUUGCAUGCAUUUUUGCAUGUAAUUAGGCUAUAAAUAGAGAUGUUUUCAAAUGUUGAAGGACUUUUGCCUCUUUUAUCAUUUUCAUAAUCUCAACAAAAGAAAAAAGAAAGCUUCCAAUCUCAUUUUAUCUCCAUUACUUUCUACACCAAAAUUGGGUCCCACAACCCGGUUCUUUGUCUAGAGGAUAGCAGUUGAGUACUAGUGGUGGUCUCGGGUAGAAUUGGUAAGAAGACAUCAAACCUUUUGUAAGCUUCAAAGGUAAUACUUCUUAAAACCCUAAUUUGAUUAGUUUAUGGUUACAUGUUAAUUGUGGCAAUUAGGGUAGAAAUUCGAUUCUUUUUCCGCUGUGCAUGACUUAGUUCUAUCAAUAAUCUACUCUAAAGUGUCUAGAAUUAUGUAAUAUAGUUAUGCACUCGCUUAGCUAAUCGAGUAAUUUUUCCUGUUUGAAAUUUCUUAUUAGCUAAUCGAGUGGUCUUCCCUCUUUGAAACUUCUUAUUGACAUUUCUCAUCAGGAUGUAUGUACUAUUCAUACAUUUCAAAUUUGCUAAAGCUCUGAACUAUAUAGUACUUACUACCGGUGCCACGGAGAGAUGUUUUUAGAUCUUGCAUAGAAAACUCUCUUACUUUAUAGUAAUUUGUAAUACAUAUUGGUUUUACAUACCAUCAAAUUUAUAUAUGGUUAAUAACCGCUUUGUAUUGUACGUGGAAUUCCUAAUUCAAAUUGAAAUGUACGUGAUAUUCUCUUAUUCAUUUUUGUUUAGGAGGAAUUUCAUAUUUCAUAUUUCCUUUUUAUUAUAUUUUAUAUAUAAUAUUAAACACAUUAAAUUUAGCGGGUGAAGGUUCAAGUCGGGGCAUGAAUACCCUCUCCUUCAUCCUCGACAGAUGACCCUAUAAAAUCUCUACUUUGACCGAAUUAUAAAUUUUCCUACUCAAAUAAAUAUUAAAAGUAUAAAUAAUUUUGGGAAAUUAUUAGAUAUAUAUAAAAAAAACACCAAAUUAUUAACAAAAUAUAAUAAAAUUUUAAAUUUUAUUAGUGAUAGACAUUAAUUAAUCAAUAAACUUUUACUGGGUUUAUUAGUGAUAAAAUAUAAAAUUUGUUAUAUUCUGUAAAUAAGUUUAUUCAAAAAUAAUUUAAUAAUUUUCAAGUACAAGAAAACGAGGUGAAUGAGUAUUACCUUUACCAUAGGAGUAGAGAUGGAGAAUUUGAAUUACAAAUUUAGUGGUUAGAAAGUGUUGUUUGUGAGAAAUAAUAGAAAUUUGAGUUUGGAAGAAGCAAAUCCAACUCGAAGAGUGAAGUUAGGUUCAUUUCUACCGAUAUUGAGAAGUAAAAUUUUUCUUAGAGGAAUCCAUGGUCAAUAUUGGAGCUUAAUAUUACCCGCACAACAAUUGAGCAUAGGUGCGUGCGUGAAGAACACCCAAAUAAUACAUUGAUUUCCAAUAAACAAUAGAAAAUAUAUAUAUUUCCAAAAAUAUUGUAGAUAUUUAUAUAUGGAAUCUUCCAUAAAUUAUAUACACUGCGAGGAGGAAGAGAGUUGAGCAUGUGAAUACAGUCGAAGAUGAAGUGGACAAUUCAGCAAUGGACGAAACGAAGGCAAUCCUUAGAAUAUUCUGUCGAUUCGUAAUUUGAUUGAUAUCAAACGAGAGGGCUUAAAUCUUUGAUGGGCUUUUCCAUUGAUCGCCAUUCACAUAAUUGGUGGUUGAAAUUCAUUCAGCAAAGAUAACUUUUUCCCAAUCCUUACUUCCAACUCUCAUGCACUCCAUGUGAAAACACGCCUUUCUCAAUUACGUAACUUUCCAUUCUCCAUUUCUCACAAUGGCCGUCUCCUCCGACUGCCGGAUUGCCCUCUCGGCGGCCGCACCUGCCACUUCACUGGUGGUCCGGAGGAGGUUGACGUCUGUGGAGUUUGGCAAUGGGGAAUUCAUGGGGAAGAAACUCACGGAACCCAAACGAGUACCUGCUGCUGCUGUUGCUAUUAACGGUGUUCGGCGACGUGUUUGCAUGUCUCUCACGACUAAUGUAGCCAUUGGCGAUGCUGCGGUAAUGUUUAGAACUCUGCAGAUAUUUGUGUUUUUUGGUUUUCUUGUGUUGUGGACCUUGAAAUGCCUUAGGUUUAUGAAACUACGACUUCUUUGUUGAUUCACAUUGAUUUCUGAUGAUUCACAUUGAUUUCUGAGAGUAUGUUUGUUAACAUGUUGGACCGUUGGUGAUGAUCUGUCUCUGUUUUUCGAUAGAAUUUUCUCUGUAGACGUUGCCAACUACUAUGGCAUUUACUCAUUUGAAUUUUUGUUUAUUACCCUACGCCUUCUGGUUGUUCCAGUUGAAUCUAUGAACUUGGUGCAAUUUGGACUUAGUCUGAUAUGUAUAUAUACGAACAAACCUGAGAUAUACAAUUGGGAAUGGAAACAAGGGACUGAAAAACCGUUAGAGCUUCAUAAAUCUUUGUGAGGCCUAUUCAGAAAUAUUGAUCUGAGGCAAUAAUGAAUGUCUUGUUGCUUGUGACUUUGUCUAGUUGAGAGAAAUGGAUAUGGAGAAAAGGGACCCCCGGACUGUGGUGGCGAUCAUUCUGGGGGGAGGAGCCGGCACUCGUCUAUUCCCCCUCACCAAGCGGCGGGCCAAACCUGCUGUAAGUUUCCUCUACUGAACUCAAUUUUUCUUAUAGUGAUAGAGAUCAUUUAUGGUUCUUUCAGUUUAGAUGAUUGGAAUUUAAUGACAUUUUAUUUUCAUAUAUAUAUGCAUAUGGGAUUUUGCUACAAUGGCUGCUCUGUGAUUUCUUAUGAUUUACCAUUACAGGUUCCAAUAGGAGGAGCAUAUAGGCUGAUCGACGUGCCAAUGAGCAACUGUAUCAAUAGUGGAAUUAAUAAAGUCUAUAUUCUCACUCAGUUCAAUUCAGCAUCAUUAAAUAGGCAUCUUGCUCGGGCUUACAACUUCAGCGGUGGAGUCACCUUUGGAGAUGGCUAUGUUGAGGUACGUUUCAUUCACAUAAAAAAUGUCCCUUAAGAAUUAAGUGAAUCAUAUAUCCACAAUUAUAUUCCCCAAACCAAAUAUGACUUAUAGAGCUUUCAGCUAUAUCUUAGGUUCUUGCUGCCACUCAAACGCCAGGGGAGGCUGGUAAAAAUUGGUUUCAAGGUACAGCAGAUGCCGUGCGACAAUUCCACUGGCUUUUUGAGGUACCAAAAGAUAAAAAAAAGGAAAAUUUUUAUCUAAUAGCAUAGUAAGCAAAUUAUUGUGUUGAGAAGAAUAUAAAGAAACGAUUGUUCAUGACAUUUUAGCUGUUCCAUAUACAAUAUUCAGCAUAAAGAUAAAACAAAGUGACGAAAGGAAAUAUCAAAUGUUAAAUAGAGUGAUAAGCCUUUCCUGGUGCAGGAUGCCAGAAGCAAGAAUAUUGAAGACGUGUUGAUUCUGUCUGGAGAUCAUUUGUACCGAAUGGACUAUAUGGAUUUUGUUCAGGUAAGGCUGAAGAUGCCAUCAAGAACCAAUCUUUAUUUGUUAUUACGUUUAGUUCUGAUACAGCUUCUUUACAUUGGCAGAAUCAUAGGCAAAGUGGUGCAGAUAUCACUCUUUCUUGUCUGCCAAUGGACGAUAGGUGAGUGACAUCUUGAUGUUUUCUUCUGAACAAUUAACUUAAAAAUUAUUGUAUUAAACUACCGAUUGACCAAAAGCUUAAGCUCAUGGUUUAUGGUAAAUUUCAUUGCCCCUCACUUAGGUAGGAAAUGACAUUGUAAGAGUUUGAAUAUGAGACUUUCUUCUUUGAUACCAUAUAAAAUCACCAAUUGACCCAAAAGCUUAAACUCAUGGAUUAUGUUAAAUAUAAUUAUACUACUUUUAACACGUUGAUCUCGAAAAGCCCCAGAGAUCUUGAUCAUGCAAUCAGUUCAAACCUUUUUACGUUUGUAGAAACUUGAGUAUCUAGGUCUAAAGGUUGAAAUUAUUACAGAAAUAUGUAAGAAAGGAGAAGCAUUUUUACUUCAAAUUUAUGUUUCUUUUAAUUGAGUAUCUAAUACUGCUGCAAUUUAUUUACAAAACGCAUUACCUUUUAUUGUAGCCGAGCCUCAGACUUUGGUCUAAUGAAGAUAGACGAAAAAGGAAGGAUAAUUUCAUUCAGUGAAAAGCCUAAAGGACAGGACCUGAAGGCCAUGGUAACAUUCAAAAUUGCUUUCACCACAAAAUUAAAUCGGUGGAGGAACUUUAAAUGAUCUUGCUGAUGAGCCUAAACUGUAUCAUCUCUAUUCGAAUUGAAGGCAGUAGAUACAACCAUUUUAGGACUCUCGAAAGAAGAGGCUCAGAAGAAGCCAUACAUUGCUUCCAUGGGAGUUUAUGUCUUUAAGAAGGACAUACUUUUGAAUCUUUUAAGGUAUUAUGAACCUAAUGCUAUUUAUCAAUCUAGUAAUUUUAUACAAACUCAAAGGACUUUGUCGAACACAAAAUAUUAGACGUUGCUUGAAUUUGUUCAAGUCAGAUGGCGCUUUCCAACUGCUAAUGACUUUGGAUCAGAGAUUAUCCCUGCCUCAGCCAAAGAAUUCUUUAUAAAGGUUUGUAAUUUGUAUGUAACCUUUCUGUCGAGACUGUUAUAUCAUCUUUUUCAACUUUCUACUUGCAAUUUAGACACAAACUAAUGCUAACCUCAACAAAUUUUCACAGGCUUAUCUCUUCAAUGAUUACUGGGAAGAUAUUGGGACAAUCAGAUCCUUCUUUGAAGCGAACCUUGCCCUGACAGAGCAAGUAAGACAACUAAACAUUUUUUAUUUACAAUUUCUUACCCUCUCUCACCCUUUAGUACUUCCUCAAAUUACUAGAAUUGUAAUUUGAUUUUUCUUUUUAUCUUGCUAAUCUUGCUGUUCAAUCUCAUGUUUGCUUAUACCUUUCAGCCACCAAGGUUUAGUUUUUACGAUGCUGCAAAACCAAUGUUUACUUCAAGAAGAAACUUGCCGCCUACAAAGAUUGACCAGAGCAAGGUCAGUAGCAUUUUGCAGUCAUCUAAACCUCUAUUAUAAAAUCAUAAACUUUAACAAAACCUUCAUUCUUGUUUAACGAAAUAUGCUGUAGACUGCCUUAAAAUAACACUGCAUUUGGCAUAAUUUUCUUUGCUUGUUAUGUUGAGAAAAUAUCUGGGUUCUUUGCAGAUCGUAGAUUCUAUCAUCUCACAUGGAAGCUUCUUAAACAGUUGCUUUAUAGAGCACAGUGUCAUCGGUAUCCGGUCGAGAAUCAACUCAAACGUUCACUUGAAAGUAUGUACUUUAUGGAACUUUUGCAUGAUAUGGUAAACAUAUCAGAUUUCUGUAACAUGAUGGUUACCAUAGAACUGAGUUUCUUACCAAAGAAAAAACGAACUGAGUCCAAUCCAAUCCUUUGCAAAACGAAAGUGUUUUUCUUAAACAAUGCUGUGUGAUGAGUUGCAAAAUGCAGGACACUGUGAUGCUUGGAGCAGAUUACUAUGAAACUGAAGACGAAGUUGCAUCUUUGUUAGCUGAAGGAAGAGUACCAAUAGGAAUAGGGGAAAAUACAAAAAUAAAGUAAGAACCCCAUCACACCCAAAAAAGGAUCUUCAUAUGUUAUGUAGCCUGCUUUCUAAUUCUUCAUUGUUGAUAUAAAUAUUAUGUGCAGGGACUGCAUUAUCGACAAGAAUGCUAGAAUCGGAAAGAACGUGGUCAUUGCCAAUUCUGAGGUACCGUUACCAUACGAAUAGAUUUGAAAUGAGGUUGGAAUGAAUAAAUUUAUGUUUUCAUUGGAAUCGUAUUGCAGGGCGUACAAGAGGCGGAUAGAUCUUCAGAAGGCUUCUACAUACGUUCUGGCGUUACCAUCAUCUUAAAGAAUGCAGUAAUUAAAGAUGGUUUGGUUAUAUAAUAAAACAUGUUUGCCAAUCGUUCAUUGAUUUGCAUUAUUUCUUUAGUUAUUUUUAAUUUUCUGUAUCACAUAAAAUAAGAAAGCAGAGGAUGUAAGCUAACAGCCAAAUAUAUCUAUGGAUGUCAUUCUUCAACGCAACGACUAUCCCAAGUAUGUUUUUAUUUGGCCAACUUGCUUUGAAGGAAAAAAAACCAUUUUUUUCUCGUGUCAUCAUCCUUAGGUCCUAAAGGACCAUUGCUUUAGUGCACUUCCAGCAUCAGAAAAUACAAGUCUAAACAACUAGCUCAUAAAAAAAUGUAUACUCAGUUGGUUGUCCAUUUGAUUUUUGAAUAUUAAGCUUAUAAAAACUAUUUUCAUCCAUUAAUUUAUAUGUUUAGAAAUUGAUUAAGAAUUUUAAUGUUUAUAUAGGAAACAUGAAAACAAUAAUCUAAUGCGUUUGGUUUUCAACAUAACCGGUUAGAGUUAUAUGGUUGUCUAGGUUACUUGUAGUGUGUGGCUCAUCAAUUAAACCAAAGAUCUACGAUCCAAAUAUAGGUAGGUCAUAAAUGCUUUAUAAAAUUUAGCUAAGGCUCUCUGCUAGGCUAUCAAAUAUCAUUUGUAGUGUGGUUCAUAUCCUCUUCUUGUUAAUUUUCAAUACUGAAAAUGUCCAGAAUAAUAUGAAUUCACAAUAGUUAACGAUCACCUCCGCAAGGAUUUCACUUCGAUUAUUUGUAGAAUUCUAGAACAAAUUAUUGUGUUGAAGCUACAUUUUUUUUCUGCCACAACAACCUUAACUCCCUAAAUCAAAACCACAAAAAUGAGUGGUUUUGUGAGAUUAUGUAUAGCUCAUCUUCUUGUCAUUCCCCCCUAGUGCUAGAAAUGGAAUGAAUCACCCAUAGGGGGAUGAAUUUAGAAGGCUUGUUUUCUUAGUCCCACGUUUCAAAGGAAUAAUUUCACCAUUUAAUCAUAAAAUUCGUAUGAGAGGGAAAAAAAAGAGGUUUAUUUAGUGCUAUCUGAACUGGCAGAAUAGUCAAUUCAAAGAAUCUUAUCUAAAAUUUAAAUCUCUCCAUCUCCAGCUAUCCCUGUUGAAUUAAAGGAAAUAAGAAAUAAAAUUAAAUGUAAUUUGAAAAAGACAUGGGCCAAAAUUUUCAACUCCACCUUAGAAAUAGACUAAUUAUGUUCGUGUUAAGAGGAUGGCGUUGGGUAAGGGAAGUUGGCAAAUUAGCAAUUACCAUAUCUAUUUGGGGUUUUCAGUUUCAAACUUUGUCAAUUCUCAGAGUCGUAGGGAGCCAACUAAAGAACUUAUUCUCCAUCCACCCUUUGAUAAUUUUGUUGGGACUUUGGGGUGGGAAAAAGAAUUUCUCGAAAAACAUCAAAAGCUUCUGAGGUGGUGAUGUUUGGUCAAUUAUUGAAUUCUUGUUUCUAUCUAUCGAGGAAAUCUGUCUUAUAAUCCUACGCCCAAACACAAACACAAACUUCCAAACUUCGAUACAUUAGCUUCAUUUAGUGGGCCAAACCACCCCUUGUUCCUUUUUUCAGCAAAUUUUUCAUUCUAAAAAAAAUGAUGAUGAUAACAAAACUAUUUUGCUAAACAAGUCUCAUGUGCGGCCGUUCGCGGCAAGAUAAGCUCAUAAAGGUCCAAACUUGAUCACACGAUCAAAUUAUGUCCCUGAAACUUAAUUCAACUCCUUCUCCCACUGGCAAACGUAAGAAAGAAUCCCAAGAAAUUGAAUGAAAAUCCAGUUCCAGCAGCCCAUCUAACCAUGAAAAAAAUGAGAGGAAAAGAGUAAACACACCGCGUGAAAUUCUGUCAAGACUCUGAAAACUACACAGCUCGUCGAGCAAAGGGGAAGAGAGAGAACUGCUACUGAAUCAGUCAUCCAUGAUCCUUUUCCCUACCAAAUAUUUAGACUGUCAAGCAAUGAUGUUCAACUCAUCGAGCAAGCUCGAGCCUUUACUUCCAGUUAUUUUCUACUUCAGAGGUGAGAACUCGCAUAGCUAAUAACCAUAAAUGAAAGAAACUGCCGAGAAAUAACCAGCUGUAUCUUCUAGGUUCCUAGAAAAAGAAUAUAGGUAAGGUUACUAGUACAACACGGUCAUCAAAAUGGCUUAAAUUUACAAUCAGAGAGAAAGGAACAAACAAAGAAUGCAAUUUGAUAGAUUGCCUGUUACUUAGGUAGGUGACUGGUCAAUUCACAGCAUGAAUCAGCUUUAGACAAGACGUAACAGACACCAACAGUAUGAGAACAUGUGUUAAAGAUAUGAUAAUUGGAAUAUUGAUCUAAUAUGACAUUAACAAUAGAGCAGUUGAAGCAAGAGUUCAGAAGGAAGACAGAGUCAUUCAUAUCAUCAUAUGUUAGAAAAUAGAAGAGAAGGAAGAUCUUAAUCUUAACAAAAAAUGAAAGCAAGAACCAAAAAUUGUAUGCUUAUGUUAAAAAACAAAAUAAAAAAUCUAAUAGCUUUUGAAUGUGUGAAAAUUUGACCAUUUUAAACAAAUCUCUUUGCUGCCUGAUAAAAAGUGCCAUUUCUAAUAGUCCAACCGCACAUUGAGCUUUUAGAAGAUCGAAGCAAUUGUAGAACACAGAUAUUAAUAAUGAACUAAUUUUUUUACUUUUAUCGGAAAAUAUAUAAUGGGCUAAACAAGCUGAUGGUUCCAUCAUUUAAAAGAAAACUUACUGUUUCUUUGAGCAUGCCAUUUUUCAAUACUUCCAUACCAAACCCAUUGAAAACACAAGGCCACAAUCCUUAUUACUCCAGCACCAACAACUUCAAUGAACGCCAUAAAGAAUGAUCUCUGAGGAGAUAAGCCAGCAGUUGCAAUAGACAAUAAUGUUCCCUCAAAGUUGCAGGGAAUUAUGAAACUACCAGAUUUAAUGCCAUUAAAAGCUUUUUUGGCAACUAACUCGGGUUUCAUACUGCCUCCUCCAGCAGCAAUGAUAGUGGUCAAUUCAGGUCUUUUCUUUUGCUCUGCAAUGAAGGAUAAGCAACUUAUAAUUGAAGAAACCAACUAAGAAAAGAUUCUGUGGUAUAAAUUGAAGGAUUUUUGUUAGCCUGAGGUAUCCAAUAAAUAUGAUUUCUAACAUAAAUAAAUUCUACCCAGGUGAUAUUGUAGUCGGCUUAUCCAUCCAAGACAUUUCCCAUCAUAUCUUAAUACAAACCAAUGAACUGAAAACUAAGCUAAGAAUAUUCCAACUCACCGGAUAAGUAUUGAAACCCCAAAUUGAGGACCAGCAAAACAAUACUACAAGGUAAACAUAAACCAGAUACUUGCUCUUCACAUACCUUCUGCAAAUCCAGGAGUAUCAGUGUCUGGAGGAAAUAUAAGAGAAACAUGUAUGUCAUCUCCAAUAACCUCCUGUUGCAAGGCUUCUGCCAAACCUCGAAUCCCAAACUUACUAGCUGAAUACGCCGUGUAACCAUAAAUACCCACCUACACAGAUUUAUAAGAAGACGUUCAGGAGUAAAAGAUUUACAAUUCUAUUGAAAUUACAGCUUGCGAGUAUCUGGAUGUCACCAAUGUCAAUGAAUUCACCCUAAUAAUCGAAGAAGCUCAUUCUAGAGUAUAAGUUUCGAACACAAACACUUCAUAAAACUACUCCAAAGUACUUUAUGCUAACCAAGCUCAUUUCUCCGUCUUUUAUAUGAAUUACCUGACCGGCCUGAGAAGACAUGAGAGCGAUCGAUGCAGGUCGACGGUCCACUCUAUUCUUCAUUGCAGGUAAGGCAGCUUUAAUCAUGUUAAACGUGCCCAAUAAAUUCACAUCUAACAUGAAUUUGACCUCAUCCAAUUCCUGCUCCGCCAGCUCCUGAGGUACAAACACGCCUUGAUUCACAAUGAGAACGUCAAUUGGACCUGCUUCAUCAACAGCCUUCAAAAUGGCAUCGUAAUCUCGAACAUCGGCAGCGUAGACCGCCACAUCAAUGCCAGUGGAGAGUCGAAUAGCAUCUUUUGCCUCCUCGAGCUUCUUGAGAGAACGCGCUAGGAUGGAGACUCGCGCGCCCUCGGUCGCGGCCUGGUGGGCCAAAGCGAGGCCGAUUCCGCUCGAUCCGCCGGUAAUAAAGACAUGGCGACUCUUCAGAGAAAUCCUAACGGGACGUGGACGGACAAUUAGGUAUAGGAAAAGGAGGAGCGCGAAAGGAAGAAGAAGAACGAGAGAAAUGAAAGCGAGAUUGAGGUCCGCCAUUGAUGAAAGCUAUGUGUAUUGAUGUGUUGAUGAUUCAUACAAUUUCUGAUUCCUUUUUUACAUUAAUAACAUCGCUACAUUAUGUUAUAACAAAUAUCUACACUUUCGAAUAUAUUUCAAAAAUAUAUAUAUAUUUGGGUGACACUACCAUUGGUUAAUAUCCAAUAACAAGUCGCCACGUAAGCAUAAUUUUAAUUUCAUAUAAUUAAAUAUCAUAAUACUCCAAUGUUUUCGUGACAGAUCGUCCCAAUGGACGCGAUGACGAUGAGAAAACUUCACCAAAGUUGCUCUGACACCAUAUCAAGAAUCAAGAUAUUGAGAGGAGAGAUAUAAAGUGUUAAAAAUGAGAAACAAUAAAUAGAAAAAUUAUGUGAAACCUAUGUAAAAUAAAUAAUUUAUGUGACUCUCUAAUACAUUAAAUAUCAUUGAAGUUUGUGGUCUUUGAAUUCUCAGAUCGAACCUACGUCACAUUCAACCAUUGGAUUUUUCACCAAGUGUCUGCAUCUAAUAUUUGUUAUCAAGGAAGAAUUGGAUUGAUAAAUGACCAUAGCCAUAUUUUAUCUGAGAAAAUUAAAUUGUGAAAACGAAAAAUAUGUGCUCCUUAAUUUAUAAAUGGUUGAAAUAUUUAUUGAUUUGCAAAAAAAAAGAUAAAAUAAAAAUGUUUAAUAUUUGUAAUAAAAUAUAAAUGUCUACGUGAUGGAAUCUGAUGUACUAAAGAGAUGAGAUUGGGCGGUUCCCACCUCUUUGCCAUCCCUCAACUCCUAGGUUAGACUAUAGCUUAUAUAAUUAUAUGAAUAAAAUCCCUCCAGGCACCAAGAUUCAAAAAUCAAAUAAAUUAAAACAAAACUGUCCCCUGGGGGCCUUUUCUUCAUCAGUUGGGUCACAUGCUAUGCUAAGUUGCCCUUUUCUGGGAUUAUAAUUUAAAACUAUAUACUAAUAUAAAAUAAAUAGUGGUGGGGGUUCUUUCAACAUCUACGGAAAAACUGAUUAAUUAAAGUUAUUGAUAUGACUUUGAUAUUUUUUAAAAAAGGUAUACGACUAUUUGGGUCGGUUUGUUUUGUGUCAUUUUAUUAAUUUCUUAUUUUUCAUGGAUAUUGAUUGAAUUGUAAAUUUUCUUUUUAUAUUGUUUUUCUGUUUUAUAGUUGUAGUAGUUAUCCACACCAAAAUUUUCACCAUAAUUAGAACCAUAGAUUUUGAUGGCGUCUCCACUUAUUGUGUUAAUUAUGUAUUGGUUUGAAUCUUUUGUCUUAUCAAGUAAUAUGUAAACUUUGGUUUAAGUUUAAUAAAGACCUACCCACUAACAAGGAUUUACUUCUAAUCUUUUCACUCAAUUAGAAAACCAAAAUGUAUUUGUUUAGAUCCUCAUCUUCACUAUACUUUUCCUUUCAUUUUUUAACUUCUAGUUCAAAGAUUCUUUUUUUUAAAAAAAAAAAAAAAAUCUUGAAUCACACUUUUUUUAAAAAAAUUAGCAAAAUACCUUAAUAUUUAGGUUUUAAAAUGUUAUCAUUUCUCUCUAGUAUUUAGUUUUCAUGUGGUGUUUAAGAUUUUAGAAUAUUGCAUUUUUACCAUCUGUUUUAAAAUUUGUUUCUAUCUUAAUUUCACUAUUAUUUUUUUUGUUUACCAUUAAAUUUAAUUAACAAAAUUUACGUCAUAACUAUUUUAUAUUAAUUAAGUGAAAGUGUAAAGAGUGAAAACUUGUAAAAAUGUAACAAUUUAGACUAUGAAAAAACAAAAUUUUAGUGUAAUUAUUUAAAAUUUCGAAGAGAAAAUGAAAACUACAGAAACAGAAAUUGUAAGCAAAGGGGUAUACAUACAUCUGUUUGAGUUAGUCGUAGUUAUCUUUAAAAAUGAAAGUGACUAUAGUUUGAAAGACAUAUUUGACCGAUUCAACCCUCAUAAAAUCAUAUAAUAAUAAUACACCCAUCAUUUUGGUAUACACUUUAUAAUGUAAAAGUUAAUAAUUUACAGAAUCCAAAGUUAAAAGCCUCACAAAAUCUCUCUCUAUCUCUCUCACUCCUCUGUUUUUGAAGAACUUUAGCUUUACUCAGCAACAUAGAUCUCAGACAGACAGCUAUUCAAACAUCAGAGCUUCUUCAUGUGCCCAUUGCAGUGAUGCCAGUUAAGAGUAUAUUCUUCAAAAUCUGAACACUCAGGAACCACAAAACAUAAAUUCAACUCAUCUUCAGCCUUUUGCAGAGUCUGAUGAUUUUUGUUAGAUUCAGAUCUCAACAAACAAAACAGAGCAUGUUCCACAAAACAGCUCUCUUGUCUAAAGUUGCAUCUCACAACCCACAAAAAAAAUUGGAAAAGAAUUUAACAAAACGGUGGAAGAUAUGUAAUGAAAUUGUGAUAUUAUUAGGAGAAACAACCAUUAAUUUUUCACAAAAGGGGGAGAGGAGGUUCACAAACCUUAGGUUAAUUAACCUUCCAAUGAACCACAUAAACCAAUUAACAACCCAGUAAUUAACACAGCCUAAUACUAUAGCUUCUUCUUCUUCUUCUUCUUCAUCAUCAUCUUCUUCCAUGUACAACUAUCACCAUUAACUUAAUACUUGGUGAAAGAAUUAUUAUUAUUUUUUUUUUUUUAUCAUCAGAAUUCUGAUAACCCUUUUCCUUAAAUUCUUGUAAUCCUUAACCCUUUUUAGGACGCAUCGAAUGGUUGUUGGAAGGUACUUGUGAGUUCACAUCAAUACUGAUAUGAAACUGUCGGUUUGGCUUUAUGUUAUUGUGUCUUCCACGCCUCUGUUUUCUUGCAGGCUGCAGGGACCUAGGGAUGAACACACCGGUCCCCUUGCUUACGCCGUUGUAGGCAGCGGCAACGGCGGCUGCGGCGGCAUGUUCAUGUGUAGCCAGUGGCCGUGUCGGGUAGUGCACUCCAUGAGACAGAGCCUGCAAAUUGAUCAAUCUUAUUUGAAUUCAUAGACACAACAGAGAAACUUAAAUAACUUAUUGAUCUUGAAGAUUGGACAAUACCCAAGUGAAUGAAAAAUUGAAAAAUUGAAAUAGUACAUGCCACUCUGAUAGCCAAGAUUUGAACCUACGACCUAGAAUGUAAUAGCGACUACGAAGACUGAGCUAUGUUCGUGUUGGGAUGAAAAAGGAAGUACCUGAAGAGAAACAUGUGGAUGAGGGAGAGGGUCUUCAUUAUCAUCCAUGAGAAGAAGAGAAAGCUGUCUGCUCAAAUCAGCAAAGAACAAAUCAUCUUCAAGUUCUAAAGCAACUUCCAUGUUUGUCUAAACUCAGAACAGCAAGAAGAGAGUUAACUUGCUAGGUGGGUGUCUGUUAGGAAAAAGAAAUAAAGAGAGAAUUACUUUUUUUUUUUCCUUUACAUCUCUCUCUCUCUUUCAGGAUAUAUAGAAUUUUAGAAGCAGGGAAAAAAAGGUAGUGAUGGGUGAGUUAAAACCAUAUUGGCUGAGCAUGUGAGAUGGUGGGUCAUUAGCCACAGCUGGCCAAUCUGUCUAAAGUUUAAAGACCCCACAAGAAUCAUUACAUGGUGUUAUCCAGUUGGGGAAAAGAUGAGGAUCGGUUGCCGGCAAAAUCUUCCCCAAAAAACCAACCACCACCAUCUCCAAGCCAAAGAUUGGCUUAAAUCUUUUCCGCACUUGGGUUUCUCAAGAGCAUUUCUUUAAUGGAUUCUGUUUAUUCAUCAAAGCAAAUCUCAUUACCACGUUUCAUAUUACCACUAAGAUCUGAUCAAGAAUCUUUGAUAAGUAUUCAAUAAAGCAAUAAAUGAUCUGUAUUGUCAUAAAUAAGAGAAGAUCUAUCUGGCUCUCAACUUGAACUAGCUAAGCUCAACUGUCAUAGGUACUCAUCCGUGCAUUUGUGUGUUGUUUAAGAGUUGAAGACCAUUAGAUUUAGGAGUCGGUGGACAUCUCUUUCCCAGGGCCACUUGCAUCUGUAGUGUCAAGGAACAUUUACAAAGAUGAAGAGAUGGUUAGCUCAUAAUUUUAAUAAAACAAUGAUAGAAAGAAAUGCAAGUAAAGGAAAAUAAAGGCACUAUACAAACAUGAAAUUAACCUUUAAAUGGUCGAAAUGUACAAAUCUUAUCUUUAAGCCAAAUAUCUCCUUUACUAGACCAAGUUCAAUAAUUUCAGGAAAUCCAUAAAGAAAUAUAUUGGACACAGAGGAGGGAAAGGGGAAUCAAAUCUCGUCUACAGUCGACUUCAGAGAUAAUCGAAUGAACAUGACAUAUUCCAAAGGCUCAUUGAAAUCCAUAUCACUAUUUUCAUCCACUUUACAGUGAAACCAAAUGUGCAAAGUACUAAACUAUUAAUCAUGGGAGUAGUAGGGUUCCACAUUUUCACUCGGUUUGCUAGCUGGUAGAGGGACCCUCCAUGUUUGCUGCCCAAAUUUCUUUGUGAAUUGGAGGCCUGUAGAGGUAAACGUUAGAUCAAAGAGUUCUUUCUUCUACUACAGCAUUAAGUGUUCAGCCUCAGUAAAUCUCUUGUUUUCUCCAAGAUCAUUUCCUGUCUUCAGCAAGCAAAUCAAUCAUAUAUGGGGAUCAGCAGCAGGUGAGAGAAUUCUUUGUAAACAUGUCUCUAUAAGAAUAAUACCCAUAAAGCCAAAAAAGCAGUACAUUGAUAUACAAGAGAAAAUACGAGGAAAACGAAUUCAUACAGUCUUUCUUACAUGUUUAAGUUUCAAGAAUAAUUGUUGCUUAGAAUAGAACAAAACAAAGUACCUGUUUUAUGGAAGAAACACCUCUUGUCCAUAAAAUUCAACAAAUUCUAAUUUACAGAGUAAACUAAGCUUUCAACAAAUUUUAAAGGGAACAAAGUUUUAUGAGAGAAAAGUGAAGUUCCAAUUUGGAAACGAGACAUAUUUAUAGAAUAAUGUGUAGUUAUUCAAGUAGUCACGUCUCUUUAUAAUGUGUAGUUAUUCAAGUAGUCAUGUCUCUUUUUCAAGUUGGUUAAAUUUAUAGAAUAACGUGUAGCCAUUCAAGUAGUAAUGUCUCUUCUUCAAGUUGGUUAAGAAAUAAUAGAUGCAUUCGCUCGUGAAAAACUGCAACACAUGACAUUGAAAGGAUGUGACCUUAAAUGGAGUCACAUACGAUUUAUUCGAACAUAUAAAGCAAUAGAGAGAAGCCAGAAGACUUAAGGCAAAAGAACACUGUGGUUUCCUUAUCUCUUCUACUUAACCAAAUAAAAAGCAAUCCCAAAAGAUUGAUACCAAUGUUCAAAAUACAAAGCAGCAACAAACUUGAUACCUAUUUUUUCCAUGCCGAAGAAGAUACAAAUGGCAAAGAAAUCUUAAAAAAUAUCCGCUGUGUUAAGUCAUAAUCAUUGUUAGCAGUUAAUAUUCACAAGGUUGCUUGAAGUAGAGGGAUGAAAGAAGUAAAUCAUUGUGCAAUACAUCAUUCUCGAGCAACAAAUUCACAGCUCUAUUGUUCUUUUCAGGAAUCUUUGAACAAGAAAUGAAAGUUUAUAAAAAAUGGGAAUAGAUCAGACCCCACAUCAACCUUUUUCCAUUAAUUUCCGUGUCAGAGGGGUGGAGAGAGGCAUCUGACUCAAAUUUGGAGAUAAAAAUGCAAUGUAAUAUUAAGCCCCACUUGCAGUGUCCAUAUCCGUAACACCGUCAACCCCCUUAAAAGCCACACGUAAUUUUCGAAGACAGGAAGUUUUCUUAUCAUUCUUAGAAGCCACACCAGUCACAUGGACUACGUCCUUCAAAACUUUACCCAUCAAGUCAAAAAGUGGAACACCCAAAUUUGAUCUGGUCAUCUCUUCAAGUACAGGAGGUGCCUGCAUGUAUAGAUUCUUCCCUCGAUGCGUGACACUUGCCUUUGAUAACAAGAGUUUGGGAUGAUCUUCUAGCAGGUCAAUGAACUGUUUCAGGCAAAUUCAAAAUGGGAGGAACCGUCAUGAAGGAUUAACAAGAUUUCUCAAAAUCUGAAAUUAACUAACACAGCAACAACUGAAUACAAGAUGGAUAUGUCUGUGACGCUGCAUAUAACAUGUGGAUGGCAUAAGCUAAAUAAUCAACCUUCUGUAAAGUAAUGGAAGAAUCCAGCUCAAUAAGAACGCCUGGACCACAAACAAGACAGUCCUUAUCUUUCACAAACUCGGUCACUUUAGUGUGGAGACCUUCAGCACCAUUAUAUCUGAAAAAAGAUCAUUUGCCAUUAAAUUCAAUGCAUCUGGAAAUUAUGGUCACAAAUAAAAGUAAAUAAUGGCACAAUGUUAAAGGCUAUUACAAAUACAGACAUGAUUUAUGAAAAUUGUGUCAUUCACACGCAAGCCUAGCUUCAACUUCCAACAUAGAAACAAUAUAUUUGUAAUAAAAACUUCCCACUUGAUAGAAAAGAAGAGAUUGGUGGCUACAGAAGGCUAGACUUCUAAUCUAAAAGGUGUAAAAAAUAAAUAAUGGAAAAGAACCGUAUAAAGUGUUUAGUAUAUUAACAAGGCAUUGACUGACUUAUCAAUUCAAGAAUACAAAUGACAAGAAUAAUAAGAAUGAUGGAAGAGAACCAUAUAACUUUUCGACCAUAAUGAAAACCAGAACAAAUGAAAAUGUAAAAAUAGCAAUCAUAACAUAAACCACAUUCCUGGAUUAUGAGCAAAGUACUCAAAAAAUGAUACACGAUAUAUCCAAAUGUAUUUUCAAAGGAAACAACAAAUUUCAUUGAAAAAAUAAAUAAAAGGUUCGAGAAAAACCAAACCCACACAAGAAAGGAAGGGGUUCAGCCAUACAAAAAUGUAUUUGAGAAUAAUUACAAAUGAUCUUCAAAAUUGAAUCCCAGAGGAAAACAUGAAAUCUAAGAAGGAACCACCACUAGGAUUCCUCUCCAAUCCUCUAAAUACUAUGUUAUUGUGCUCCCCAAAGAGCCUAUAAUAAUAAAUCCAAACUUCUCAAUGCAGCCUGACAUGUUAUGUACCCAUAUAUUUUUUAGUAAAGAAAUAAAGAAGAACAAUAUUAAGCUGCUCUAUAAAAUUAUUAUUAAACCCGUAUAACAUUAAAAGGAAAAGGAAUUGUCACAUAGUUAAAGCAAACAGUACGCACGUUAAGUAGUUGGAUAGAGUUUUACUGCAUCCUGAUACAAUCUUCAACGUUUCCAGUGCACAUGCAGCUGAUAUAAUUGCAUUGGUGGAAGCAAUAGCAGGUAUGAUAUUCUUAACAACACCCUUAAAAAACCAUUAGAAAAUGAAUAUCAGUAGGGGCAUUUGUAAACAAAAGCAGGUGAGUAGUUAACAAAAGAUGCAAGCAGAUAAUAUGUACCCACUAACAGAACAACCACAAGUUCAGAUAAAAAGAAUAACCAUCACUUCAGUGAUGUGAAAAUUCCAAGACUAAUAUGUACCUGAGUUAGUGAAUAUGUAACUCCCGGAAUGCCAAAAAGCUCAGCCCUCUUAAGAGCCUAUAGAUGUGGGAAGAUAAAUUAGAAGUUCAGAGUCACUAAUUGAAAAGAAUUACCGGAUCUACAGGAAUUAUCAUACCUCACUGUAAACCCAUUUCAUGUGUUCGGAAUCAUCAGGAUCAAAAGAUUUUCCACUAUGGACCUAAAAGAAAAAGUCUCGGUAAGCCCAAACGGGGUACUUUCACAAUCAUCAACGAGAAGCCGGGUAAUAAUGUGUUACCUCAUCCCAUUUAAUUAGAUGAGCAUAUUCGAUACAAUGAGCAGCAGUUCUAGGAGUUUCUGCUAGAGUACAUAAUGGAAACUUUACUUGAGGUGGAAAAAGCCAGAUGGUACACUCGAAGCAAGGUGUGACCCCUGGUAAAAUUACCCUUGCAUGCCCCUUGAAGCCUUCAGUUCCACCAUCUACCAUUGGUUUAAUUGUUUCUUCUAAUGGAUUAUCAUCAGAAUCAUACUCUAAAUUUACAAAGAGAAAAUAAAGGACAUGAAAUUCUCAUUCAUCAUCAACAACAUGACAUUAACAAUUAAUGGAAAAAAGAUGGCAAAAAGACGUAAGAAGAACAUAGCAAGUCAGAGAAUAGCAUACCAAGGAAGCUACAAGCAACAGAAUUGAUGUAACUUCGAGCUUCAAUUGAAUCAAGACCAAGUGCGAUUAUGUGAAAAUCGUUGUAAAAUUCAAUUUCUUUGUCCUCAAUCCGGCAAAAAUGUGGCAGAAUAUUGACACCACUAACUCUCUCCAUAACACGUUUUGCAGCCACCUCAGCUUUUGGCUUACCAACAUCUUCAAGCCUGCGAUACUACCUUAGUGUUAUUCCUCUGACUGCCGUAUUUAAUCAAAUGACUACUGUAAAGCCAUAUCCAGAUUUACAUAUGAGAAAUGUGAUUUCCUCAAGGAUUCCAACGUCAAAUCAUAUCAUAAUAAUAAAAUUUCCUGAAAAGAACUUUCUUACAGGAAAAUUUAUUUAAGCACCGUUCUAAUUCGGCUGGUUCAGCAUUUUAGUACAAAAUGGUUGAAAGGAAAGAACAUUCGACCCAUCAAUUUUUAUUUUUUUUUCUUCUUCUUUCUUUUUGAUGUAAAAGUUGGACUUUCAUUGAGAAAAGAAAAAUGCAUCAAUCGAUAUAAAAAAAGAGAAGUCCACAAAACGGGAAGCAAACUAUGAAGAAAGGCUCCAGUCAAGUAAAAUGUGACAAAAUGUGACAUUCGAUCCAUCGAAUUCCUAUAACCAGUGCAGAUUUUACCGAUAUCAAAUCAUAAAUAUAAAUAUCAUCAGUUAGUAAUGGAUGUAACUUAAAAAUAGAGAUCAAUUUGAAAUGUCAUUACACCUCAGUAUACACCCAACAAAAAGUGAGAGUUCUACACCCACCCCCGGGCCCCGGUUGUUAAAAAAAAAAAAAAAACUACGAAUAAAACUCCAAAGAUACAAAUAGAGCAAAGAAAACAAUUGAAACCUGAAGAGAAACUGACGAUUGAGAUUAGUAACUUCGAUGCGAUCCAUGUCGAUGACUUCCAGAUUCCGAAAGCCCGACAAAGCCAAGUCUUUCAGGAGCUCGCAGCCCAACCCCCCAGCUCCUAUGACUAACACCUUCACAUACUGUUGAAGAUCAUCCCUCAACUGCAAUACAAAACAACACAGUCGUAAGACGAUUGCAGAACCAUGUAGUGAGCAUAAGGUGUUUGAAAGAAUGUCAGAGAGAAGAAGAAGUACCCACUUGAGAACCCGGCUCGAAAUUGGCGCCGAUGAGAUUACCGGGCCUAAGAAGGAGCUUAUCGAGGUCCCUCGAUCGACUGGAUUGGACGACAGAGCCCGCCAUUUGAAUGCUUUACAGCGCCGACUCUGGGCUAGCGGAGGAAAUUGUUGGAGUGUAAAAGAGAGGUAAAAAGGGGUUUCCGGAGUGGAAAUGGGCGGGGAAGGAAGAUGGUGUUUGGGUGGAAGUGGAAGUAAGCUUGGUUCUCACGCAGGAGUGAGUCUCCGUUGGUUAAAUCGCAGCGCCCUCAACCUCAGUGGCACUUUGCUAAUUCGGGUUGGAUUGUGGAAGAGAUGUUAAAGUCCAAUCCCGCGCCUCGGUUUUUAUUUACAAAAAGUAUACAAAUUAAUUUUUAAUAACCAAAGUAGAGUAUUUACCAAUAUAGUAAAUUUCACAACUUAGUGUUACACACAAUGUUAUGAAUUAUUUGAAACAAGUAUCCCUAUAUAAUACUUUUUCUUUCUUUCUUUUUUGCCUAAGAAUGUAUGCUCAGCUAUUUUUUUUACCCAAAGACUAAAAGGCCAAACCAAAGUGAAAAAAUAAAAUAGCUUACAUUCAGUUUUAAAAGUCGUAUCAUAUCAUAUAUGUAUUAUGUAUCUUGUGUGUUUAUGUUUUAUAGACAAUAGACGAUAUUUAUAGUUCUUUCCAUAUUUUGUAAACAUUUUGAUAUAUUUAAAAAUAAUCCAAAAAACAUUUGAAUAUGAUCAAGUAUCAUUAAAUUUCCUUUUUAACCAAAAAUAAUGGAAAAUUAGUUCAUUGUAUUAGCCAAAUGAUAAGGGUUUAGAGAUAGGUAGAAGAGCGAAAAAAACAUUAUUUUAUUUAACAAUACACUUAAAUUUUAUAAUAUUAUAUUAAAAGACACGUAGAUGUAUCUCAAACAUAUGUCAUGAAUACAAAAUACUUUCAAACUUUCAAAAGUUUCGAAAACAUUUUAAAACUUAAAAAAAUAUAUUAAAAAUUAUGCAGACAAUUAGCUUCACAUCACCUGAUUUUGUUUUACAAAGUAUCCAAAACUUUCAAAAGUAUUAGAAAGACCCUAAUCUUUUUAACUCUGUUAUGAUCUUAAUUAGUCAAAGUAAUAAAGGUACAAGAAACUCUAUCACAGAGAUGAUAUACUUUCAAGCAUUUUUUGUUGGGACUCUCGAUAAGUUUUCCUCCUCAAGUGUCUCCCUAUUCUGUAGAAAUCCUCUCUCUUUUCUACAAACUAACUUCCGUUCAUAAAUUCCCCUCUCUCCUGUCCUCAAAGGUCCAUCACUCUAUCUCUCCCGAGUUGCAAAUGCGUAAGACUCGAGACCACAGUUAGUCCUUCCUAUCAAACAAUUCGAACAAUUCAAUCUUCUACCAAAACUACUCAGUUAGAUGCAAUAGAGCAGGGGCUCUCUACAUUGCCAGCAAAUGAAGUGAAUCAAAGAGAUUUAAAUAGAGAUGUUGCCCCAAUAUUUAUAGACUGAGAUUCAUAGGAUUGAUCAAGUGCAACAACUAUUUUCUUUCCUCUUUAUGCUAAAGAGAGUACCUCGUCAACCUGCUUUGCGCUAUUCUCCCAGGAGACUCUGCACAAAGACGACCAACUUUGAUAUAUUUGGAAAUGGUUUGGUGAUUAAUUCUUGUGAUCUCUAACACCUACAUUUGCAUCUCAGAUGUGUUCCAACGUUCUUAAAAGUGUGUACAAGGGAAAUAGUCCAAUGGAGGUUGGUGCGACCAAACUACUAAUUUACUAAAUCCAGUAUUUUGAAAGACAAUGUUGGAGUGAAACAUUUCAGUGAAAAAAACUAUAUGGAAGUUACUAAAUCCAGUAUUUUGAAAGACAGUGAUGGAUUGAAACAUUUUAGUGAAAAACCCAUCUGGAAGUUUUUUGCGACUCAAUCACACAUUUGAUGAAUCAUAUGACGAACCCAUCAAAGAUCCUUUUUGAACUCAAGGGCUUGAGAAACAAAGAGAGAAUGUGCGAGAACAAGACCUACAGAAGCUUUUCUGGACUACUAGGAUAGAUUAAAGCAAAUGUCACCAAUUAUAUUCAAUAAGGGCAAUCAAAACAAUUAGAGAAAAUAGAAACCGAGUCAACCGACCAAACCGAAAGGUCCAAUCAUUCGAAAUGACCGAGGAUAACUUUCCGACCGACCGACCCAUUUUUAAAAGAGUAAUGUGUACUUAAUUGUGGUUGAGACAUAGACACAACAACCGAAGCAGGAAAAAUGGAAAUAAAAAACUAUUGGUAUGGGAAGACAGUUAAUCUUGGAGAACCCUUCCUAGAAGAAAGCUAAAAUUUCUUCAAAACCAGCAAUGACCAUGGAGAACAUUUUCAAUAUCGUCAUUUGAUGAACCAUGUUAAUCUGAAUAUCAUGAACCAGAAGUAAAAGGUAAAAAAAAAGGUAAAUAGCACAGCCUCAAGAACAAUUUCCACUUUAAAUUAUGGCCAAGAUCAACAAAGACGCGGUUUAUGAUAUGCAAAGUUCUUGUAUGCAUAUAACUGAAACUAAAACUUAACAACAUCAAACUACGAUAAAGAAAGAGCAAACUUUCAAACUACAUUGUAAGUCAGAAAAUGGUCUACUUGACGUUCGUACCGAAUCUGAGAAUGGAAAUUUUCAGAGUUCAAACGACAGUGAGCACAUACCACGAGAAUCGAAGGAUUCCCUAAUCUAUAUGUAAUCUUCUUCAAUCAAUAGCAAUGCAUCCUUCUCCUGUUUCCCAAAAUCUCUUGAAACUGAGAAAUUUCAAGGUAAUCUCGAAAGCGUCAUUCUGAAUUACCUACAUUUAUACAUACCAAGGCAAAACAACGAAGAUUGAGCUUAACCGUCGAGGUUUGAAAUGGCAUCUUUUGGAAUUGUAGAGGGCUCAGGCUCGGGAUGUUGAAGAGAACUUUGAGCUUUCUCGAGGUAGGGCUUGAACACGAGCUGUAAGCUCAGGUAUCCGAAGGCCAAAGCUCCGAUCACCACCAAGCCAGACCUCGCCGCGUUCAACUUCGCCGUUUCCUUCAUCGGUUAUUUUCGUUCUCGCUGCCGUCCCUAGAAGACCGAGAUCAUUCCGUCGAGUGGAGUCUACGAUUUCACUUCACCGUACUUAAAAGGAGUGAGUAAACGACACGUCGAUAUUUCUACAACGAUCGGAACAAGCCUUCGACUACAUGUCGACCUAGCUGAGUCAAAACCUCUCUCUACGUGGAGUUGUUGACUUUUGCCACAUCACCUCCCUCGUGUUAUCACUCUUUUUCUCCUUCUUCUUCUUCGUUCGUUGAAAGGCGAAAAACUAAAAGGUACUCUGAAAUUUUCUCCAUAUCCUUACUUGAAUUUCGAUUAUUGUUCUACCGUUGCAUUAGUCUGGAUUCUAAUUGGUUUCUUCAAUAUCGGAACUGAUUUCCGUUGCAACUUUUCUUGUAUGUGCCAUGAUUUUGAGUUACAAAUUGAUGGAGAUUGUUGGUUCUGAUUCUAACUAAGCUUUUAUAUGUGUUAAUUCGAAUGGAUCGUGAAAUAAAAAUGACUAUGAGUUUGAAUGAAUGGGAUAUAUUGAGUAUCGUUUCUGUCGCGCUGGUAAAAUGUACAGAUUUUCCAUAGGAUGAAGUUACUGAUUUCGAAUUUUCUCAUGUACAGAGUUAAUCGGUUAAUGUUUAUCGAUAAUCCAAAGUUAUUGAAUGUUGGCUUCCUCGGCUGUGUUUAGAAGGCAACAGUUUCUGUUACGGUCUCUUGGAGGGUUCGGUGAUUGUACCUAUCAGAAUAGACGGCUACAAAUCAAAGCCAUGAGUGGCACUUCGAUUGAGGCUGAUGCUGAUCUCAUUCUAAGAGCAAUUACACCUUGUCUUGAUCCCAAUAGAUACAAAGGCCAGGCGGGUAAGGUCUCAACGUACUCUGUACUUUUGUGGUUUUUCAUUUGUUUCCAAUUUGCAAUGAACAAUUGGUUGAAAAAUACCCAAGUUUUUUGUUGUCAUGGAUUAGUUUCCUAUAACUUUCUGGUAAGUAAAAAAUUAAAAGUAAUGGUUUUGGGUACUUUGUAGAUUUUGCUAACUCAAUUUGAAUAUUGGUCUUUGAUGCUGGUUUUAGUUUUGUCUGCCAAUUGUAACUUGUGGCAUUUUAUCCUUUACCAAUGUUGUCCACUGGUUUAAGGUAUUUCUAUGAAGUCCUCUAAUUAACAAUCUGUAUUCAGGGAAGAUAGCUGUUAUUGGUGGAUGUCGUGAGUACACAGGUGCUCCCUACUUUGCAGCUAUAUCAGCUUUGAAAAUUGUUAGUUCCAGACUCCUUCUAUUGCUCUCCUUAUUGGAAAGUUUUAUCCUGUAUCUUCUGUCUGGAUAUUUAGUCUCUGUUCGUUUUACUUUCAAAGGUGAAUAAUAACCCGUUAGUUUCUCCUUCCAGGGUGCAGAUUUAUCUCAUGUUUUCUGCACAAAAGAUGCUGCUCCUGUCAUAAAGAGCUAUAGUCCAGAGUUAAUUGUGCAUCCUGUUCUUGAAGAAUCAUACAGUGUCAGGUGCUUCCACUUUUGUCUAUAUUUUGGUCUGAGUGGAAAAGAUUGAAUAGAAGUUUUGAUAUUUGUCUGAUGCGUUCUGAUGUUUAGGGAUGAGGAAAAGAAGUUCAUCGCAGAAAGGGUUCUUGCUGAGGUUGACAAGUGGCUGGAAAGAUUUGAUUGUCUUGUCAUUGGUCCAGGGCUUGGAAGGGACCCAUUUCUUCUGGUGAUUGUGUUAAUUUUGUUUGUUUAAUUACGUAGUUCUUUCUUGAACAAUACACUUGAUUCCAUUUUUGUCCUGCAACUUUUAAAGUUCAUCCAUACUUCCAGACUUUCAAACUUCGAUUUAUAUGUUUGAUAAGAUGGGAUUUUUCUAUAGAUUUGGCGAGGGGAAUAUAGAAAAUACCUUUCCUUUUUUCCUCUGUGCUAGUGACUGAGUGAAAGAAGGUGAAACAUGGUACUUAGUUCACUUGUCGCAUCAGGCCUCAUUUUGUUAACUUGAUCCCCUUUAAAUUUUUGGUGUGAGCCUCAAAUUGAUUGAAAUUUAAAAGUAGAUACAAAAAAAUGGAAGAAAUUUGAUUUUCUGAGUCUCUUUUGCCAUUGCAAUCCACUAAAAUGGCUGGGAAGUUAAUUCGUCCAUUGUUUCUUUAUGUACAUUGAUCUGAUAUUUUUUGGCUGUCAAUUUGGCUGCAAGCCUAUGCCUAUGUACUGUUUCAACAAGUUGUCGUAUAUGAAUUAUAGAGCUCACCCCGAGGUUGAAAGUAAUAUUUCAAAUUUUCAUGCUUUCAUAAUUUUCUGUUGGGUUGUUGGACUUAAUUUAUUGGGCAUUCAAGCAAGCAGGCAUUAUAUUUUAUUCAUAUUUCUUUUCUUGCCUUUGAUAGCAUAAUUUUUCUAAUGGUCUAAAACUUUUUCAGGAUUGUGUCAGUGAAAUCAUAAAGCAUGCAAGGCAGACAAAUAUACCAAUGGUCAUAGAUGGGGUAUGCAUAUAGCGAAGCACCUAUGAUUUUAAAGAAAUUAGCUUUUUUAAUAGUACGUUGCGUGUGCCACUUUCAACAGGUCUAUAGUUGGCUGCUUACUGCUGAUUGUGUUUGUUGCUUUAUCAGGAUGGUCUCUUUCUUAUCACUGGCAAUCUUCACCUUGUAAGCAAUUACCCCCUGGCGGUCCUGACUCCCAAUGUAAAUGAAUAUAAACGUCUUGUGAGAAAUGUGCUGCUUGCUGAAGUCGAUGAACAAGAUGCUCCUAACCAAUUGCUGACUCUUGCCAAAAGGUAAAAUCAUCACAUUUUCACGUGGAUAGAGUAAAAUCAUAUUGUUCUUCAUUUGGAUAGAGUUUCAUAAGUCAUGAUUAUGCAAUGUUGACAUGCUUAUUGCUCUAGUAUGGACGCUUCCUACCACACCCCUGAAAUUUAAUCACCACAUCAGUGAAUGCAUUAUUAAGAAGUUGCUUGUUGAGGUACUUAUAUUUAAAAUGUUGGCAGAUAAUCAGUAGUUGACCUCAUCGGAUCAGAAUUCUCUAUAGAUGUUACUGCCUAUCCAGGGGCCCAUAAUGGUUCCUCUAUACUAUUAUUUUUCGGCAGAUUCUGAGAUCUCUAGCCAGAUAGUUCACUGUCAGGAAGGGGAAUAUUUUGGUGGUGUGUUCCGUCCGUCCAAUAGUCUGAUCAGUGAUCACUCUUGGAUUCACGGCAUACAGCUUUCCCAAAUAAUUAUUUCUGCAGUAUGAAAGUCUUGACAUUAGGAUGAAAAUAUGACUGUAUCUUGCCAAAUGAAUUGUUAAAUAAUCAUUAGGCAGAUUCCCUAUUGCUUAAUAUAGAGGAGAUGGGUUUCCCUAUGUGCGUUUUUUUCAUCCUAUUUUAUAAGUUUUAACAAAUAUCAUUAUUAAAGUAUUGCUUCUACGAGGUGUUCAUUUUUAUUUAUCAGUUUUUCUAGUCUUCGGCUUACUAAACUUUUGGACAUGAUCAGGAUUGGUGGCCUGACUAUCCUCAGGAAAGGGAGGGCUGACCUCAUUAGUGACGGUGAGACAGGUACUGAUUUCAAAUACAAAAUAUUUUCCAUGUUAAUGUUACAGAAGUGCUACAAAUUCAAUGUUCCUAUUCUAUGAAUUAUUAGUCACUGUGUCACCAACCCACCUUCAGUUGCGCUAAACUUUACCUUUUGGUCAGAUUAGGAAAAAAUGAUAAAAUUGUCUGUUAUGGAUUAUUGUACGCUAAGCUAUUAUCCUGCUAACGUGGUGGAAGUAAACUCAAAUGAAUGUGGAUUGAAAGUGUUCGUCCAAAUUUCAAUUUCUAUAAAUUUCCCUAAAUUUUUUGUUUUGACUUUGUCGAUAUAGGAAUUUAGUUCUUAGUGCCCAUGUCAAUGUGGGUUUCUUUAUUGUGGAACUUUCAUGAAAGUAACAAUUUAGUUGUUGAACUUUGGUUUGCAGCAACUUAAUCCUUAUAUCUUUCAUGUUAUUUAGUUCCGACCUAGACUUCAAAUUUGUUACAAUUUAACCUCUACAAUGAAGAAUUUCAUUAAAAUUGUUUGCCAAUUUUUCUAAUUCAGUGAUGUAGACUUUGUAGUUUAUAAUAACCAAUUUGAUGGUCUGUCUAUGCAAAAAAAAAUCAUUUUAUCAUAAUACAAUUUCCACAGUAGGAGAUUAAAUUGUUACAAAUUUUACUUGCAAUGAUUAAAAUUGUUACAUAUUAAAAUUCAUGAGCUAAGCUAUAAACAUUUAGGGCCUAAUAUGAUGUCAAGGCUUCUUCCUUGCUAGAUUAUACUUGAUUCUUCCAUUUAGUGAAAUCAUGUGACACCUGAUGCAGUCAAGUCAGUGAGCAUUUAUGGAUCUCCCCGACGUUGUGGUGGGCAAGGUGAUAUUCUUUCAGGAAGGCAAGUAAUUGGCAUGUUUUUUCACUGUUCUUGUCAAAUAUACUUUUCUUCAACGCCUUAUUUACUUUCCUAACAUGAGCUAAGAAGCCUGAAGUUCAUGAAUUGUGUACAAUAAUUUCACUCUUUUCUUUCCUCCUGUGGUCCAGUGUUGCAGUCUUCAUAUCUUGGGCCCAGCGACAAGGUUCAAUCACAGACGAUAAUUUGUCUAGCAGGCAAGUUCUAGUAUUUAGACAUCAUUUGAUCAUUCAAUCUCCUAUGAGGCUAUGACAAAUACUGAUUUCUUAUAAUGAUUUACAUCCAACCCUUUUCACAUGUAGUCCAAAGAAUCCAACAGUGUUAGGGUGCAUUGCUGGAUCUGCUUUACUUAGAAGGGCUGCAUCACUUGCAUUUGAGAACAAGAAAAGAUCAACCCUUACUACUGAUAUCAUCGAGUUCUUGUGGAGAAGGUACUGUCAGCUUUAAGGAAAGAGAGUUCAUUUCAAUGUAAAAACUAAGUCUGCUGCUAAGAUUGGUUCCUUCUUUUUGCAGUCUAGAGGACAUUUCUCCAGCUCAGUAAUCAAAUCCACUGAUCUUGCAACUGUGCUGAAGAUACUCGUGAUUUGAUUGGUCAUGCAUGUACAAUGUUUGGCCAUACUACAAACUUGAUCAUCAGGUUCUAUUGUCUGUUAGGAUUAGAACUUUGGAACUAAUUAAAUGGAAAAUGUCUAAAGGAAUAGGUCGUGCCAUGUAGUAAGAACAGACAAAGGUAAGGGCAUCACCAUAGACAAAAUCUUCAAUAAUUUUGAGAUCCCUGUUCAAUCGUUUCAACAUUACAUGAUUUUAUGAGUUUGCAUUAUGUUGUGAUUCAGACGUUAAUGACAUCCAUACAUUUGAUAUGAACAGGUGGUUGAAAAUGGCCAAAACAUAAGUGGUGGGAAAUUCAAGUUUCCAUUUAUAAUUCUACAAAGUCACCGACUUUAUUAAACCAAAAGCAAAAGGGAUUUACAUCAGAUUACAAGCAAAAAGAACACAGAAAAAAACACACCCAAUUCAGACAUAAACACAUCUGUGUCUGUUAGGUACCCCCCUCUCUCUCUCUUCUGAUCUGCAUUCUCAACCACAAAUAAAACACAAAUAUAUGAAAAUCUCCUUUGCUAUGAGAAAAUCUCUUCACCGUGUGGCCGCCAAAGCUGCAGGCCCCUCCACCUGAAAAAUGACACCAACCACACAAAAAUACACUAGGCUUAGAAAUGAUAGUUUAGUGAUGGAUUGAUUGAUUGUUGUGAAACUUUUCCAAGAAUAGAGAUAGUCUGAAAGUGAAAAAUUACUUUGAAUGUUGCACCCCAUAUCUCUUCCUCAUUAGCAGGAACAGCAGUGAUCUUGUUCUUGGGAUUCUGAUAGCAUCUCAGUUCACCAACUGCUGUAGAUAAGAAACACCCUACAAAAACAAAACCCUCCAUUAUCAUUACAGAACAAGCUUGUUUAGAUACGCAAGGUUCUAAAAGAGUGUAGGAAUCUAAUCAACCUUGAGGGAAAGAAGCAAGCGAUUUCCCACAAGCGCCUUUGAGCAGAUCGGCGUUAUCGGAAAAGGCCACGUAACCAUCGGCAGUGAUUCCCCAAUACAAAGGAACUUUCCCGUUUUGAUCCUAUGGAUAUCACAAAACAAAACCUUAGUUCAUUCGAAAUGAACAUGAAAGAAAGUGAUUAAAGAAAGAGGAGGGAAGAAAGAAAGUUACAGAAGCGACGAAGAGAGUGGAGGUGGACUUGUCAAAGACGAUGAAGGCGAAACUGCCGCUGAGAUGACCAACGACGUGGCUGGGCGGGUAGGGUGCCCGGUCACGGAGAGCCUUGUAAGCUUCAAUCAUGAGAAUCACCUCAUUCGCUGAUUUGGCUAAGCCGUAUUGUU